Molecule: long non-coding RNA, 224935 nt
Filed under: Medicago truncatula (barrel medic)
Lineage: Eukaryota; Viridiplantae; Streptophyta; Magnoliopsida; Fabales; Fabaceae
Source: RNAcentral
UUUAACAAACUCUCCCACCACAUAGUAGAAAGUGGGACAUUACCAACACAUGGUUGUGCAUCACCUAUAUUUGGGAGUGUUGUCUUAUCACACUCUCUUGGAACAUUGCCAUCUUCACUUGAAAUCACUAGUUUUGUUGCACUACCAUCACUCACAAAAUUACGUUUCUUCUUCAACCAUAGUGAAUGAGUUGAAAAAGUUCGAGGUCGAGGCUUGAUAACUUCAUGAGAUUUGAUCAUGCUUUCUUUAGAUUUCUCUUUUUCUUCAUUUUCUUCUUUUCUUGGAAUCACUUUCUUGCGCAAAUUUGUGUGCCAAUAAUUCUUCACAUCAUUAGCUGUUCUACCCGGAAGCCUCGCAGCAAUCAAUGACCAUCUAUACAUAUAUAUUAUAAAUAGUUAAGAAAUUCAAGCAUCUAGCAUUUAUGCCAUACCGUGUUGAUAUUUGCAAGCAUAUGUGAAAAUACUACUAUUUGCUUGCAUAAUUAAUUAAUUCUAGAUUACAUAUACACUAGAUCUAAAUUAACAAAGAUAUCCCCUCCCCUAAUAUGCACAAAUAACAAUUUAAUUAUAACUUGCACUGAUAACAUACCUGUUCCCCAAGAGUUUGUGUAGCCUUAGAAUCAUAUCAAUUUCAUCAUGGGAGAAACUUUCUCUAUUGAUUGCAGGGUUUAAAUAAUUCACCCACCUCAAUCUACAACUUUUCCGGCAUCUAUUCAAACCUGCGCAUAUAGUUUAAUAAAUUUUGACAUAAGUUAAUUAGUUUUAACUAUAGAAUAAAAAAGUAGAUAGUUCUAUAGAAUAAAUAAGCUAGGUGGAUAUAGAGUUGUAUAAUGUUCGUAUUAACAAAUCAAUUAAAUAAAUACAAGUACCUGCUCUUUUAGGAACUAAAUGCCAUUUCCCUUCACCAUAUUUUUGAAUACAGUCCUUGAGUAGAUUGUCCUCCUCAUAUGUCCAUGCACCUUUUCUCAAACCUCUGGUCUUUUCCAUAUGCACUUGCUAUUUAGACACUUUCCUUAUUUGUCCACAGAAAAAUAAAGGCAUAAUCUCUUGCCCUCAUAAUAUAUAUUAUGUAUACAUGUGCUUUAAAAGGAAGUGUGCGUGAGAGAGAGACAAAGAAAUUGUCUUAUUAUUACUUAGAGACAAAGAAAUUGUCUUAUUAUACUUACUUUACCCAAAAAAGAAAGAAACAAAAAGAGGGUAAUUUCCUCACAAAAUAAAGAGGAAAUUUGAAAAUUUUGACUUGUGUUAGUAAAAAAGGCUGAGAUAUUGUGUUUCUGCAAGAAAAAUUUGAUUGUGGUGGUUUUUAAGGAAAAUAAAAUUGUGGAAAUUUGAAAUGGAGUUGUUUUUUUUAUUUUUUUUAAACUUAUCCAGGGUUUUUGUUAAAUAACACCAAGAAAUAAAUUGCAACUUGAGAGAAAUAAAAAAUGUUUUUUUAGUGUUUAAUAUUGUUUCUACCGUUGUAAAUUGUUUCUUCUAUUGUUGUGGAUUUUUCAUAUUUUAAUGAGAUUUAUCUGAUUAUUUAAAGGAGAAUGCUAAUGAGUGCCUCCCUUGUUUGACUGCUAUCUAUAAUAGAAAAACCAAAGCAUUGAAUGCAAUCGAGUGAUGAUGAAAAGAUAUUCAAAUGACAGAGUAUUAGAGUAAAAAAGUUACGAAAAAUAUUCACAUAUGCAAGUCCUUCAUUUUCUGGCAAUAUGCAAUUUGCUUUUUGCAGCUUCUUGAUUUUUGCCUAAAGUCACCCCUUCUCCCAGCUUACCUUGCUGCCUCAUUUGCAAAGAAAUUGAGUAGGCUGUUGCUCUCAGUUCCACCUUCUGGUGCAUUGGUUAUUACAUCUCCGGUUCACAAUAUUUUGCGUAGACAUCCUUCGAUCAAACUGUUUGGUGCACCGGGUAAAUUAAGAUAUUCUAUUUUCUAUAUUUUGUUUUUGCAAUUACUUCAAUAGUAAAAUUUGUUUCCUGGAUUACUUUAUCAUUGGAAAUGUUAAUGGAGAUCACAUGAAAAUAUAUGGAGUUGAGAUAACGGAGGAGUACUGAUCUUGAAAUCAUAAUCUGUUGGUCACUAUAAACUUUUCCAUUUAGAAAAUGAUAUAUGUUGUGUUGAGGAAAUACUUUUCAAUUCAUCUUAUAUUUAGAAUUAUUGCAGUUUAAAGUAAUACUUAUUUAUUACACUCAAUAGAUAGUAUAAAUAUUAAAUAGUUGCAUACUUGCGUGUUUGUGUAUUUUGAAUUGUUUCCAUUUUGUAUCUAUGUUUCUCAAAUUAGUUUUCUAUUGAUAGAGCCAGGAGAUUGAUUGGAUCCUGGUUCAAGGAUGGUCGUCUAAUGUGGUUUUACUUUGAAACUCAGAGCUGGUCUGAUAGUAUAUAUGAUAAGGUUUUCCAAUGUUGGAUUGCAGAUUUGUGUAGGCCAAAAAAAAUCUACUAUAUAUUUAUGAGAGGAAGAAACAUGGCAUAGCAGAUAUAAUAGGCUUUGUGGCCUAUGCCAGCUGGCAGCCUGGCACAUAAUCAAUGUUGUGAAGAAAAUUCUCCCCGAUAGUAAUUUUGAUGGACUAAUUUAGCUUCUUAAAAAAACUUCAUCCUCUCUCUUUUAGAAUGAUUUUGCUGAUGGACGUUUAAAUGUGAAGAAAAUUCUGGAACAAUCAUCGAUAAUAACAAGAAUGAGUGUCUAAUUCAUGUAUGACCACCUCUUAAAUUAUAAUGCUUGUCUGUUCGGUAAAAAUAUGUUACUCGUAUUUUAUAUUUUUCUCUUGGGAACCAAAAAAUGCUUGCUCCCGAUGAAAAUUUUGUAAAGCUUUGUUUACGAGUUUGGAGGGAAAGGGAGGGGAGUGGUUUGAAAAAAAAAAAAAAAGGAAGGAAGAAAUAGAUGACAUUGAGAGGGGAAUUACUUUGGGGGGGGGGGGGGGGGGGGGGGGGGGGAGUUUAGAGGGUUUAUAUGAAUUCUUCAAAUUUAAUCUACGUAAAUAUAAUAUUCUAAAAAUUUAAAAUAUAUUAAUUAUAAGCAUUAAUUUUUCAUUUUCUAAAAAAUUACUCUAUAAAAAAAUGUGAAAGAUUUUACCAUUUUCUUCUAUAUUUCCGACCCUCCAAAGUGUCUUCCCUUCCCAUCCCCUCCCCUCCAAACUCCCAAAAAAAGCCUAAGGAUUUUUUGCGGCUUUCAGUUUUUUUCGAUUGGUUUGCCGUUUAAUUUUCGAUCGGUUAGAAUUUGAACACCCCUACAGUGAACAGUUCUGAAGCAUAAUAAGCAUAACAUUUUAUAUUUAUUCAUAGUCUAUCUAUAGGGGCGAUAAGUGUUUACUUAAACUACCAAUUUUGCGUCCUCGUGAGCUUAACUUCAUUGGUAGGGACAAUACAUAAUAUUAGCGAGAUUCAAGAUUCAAACCCGUUGAACAGAAAAAACUACCAGUUUUGCAUUGUUUACUGUUUGUCCGGCCAUGGGAAAUUGUGAGGUGUUGUCUUAGAUUUUUCUUAUUUUAUAUUGUUAAGUAAGAAGAAAAAGGACAGACCAAUGCAUUUUUUGGAUUGAAAAUAAUACCAGUAUUAACUUUGUCCGGUUCAGUAUAUUUACUUGUAGGCUCAGGCUAGUGUGGGAGACCAAAUCAGGUCUCUCACGAUAGGAAGGGAGAAAAUACCUGCAAUUGCAGGUCACCAUUAGUUUUAAUAGUUUUAUAUUAUUUUUGCUAUUUAUACUUUUGACCCACCUAAGUUAAUUAUAAAUAUUCCACUCGAGUUUUUUUAUUUAUGAAAUUGGCAUGUCCCUUUUUUUUUUUUUGUUAUUAUUAUUUAAAAAACAAAAUAAGUUACUACCAUUAAUUAUUAUUUUCUUUCUUCUUUAUUCUCUCCUUGUUCUGAUUUCCCUGCAUCUCUUUCGAGCACCAUCAUCACAACAAUAGUGCUCAUGGCACUGGUAAAAACUAUUUUUUCUGAUAUUCAUCCUUGUUACUACAUGACCAACAUCACCAUCCCACAAGUUACUACCACCACCAUCAUCGGUAUCAUCAAUAUUCAUUAAACAACAACAACCACCGCAACAAGUCAAUUUUUUUUAUUUAAAUAACCAUUUAUAAAUUAAAAGAGCUUUAUUUCCCAUGACUGAGGUUGGGUAUUUUGUUGGAAAACAAAAAUAUUUCAGUUUUGAGUGUUUAAAGAUGCAGAAAAUUGCUUGAAAUCACAAGGAAUUGUUAUUUGAUUCAUGAUUCUAGGUUAAAAUUGAGAUUUCUAAAAUGGCAUAAAGUUAUAGCUUUUUUAUUCCGGGUCGCGAGGAUUUUCGACUGGGUCGUUUUGACCCUUCUUGAGGUUGAAGAUGCAGUAGUAAAAACAAAUAAAAAAAAUAACUCAUACAACGCAGGCAAUGGGUAUCGAACCGACGACAAUUUUUUUCAUCAACAGAAACUAAUCAAACCAACUGUACCAUUAAUUCCGUAAAAGGUUAAGCAAUAAAAGAUUCAUAUGAUUAAUUCAAUAUAUUAAUUAAGCAAUAAAGGAGUCCUAUGAUUAAUGCAAUAUAUUACAUCAAAUGCUCGCAGCUAUACACCAUCCGGUAACUAUUAUAAGCAAUAAUUCAUAUUUUAGGUUCAUUUAAUAAUUGUUGUAUGUGGUAUUUAAUAAAGACCAUAUACAUUAUUUAUUAAAUUAAAUGAAUUUAAAAUGUAAAUUUUUGCUUAUAAUAGUGACCUAAGGGUGUGUGUGUGAUAUUAAAAAUUUAUACAAAAGAUUUCGACCAAGUUGACUACUUUUCUGAAGGAAUAGUUUGUCGGAUUAACUUAUAUGAAAUAUUUAGAUUGCCGAAAUUUUAAUUCUUACUUCGUUCUUAAUUUAUUUAGAUCAUAUCAAACUAACCGUUAGUUAAUUAAGUCCGUCUUGAUCGUCGGAGGAAUGUCAUUUUUAACUAGGUUUCUAAAGUGAAAGUUUGUCAGAUUGACUUGUGCCAAAAGAAAAAAAAUUUACAAAGUGCUUAAAAUUAGAUUAUUUUUACAAGAUAUGAAAUAAAUGUGAAUUUCCAAGCGCUUAAAAUUUAAAAUUCAUAUAAAAUUCAUCCCUUUUAAAAAAAAAUUAAACUAUUGCAGGAGAUAAUUUUAUAAUGUAUUAAAUAAGAGUUCAAAAAAUAAUUUUAAAUUUUGAAUGAUACACAUGAGUUUGCUAAAUAUGCAGGGAUAAAAAAUGCAGGGUCUCAAUUUACAUUAAGUUUACGGAUUAAAUAUGAAUUGAUUUGAAAUCAAUUGGUAUCAAUAAAAAUGCUUGGCACAGUUGGUGUAAAUUGGAUACUUUGAUGAUUAAGGUUGCCUGUUCGAUACUUUUGUUGCAUCAUUGUCUUUUUAUUAAUUUUUUUACCUGCAUCUUCAACCUCUAGACGGGUCGAAACGACCCGGUUUAUGAUCCGGAAGAGAAAACCAUAACUUUAAGCCAUUUUAACACCAAAAACUCAAUUUUAACCUAGACUCACGAACCAAAUACCAUUUCUUUGUGAUUUCAAGCAAUUUUCUGCAUCUUUAAACACUAAAAAUUGAAAUAAUUUUGAUUAGUUUCAACAAAACCCAACUUCAGUUAUGGAUAAAAACCCUCUUGAUUUAAAAAUGGUUCUGGAAAUAAAAAAUUGAUUUAUUGCCGUUGUUGUUGUUAUGAAUACUAGAUAUCAGAAAAAUAUUUUUUAAGUUGUUGUUGUUCUUCAAUGAAUACUAGAUAUCAGCAAAAUAUUUUUUAAUGGUGCCAUGAACACUGGUGUUGGGUGUAAAGAACUCAUGAUGCUGGACAUGUUGGUAGUAAGGAUGGUAAUGGGAAGGAAACCAGAAAAAGGAGAGAGGAUAAAGAAGAAAGAAAAGAGUGGUCAAGAAAUUGUGUGUGAAAAGAUUACCAUGACCAUUGAUCAUGUCUCACGUUAUAUUUUGUUAAGUCUAAUUUUUUUUUUUAAGUUGUUAAAUAAAUUUAUCUGUAAAAUAAAGGUUAUAAAUAAUAAUAAAAAAAGAGUUAUAUCACGUUUACUUUAAAUAUUUAAGACCGGAGGUAUUUAUAAAUAUUAUAUCCAUUAGGGCAAGUUGUGUAAUUCUCAAAUUUUAGUUAUGGGUAAAAUCACAUGCAAAAUAGUACAAUUUGCAAUUCACCUACUAGGUACUGUAGCAACAGGUCCCUGGUAAGCAAUCUGGACCGCAUGUUAGUUUUGAGGCACAUCCAACGGUUUAAACACGGUCACUCAUGGUGAGAGACCUGAUUUGGUCUCCCACGCUAGAAGCCGCCUUACUUGUAGGUGGUGUUUAAUAUGGGGUAGUAGAGUUUUUUUCCCACCAUGUAAAAGUUGAUUAUGUCCAUUAGAUUAAAUGAAGAAUAUAGUAUUAUCAUGGACUCUUAACACAAGAUAUUUUCACACUCUUCUCUCUUCUCUAUCCCCACUCUCCACCGUAAACAACAUCAAACCAACCUCUUUCUCAAAUCAAAAAUAUUUUUUUUCCCUUUCCUUUCUUUUUUCCAAAAUCAUUUACUAAAAGAAAUAAAAGUUAACAAUCUUAUAUUCCGCUCACUAACAGUUAAGCUUUUUUGACUUAAGAUCCAUUUCCAUAAUUAUUCUCAUUUCUUCAAAUUUAUUUUCAAUUUUCCUUUUUAUGUUUUCUUAAUUUACUUGAUGAUCUCUGUCUUUGAAUUGGUGAUUUAAUUUGAUUUCAUUCAUUGCUUUGUGCUUAUGCUAUGAAAUGUGGAUGAUGAUGAUGGUGGGUACCUGCAAAUUAGAAGACAACAAUACACCAAUAAAUAACACAUUUACACAUAAGGAUUAAUUCAACAAUGAUACAUCUUAAAGAAUAACCCAUUUUACAACAAAAAAAAAAGAAUGAUCUUUACUGGAAAAAAAGGAGGAUUGUGAUGUUGCUCGUGGUGGGUGGCAUGGAGGAGAGACAAAGUGAGAAAAUAUAUUAUGUGGGCAGACUAUAAUAUGAUUGGUGUUCCUUUUUAUCUAAUAGUUUUAAGGGUUAAAUAUGUUUUUGAUCCCUAUAAAUAUACCAACUUUUCGUUUUAGUCCCUCUAAAAUUUUCCUUCAACUUUUAGUCUCUAUAAAAUUUUCAAUCACUACUUUAAGUCCCUAUUUUUAAGUAAAUUUUUAUAUUUUUUAAUGAAAUUGACCAGAAAUUUAUGGAAUAUUGUAAAAAACACUCACAAAAAAAAUUAGAAUUCUUUAACAAAACAUGAAUUAAAUGAGUUUUUUACCGUCAAAAAUAUAAAAAUUCAUAUUUAAUUCAUGUUUUGGUAAAAAAUUCUAAAUUUUUUUGGGAGCGAUCCUUAUAAUAUUAUAAAUGUUUCUGAAAAAUAUUUUUUAAAAAUAUGAAUUCUACAUAUGAUUUUACUUUAAAUGAUGGACCAAAAAUAAAGAUUGAAAAUUUAUAGGGACUAAAAGUUGAAGGAAAAUUUUAGAGGGACUAAAACGAAAAGUUGGUAUAUUUAUAGGGACCAAAAACAUAUUUAACCUUAGUUUUAAAGAAACUUUCCCAUGAUGGGAAAAAACUCUACUAUCCCAUGUUAAACGCCACCUUACUUGUAUUAUACUCAACAAACAAUAUUUUGUUUAAAUCAUUUCGAAAACUCUUUCAAGAUAGUGAAAAUCCUCGUGUAGGUAGCUUUUUGUUUAUAUAUUAAGUAUACGAGAAAUCUUCUAACACUUAAAGACUUGGUUAAAUAAUAUCAAACGAUCAUUCAAACUAUAAAAACUAGGGUAGUACCUUUCUUCAAAAAAAUAAUAAAAAAACUAGAGUAGUACCUCUAACAUUUGUGACAAUGUAACAAUCUAUCUCAAUGUGUUCUCAUAAAACAUCGAAAUAGACAUAGUCACUAUGCAUUGUAGUUUAAGAAUCAAAAUUGAGUCUAUGUAGCCGUAGGCACCCCCUCAAAUCAUUUAAUCAUUCUAGUUUUUUUUUUUUUUUUUUAGCAAAAAAAGGAAACAUUCUAGUUGUAUAUAUGAGCUCACAAAGUUGCUAAUGUGAUGACGUAUUGUACUCUUGGGCAUUGCAUCAUUUUUUUUUUUUUGAUUCAUUCUUUCUUUUCUAGGUGAUGAAAUUGUCUCCAAAGAAAAUAAAAUACUUAAAAUAUGAUCUGUUAGAAGGAAAAUAUAUUCCGUUAGCAUCUGAAUAUCCUAGAAUUCAAGUGUGCUCCUUUUCUUUAUUAUGGGUAGUGAUACAUAAAUCAUCUUAGGUGGCAUAUACCACUUGUACAUCCAUAUAUAAUUGUGACAUGUGUCCAUGUGAUCUCUACACACACAAGAAACUCAUCUUUUGUGUCUCUCAAACACUCUCAGAUAAAAGUGGUACAAUAUGUAUAUAGAGAAAAGGGAGUUCAUGAAACAUUAUCCAAUAUUUAUAGAUAGGACUUAUUUAGAGCUACAUCAAUAUACUUACAAAAUUAUAUAGCAUUCGAUUGUCAACAUUGCUUUAAAAUCAAUUUUAACUAUAUAUCUUAACUAUAGCAUUCUUAUAACUCUUGUUAGCAUAUAAAAAACUUGAUAAGAGUCAGAGUAGAAUAUUUUAAUAGAAAUUAGAAAACUUGAUGAAUGUAUAUGGAAAAAACUUGAUGUCAAACAAGAAGUUAAUUCAGUUUCUAGAAUCUUUAUCGUUAGAUGAUAUUUCUAUCAACAAAAACACGUUUCUUCACUUAUGCUCAAUAUUAGAGUAUAGUUAGUGAUUAAACCAUAGUUAGUUAAUAUGUAAAUUAUGGUUGGUUAGUUGGUUAGGUAUUUAAGAGUUACUAAGACUAACCCACCUCUAUUAAUAGCUCUCACCAUUGUAUUCUCUUGUUAUCUUUUAUCAAAUCUAAUUCAUUCUGUUAUGAGUCUUUGAGUAUCUCCAACAUGAAUACUCACUCUUUCUUGCGGAUCACUAUGACCUUUACCCUUGGGAUUUCAUGAUUCAUAACAUGGUAUUAGAGCGAUACCUAGGGAUGAAGAUGAAAAAUAUGAUGAUGUAGCUUCUCCGAUUAAGGAACCUUCAGCUUCUCACGAUCCCAUUGUUUUUGGCAGUUUCGAGUCUCCAAUUACUCUGAUUUCUAAUCCUUUAAUCAAACCAGAAUUUGAUGGAUUCUCCAUCAAAAUUGGGGAAAUUUCAUGUGUUCUUAUUACUUCUUCCAGUAAUAUUGUUUAUGAUGAUGAUUUUGUGUUCGCUAUGCACAAAGACGAGAAAUUGCAGUUUCUUGAACCAAACAUGAAGAUCUGCGACUAUGUUUUCAAUGUCUCUGAAGCAUCGGAAAAAUUAUUCAUUCACACACUUCCGGUGAAAUUGUGUGGCAGCGAACACCGUCGUGAGGCCGUUCGUCAUUCACCACAACAACACAUUGUAUUCACAUUCAACAAUCAUCCCCUGUUUUUCAAGUUUCAUGACGAAUCAAUAGUCGAUUUCAAUCCCGGCGGAAGAAAUGGUUCGUGUUCGUUGCUCUCCGUCUUUGAUGUUCUAUGUCUCACCUCUUUCCGUCUGUGGUGGAUGUCUUGGGACAAAGGGAGAAAAAUGGUUAUUCACGGUGGCACUUUUUUGACACAGGUUUCACCUUUUCUGAUUAACACCAUACCAAGCCUUAUGCUUUAUCGCGAUCAUCUCCUUCAGUUUUUCAACAAGGUGAUUGUGUUUUCUGCUUGAGAUUCCUUGUUUAUCAAUUUUGAUUCCGAAUCUCAAAAUAUCAAGGAAAUAAUAAUGCAUGAUUUUAGGUUCUCUUUCUUCAUUUCAGUUCCAUAUCAGAGAUCAUCCAUUGUGUUUACGGAAGCAUUUUUCAAUUCGUACAUUGAUUCGUUUCCCAUAAUUUACUGAAAAGCACGUUUUGACAAAGCUGUUUUGGGUUAGACGCGUUUUUGGUCAUGAACACGUAAUCAAUUUAAAGAGUCGUGUUUUGGCAAAUGCUAUUUUUUGGUUCAGUAUUUUUGGAUAGUUAUGCUUGUGUUGCAGAAUCGAUUUUCUAGAUAAGCCGUGUCUUGAAGAAGCGUGUUUGCAGAAAGCCUAUAUGGCUUAGAAAAGCAUGUUUGCAAUAAGUUUUUAUGUUUGAAGAAAGUGCAUUCCAGUAGCGCGUUUCAGAAUAAGCUAUUUUUGUAAAGCGCGUUUGGAAUAAGCUGUUUUGCAAAAGCAUUUAUUAAGUGGUUGAUUACAGAAGUUAGGGAUCAAGAAGGAGAAGAAAACGAAAUUGAUUCAGACUUCUCAUAAGAAUUCUCAAAAUCCUUGGUUUUCUCACUGAUGGGCUUGGCCUUCGGCUUCAUGAAGAUUGGGGUUGUGUUAUAAAAUUGUUUUACUUAGUUUACCCUGCAUUUACUUAGUUCACAAUAUAGUGAAUAAUUUGUCAUUUUCAUUGUGUUUCAAACUCAAAUUGGUGAAUUUCCCCAUUUUGAGUUUGAGGGGACUAUUAGAGUAUAAUGAUUAAACCAUAGUUAGUUAAUAAGUAAACUAUGGAUAAUUGGUUAGUUAGGUAGUUAAGAGUCAAUUAGACUAACUUGCCCUUAUAAAUAGCUCUCACUAUUGUACUAUUUUGUUAUCUUUUAUCAAAUCUAAUUCACUCUAUUAUGAGUCUCUAUGGGUAUCUCCCACAUGAAUACUCUUGGAGAAAUGGUAACUGAGCACACAAAAACAAAACACAAUACAUACACUGAGUUACUGUUGUUUUAUACCCUUCAACCCAUCUAUCUCGGCCAUCCCUCUUUAUAUCCUUGUCAUCCUCUAUCACACUCGUUACCACCCACGCCGUCCACACUCUAUCUUACAACCACCGGUGACGUCCUCACCGACGUCAUUUCACCGGUAUGAAGAGAAGAUGAAGGGAAGGCGGUGUUUUCGUCUCCGACGUCGUAUUUUCUCGAUCUGGUCCUUACCGACAUCGUCACUUACAGGUCUGCAAAUAAGAUGAAUGGAAGGAGGUCGUCACCGGUGUUGCAGCGGUGAUCUAAACGGUCAUCUGCGGUGUAAAGGAAAAUAGUUCUGAACGAACUCAUGGUGGUGAGGGUGAUGGUGAGGACGACGGUGCGGGAGGGCGGUGGUGGUGGGGAGGACGGUUGUGUGAGCAAGAUGGGAUGAGGGGAUUUACAAAAGUACCCCUGUUUUAUAGUUGAAAUGUCAAAAUUGUCUAUGAUAUUGUAUUUGUAUCAAAUAUUUUAUCUAAUUAUCAUUACUCAUACUCUUAUACACUCUUUCUUAUCGAUCACUAUGACUUUUAUCCUUAGAUUUCCAUGAUUCAUAACACUCAUUAAUUUUUUUAACGAAUACAUAUGCUCAAUAGUCAAUACGUGUACAUUUAUUGUUUAAACACUUAUUACAAUUUAUUACCUUAAGUUUUAUGACAUGUGUUUACACAGACAUUCUUAGACUUUUGUUACGUGAAUCCAGGGAUUUCUCAUAAGAAUGACAGCUGACAAAUGAUUGAAAUCAUAUAAUGUGGUCCUACUGUGUUUCAAUCAAGUUGCGCAAGACAAGUAGUUUUGAACGAAGCAAAAAUCUCUAUCUAUAAGUCCAUUGAACGUCAACUAAAAAUGGAUCUUCAAAUCCUUCAGAAAAAAAAAAAAGGAUCUUCAAUUUAAUGUCUAGCCAUGCAAUAUGGUCCUAGUGUUUUUUCCGAAACGGUCCUUUUCACAAGAAAUAGUCCCCCAGACAACUCUUGCGGAUAUACAAACAAUAAUUUGAUGUCUUUUAAACAAUAAUUGAUGAUAUUUUUACCUCAAGAAAUUGAUGAUAUUUUUACAUGUUUUUAAUUUGUUUUUGAGUGCACAUUGCUCAAAUUUUCAAGUUGUAUAAAUGUGUUUGAUAUCCUCAUUUAAUGAACUAACUUUUAUGAUAAAAUUUAAGUCUAUUUAACAUGAUAUUAUAUUAUAUGUUAAACGUGAGGACAUACAAUUGUUUGAAGUCUCAUAUAACUUAAAUUAUGAAGCUAUUAGAUGUAUAAACGUAUUUGACACUCUCACUCUUUGAACUAACUUUUUUUAAAUAAAUUUCAAAUCUAUUUAUCAAAUUAAUUAGUAUCCAUUGUUUAAUCGACACAUGUUGGGUAAGAAUUGCUCAAAUUUCAUGUCCCAUUCAAUGCCCAAAAUUUCCAAUGUACUUUUGUUUCCAUUUUUCUCCCAUCAAACGAAAACGUCAUUUUCAUGUCAUUUCACCUCCUUCCAUGCUCCAUGGAACACUCUCAAUCUCCCAUUUCUUCUGCUCAUGGAAAUUCUGGCUGAACUAACAUUUAUGGAAGCUGUUAGUUCAUGUUUUCUAACAACCGAAUGGAUCAUGUAGUUAACAGUAAAUUUUAUUGUUUGAUGUGGGAAGACUUUUUACGAUAACGAAUUGAAAGAUGUACUAGGGUUUGAUAUUCACGUCAGUCGUCAGUAUAUCAUUCACGAAAUAGUUCGGAUAAUUCAUUAAAAUAAAUUACAAGUGAAGAAGGAGGCGCUUGCGAACUUUCUGACUGACCCCUAGAUAGAAGAUCGACACUUAAGCCUGCAAAUGUUAUGGUGUACGGAUGGGUUGGAGGAAAACAUGCAUGUGUGGACUUGACUGAGGUUUCACCACUUGUGGGUUUAGGGGUCGGGGCUUUUACGGUAGGACAGGCAGGCCUAAAAGCUGCGUCAAGCAAAGUGGCCAAACAUGACAAAACGUGUUAUGACAAUCAACAUGCUUUUGUACCAUUUGCUUUUGACACUUUCGGCUUCUUAGCAUCAGAGACUGUUGACCUUCUACAUAGUGUCCAAAGGGUAUGCAUAACAAUGUUAUGUCUCAUAGGUUCAUGAAUGUUCUGUUUACGAUUUGGUUUUUCCAUCCAAAAAGAUCUAGCGGCGCAGCUUGUUGCCUGCUUGCCUCCUAUUCAUGUGUAAGUAAUAUUGAUAUACCAAUUAAAACAUUUAUAAAUCAAAUAUACAAAUUAUAUUUAUUAUAUAUAUAAAAAAAUAGUUGUAAUAAACGUAAAAUUGAUCAUCAAAAGAUAAAUUACAUGACUUUUGUUAAACUAUUGGUAUAUGAUCAUGGAUGAAGUCUAAAAUUAAUAGUUUUUCUUACGAUUACUAUUGAUUGAACAUUCAAAAAUUAAGAGUGAAAGCUACUAGUCAUUACUGAUUAUGCAACAAAUACAAAAAAGUGUAUUUGUACCAUGAUCAGAGUAACUCCUUAACAAGAAAAUUCUUGAAAUUUUAAGAACCAUUGUGAAAAGAUUUUUGGCAAUCAACAUCGUCUGAGCUAUUAAUUAUAUCCUAAGACGUGGUUCCUUUAUAAAAUGCAAAAAGUGCUAAAAAUACUAUUUUAUUAAAUAAAACAUUAUUGAAAAUACUAUAAAAUAUUGGGUUGUCAAUCAACAUAAAAUCAACCAUCUUUUUUUUUUCUUCAAGAAGCUUUAGUCCACUCAAAUUGACGGGUGAAGAUCCUCUCCAAAUUGACACUGAAAAGAAUCGAUCUUGAGAAUGAACACUCACAGAUCCCAAAUCAAUACCACUGAACCAACUCAAGUUGAUUAUCAACCAUAUUAAUAUAGACCAUGCUAACAAGUGUCUUAAAAAUACUUUGUUAAGAAGUCAAUUAAAAGAAAAUAUAUUGUUAGAAUAUAUUUAUUUAUUUUUUUGACAGAAAAAAGUAUAUUCAUUUAUUCCACUAGAAAAUAUAUUUAUUUAUUUUUGAAUAACAAAUGUUAGUUGUUGGAUGUUAGAUUAAUUAUUUAUUUAUUUAUUAUUUAAUUAUUUGGAGAUUUCACCGAUUUGAUCUCCAAUACAUUUCUUAUUUUUAUUUUUUAAUUUGAUGAAUCGUAAAACGUAAAACAUUGAUGCACAUUACUAAUUUUGAUUGUUCGUACAUGAUGUCAUGUGGGAUGGGUCAUAACAUGUACGAUAGGGCUGGACAAGAAUCCAAAACCCGACCGUAACCCGAAAAACCGAGUUGAAAAAUGGAUAAACGGUUGGGUUUGAACGGGUCGGCGGGUUAUCGGGUGAACAAUCACGGUUUUGUGUGAGUAUAAAUGGACGGUCUCGGAUAUCAAAAACCAAUCCAUUGAAAUCCGAAACCCGACCGCUAGCAAUGCCCAUUGUAUACAUAUCUGAUUUUUUCAGAGACGUGACAUGAAAACAGUGUCUUAAGACCCACACUUUGAAAAAAAGUAACAAUAUCUUCUUGGAAAGCGUAUCAAUAGUUCAUUACAGCAGCAAGUAACCAACUUACUAAUUAUUCUUAUUUUAAUUUUUUGUAUGAUCUUGUAAAAUGAAAAUACUCACUCAUUCUUGCCAAUUGUUCAUUAGUUCCUCCAUUUUAAAAUAAGUGUCUCUUUAGCCAAAAAUAUUUAUUUUAAAAUAAAUGUCACUUUACAUUUUUAAUAUCACUUUAAUUUUUUUCUUCCAAUUUUACCUUCCUCAACUUUUUUCUCACACAAUUUUCAAUGCAACUUUAAGCUUAUUAUUUUUUUAUAAAAUAAGGGCAGUUAGUAAAAGUGUUACGUCUAAUGAUUAUUUCAUUGCAUUCUUUAAUAUAUGUGUAAUUGGCUAAAACGACACUUAUUUUAAAACGGAAGGAGUAUUUUCUCUCACCGUCUCUAAAAUUAAUUUCUUUAUGUAAUUGUAAACUAAACCCUUUAAGAUUGAGACCUUGCUUCUCCCUUCUUCUCUCUCAAGACAAACCACCCACGUCCCCACCUGCCUUACUUUUCUUAUAUCUUUUAUUAUGAUUCAUGAGACUAUGAGAUUCACUUCCUCAUACUAUUGUAGUACCAAUCACACUGUUUGAAUUUAUUUUCGAUUUUGCAUCUCUUUGUUAUCUCUUCAUAUGUUGUGCAACAGCAAUCUUCUCUCUUCAUCUCUUUUUUACUCUCUGUCAAUUUUUAUUAUCUUUUCUUCUGUGAUGGAUUUUUGGUUACAAAUAAUAAUGAAGAUAAUGACUCAAUGAAGUAUCCGAAGUAACCCACCCAACAUAACCGUCACCCGUCGAAACCGAAAUCCGAAAAAAACCGAAGCUGCUAACGGACGAAAAUGGGUCUGGAAAGCUCAACCGUGGGUUUGAACGGAUUGGCAUUUUCGGUCCGUUGCCGACCGAAACCGACCGUUUGUCCACCCCUAAUGUACGAAGUGAAAAGAUGUGAUUCAAUUCAAGGGGAUAGAUGACAAAAGGAGGGUAAUGCUCAUUUCAGGAACAUUAAUUGCACGUAUACUUUAUAAAACACAACGUUAUAAAUGAAGAAUGAAUUCUGCAGAGGUCUGUUUGGUAAGGCCAACAAAUUAACUUAUAGCGGAUAAUGGAUAGUUUAUAAAUUUAUAUGUCUAAAAAAAUUCUGUUUGGGAAUAGUUUUUUACCACGAGCUUAUAAUUUAUUUUACAAGUUUAUAAGUUAUUUUUCAGACGUUAUUCGAAGUAGCGUUUGAGUCUGUAGCUUAUAACUUAUUGCUUUUUCUUUCACUUUUACCCUUACUAUUUUAAUCAAAAUCCAUAUUUACCCUUUAUAAUAUUUAAUUACGUAGAAACAAAGGUUUACAUUUAAUUAAACUUCAUAUUUUAAAGUGGCUAAUAAAUUAAUAUCGUAGUUGUGUUUUCCUUAAAAAAAAAAAAAGAGCCUAUAUGGGGCAGGGGUAAUUGUACUAAAAUAAAAUGAAAAUAACUUAAAAAAGUUUUUUUUUAUAUUAUUUUACAUUAAUUAUACUAAAAUAAAAUGAAAAUAAAUACUGAAAUAUAAAAUAAAAGAUAUUCUAAAUAAUAUAUAAAAAGAUAUAUUAAAUUAAUAAAUUUAAAUUAUUAAAUUGUAAAUACUUAAAUAUUAAUGGAUGUUAAUUUUUUUAUGAAAUAAAAAUGUCAUUUUGCGUCAUUUUACAUUUAUCAGCUAAUUAAACCACUAAUUUUACCAAACACUUCAACUAGCUUAUCAACUAUAAGUCAUCAUUCAUCGACUAUAAACUAUAAAUUAUCAACUACCAGUCAUCCGCUAUAAACUAUCAGCUAGCUUAUCAACUAUCCGCUAUUUUUACCAAGCAGAGCGUGUAUGUAAAUUACACAUGAGAGUGCACCAAAAAAUAAAAAUUACACACGAGAAAAAAAUAUGAUCUAUUCAUUAAGGGAAAUACAUGAAUAAUUUUGAUGGAGUGAAUUUUAACGGUUAGAGAUUACACUUUAAUAUGUAAAUAAUUUCCUGAAAACAACAUUUUCUCUGAUCACUGAAAUAAAUAAAAAAAUAUUUCAAUUUUUAAUCAACAUUAUAAAUAAAAUUUAACCAAUUUUGACCUAUUUAAUUAUGUCAUUUCUAAUAUAAACUUCAUUCAAUUAAAACCAUUCAGUUUGAGCAGUUGAACAAGAUUUUCCACUAAAAAUAAAAAGGACAGUUUAGUAAAAUAAUUGCGUUGAACUAAAUUUCUAAAUAAUUGUGAAGAUAGUUUUUUUUUGACAAAGAUAGUUCUUUUUUUUUGUUAUUUACAACUGUUAUUUCUUUUGUUUAUGUAAAAUUUGACAUAUGUAUUCUUUCAUUCAACUAUUUAGUCCCUUGAUCAUAGGGGUUGUUUGAUGAUCAACAUAGAGAGACAAUAUAUGAUAUAUAUAUAUAUAUAUAUAUAUAUAUAUAUAUAUGGGUUUGCUAGAACAAACUCACUAGUUUUUAUGUGGUUGUGUUUUAACAAGCUACACCUUAAGGUGUAUUUAACUACUUUUUAGUUAUAACAUGCUAAAACAUAACUUCUAAAAAAUAAGUGGGUGUAUUCUAGCAAAUGCCUAUAGGAGUUGCUAACAUACACCCACUUAUAUUUUAGAAGGUGUGUUUUAGCUACAUUCACCAUAAGGUGUAUUUAACAACUUUUUAGUUAUAUCUUUGUUAAAACACACCUUAAUAAAAACUAGUGGGUGUAUCCUAACAAAUCCCAUAUAUAUAUAUAUAUAUAUAUAUAUAUAUAUAUAUAUAUAUAUAUAUAUAUAUAUAUAUUAUAUCUUGCUAUAAUAUUUUGUUUGAUGCAACAAUAAAAUUGGAUAAAUUAUUUAUUUUCUCAAUCAUAUCUUGUUUGUCAAAAAAAAUAAUCCUAUCAUGUUAGUCCUUUGUAAUUUUUAUCUAAGUUUAGGUUUGAUUUGUCAAAACAAAAUCAGAUCUAUUUUUUGGAAAUAUUAGAAACACCGUAAAAACUCCCCAUAUCUAUCUUUGCGGAAAUAUAAAUUUUCAUUGAUAUAUAUUUUUUGUUUUCUACAACUAACAGCCGUUAGGCUUAAAGUAAAUACUCUCUCCGUCUCAAAAUAUAAAUAAAUUUUACUUUUUAGGUUUAUUCAAUUAAUGAUGUAUGUAUGGACCACGUACAUCAUUAAUUGAAUGAAUGGACCACAUACAUCAUUAAUUGAAUGAACCUAAAAAGUAAAAUUUGCUUAUAUUUUGAAACGGAGGGAGUAUAAGUUAUACGUUUUAUUUUUUUGUUGUUGUGGAAAUGUAAGUUUUCGUUGGUUUCAGAAAAUCACAAGUAUGGGUUCAGAGUAUAGUGGUUUGUUUCAUAUAAAUUGAAAAUCGUUUUUAAUUUAGUGAGAUGUAGAUUGGUGUGCGACUAGGAGAAAAAUCUAGACUUAUCAUUUUUGAUGCGGAAAGCGAAUCGUCCUAGCUUUAUUUAUUUUUAUCAUUUUUGGUGGUUGAAUCCUUUAUCUUGUUUGGGAAUUUACCUGUAUUAGGGGUCUUGGCACUUUGCCCCAUUUUUUGUUUUAUUACCUUCUUAUUCCGAUGUAAAUUAAUACUCUUUCAACUGAUUUUUUUUUUUGCACUUCUUAUACUGAUUUUUUUACAGGUUUUCAGUAAUAUAUUUCAUGGUUAGUUUGCUUUGUUAUAACUUGAAAACAACAAACAUUUAUAUUUUUAGUUUUAAUCAAAAUCAAAAUUUAAAAAAAAAAUACCGUUCAUAAUUUUCAAAAGUUAACGCAAAAAAAAAAAGAGCGGAAAGUGAUCAUUAGUAAUCCAUAAACAAUGAAAUUAAAAUACAUAAAUGUUUAUCAUCUGUGCAUCAAACACACAUGAUAAAUGUUUAUCCUUUCAUGUUCUCAUCCAACUCAAUUACCAUACCUUCAAAUGAGUUCCUAAAGUGAUCAUGAGUAGUCCAUAAACAUUAAAAUUAAAUACAUAAAUUUAGUCCCUACACUAUCAUGAAAGUCAACAAAUUAGCUCUUAAAUGUUAAAAUUUUGUUGUUGUUGCCAUCUUUGAAAUCAAAUUAUUCUCCAAGCAAUGAUUCAUCACGAUUCAUCAAAUUAAAAUAUAAACAUGUGAGAUAUAUAACUCAUUUUAAGAUAUGCAUGGAAUAAUUGUAGGAUCCAUUUUGAGAUGUUAUGAAAUUCAUCAUUAAAGUAAAAAUUAAAAGAGAUGCUUUAAACUAAAUGACUUUAUUAAAAGAAUUAUGCUAGCAACAUAAUCUCUAGCACACUGUUUUUAACACAUUAAAAUUUAAAUAGAUCCCACUAAAUAUAAGUAUGAAACUUUAAAGUAUAUAAUUUAGUUGGAUCCAUUUAAAUUCUCUUAAACAAUCUUAACUUUUAUACGCCAUUAGAACUAAUUAAAGACCCCAAAGAAAUUGAAAUCAUAAAGAUUGGAAUCCCAAUCGGAAUCACUGACCGUGGGACCAUUAUUAAAAAAAUCCUCCACAUUUGAAAACUCCAAAGUGAAAUUCUCCUUUGGUAAUAAAGAGGAAGAAUCAAUUUUCUCAUUGCUUCUUUCUUCAUCCAUGUUCAACAAACUCUCCCACCAUGUUGUAGAUGAUGGGUCAUUGCCAACACAUGUUUGUGCAUCACCAACAUUUGGGAGUGUAGUCUUGUCACACUCUCUUGGAAUAUUAACAUCUUCUCUUGAAGCCAUUAGUGUUGUUGGAAGACUAUGAUUCUUCUUCAACCAUGGUGAAUGACUUGAAGAAGAAUCAAUGAGAUUUGGGAGUGUAGUCUUGUCACACUCUCUUGGAACAUUGCCAUCUUCACUUGAAAUCACUAGUUUUGUUGCACUACCAUUACUCACGAAAUUAUGUUUCUUCUUCAACCAUAGUGAAUGAGUUGAAAAAGUUCGAGGUCGAGGCUUGAUAACUUCAUGAGAUUUGAUCAUGCUUUCUUUAGAUUUCUCUUUUUCUUCCUUUUCUUCUUUUCUUGGAAUCACUUUUUUGCGCAAAUUUGUGUGCCAAUAAUUCUUCACAUCAUUAGCUGUCCUACCCGGAAGCCUUGCAGCAAUCAAAGACCAUCUAUACAUACAUACAUACAUAUAUUAUACUCUUACUUAGGUCACCAAAAGUUUAACUUGAUAGGUAACCAAAACAAAAUUAACUUGAUAGCUUACUUGUUCCCUAGAAGUUUGUGUAACCUUAGAAUCAUAUCAAUUUCAUCCUCGGCGAAACUUUCUCUGUUGAUUGCGGGGUUUAAAUAAUUCAACCACCUCAAUCUACAACUUUUCCGACACCUAUUCAAACCUGUAUAUAUGUAACAAAUUUUGACAAACUAUACAUAAUAUGAUUAAGCAUGGUUUCUCAUGAGUUACUUCUAGCUAAAUACAAAUACCUGUUCGUUUAGGAACUAAAUGCCAUUUUCCUUCACCAUACUUGUGGAUGCAAGCCUUGAGUAGAUUAUCUUCCUCAUAUGUCCAUGCACCUUUUCUCAAACCUCUAGCCUUCUCCAUAUGCACUUUCCUUAUUUGUCCACAGAAAAAUAUAGGCAUAAUCUCUCUAUAACCCGCAUGAUAUAUAUGUGUGCGCUUUAGAAGAAAGUGUGGGUGAGAGAGACACACACAAAUAUACCGUCUUAUUAUUUACCAGAAAAGGAAAGAGACAAAAAGAGGGUAACCCACAAUUGAUCCUAUUAUAUUCACGUUCGAAUAGUCUUGUUUCCCAUACUCAAAUUCUUUUAAAAAAAUAGGCUAAAUUGCAUUUAUGGUCCCUUAACUAUUUAGGUAGUAUCGUUUUGGUCCUUUAACUAAAAUUCGGUUUAUUUUGGUCCCUUAACUUCUCUCUGUUACACAUUUUGGUCCUUUCCGUUAGUUUUAAUUCAAAAACGUUAGUUCUAAAUCACUUUUUUGGCCAAAUAUUUUGAGGUCUAAAGUCCUAAAUUGGCUUUUGGGCUGACCUAGGGUGUACUCAUUUAUCCUAUGUAGGCACCUUAUAAAUUUGACAUAUGAGGAAGGAGUUUGAAUUAUAUUCGCUUGAAAUUUUCGGCUGCUACUUAAACCUUGAGAAGAUGUUCAGAUAUGAUGAUCUGAAGUUUGUAUCAAAAUAAAUUUGAUACAAGAAGAGAUUGGUUUAAUGUGUUUGCUUCUGAACUAUCAAAUAUAAAGUUAAGGGAUAAAGAAGAUGACACAAAUAUAUUAUAUAGGUUCACCCUAACUAGGCUAGUAUGGUCUCCACUAACUGUGAGAUUUUCCAAUAUGGUGUCUGAGAUACCCUCUCAGAUUCUGCACACUUUCUCUUAUUUUCUAGUCUAACCAACCUUACAAAUUUUGGGCAGCCUCUUCAGACUUUAGCUGCUACACAAUCCACCUUUAUACCCUAAAGAGGAUUAGUGAAGCUUUACAAUUGAUGACUCAAUUGUUCUUGUGAUCUUGAUCUUACAAUAGAUCAAGAGUUGUGUUAUAUGUACAACCAAAAUUGAACAACUAAUGCAACACCCUUUGAUAAUGUGAGAAGCACGCAAAUCAAAAUCAUUAAAAAUAUAUUAAAAAAUUGCAAAAGAGUUGUUGGUUGUACCAAAAUGAUGUUCAUAUAUCAUUACUCAUAGAUCAAUUUGAUCUUAUAAUAAACUUUCUCUUUCUCUUUCAUUUCCCCCAUCUCUCUCUCUCUCUCUCUCUCUCUCUCUCUCUCUCUCUAUAUAUAUAUAUAUAUAUAUAUAUAUAUAUAUAUAUAUAGACACACACCUAUCUAUGUUCAAUCGAUCACACUAAGAUGAAUAUGAACUUUUGUUCUCUAAGUUCAACCUGAUCAGACCCAGGUGAAUCUGAACUUUUUAAAUACACUAAAAGGACAUUUCAAAGAUAUAAUGGAGACUUUGGUGUAUAUGUGAUUUGUAUCUAAUGUUUGAGAAGUGAAUCUCAAGUUUGAAGACGAAUUUAAUAUUUUUCAAGCAAUUUAUACUUGUAUGUUUUUUAUCUUUUUGAGAUCUUGUGAUUAUCUGACAGAAAAGGUUUUUGAUGAGAUACUGCUUUGUUGAUAGUUGUGUUCUUGUUUGAAUAAUACUGCCAUAUAUAGAGCUUCAAUCUUGGUGAGCAAGCUAGGAACUUGCAGUUAGAAACUAACCGUUAUUUUGUCGUUUUUUGCUCUGCCUUGUUGACCAAGAAAAACAUGAAACUAGUUGUUGUGCACCACUUCUUAGCUUUUGAUCUUCUUGUGUACCUUUGAUUCUAUUUAUGUCAUCAUUGUUUUUUGGUUUCUUGUGAAAUUCUCAUUCUUAAAUCCUUUUUGAUCAGCUUCUAAUAUUUGGGUUUUGAAUCUCAUGUAUCCCUUGACUUGCAAUUAUGAUCUACUUAAUUUGCAAUCUCGAGUAUAGUUGAUCUUCAUUCCUUUCUUCAAAAGUUUUGAUCCUAACUUUUGAGAUGAGAAAUCUGUCUGAGGAGAAUUAAUUAUGAAUUUUCUUGUUUAAUUAGUUGUUCUAAAGUGCAUCUGAUACACCUUAAAGUUCAACAUUGCUUGAUAAUCAUGGUUAAUGGUAGUUUGUAAACAACUGAUGAGUCAUUUAAUAUCUAUUUUUAUAUGUUAUUUAGUUUAGUUUUAAAUUUAUUUUAUUUUAUAUUAGUAUUAUUUCUUUUUUGAGAUAGUUUACUACAAAUUGCAUUUUAUUAUAUUUCAGGAACGAAUAUUGGAUGGAUUGAGUCUUGGAGCAAAAGAAAGGGACUUGGAGCUGAUUUAGUACGAAAAUACGAAGAUUCAGAGACAAAAAUAUGUCUCCCCAAAGUCAGAAGCUUGGCACGGCCCGUGCUAGCAUUGGCACGGCAGUGCCACCCUCCAGAGUCACUUUUGCUGUUUUUGCUUAGAUUUUAAGCUACUCUAUUUUAGCCCGUAGUUUCUUGUGGAACAUUCCAGUAAUGUAAUUGCUUAGAUUUUAAGUCGAAUGUAUGCUAUAAAUAGAGUAGCUAUCCAUCACAAAUAUUCAUCUUUUCUUGGAAUUCAAUAAGUGACAAUUGUCUUUCUAAUAAAAAUUCUUUUCUUUUCUUUUACUUUCUUGUCAUUUACUUUUAUGCUUUCUCUCUUCUUCCCCAUGUCUACGAUGAACAUGAGUGAGUAGACUUCUCUUUGUCUUGGGAUUGUUGGAUAAGUCUAAAUGACAUAAUCCUAAUCAAGCCAAGCUCUAAGCGUUAAUCUUAUGUAACCCUAAUUUCUUAUCUAAAUUCACCGCUUUAACAUGGAUCAACCAUUAUCAAACUGUGGAAACGAAAGUGGAGGGUUUGAUAAUUGUUUAUCCAUUAUCUCAAAUAUCAAUUCAUAAAACGAAAGUGGAGCUUUGAUAUUCGAACAAGUGAAUUUAGACAAGGAUUGCAAAGGCAGCGAAAUAGUCUUUGCAAUCUUUGAGACACAUAGUUUCGAUCUUCAAGGGAACUAAUAAUGAUCAAGUCAGCGAAAUAGGCUUGGUUGUUAGAGGAACCAAAAUCUAAUAGUAAUCAAGUCAGCGAAAUAGGCUUGGUUGCUAGAGGAACAAAAGAGAAAUUGUCUUGAGAAAUUAGGUCUAACAUAAAGUUAUAAGCUUAUAGUUUGGUUUGUGAAGGACUUGUUAUUUAGAUGAACCAAUGAUCCCAAGGCUCCUUUUAUUAUAUUAUCUUUCAAUCGCUUGAAAACCCCAACUUACAACUCGUUUCUCUUCUAAUCAUCAUCAAAGGUUAAUUGAAUUAAACUACUCCCUGUCGGAACGAUACUCUUUUCAUACUACUUCAGUAAGACCGUGUACUUGCGAUUUUAUCUCAUCAACAACACUCACACUCCUAAAUCGAACGAGACACAUUUUUAUGAAGAAAGAAACCAGGAAGGGGUUGCACUCAUUACACACAAUACCUCAAAAGGUAAUGUGAACUGCGAAGUAUAGUUGAGUUGGAAUGGAAUAUUAACAUUAUGUGCGAAACAAACCUACGAGUUCCCUUAGCCUCAACAAAUAUUAUUUUUACUCUAUGAUAGAUGAUGUAAGUUUAGUUGGUGGACGCUAUAUAUUUUUUUUAAUAACAAAUGUUAUGUUAUUUAUUAUGUUCAUUUCUCUUUCCUUUUAGUAAAAAACGUCAAGCUUUUUAUUUUUUAUUUUUUAUUAUUUAUUUUUAUUUUAUAAAAUGUCAAACUUUGGCCGAGUGUCGGUGUCUAGAAAUGGGAACCUUAUUUUUAGCGGUUAUAACCGUUAUUUCCUUCUGGGGCUAUAUUUUAACAAUGCACUUUUUUAGAUUUGGUGUUCAGACUUUAGCUUGUACAUUUUUCAGAGUACUGUUUGUACUCAACAGAAGAAACGAUUACUGUCUGUUACAUUAAAAAUAUGUAGAAAUAAUAUUUCUUUCAAGACAUUUUUCUUUUGCUAAUGUAAUGAUGUGUCACAAAUCAUUUUCGUUUUUAAAAUUUUUGUGGGACGUGUUCUUCCUUGAACCACACCCCCCUUUAGAUUUUCACUUGACUUGGAAAUUUGGCCCAUGAUUACGAAUGUUGUGAUUGUGUCUCUUUUGUUUGUUUCACGAAAUAAUAGAAGUGCUCAAGCUCAGAGGAGAAGAAAACGAAUACUACUUUUUCCUUAUUUUGUCUCAUUAAUUUGGCUACAAUCAGAAACAAACACAAAUGCUAUGUUUCAAUGCAGAAAUGGCCUCAGGCGCACGUCUACUUGAAAAAUUAGGGAUAUUUUCUGUUAUAAGGACUUAUUGUCUUUUUUAAUUAUUGUCAAAUAUGAAAAUGUUUAUUUUUAAUUGACACCGGAAAGAGAACCGAACCUGCGGCGUUGUUGUUAGUAGUAGCAUUUCCGUUAAAUUAAUUCUCACUAUCUUUUUUUUUUUUUUUUUGAGAUAAAGGGACACAUCCGAUAUAUAUAAGAAUCAUACACAUAACUGUAAGGUCCAAAAUCAAACUUGAAUGAACGUGUUCAACCUAAUAAUAUCUCAAUGUAAUUUAAAGAAUUGACUGCAUUUAGCGCUCCAAUGUAUCCCAUGAACUAAAUCAUUUGGACUAGCUAUGAAAUCAAGGGGUCGUUUGUUUGGGAAUUUUUUUGAGAAAAAAAUCUACAUUUCAAACCAAAAAAUCACUUUUAUCAUUUUAAUAAUAUUUGUUUUAGAUUAAAAAGGUUGUUUAGAAAAUCUUUCUUAACCUUGAAGUAUAACUAAUUAACUACACCUGCCCUUUAGAUUUUCGUUGAUGUGGUUGAUUAUGUAUCCUUUGUUUGUUUGCAAAAUAAUACUAGAGGUUCUCAAGUUCAGGUGAGGAAAAAAACGAUUGCAUUGGUUUUUCCUUAUCUUGUCCCACUCACUUAGCUGCAUUGAGAAAAACAAAGAAAAUUAAAAGGAAAAAUUGGAGAAAAAAAGGACAAAUCAUUAAAACGUCAAUUUAUCAUUUGACUUUUCCUGCAAAUUGAUCAAUUCUUUUUUUAAUGGUCGUGUUGUGUCUAUCAAACACUUAUUUCUUCACGUGCUCAAAUUUUGUUUCCAUAACCAAUUUUGUGUCCAUAACCAAUUAUUCAGCCCCGUCCAUAACCAAUUUUGUGUCUAUCAAACACUUAUUUAUUUAUUUUAUUUUUUUUGCGUUAAUCCAACCACCGGUUCUUAAGGGAAAGGGCUCCAAUAAUUCGGAGUUCGACCGUGAGGUAAGAGUAAUCUGACCAAUAAUUGUUUAACCUAAAACCAAACUCAGGUUUUCACAAACGAUUCGUCUUUGAUGAAGCUCAUUUACCACUUGAGCUCAAUUGCUUGGUUUAUGAUUUCUUGUUUUACAAGUAAUAGUGAGAAUGAAUGAAAUUGAAAGGAAGAAGAAGGGAAUUUGGAAUAAGGAGGUUAGAGAAGAAUGAGAGAGUUUUUUUUUUUGCAAGUUUGUUAUUUGUUGGUUGAUAAAAAUAUAACAAUACAACUAUAUAUAUACACCUAACUUAUAAUUAGGUAACUAACUCACAAAGUUAAAAACUAACUAAUGUGACAAACUUAUCACUUCUACCUCCACACCAAUAUGAUUAUGGAUUAGUCAUUUAAUACAACCCCUUUAAUCCAUAAUCUUACAAGCUUAUGAGACCUAACUUGUCCCUUAAGUAUAAUUGUUUAUCCUAUCCCUUCUAUCUCCACACCAAUCUAAGUCAGAAUAGCCUACUAGAUCAGCUUUUGUCUCUUUGUUCUCAGUGGGAAAUAACAAUCCUAACUUCAUAGUCCCUUUUAUGUAUUUGAGGAUCCUCUUAGCUGCAAUAAGAUGAGAUUUUCACGGAUCACUGGUGAAGCACGGGUUUGAAUAACGUAUUUUUUAAAAAUUUAGUUUCGAAUGAAAAAUCUUAUAAAUUAUAGAAAAUUAUCGUUCUUUAUAAAUGUAAAAGUCAAAGCUGCGUAAACCAAAAUUUUGCAACAGAGAGUCUAAAGCACUACAUAAAAAAUAACAUAACAACUAUUGUAAUCUCUUAUUCCUUAAAGUUAACCCGAACGCAAAAUUUUGCCCUAGAUUUAACCUAACUUCUUUGCUUAAUUUUACUGUAUUAACCCUAUUUAAUUUAAUCAAAAUGUUAACGUUAAUUGUUAGGGAAAUCAAAAUAAACAAAUCGCUCCUAAUUUUUCUCCUUAAUUUUACUAAACAAAUUAUAUUAACCCUAGAUUUAAUUUAUGCAAAAUGUCAUCUCUUAUUUUUAAAUGUUAACUCGUGACGCAAUAUUAACCCUAGAUUUAACCUAAUUUUUUCGUGUGACUUUACUAUAUUAACCCUAGAUUUAAUUUAUGCAAAAUGUCAUCUCUUAUUUCUAAAUGUUAAUCCUUGACGCAAUAUUAACCCUAGAUUUAACCUAUUUUUUCGCGUGACUUUACUAUAUUAACCCUAGAUUUAAUUUAUGCAAAAUAUCAUCUCUAAUUUUAACCUAAUUUUUCCCUCCACACUUUUGCAUUUAAUGUUUAUCUAAAGUAAAAUAAAAUGAUGUUCCCAAUUAUAUGCUGUUUUUUUGGAAAGGAAUAACCGUUAACCCGUUUCGCUAUACUUAACCUAAUCCCUUACUUAUAAAUGUUAACCCGUCUUUCUAUACUUAACCUAUUUUAUUUCUUAAAGUUAACCCGAACGUAAAAUUUUUCCAUAGAUUAAACCUAACUUCUUUGCUUAAUUUUACUGUAUUAACCCUAUUUAAAUAACCAUGUUUAAUUUAAUCAAAAUGUAAACGUUAAUUGUUAGGGAAAUCAAAAUAAACAAAUCGCUCCUAAUUUUUCUCUUUAAUUUUACUAAACAAAUUAUAUUAACCUUAUAUUUAAUUUAUGCAAAAUGGCAUCUCUUAUUUCUAAAUAUUAACCCGUGACGCAAUAUUAACCCUAGAUUUAACCUAAUUUUUUCGUGACUUUACUAUAUUAACCCUAGAUUUAAUUUAUGCAAAAUGACAUCUCUUAUUUCUAAAUGUUAACCUGUGACGCAAUAUUAACCCUAGAUUUAACCUAUUUUUUCGCGUGACUUUACUAUAUUAACUCUAGAUUUAAUUUAUGCAAAAUGUCAGCUCUAAUUUUAACCUAAUUUUUCCUCCACACUUUUACAUUUAAUGUUUAUCUAAGGUAAAAUAAUAACCUUAGAUAAUCACGGCAUAAAAAAAAUUCUUCGAAAGAAAAGAUGUUAAAACGACGGAACAUUGUGAUUCAUCAUAAAAUAUGUAUGAGCUGAUUUAGAGAUCAUAUAAUCAGUUUAUGAGAUUAGGAAUUGAGAUAAUAUUUAGGAUGAAAACAAUUGGAACAAAAAAGGAACCAAUGAUGUGUGAAUUAUGAUUACAUAUUAUCCAAAAUUAUAAAAAAGAGUGUUGUUGUUGCAGAGUUACCAAAAAAUGAUUGAUACCCAUAUUUACAUUAGAUGAAAUCAAACAAAGAAGUAGCAUAUGUGAUUGAAGAUAAUCUUGUCUAGGAUUAGAGUUAAGGUGAUCUGUUGAAAUUGCGAAUCAUGAACACCAAAUCUUUAUUUGGGAACGACUUGAACGUGCAUAUUUUUAGGUGGCUUCUCUAGAUAAAAAAUUAGCUUAUCACCUACCUCUAACAUAUGUUCUCGGCAAAAGUUGAAUCAUUGACCGCCUAAGUAUUUUUUGUAACUUGCUCUCUUUGCCGUUAUCAAGCGACACUUAUACCUUUUUUGAGUUUGUUUGUCGAUGAGUGUGAUUUUUUUUCCCUGUUCCUUUUAGAAAUGUCCUUGAUAUCUCAUUUGGGAAGUGCUAGGUACAAAACAAAUUGCAGUGUUAAUUAGAUGUUAUAUAUAUAUAAGUACAUUUCUAAAAAUUUUACCAAAGCAUUAUAAAGAUUUGUUGUGGGAAAAGAACAUGUUCUAUUUUGUUCAAGAGAUUUGGAAAACAACAUUAUAAUUAACUUGAAACUAAUUGGAAUUAAUGAAGGAACCAACAAUGUGCAGAUUAACGUUACAUAAUAGUUAGGUUUAUAAAAAAGACUGCAAGUGUCAUAGACUAACCAAAAAGGGAUUUUUGCCAAUAUUUACAUCAGACAAAAUGAAAAGAACAAAUGGCAUCCCAAAGUCAAGAUAGUUUACGAUUACAGUCCAAAGCGAUGCAUCAAAAUAGUAGAAGUUAAAAUAAAACAAAAAACACAGCUCUUCGUCUUUCCUCUGCACACGCUUCUCAUAUAUCAUCCAACUUCUCGAUGCUUACUGCUUUUGUUAAAAGAUUUCAAUAGCCACCUAAAUCACAUACCCCAAUUGAAUGUUUUUUUCUAUUUUCCAUUUUCGUGACCCGUUUCUUAUCAAUUGAUUAAAUUUUUUAAAAAAGGUUAAUUUAAGUUGGAUUUGAGCAAUAGUAGAACUAAACUAUAAUUUCACUCUUAACCAAAUCAGCUUGUGAUUAUUUGUUAGUUUUCUACGAAAUUACUCUAACUAAUUGGAAUUUCUCUCCCAAAGCUAUCAUAAUCUUUCUUUUCUUUGACAAAAUCUUAUUAUGUUUUCUUUCUACAAUUUUGAAGAAAAGACAUCUACACCUUUUUUGAAGAAAAGACAUCUACAAUUUUACUUUUAUUAAAAUCAAAAUUUUAUAAAAAUAAUCAUAUGCAUUAUGCAACACCAAAAAAAAAUUAUACGCAGUAGCGUAACAAAAAACCAGACACACAUAAAGUAUUACUCUAAACACUAAUGUGUGUGUGUGUGUAUUUGUGAGGUUCAAGAAAGAAAAUAAAAAUAUUUGGUAUCAUUAAAUGACAGCGUGAAUAAAAAUAUUUGUGAGGUUGUGAUGAUUAAACGAUAUUGAAAUUAAAUAUAUAAAUGAUAAAAAGAUAAUAAAAUUCCUUUGAAAAAAAUGUAAUAAAAUUAAAUGGGACCUCCUUAAAAAAAAUUAAAUGCAACGGUUAAAAAAAAUUAAAUGGAAGAAAAAAACAUAUUGAAAUAUAAUAUUAAAAAAAUAAAAGAAAAGGUUCCCAACUUGAAUUGAAGAGAGAUACUUGUGAAAUAAAUUGUCGAGAAGUAGUUUUUUGAAGUAGCAUUCAACAAUUUUGGCCAAAGCUCAUUCCAUUCAAAUUUAUGCAUUAAAAAAAGUAUAUUUUUUUAGUAAGUAUUUAAUUGAUAUUGUAUUUGGUCUAACUUCUUCUUAAAAAUGUAAAGAAGUUGAAAAAAAAUAUCGGAUCAAACGAUAUCUUAUUCGCCCACAACGGCAGUGUAGAAGUUUUUAAAAAUAGUUAAAAAUAAAAAAUUGUAAAAUAGUUAAAAGUUUUUAAAAAUAUAAAAAUUUAAAAUUGGUUAAAAAAUAUGGUGAGGUAGCACCAACCAAGCAACACUAAAAAAAUUAUAUGCAUAAGCGUAAAAAAAAAAAACAGACAGACGGAUAUAAAAUAUUAAUCUAAACGUUAAUGUGUGUGUGUAUAUUCGCGAGGUUGAAGAAAGGAAAUAAAAAUAUUUGAAAUCAUUAAAUGACAGCAUGAAUAAAAAUAUUUGUGAGGUUGAGAUGAUUAAACAAUAUUGAAAUUAAAUAUUUAAGUGAUAAAAAGAUAAUAAAUCUUCUUUGAAAAAAAUAUAAAAUUAAAUGGAACCUCCUUAAAAAAUUAAAUGGAACGGUUGAAAAAAAUAAAGUUAAAUGGAAGAAAAAAAACAUAUUGAAAUAUAAUAUUAAAAAAUAAAGAAAAGAUUUCCAGCGUGAGUUGAAAAGAGGUGUUUGUGAAAUAAAUUGUCGAGAAGUAGUUUUUUAAAGUAACAUUCAACAGCUUCUAAUCAAAGCUCAUUCCAUUCAAUUUUAUGCGUUCAAAAAAUGUUCUUUUUUUAGUAAGUACUUAAUUGAUAUUGUGUUUGGCCUAAUUUCUCCUUAAAAAUGUAGAGAAGUUUGAAAAAAGUCGGGUCAAACGAUACCUUAAUCUCCCACAACGGCAAUGUAGAAGCAACUGAAUUUGGGAAAAAAAAUUAAAAAAUAGUUAAAAAUAUAAAAAUUGGAAAAUAAUUAAAAGUUAUUAAAAAUAUAAAAAUUAAAAAAUAAUUAAAAAAAAUUGGUUAGGAUAUUUGUGAGGUUGGGAUGAUUAAACGAUAUUGAAAUUAAAUAUAUAAGUGAUAAAAAGAUAAUACAAUUUCUUUGAAAAAAAGAUUAAAUUAAAUGGAACCUCUUAUAAAAUUAAAUUGAAUGGUUGAAAAAAAUAAAGUUAAAUGGAAGAAAAAAUAUAUUGAAAUAUAAUAUUAAAAAAUAAAGAAAAGGUUCCCAGCGUGAGUUGAAAAGAGGUGUUUGUGAAAUAAAUUGUCGAGAAGUAGUUUUUUAAAGUAACAUUCAACGGCUUCUGGUCAAAGCUCAUUCCAUUCAAUUUUAUGCGUUCAAAAAAUGUUCUUUUUUUAGUAAGUACUUAAUUGAUAUUGUGUUUGACCUAACUUUUCCUCAAAAAUGUUGAGAAGUUUGAAAAAAGUCGGGUCAAACGAUACCUUAAUUUCCCAUAACGGCAAUGUAAAAGCAACUGAAUUUGGGAGAAAAAAAAUUUAAAAAUAGUUAAAAAUAUAAAAAUUGGAAAAUAAUUUUUUUUAUAUUUUUUUUUUGAAAACACGGUAUCCGAUCCAAGAAUCGACUAAUCCGAGGGGACCAAUCCCACCGCCCACUUGUGGGGGUCCCGUUUAAAGCCAGAGCUCUCUGUAUGGACUUAGCCCACCGAAAUUGGCACCAGAGGGAAUCGAACUUGAGACCUCUGGAGGAGCAAACUCCAAGAUCCCAAGCCAACCACUAGGCCAACCCAAAUGGGUUAAAUUGAAAAAUAAUUAAAAGUUAUUAAAAAUAGAAAAAUUAGAAAAUAAUUAAAAAAAUUGGUUAGGAGCAAAAAUGGAAAUUCAUAGGCCAACAUUAAAAAAAAAAACUCAACCAAUUACUAAUUUACCAAAUUGCCCUUUAUAGGGGUAAAAUGGUAAAUUCAAGGGACAUUAAUUUUAAUAUAAGUAUAUAGAAUUCNNNNNNNNNNNNNNNNNNNNNNNNNNNNNNNNNNNNNNNNNNNNNNNNNNNNNNNNNNNNNNNNNNNNNNNNNNNNNNNNNNNNNNNNNNNNNNNNNNNNNNNNNNNNNNNNNNNNNNNNNNNNNNNNNNNNNNNNNNNNNNNNNNNNNNNNNNNNNNNNNNNNNNNNNNNNNNNNNNNNNNNNNNNNNNNNNNNNNNNNNNNNNNNNNNNNNNNNNNNNNNNNNNNNNNNNNNNNNNNNNNNNNNNNNNNNNNNNNNNNNNNNNNNNNNNNNNNNNNNNNNNNNNNNNNNNNNNNNNNNNNNNNNNNNNNNNNNNNNNNNNNNNNNNNNNNNNNNNNNNNNNNNNNNNNNNNNNNNNNNNNNNNNNNNNNNNNNNNNNNNNNNNNNNNNNNNNNNNNNNNNNNNNNNNNNNNNNNNNNNNNNNNNNNNNNNNNNNNNNNNNNNNNNNNNNNNNNNNNNNNNNNNNNNNNNNNNNNNNNNNNNNNNNNNNNNNNNNNNNNNNNNNNNNNNNNNNNNNNNNNNNNNNNNNNNNNNNNNNNNNNNNNNNNNNNNNNNNNNNNNNNNNNNNNNNNNNNNNNNNNNNNNNNNNNNNNNNNNNNNNNNNNNNNNNNNNNNNNNNNNNNNNNNNNNNNNNNNNNNNNNNNNNNNNNNNNNNNNNNNNNNNNNNNNNNNNNNNNNNNNNNNNNNNNNNNNNNNNNNNNNNNNNNNNNNNNNNNNNNNNNNNNNNNNNNNNNNNNNNNNNNNNNNNNNNNNNNNNNNNNNNNNNNNNNNNNNNNNNNNNNNNNNNNNNNNNNNNNNNNNNNNNNNNNNNNNNNNNNNNNNNNNNNNNNNNNNNNNNNNNNNNNNNNNNNNNNNNNNNNNNNNNNNNNNNNNNNNNNNNNNNNNNNNNNNNNNNNNNNNNNNNNNNNNNNNNNNNNNNNNNNNNNNNNNNNNNNNNNNNNNNNNNNNNNNNNNNNNNNNNNNNNNNNNNNNNNNNNNNNNNNNNNNNNNNNNNNNNNNNNNNNNNNNNNNNNNNNNNNNNNNNNNNNNNNNNNNNNNNNNNNNNNNNNNNNNNNNNNNNNNNNNNNNNNNNNNNNNNNNNNNNNNNNNNNNNNNNNNNNNNNNNNNNNNNNNNNNNNNNNNNNNNNNNNNNNNNNNNNNNNNNNNNNNNNNNNNNNNNNNNNNNNNNNNNNNNNNNNNNNNNNNNNNNNNNNNNNNNNNNNNNNNNNNNNNNNNNNNNNNNNNNNNNNNNNNNNNNNNNNNNNNNNNNNNNNNNNNNNNNNNNNNNNNNNNNNNNNNNNNNNNNNNNNNNNNNNNNNNNNNNNNNNNNNNNNNNNNNNNNNNNNNNNNNNNNNNNNNNNNNNNNNNNNNNNNNNNNNNNNNNNNNNNNNNNNNNNNNNNNNNNNNNNNNNNNNNNNNNNNNNNNNNNNNNNNNNNNNNNNNNNNNNNNNNNNNNNNNNNNNNNNNNNNNNNNNNNNNNNNNNNNNNNNNNNNNNNNNNNNNNNNNNNNNNNNNNNNNNNNNNNNNNNNNNNNNNNNNNNNNNNNNNNNNNNNNNNNNNNNNNNNNNNNNNNNNNNNNNNNNNNNNNNNNNNNNNNNNNNNNNNNNNNNNNNNNNNNNNNNNNNNNNNNNNNNNNNNNNNNNNNNNNNNNNNNNNNNNNNNNNNNNNNNNNNNNNNNNNNNNNNNNNNNNNNNNNNNNNNNNNNNNNNNNNNNNNNNNNNNNNNNNNNNNNNNNNNNNNNNNNNNNNNNNNNNNNNNNNNNNNNNNNNNNNNNNNNNNNNNNNNNNNNNNNNNNNNNNNNNNNNNNNNNNNNNNNNNNNNNNNNNNNNNNNNNNNNNNNNNNNNNNNNNNNNNNNNNNNNNNNNNNNNNNNNNNNNNNNNNNNNNNNNNNNNNNNNNNNNNNNNNNNNNNNNNNNNNNNNNNNNNNNNNNNNNNNNNNNNNNNNNNNNNNNNNNNNNNNNNNNNNNNNNNNNNNNNNNNNNNNNNNNNNNNNNNNNNNNNNNNNNNNNNNNNNNNNNNNNNNNNNNNNNNNNNNNNNNNNNNNNNNNNNNNNNNNNNNNNNNNNNNNNNNNNNNNNNNNNNNNNNNNNNNNNNNNNNNNNNNNNNNNNNNNNNNNNNNNNNNNNNNNNNNNNNNNNNNNNNNNNNNNNNNNNNNNNNNNNNNNNNNNNNNNNNNNNNNNNNNNNNNNNNNNNNNNNNNNNNNNNNNNNNNNNNNNNNNNNNNNNNNNNNNNNNNNNNNNNNNNNNNNNNNNNNNNNNNNNNNNNNNNNNNNNNNNNNNNNNNNNNNNNNNNNNNNNNNNNNNNNNNNNNNNNNNNNNNNNNNNNNNNNNNNNNNNNNNNNNNNNNNNNNNNNNNNNNNNNNNNNNNNNNNNNNNNNNNNNNNNNNNNNNNNNNNNNNNNNNNNNNNNNNNNNNNNNNNNNNNNNNNNNNNNNNNNNNNNNNNNNNNNNNNNNNNNNNNNNNNNNNNNNNNNNNNNNNNNNNNNNNNNNNNNNNNNNNNNNNNNNNNNNNNNNNNNNNNNNNNNNNNNNNNNNNNNNNNNNNNNNNNNNNNNNNNNNNNNNNNNNNNNNNNNNNNNNNNNNNNNNNNNNNNNNNNNNNNNNNNNNNNNNNNNNNNNNNNNNNNNNNNNNNNNNNNNNNNNNNNNNNNNNNNNNNNNNNNNNNNNNNNNNNNNNNNNNNNNNNNNNNNNNNNNNNNNNNNNNNNNNNNNNNNNNNNNNNNNNNNNNNNNNNNNNNNNNNNNNNNNNNNNNNNNNNNNNNNNNNNNNNNNNNNNNNNNNNNNNNNNNNNNNNNNNNNNNNNNNNNNNNNNNNNNNNNNNNNNNNNNNNNNNNNNNNNNNNNNNNNNNNNNNNNNNNNNNNNNNNNNNNNNNNNNNNNNNNNNNNNNNNNNNNNNNNNNNNNNNNNNNNNNNNNNNNNNNNNNNNNNNNNNNNNNNNNNNNNNNNNNNNNNNNNNNNNNNNNNNNNNNNNNNNNNNNNNNNNNNNNNNNNNNNNNNNNNNNNNNNNNNNNNNNNNNNNNNNNNNNNNNNNNNNNNNNNNNNNNNNNNNNNNNNNNNNNNNNNNNNNNNNNNNNNNNNNNNNNNNNNNNNNNNNNNNNNNNNNNNNNNNNNNNNNNNNNNNNNNNNNNNNNNNNNNNNNNNNNNNNNNNNNNNNNNNNNNNNNNNNNNNNNNNNNNNNNNNNNNNNNNNNNNNNNNNNNNNNNNNNNNNNNNNNNNNNNNNNNNNNNNNNNNNNNNNNNNNNNNNNNNNNNNNNNNNNNNNNNNNNNNNNNNNNNNNNNNNNNNNNNNNNNNNNNNNNNNNNNNNNNNNNNNNNNNNNNNNNNNNNNNNNNNNNNNNNNNNNNNNNNNNNNNNNNNNNNNNNNNNNNNNNNNNNNNNNNNNNNNNNNNNNNNNNNNNNNNNNNNNNNNNNNNNNNNNNNNNNNNNNNNNNNNNNNNNNNNNNNNNNNNNNNNNNNNNNNNNNNNNNNNNNNNNNNNNNNNNNNNNNNNNNNNNNNNNNNNNNNNNNNNNNNNNNNNNNNNNNNNNNNNNNNNNNNNNNNNNNNNNNNNNNNNNNNNNNNNNNNNNNNNNNNNNNNNNNNNNNNNNNNNNNNNNNNNNNNNNNNNNNNNNNNNNNNNNNNNNNNNNNNNNNNNNNNNNNNNNNNNNNNNNNNNNNNNNNNNNNNNNNNNNNNNNNNNNNNNNNNNNNNNNNNNNNNNNNNNNNNNNNNNNNNNNNNNNNNNNNNNNNNNNNNNNNNNNNNNNNNNNNNNNNNNNNNNNNNNNNNNNNNNNNNNNNNNNNNNNNNNNNNNNNNNNNNNNNNNNNNNNNNNNNNNNNNNNNNNNNNNNNNNNNNNNNNNNNNNNNNNNNNNNNNNNNNNNNNNNNNNNNNNNNNNNNNNNNNNNNNNNNNNNNNNNNNNNNNNNNNNNNNNNNNNNNNNNNNNNNNNNNNNNNNNNNNNNNNNNNNNNNNNNNNNNNNNNNNNNNNNNNNNNNNNNNNNNNNNNNNNNNNNNNNNNNNNNNNNNNNNNNNNNNNNNNNNNNNNNNNNNNNNNNNNNNNNNNNNNNNNNNNNNNNNNNNNNNNNNNNNNNNNNNNNNNNNNNNNNNNNNNNNNNNNNNNNNNNNNNNNNNNNNNNNNNNNNNNNNNNNNNNNNNNNNNNNNNNNNNNNNNNNNNNNNNNNNNNNNNNNNNNNNNNNNNNNNNNNNNNNNNNNNNNNNNNNNNNNNNNNNNNNNNNNNNNNNNNNNNNNNNNNNNNNNNNNNNNNNNNNNNNNNNNNNNNNNNNNNNNNNNNNNNNNNNNNNNNNNNNNNNNNNNNNNNNNNNNNNNNNNNNNNNNNNNNNNNNNNNNNNNNNNNNNNNNNNNNNNNNNNNNNNNNNNNNNNNNNNNNNNNNNNNNNNNNNNNNNNNNNNNNNNNNNNNNNNNNNNNNNNNNNNNNNNNNNNNNNNNNNNNNNNNNNNNNNNNNNNNNNNNNNNNNNNNNNNNNNNNNNNNNNNNNNNNNNNNNNNNNNNNNNNNNNNNNNNNNNNNNNNNNNNNNNNNNNNNNNNNNNNNNNNNNNNNNNNNNNNNNNNNNNNNNNNNNNNNNNNNNNNNNNNNNNNNNNNNNNNNNNNNNNNNNNNNNNNNNNNNNNNNNNNNNNNNNNNNNNNNNNNNNNNNNNNNNNNNNNNNNNNNNNNNNNNNNNNNNNNNNNNNNNNNNNNNNNNNNNNNNNNNNNNNNNNNNNNNNNNNNNNNNNNNNNNNNNNNNNNNNNNNNNNNNNNNNNNNNNNNNNNNNNNNNNNNNNNNNNNNNNNNNNNNNNNNNNNNNNNNNNNNNNNNNNNNNNNNNNNNNNNNNNNNNNNNNNNNNNNNNNNNNNNNNNNNNNNNNNNNNNNNNNNNNNNNNNNNNNNNNNNNNNNNNNNNNNNNNNNNNNNNNNNNNNNNNNNNNNNNNNNNNNNNNNNNNNNNNNNNNNNNNNNNNNNNNNNNNNNNNNNNNNNNNNNNNNNNNNNNNNNNNNNNNNNNNNNNNNNNNNNNNNNNNNNNNNNNNNNNNNNNNNNNNNNNNNNNNNNNNNNAAGCUUUUUAUUUUUUAUUUUUUAUUAUUUAUUUUUAUUUUAUAAAAUGUCAAACUUUGACCGAGUGUCGGUGUCUAGAAAUGGGAACCUUAAUUUUAGCGGUUAUAACCGUUAUUUCCUUCUGGGGCUAUAUUUUAACAAUGCACUUUUUUAGAUUUGGUGUUCAGACUUUAGCUUGUACAUUUUUCAGAGUACUGUUUGUACUCAACAGAAGAAACGAUUACUGUCUUUUACAUUAAAAAUAUGUAGAAAUAAUAUUUCUUUCAAGACAUUUUUCUUUUGCUAAUGUAAUGAUGUGUCACAAAUCAUUUUCGUUUUUAAAAUUUUUGUGGGACGUGUUCUUCCUUGAACCACACCCCCCUUUAGAUUUUCACUUGACUUGGAAAUUUGGCCCAUGAUUACGAAUGUUGUGAUUGUGUCUCUUUUGUUUGUUUCACGAAAUAAUAGAAGUGCUCAAGCUCAGAGGAGAAGAAAACGAAUACUACUUUUUCCUUAUUUUGUCUCAUUAAUUUGGCUACAAUCAGAAACAAACACAAAUGCUAUGUUUCAAUGCAGAAAUGGCCUCAGGCGCACGUCUACUUGAAAAAUUAGGGAUAUUUUCUGUUAUAAGGACUUAUUGUCUUUUUUAAUUAUUGUCAAAUAUGAAAAUGUUUAUUUUUAAUUGACACCGGAAAGAGAACCGAACCUGCGGCGUUGUGAUAAAUUUGCGUUACGGUUUGUUGUUAGUAGUAGCAUUUCCGUUAAAUUAAUUCUCACUAUCUUUUUUUUUUUUUUUUUUUUGAGAUAAAGAGACACAUCCGAUAUAUAUAAGAAUCAUACACAUAACUGUAAGGUCCAAAAUCAAACUUGAAUGAACGUGUUCAACCUAAUAAUAUCUCAAUAUAAUUUAAAGAAUUGAUUGCAUUUAGCGCUCCAAUGUAUCCCAUGAACUAAAUCAUUUGGACUAGCUAUGAAAUCAAGGGGUCGUUUGUUCGGGAAUUUUUUUGAGAAAAAAAUCUACAUUUCAAACCAAAAAAUCACUUUUAUCAUUUUAAUAAUAUUUGUUUUAGAUUAAAAAGGUUGUUUAGAAAAUCUUUCUUAACCUUGAAGUAUAACUAAUUAACUACACCUGCCCUUUAGAUUUUCGUUGAUGUGGUUGAUUAUGUAUCCUUUGUUUGUUUGCAAAAUAAUACUAGAGGUUCUCAAGUUCAGGUGAGGAAAAAAACGAUUGCAUUGGUUUUUCCUUAUCUUGUCCCACUCACUUAGCUGCAUUGAGAAAAACAAAGAAAAUUAAAAGGAAAAAUUGGAGAAAAAAAGGACAAAUCAUUAAAACGUCAAUUUAUCAUUUGACUUUUCCUGCAAAUUGAUCAAUUCUUUUUUUAAUGGUCGUGUUGUGUCUAUCAAACACUUAUUUCUUCACGUUCUCAAAUUUUGUUUCCAUAACCAAUUUUGUGUCCAUAACCAAUUAUUCAGCUCCGUCCAUUAGUUGUCUUUUUUUUUUUUUUUUUCCUUUUCUUGUAAGCUUUAUUUAAUUUUUUUUUUUUUUUUUUGUCAUUAAUCCAACCUCCGGUUCUUAAGGGAAAGGGCUCCAAUAAUUCGGAGUUCGACCGUGAGGUAAGAGUAAUAUGACCAAUAAUUGUUUAACCUAAAACCAAACUCAAGUUCUCACAAACGAUUCGUCUUUGAUGAAGUUUAUUUACCACUUGAGCUCAAUUGUUUGGUUUAUGAUUUCUUGUUUUACAAGUAAUAGUGAGAAUGAAUGAAAUUGAAAGGAAGAAGAAGGGAAUUUGGAAUAAGGAGGUUAGAGAAGAAUGAGAGAGUUUUUUUUUUGCAAGUUUGUUAUUUGUUGGUUGAUAAAAAUAUAACAAUACAACUAUUUAUAUACACCUAACUUUAUAAUUAGGUAACUAACUCACAAAGUUAAAAACUAACUAAUGUGACAAACUUAUCACUUCUAUCUCCACACCAAUAUGAUUAUGGAUUAGUCAUUUAAUACAACCCCUUUAAUCCACAAUCUUACAAGCUUAUGAGACUAACUUGUCCCUAAGUAUAAUUGUUUAUCCUAUCCCUUCUAUCUCCACACCAAUCUAAGUCAGAAUAGACUACUAGAUCAGCUUUUGUCUCUUUGUUCUCUCUCAGUGGGAAAUAACAAUCCUAACUUCAUAGUCCCUUUUAUGUAUUUGAGGAUCCUCUUAGCUGCAAUAAGAUUAGAUUUUCACGGAUCAUUCAUGUAUCUAUUGAUGAUACUUACUGCAAAAUAAUUUUUUAAUUCUCGACGAGUGUUUGCUUAGGUGCUCUGUGUUAUUCUUGAUUUAUGUAUUAUUUCUAGGCCACACUUUCAUAUCAUAAGAUAUGAUAUGUAUCUGAAUUCAAUCUUUUUAAUAAGUGUAGUUUUUUCCCUUAAAAGAGAGGAGUUCUAUUAUACACCCCUUUCGUUUAUGAGAAAGCUAAAGUGUACACUCUUGAGGCGAUUAAACCAUUUAAAUAAAAGACUUCUUGUAAUCUAGAGGAGGGGAGAGAAUAGAUUUUGCACGAAAAUCAAAAUUGCUUAGCAAGAAUCAGAUAUUUAACAAAGUAGAUUUUUCUCUGGAAAAAAAAAUUAUACAAAAGAUACAAUUUUUUUGUUGAUGUACAAAAAACAAUUUUUUCUCUAUAUGAAAUCGCUAAUUUUCUGCACCCUUUUGAAAAGCAAGAAUUUUUAGGAAUAGUUCUAAGUGUUUAACGGUGUAAAAGUUUUCUCAAUAAUAGAAAGAAAAAAAAAAUUAGAUUCAAUAGUUAAAUUAAAUUGUUUAAAUUAAAGAGUUUAGGGUUUGAGAAGAUUACACCAAGAUUUAUACUGAUUUAGUUACUUUUCCCCUGCUCAUGGCCUAGCUCAAUUCUAUGACAAUGUGUGAUAGAGUUUAUUCCAUUAUUCAUUAUUUUGUAUGAAUGUAUGAUUAUAAGAUAUUUCCUUGAGUCUAUGUUUAUAACCUAUUUUGAAUCAAUCGUCGUGGUAAUCAAGAAAGCCCACAAAUUUGGAUCCACAUAAUUUGGUUUUGCUCUUCAACUUGAGUAGCUACAACCUCAACUUUUUAAGCAUUUAAACUCCUUGAAUUUUCCUUUAAUUGAUUUGAGAUUUUAUCACUGCUAGCUUGAAGAGUCUUCAACCUAAAAACCCCAUAAUCCCCUUCUAAGGUGAAAGAGCCAAAAUCCUUUUCCUUCAAUAUUUAAUAAUUUUCUUCAAUCCCCUUUAAUUCAUAUGUUUGAACACUCAUUGGUACAAAGAAAUUAUAUGUCAAUCCCAUACAAAUUUGACUCACAUAGAAGGAUCUAAGAAUUUGACUCAAAAAUUGUAUUUGGGGGUUUGGGUGGUUAUGGAGGAUUUAUAUGAAUUUUUUCAAAUUCAAUCUACGUUGUUAUAAUAUUCUUAAAAUUAAAAAUAUAUUAAUCAUAAGUAUUAGUUUAUCAUUCUCUAAAAAACUGUUCUUUUAAAAAAUUUGAAUUUUUUGUCCAUUUUUCUAUAUAUUUCCAACCCCACAAAGCCCUCUCAUCCCUUCCCCUCCAAACUCCCAAACAAAGCCUACAUGUUUAAUCAAAUCAUAGAUCUCUGAUUGACAUUCAUAAACCAAUUUUAACUGGGUGAUUCAAAUCAUCUUAAGUAUGACAUGAGUGAAUAUUUUCACCAAUAUGAUUCAAAUCAACCUUUAUGGCGAUUCAAACAACCUCUCGCAUAUUUGAAUCACCCUUCCAAAUAUAAUUCAAAUUAUGAAAUCCAAAAUGACGUAAAAAAUUAUUUCAAUGCAUGUUUGAAAAGAAAAAAGAAUCGCAAAUGUCAAAAUGACUUAAAAACUUAUUUUAAUGCAUGUUUGAAAAACAAUUUUCUUUUAUCAUAAGACUCUUCGUUUUUCGUUAGGCUUAAGGAGGCAUAUUUCCUAGUGUUAUAUCCAUAGUGUGUCCAUGGAUUUUAGUUGAACCGUAUAACAUAUUCAACCAAACCAACUCAAAUUGUUUAUUUUUUAUUUUUUAUUUUGGAACCUGUUCAACUCUAAUUUCAAUUGGAACCAACUUGGUUAAACCGAAGUGGCUUAGUUAGGGUUCCAUGUUUAUCAUUCUAAAUUCACAAAGUCGACUAGCUCAAACAAAUAGAGAUGUUUUAUUUUAGUUUUGUAAAAUUAAUUUAAAACUUUUAUGUGUUUUCUAGAAGUGUUUUAUUUUAGUUCUAGUGUUAAAAUCUUUAAGGGUAUAAUUGAUAUGAUCCAUGUGUUGAAACUUUCAUGAAAUAAAAUGUGAUUUAAUUAAAUAGAAUUGUUAAUUUUUUUAAAAUCAUGUCAUAUAUAUGACCCAACCUAAACUCACACACUCAUCACCAAAUUGAAUUGGUUCAUUUUAACAAGAAAAAUAGAGAUUAUGGUUCAACCUAAACUUAACAAAUUUGACUAGACCAGAAAAUAAAUUUGACUAGACCACCAGAAAAUAAAUUUGACCAAAAUCGACUCAAUCCGACCAGUUAACCCAAAUUCUACUACAACUUGGGAUGCACUUUUGGGCAUGAUUGCCAGCAAAAAAGCAUAAAUUUUAAUUUUGAUAGUCAUACCAGUACACUUUUCAUUCAUACCUCCAUAUAUUUUCUUCCAAAAAUGGUUCACAUUUUUAUCUUCUUUUCAAAUAUAGUCUACUUUAUAUAAAAAACAAUGGUUUCACCGUUUAUAGAUUUAAAAUCAUAAAUAGGUAUAUAGUUAGCCUUUUAUACCCUAAAAUACAUCAAAUUACAUUUGUUUCAUUUUUUUUUUUUACUAAACAAAAUAUAAUUGUUACAUAUAAUCAUAACAAAUUAGUAAAAUGAUGUAUUUUUACACUAUAUUAAAUUUUAAAUUUAUAACGUAAGUACAUAUGUAUUGUUUGAAAUUUAUGCUUAGUCUUUUAUACCAUAAAUACAUAAAAUUAUGGUUUUUGAAUAUAAUUAUAACAAAUUGCAAAUGAUGUAAGAAAAAUGUAACAUGUCUUCUAGGGCACAUGUUAGAGACACUUAAAAUAUAAACAUUGUUAUAUAAAGAUGUGCUCUUAACAAGACUAAUGUAAAAUUGGAAACCAGUACACUCCUUGUGCAGGGGAAGUAAAGUUGUUUGUCUAUAUAUUGAAAAAGGCUGUAUAUUUUACUGAUGUACAAAAGAAUGAUAUACAAUUACAUUUAUAGCACCUGAGACAUUAAACUGGUGCAAAAAUUAGCCUAAUUAUAAGUGUUGACCGCUAGAGCUAUCAGAGGAAAUAAUACAAAGUUAAUAGUAACAGCUGACUGGAAUGAUCUAAAAAAUUAAUAGCAUAUCACAAAAUUAAUAUUACAUCAUUCUCCUUGAUUAUAUGCUGACCAGAAAAGUCAAGAUACUUGCUUAUUCUGCAAUACUCCCCCUCAAGUUGGAGUGUGAGGAUAAUGAACACCCAACUUGAAUGUCAACUCUUGAAAUUGUUUUGCACCUAGUGCCUUGGUAAAAAUAUCUGCCUGUUGUUUCUUGGUGGGAACAUAACUGGUAGAAAUUGUGCCUUCCUGCAAAUGUGUGCGAAUGAAAUGGCAAUCCACUUCUAUGUGCUUUGUACGUUCAUGAUACACUGGAUUAGCUGCAAGAUGCAUGGCAGCUUGAUUGUCACAGAGUAACACAGUCGGUGAAUCGUAGUGAACUUGUAAACUGGAUAAUAGGCUUCUUAACCAAAUGACUUCGCUGACAGCUUGCCCCAUGGCUCUAUAUUCUGCUUCACUUGAUGACUUUGACACUGUGGACUGUUUUUUAGUUUUCCAUGAUAUAGGAGCUGAUCCUAACUUCAUUAGAUAUCCUGAUGUUGAUCUUCGAGUUAGUGGACAUGAUGCCCAAUCUGAAUCACAAUAGGCCACCAAUUGAAGAUCAUUUUCUUUUGGCAAGAUGAUACCUUGCCCUGGUGAAGAUUUGAGAUAUCGUAGCACUCGCAUGGCUGCAUCCCAAUGAGUUUGUUAUGGGGACUGCAUGAACUGACUUAAUAUGUGGACUGAAUAAGUAAUCUCUGGAUGCAUUAUUGUCAAGUAAAUCAAACGACUAAUGAGCCUUCGGUAGCGAGAGGGAUCUGAACAAGUCGGUCCUUUGUCUAGAACUAACUUUUGAUUCUGCUCCAUUGGGAAAGUAGAGGGUUUGCAAUCAAGCAUCUUACAUUCAUCCAAAAUGUCUAGCGUGUAUUUUCGCUGACACAUAAACAACCCAUUUGCUCCUCGUGCGAGUUCUAGACCUAGAAAAUAUUUCAGAGGCCCAAGGUCUUUCAUAUGAAAACACUGUUUCAAGUAUUGUUUGAAGUUGGUGAUUGUGUCAGUGUCAUUACCCGCAAUCACAAGGUCAUCAACAUAAAUUAAUACUGCCAUAAAUAUGCUCUCUCUUGAAUAAGUGAAAAGACUAUGGUCUGCAUGUGAUUCUUAAAAACCAUAUUCUAUGAGUGCUUGGGAGAGUUUUAAGUACCAAUUUCGUGAGGCCUACUUCAAUCCGUACAAAGAUUUCCUCAACCGGCAAACCAUCCCUUCUUUAGGAGUAUUAUAACCAUUUAGUGCCUGCAUAUAAACUUCUUCCUCUAGAUCUCCAUGUAGAAAGGCAUUGCUAACAUCCAUUUGGUGUAAUUCCCAUCCUUUCGCUACAGCAACAGUAAGAAGGCAACGAAGUCCUCUCCUUCUACCUGUGUGUACCCUUUCGCCACAAGGCGAGCCUUAUAUUUUUCGAUUUCUCCUGAGGCCUUGUACUUUAUCUUGUAGACCCAUCUGCAUCCCACUAUUUUCUUUUCCUUCUGGUGGUAAUGUCAGGUCCCAAGUUCCAUUCUCCUCGAGAGCUUUAAGUUCUACUGUCAUGGCCUUUUGCCAUUCAGGUUUCUUCAUGGCUUCUUGAUAGCUUUGCGGUUCUUCAUUGUUAUGAAUUGAUGCAAGAUAUGCUUGAUGCCUGCGAGAAUAGCAAUCAUUAUUGAUGAAGUUAGUGAUAGGGUAGACUUUACCUGAGGAGUGUGAAUGAGUCGGGGCCAUGCUCAUGGGGUUCUUGUGCGCUGCAUGACAAUAGUAGUCUCCAAGAUAGGCAGGUGGUUUUCGUGUGCGUGGUGGAAGAUCUGUCUCCCCCUCAUUUUGCAUUUCAAUCUCCAUUGGAUUGAUUUCCCCUUCAUUCUGAUUGUCAAACUCAGCUGCAUCUAUGCCCCCUUCCUGAUUCUCUGAGUUCUCAUUAUUCAUUUCUUCAUUAAGGUUGUUUUCCUCUUGUUGUUCAGAGACAUUUGGAAAAACUACACUUGGAAAUUCUGCUGUCACAUCUUUUUCGUGAACAACAUAUGGCAGAAUAUGUUCAUAAAAUACCACAUCACGUGAAAUGGAGAACUCUCUUGUCUUAGGAUUGUAGACUUUCCAACCUUUCUGUCCUUGUGGAUAGCCUACAAAGAUACACCUUUCUGCUCUUGGAUCAAAUUUGUCCCUAAGUUUCGAAGCUGUACUUACAUAACAAAGGCAACCAAAUACUUUCAAGUGAUCAUAAGUUGGUGACUUUCCAAAAAGUACCUCAUAUGGCGUGAUACCUUUAUUUGCCACAGUAGGGGUUAUGUUUAUAAUAUGAGUUGCAGCAAGUACGCAUUCUCCCCAAAAGCGAAUGGGAAGAUUUGCUUGAAACCUUAGAGCCCUUGCAAUAUUUAGAAUGUGUCUGUGUUUCCGUUCUACACGAGCAUUUUGUUGAGGUGUGGCUACACAUGAUGUGUCAUGGAGUAUUCCUUUUUGGCUGAAGAAUUUUUUAAUACCAAGAUUGGUGAAUUCUGUCUCAUUAUCACUACGUACUCUUUUAAUUCUAACAUUAAAUUGUGUUUCUAUCAUGUUGUAGAAACUUAUCAAGAUGUCAAUAGUUUGGGUUUUGUGUUUCAUCAAGUAAACCCAAGUCCCGCGAUUAUGAUCAUCCACUAAAGUAAGAAAAUAAUGAGAUCCAUUAUGUGAAGCAGUAUUAUAUCUUCCCCACAAAUCACAAUGUACUAAAUCAAAAGGUCUCUCAGCUUUAUUGAUACUAUGAGGAAAAGGAAGUCUAUGUUGCUUUGACUUGUGACAUAUGUCACAACAAUCUAAAUUAUUGAAAUUAAAACUACAAUUGAUAAAACUAGAGAGACGCUGCAGAGACUGUGUUGAGGGGUGUCCCAUUCUGUAGUGCCAAAGAGUGGUAUCAUCUUUCUUACUUGUUGUAAAAGCAGAUCCUUGCAUCAUCCUUUUGUACACAUAAACCCCAUUACGCAUGCUACCCGAUCCAAUCGUCCUCCUCGUGGCUAGGUCCUGUAUCACACAAGAAUCGGAUUGGUGAGUUAUCAUGCAAUUUAAAUCAUGUGUCAACUUAUGUAUAGAGAUUAAAUUGCAGCAAAAAUCGGGCACAAUCAACACAUUAGAUAGCUUGAUAUUUCUAUCAAGUUUGAGAUUUCUAGCUCUUUCUACCAGCACAGUAUUUCCCGUGGGAACUGUGAUAUAGAAAGGUGUCUCAAGUGAUUGUAUUGCCUCUAAAAUUGAGGAAAAAGGAGUCAUGUGAUGAGAUGCGCCACUGUCCAAGAUCCAUUGGAUCUCUUUAUUACCAGCCAUGCUAGAGAGGGAUGAUCCCGCAUUCUUCAUUCUCAUUCCGUGCAGGGCGUGACCUUUAUUAACCACAUUUUCAUCAUUUUUGCCCCGAUCCUCAUCAACAUGAGUUGUAUAUGCAGCAAAAUUCCCUCCUGAUUUAUUGUUCCAACGGUUUGUUCUACGAGCAUCCCAGUUGGAAGGAUAUCCGAUUAUCUCAAAACACUUGGACUUAGGAUGUCCAACCUUUCCACAAUGAUCGCACUUGGGCUUGGGUCCAUCUCUUUUCUGCUUGUUUUCUGAAUAUGAGUGGAAGGCUGUACCUGGAUCCAUCUUAUUAUUCCCUUUCUCCUUCUCCACAGGGAAGUGUGCUUCUUCUCUCAAGACGUGAUUGAAAGCGCGUCUGAGUGAAGGUAAUGGUUCUACAUUCAGAAUGGAGGUUUUGACAUGUCCGUAUUUUUCAUUAUCCAGACUUCCAAGGAAAAGAUGGAGACGUUGUUCUUCUUCCAUUCGCAUCAAUUCCUUUGAUGCUCCACAAGUGCAUUCGGGCAGAGGUUGUAAUUCACUCAACUCAUCAAGCAAACUCUUGAACUGAGUGUAAAAUGCUGUUACACUCAACUCAUCAUCCUCCUGCAUAAGACACAGAUUGCGCCAUAAUUGAUGGAUCCUUGGUGUGUUGGUUUGAGCAAAACGCUCUUCGAGAUCGAGCCAGAUGUCCCUCGCUGUUGAUGCGUGUGAAAUGCUGCUAUGCAGUACCGGAUCAGUGGCAUUGAUGAUCCAUGCUGUUACCAUUGAAUCUGCUCUCUCCCAAUUGACAUAAUUGGUUGUUUUCAUCCCUGGUUUCGUGAUUGUUCCAUCGAUGAAACCGAGCUUCAAUUUUGCUUGGAGCGCCGUUUUCAUCGAUCGUGACCACGUUCUGUAGUUUUCUCCAUUUAGAACAGCCGCCACUAAUGGAGUUCCUGGAUUAUCUGAGGAACCAAGAUAGUAUGGUGAGCUUGAGUAAAUGGCAUGUGAUUUUUUACCUUUAUCGGAGGCAUGAUUUUUCUUCCCCGAAUUUUCUUCCUCAGAACUGUAAUGCUCUGAUUCCUCAGAACUGUCCCGCUCUGAUGCCAUAUUGAAAAAGACUGUAUAUUUUACUGAUGUACAAAAGAAUGAUAUACAAUUACAUUUAUAGCACCUGAGACAUUAAACUGGUGCAAAAAUUAGCCUAAUUAUAAGUGUUGACCGCUAGAGCUAUCAGAGGAAAUAAUACAAAGUUAAUAGUAAUAGCUGGCUGGAAUGAUCUAAAAAAUUAAUAGCAUAUAACAAAAUUAAUAUCACAUCAUUCUCCUUGAUUAUAUGCUGACCAGAAAAGUCAAGAUACUUGCUUAUUCUGCAAUACUAUAUAAUUUCAUUUUAUCUUCAUAAAAAAAGAAGUUGGAAAACAUGGGGUACAAUAACAAAUGUUUCUCAAAUGCAUCUUGUUUUGAUUUUUCUUCGCUGAUUUCUCCUUCCCCCUUAGUUUUAGAUCAAUGCUCACCACCUAUGUUUUAGGUUAGUGCAAUGGAACAUACGUACCCUUGGCUUGAAGCGAAAAACUAAUAAUAGAUACUUAAUGUAACACCCCGUUUUCCCAACAUCAAAAUUUCUUUAAAAAAACAUAGCAUUUAUCAGAGUAGCAUCAUAAACAACGGGAUAUCACAUAUAACAUAAUCCAAGACGGUUAAAUAAUGAUUUAACAUAAUAUCCUUAACAUUGCAGCGGAAUUUAGUUCGUAAUCCAUAAUCCGGUUUUGGCACGCAGGCCUCAUCAUAAUUCUUAAAAGAAAUCAGUUCAUAAUCAUAAAUAGCAUAAAAGUCACGUAAUAGAAUGAAGCAUGCAUAAUUCAUAAAGCCCCAUCCCGUUACGUAUCAGAGCGACCUAGAAGACACAGUGAAGGCAAGGCCACUCACGACGGAAACAGCACACUAAGCUCGGUCACCUGCACGUUACCCACGGUCGAGGUAACAUUCAAACAGAAGGGGUGAGAUUUCAUAACAGAUUAACAUUAAACAAUGCAAUUAAGAAUCAUAAGUUAACAACAUGGUCAUUUCAUUAAUUAACUUUGCAUAAUUGCUAAACUUUUAACACGUAAUCGUAUAUCCAUUAAUUAGGGAUAACAUAACAUAAUCAAUAAGCACGUAUCACGUAAUCACAUAUUCAAUCAUUAUCAACAAGGCAUCUUAAUCAUGACAAUGUGACAAUGCUCCUAGACUCCAUAUAUGCAUGUGGUACCAAUCGUCAUCAUAAGUAUUAAUAUACUUUAAUCGUGCGGAGGACAAAGCUCCUAUAAAACGUGCGGAGGACAAAGCUCCUAAUUUUCGUGGUGAGGACAAAGCUCAAUGUUAUGCUAUGCAUGGACACAUAUGAACAAAACAACGUAAUCGACUUAUCAACAUGCAUCCAAUAAUUUGGAGCUAAACUUCAUCAUAUACUUAUGCACUUAGUUAAACAACGGAAGCAGCAUAAACAGAUCACAUAAACAAAAUGAUAUCAUUAUAUCAAUAGCACAUAAAUUACAUCAUUAUCAAGUUUUCAUAUCUUGCAUGAAUGUACAAUACAUUAGUUCAUGUCCAUUUAAUAUCAACAUAACUUAAACAACUCUACAGGCUGCAUUAAACGUCUCCACUAGGUCUCAACACCGCUUAGGGGUUCACUCUUGAUCAACACAUGCGACACAGAUCGCACAACCACUCAAGCAACUACAUUCUGGUUGUACUCGCGAGGCGAGAGUACUUACUCGCCAUGGCGAGUAACACUAAUCUCCCAAACUGAUGUUGUUCUGGGUUCAAUCCUGUCCUAAAUCAUUCCUAAUCAUCUCUAGGUAUGUCUAGGCACUUAAAGGCACUCAAGGUCCAACUAAAAGGUCAAAAAUACAAAAUAUGACAUGCACUCUGCCUGAGCUCGCGAGGCGAGAAAGGGUUGCUCGCCAUGGCGAGUUGGACCAAACAACUCGCGAGGCGAAGGAAAGGGGCUCGCGUGGCGAGCGAUGAAGUCCAUCACUCGCGAGGCGAGGUUCAUCACUCGCUGUGGCGAGCGAUGAACAGAAGCACGGGCAGACUAGGGUUUUUCUCAAAAAUCCAUCACACAACAUGGUUCAAAGCCUAAUUUUGAUUCCAGAAUUCAUCCUAAACAUAUUCUAAGGUUAAAGGACGGUUUCUACAUCAAUCUAAACAAGUUUUACCGUUUGAUCAUCAAUUUUUAGGGUUUUAACCUAAUUCCAAAACUUUUCUAAAUCAAUCCUAACUUUGUCAACUAAUCAUCAGAAUUACAGAGGUUAAUGCUACUGAGUUAUUAGUCCCACCCUUACCUGGUUAUGAAGAAAAUCGCAGCCCUCUUGGUCUCUUGCUCCUCUCUAAGCUUUUUCUCCCUUUUCCAAAAGUUUUCACGUACAAUAAGUUUCUAAAAUAUUAGGUCUUCUCCUAUUUAUAUCUUUUUCUAAUUACUUAUUUUAUCUCACUUUCUCCCCCAAAACUAUCUAAAAUAUCAAAACAACCCUCAACUAAAUAUUUUAUAUUAUUUUCAAAUCUUUAUUUUAUUUAACAAUAAAAUAUAUUCUCUAAUCUUAUCAAAUUCUCCAAAACUCAUAACUUAACACGUCAUCAAUCAAAUCAUCAAAAUCACCACAAAUCAUCAAAAUAUAUCAAAAUCAUGUAUAUAUUAUAUAAUUAUAAUAUAAUUGCCUAAACUCGAUUAAAUAACGAUUAAACGAAAGUAGGGCGGUUACACUUAACUUGAACAAGAAAUUGAUCUCAUUAGAAUCCAGACUGUGGAGCGUGGGCGGAUCCACUGUAGAAAUAUGGUGCGGCAAGACCAGAUUACUUUCCCAUUUUUUUUCUUCCAUAUACUUGACUUAAAUAAUUAUAUAUAUAAUAUAAGUCGUUCACAUAUCACAUGUUUCUCUCUUGGCCGAGCAUUUCUUAGGGGGGGGGAAUCGAACCUGUAACACCAUGUUAAAAUGCUCUCAUCCAAAAUAUUUCGCUAUACUAUUUAAAGUGUCAAUGGUCUACUUUGUUAAUAUAUAUAGUUAUUUUGAAAGUUUUACCAAACCAAUAUCAAAUGUCUAGAUCCGCCCCUGCUUGGAGGUAUAUAUGUCUUGCAUUUGUCUUCAUCUUUUAUGUGCGACUACAUAUUAUUUUAAAUUUACCUUCUUCACACUUCUUGCAUAAAAUUUCAAAUCCUGUUACUCUUAUUUCUUAACCUAAAAUACGAACCUAUUAAAAGGAUAGAAUUCAUUGACUUAUAAUCUUCACUAUUUUAUGUGAUGCCAGAAUCCUAACAAUUCCUCUUCAAUAUUGAAUGCUCUAUUUGGAAAAGAAAAAGACAAAGAAAAGAUGAUAUUAUUUUAAAAAAUAAUAUAAUUCCAUUCGAAACCCUCCAAUGUUGUAAAGGAACCUCACCUCCUCUUAUGGUAUAUGGAUAAUUUAAACCCAAUUAACAAUAACAGUUUCAAAUCAUAUUCAUAUAUCUAUAGUAGGCAUGGCAACAAAACCCAUACCCGUGGUUACCCGCCCGAACCAAACCCAAUUUGACGGAUUUUCCCCGUUUUGAUUGGGUUUGGAUAUGGGUAUGGAUUUUCCCCGAUCUCAAAACACGGGUAUGGGACGGGUAACGGGUAUAUAGGUACCCACCCCAAACUACAACGUAAACAUAUUUCAUCGCACUUUAGAUUCCAUAAACCAUUGGACAUGACUACAUUUGUUGAUGUUAAACACAACCCAAAUAAAUAAUUAUUGGGCAAAGAAUGAUGACAGAGUUGAAACAAUGCAGAUAGAAAAUAAUCAGAGAUAGGUAUAAAAAUAUUGCAGUCUUUGGAGUCUAGUAAGUUCAUAUAUAAUAACUAAAAGCCUAAUAGGUAGAUAAAUAUUAUGGUUUUUUUUUUUUUGGAGGAAAAUAUUAUGGUUAUAUAACAAUAAUAAAAUAUCCAUGUGGUUCUAAGUUCUAACAAGUGAAAGCAAUGAAGAUAAAUUAAUAUUUUUUGUAAAUUAAGGCAUAUAAGCACACCUCAAACAGUGGUAUGUGUAUUGUAACACUUUUAGGUGGUAGAGAAAAAGAGGAAGCAAAAGGAAUAGAAAAAUUAGACAACUACUAACAAACUAAAAAACUAAUUAGCUUUCUUUCAUAUUCUUCUUGUGUAUUAUUUUAUUUAUCAAUUCUACUCAUACAAACUAAGCAUAACAGAAAUUAAAAUAUUCGUUGCAUUCUAAAUAUUUUAGAAAGUGGUGUGACCUAUAUGGGUUUAAUGUUUAACAUAUUUUGGCCAUAACAGUAGUAGCCAAAGCCAAACAUGAAACAUUUCUUUCAGCUUCUUAGAGGUACAUGCAACACUAUGUGGUUUAGCAGAUGUGUGUGUAUAUAUAUCAAGAAAAGCAUAGAAUGCUGAAAUGCACAAUUUUUGGAUUCAGAAAAUUUUAAAACAGAACUGUAGAUUGCUACUUCCUCAAGUCUCAAUUAUAAGCCAAUUUUUAGUUUGUAAGUUCAUUCAAUAAAUGAUGUAUGUUGUCUAUAACCGCAUACAUCAUUAAACUACAUAUAUUAUUUAUUGAAUGAACCUAAAACUAAAAAUUUGUUUAUAAUUGAGACAUGACGGAGUACUUUAAAAAAGUGAUACUCAACAAACUUUAAAAUAGAGAAUGAAGUGAUACUCAAUUUUAUUUUAUUUUAACAUCCAUUUUUCUAUCUAAUACUAGACGAGGCUCUUACCACAUUUGAUAUAUAACAAUAUAAACGAAGGUAUUUCAAGCUCAACAGUUAAAAGCCUUCAAAAAUUGAAAAAUAAAAUAAAAAGCAAAAUAGGUUCAAAAACACCAGCCCAAGAAAAGUAAGUUUUAAGGCAACAUGUAAAGUAAACAAUUAUUCAUCUUCACUUUCAUCGUCAUCUUCACUUUCAUCAUCAUCAUCAUCUUCAUAAAUGUUCAGAUCAGUCUUCUUACAGAUUGGACAAACAUUCUUCUCCUCCAACCAUUGUUUGAUGCAGUUAAGAUGAUAUAUGUGAUUGCAAUCAAAUCUCCCAAUACACUCCCCAUCAAUAAAAUCUUCCUAAUAAACAUAAAACAAGAGGGGUUAUGACACUUGAAUAUGCUCAAGUAUUAGGAUUUUAAAAUUUAGUUCAUCCAAUCCUUACAAAAUCAGUUGGUUAGAAUAGAGGUGCCACUUUUUAUAAAAAAAAAUUAUUUAUUUAUUUUCAAUGUGGGACUUUGAUUUUCUUAAUAUCGUGUUCCCUAAAGAGUUUUAUAUGCUAUAUUAGAAGGAAAAGAAAUGAACCAGGAACUAAAUUAGCUACAUACAAAUUAAUGUGAUAUCAAAUUUUGAGGUAAUAUAAACGAUAUUUCAAGUCCCGUGAGCAUUAACUCAGUUGGUAGGACAAUGCAUUAUUAUAUGCAGGGGCCGGGGUUCGAAUCUCAGACACCCCACUUAUUCACCUUAUAAGGUGAAUUCUAACCACUAGGCUACAUGGCUCAAAAAAAAAAAACGAUAUUUCAAAAAUAAAGAAACAAGUAGAUUAAUCCUUCACCUGACAUAUGGUGCAAGUUUGAUUCAUUGUGCUUGUUUCCUCAGUAUUAGGCUGGUAAGUUUCUUGCUGGAUGUACAUGAGAAUUUCCUCCUCUUCCAGCCCCACCUCAUUCAUCUGUACGUUAAUUAAAUUUAUCAUUUUCAAUUGAAUAUGAUCAUGUAUUGCCGUUUCAAAAAAAAAAAAAAAAAAAGAAUAUGAUCAUGUAUAAUAAUAUUUAAGCUAAACUCUAGCUACAUGUUUAUACAAUUGGGCAAACAAUAUGAAAGAAAAAAAAAGUAUUAAUUAUACAUUAAUAGUUACAAAGCUUUAAAAAAAAAAAAUCACAAUUUUUACCUCGUCUUGCCAAUCCUCUGAAUUAGUUAUCCAAUCUAUGUGCUCUUGAGAGUGAAGUAGCCGAUUUUGAGUGACCCAGUAAUCAAGCUGUGUGACAUAUAUUUGUAAAGUACAUGAAAGUAAUGUGAUGAAUUCAAAAUGGUACAUAUCAAGAUGAUUUAAUUUAUUGGGAAUGUUUAUUCUGCUGCAGCUGCUAGUUAAUCCAACGUUAUAGUAAAACAAUCACAAAGUAGUAUUCAAUCUUUUACCUAAAUAAUUAAUCUAAAAAUUUGGGUUAAACAUAACUCAAAUAUCUUAUGUAUUUAAUGUAGAAUUUUAGCACACCUCCUCACACCAAUGAUUAUACAUCUGGAUGUGACAUGGUGGUACAAUAGUGGUGGUCGAAUACGUGGUAGAUACAUAGUGAUCACAGAAGAGUUCUUUACAAAAUUAGGAUAUAAACUGAGCACUAUGUAUCUACCACUUAUAAACAUUUUGUUAAACUAUAUUUUGCUAAUUAUUUUUUACACAAUAUCUCACUACUCUAACAACUUUAUAUCAACAAAACACACUUAUCAUCAUUUCCAAUUCAUUGCAAUAUUAAAUUUCCACAUGCAUACUUAUAGUAACACAUAAUAUAUAACCACAAAUUAAAUUACUAUCACUUAUUAAUUUUGACUAAAGUUUACUUGAUGGUAAAUAAAUCUAAAAUAUUUGAAAAUGAAGCACAUUAUUUAAUUGUGAAUUCAUUUAUUUUAGUCUUCAACCAAAGUUAAUAUUACAAGUAAUUAAGAAAGUAUAUAUAUAUAGCCGGGGAUAUUGCAUUUUAUAUGUACGAGCCCGGGUUCGAACCCCGGGUUCGAACCCCGGACACUUCACUUCUCAAAAAUUAAAUUGUGUGAGCUCUACCCACCAAGCUACUUUACCAAAAAAAAAAAAGAAGAAAGAAAGUAUAUAUACCUCAAAGAAGUCCAGGUUGUUGUUAUUAUCACCAUUUAGGCUAAAACUUGUGCCUUGAGAAGAAGAACUUGUUGCUUCUCUUGUUGCUGCAGAGGGAUAUAGAAAUGAUGCAGGACCACCAGGAGAGCUAUUAAUUUCAGACAGAGUAGUAGUACUACUUAGUCCUGCUUCUACAUCAACAUCUUCAUCCAUGAUGAAAUGAUCCCAAAAUGUUGUUGUAGGUAAAGAAGACAUGUUAUUGACAUUGUCUUGAUAAGGAUGAAAAGGAGGAGGAAGAGUGUGUCUUCUGCUAAACCUUUCAUCAAUUUGUGAACCUUGAUUAGAAGUUUCCCCUCUAGUGAAUGGAUCAGGCGAUCUACUUCUCUUGAAUGAUGAAUUAGCCUGACACAACUCAUCAUUCCUAGCACCAGUAGUAGUGGUGUUAAUUUCAUCGUUGAAUGACGAAACAGAAUUAGCAUUACUACUAUUUCCUACAACAUCUCCACUUCUUUGAUAAUCGGAUUCUACAACAGGUGCAACUUCAAUUUGUCCUCCAAUAGUCAGAUAUAAGGAGGAUAAUGACAUAUUAUCUCUAGUCGAGAUGGACGACACACUUCUCGAUCCUCCAUUGAUAAAUUGAGAAGUGCUGUUGCCUUCUAAAACAUUGUGAGUAGUAGUAGGAACGAUGCUAAUAUUUGACCCAAAAAGUCUAAAAUAUAUUGGGCUCCUUUCUUCAUUAUGACGAUUUCCUAAACGAUAUUGGUUGGCCAUAGAUUGCAACUUCUUACCUGCAUGCACACCAUAACAGCAACCAUAUAUCAAUACUACCAUGGACAUAUGAUGCUAUCAUAACACUCACAAUGAUAUCUAGACUCCAAUCGUAAUGUGAUAAAAUGAACAAAUUCGAAUGUAGAUGAUUGUGCUAUUGCUGGAGUGUAAACAUAGUUAAAAUGCUAGUAACAUAUAAUGAUGUCAUUGCGCUCUAUUCUUUUGCUUAAAAAAAAUAUAAUCAUAUGAGAUUUAGUGUGUUGAACACUAAUAUAUGACACUACAUAUAUUCGUUUUCUAAAAAAUUGUAUUAUUAGUGUUAAUUCCCUAUACACAUAUAAUAGAUCUGAAAGAGUAUAACAGUCCGUUCGGAUUGGUUUAUUUUUUAUAUUAUUAAAUAUAACUUAUGUAAAUAAAUAAAUUUUUAUAUUACUUCAUAAGUUUUUACUGAUGAAAAUUGUAUAUUCAUAAACUACUUUGACAAAUUUAUGAAUAUAGUACAUAAAAGCUUAUUGAUUUGCAUAAACUCAAAAAUAAGUAAAUCUAAACGGGACCUAAGAGUAGGUGAAAUAAAAUUUUGAACAUAUAAAACUUAUAUGUAAAUUUAAGAAUAUUAAAUUUAUUUUCACAAAGUAACCCAUUUUCUAAAACAUCAAAAUCACACACAAAAAAUAAUUUGAUAGACAAAACAUUUAUCAGCCAAUCAAUAAGUUGAUCAAAAAAUCAAACAGGAAGAUAGUUCAAAUCACAUGCUCAUAUAAACAAGAUUAAAAAAAAAAACAUAGUACAAAUCAAACCCAACCUUGAUUAUAUACCUAAAUAGAUGAGUAGGUACAAGAAUCGAUGGAUGUUAAAAACCAAAAGCUGGUGAUUACAACUGUUUAAUAUCACACUGAUGGUUUCUCUAUAGCAUGAAGGGAAAAAAGGACACUGUUGAGAGCUUCAAUUUAUAGAGAUUUUGUUUUUACCGUCUCUAGCGAUGCCGAUAUAUUAUUUUUAAUUUAUGUCUAAAUUUUUUAUAGAAAUUCAACUUUAUGGAAACGACCGUAAAUGGUUGACUGUUGACUAGUAUUUUGUCACAAUGCAUCCUCUCGCGAUACUUUUUAAUAUCUACCUACAUUUAUUGUUAUUUUUGUCACAAUGCAUCCCCUCGCGUUACCUUUUAAUCUCUACCUACAUUUAUUUCUCUGGCGAUUUUAGGAGAGAAAAUAUAUUGUUCACUUAUCACCUUCUAAAAGUUUUCUUCAUAAUUAGCUUUUCUUCACCAACCUGCUUGAAUAUAUGGUAUAUAAUACAGAUUGAUAAUAUUCUAUGUUUUGGAUAUAUACUUAAGAAAAUUCUGAAAUAAAAUAGAAUGUGAUAGCAUCCGAUUCAUUGUUUAUCCUCGUAUUUAUUCAAAUAUUGUUACAAAAAAGUGUAUUGUUUUGUUUUAUUCCAUCAUCAUAAAAUAAAAUAAAAAGAUUUCAGUUACAUACUAUCAUUGCUACCUCUGAUUUCUGCUAAUUUCGCAUUUUUGCGGUAAUACCAUGUUAACUAUUAAACAGGCUUUGUGAUGGUUUCGCAAGAUUUUCCUUCGCGAUAAAUAGCAUAAAUUAAUAUUCGAAACCAUAGACUAUAAUGUAUAUGUCUUGUUCCAUUCUGUUUCACUUAUUUUAUUCGGUUACAUACUACUCAUGCAUGAAACUAUUUUUAUUGAAAAAUAAAAAUUUAUAAUAAAAGACCAUAGUAUGUAGAAAUUCAACAUAAACUCGCAACUAAUAAAGAUCCAAAAGAGAAUCGAAAUCACAAAGGUUGGAAUUCCAAAGGGAGUCAUCAACAUCUAAAAACUCCAUAUUAAAGUUCUCUUGUAUUGAAGAGCCUGAGCCAAUUUGCUCACUGCCUACUUGUUCACCCAAGUCCCAUAAAUUGUCCGACGACAAUGCACACGGUAUUGGAACAUUAUCUAUACUUGGUUGUGAAGCAGAAGCACAGUCUCUACCAUUUUGAUAUGUAACCAUAGUCUCUCGAUUAUCGCGAUCUUUGGAAACAUUGCCAUCUUUAUUCGAAGCCAGCAUUGGUUGUGACACAAAAUUAACAUGUUUCGUGGAAACAUUGCCAUCUUUAUUGGAAGCCAGCAUUGGUUGUGACACAAAAUUAACAUGUUUCGUGGAAACAUUGCCAUCUUUAUUGGAAGCCAGCAUCGGUUGUGACACAAAAUUAACAUGUUUCCUAUUCAACCAUGAUGAAUGAGUUGAAAAAAUUCGAGGUUGGGGUUUAAUAACUUCAUGAGCUUUCAUUGUUUCCUUAGGUUUCUCUUUUUCUUUCUUUUCUUUUGUUUCUGAAACAACCUUCUUCCGCAAAUGUGUGUGCCAAAAGUUUUUCACAUCAUUAGCAGUUCUACCAGGAAGCCUUGCAGCAAUCAAUGACCAUCUAUAUUAUAUGUAUAUGUAAGCAAUUAAAUAGCUGAAAUAUUAUCUAAGCAAGAAGAAUAUUAAAUAUAAGAACUUAGACAUGUUUGCAUAAAUAUCAUGACUAACUCUAGCUAGCAGCUAUAGCAUACACAAACAAAUUUGAAUUUUGGCUCGGAAGCUUACCUAUUCCCUAGAAGUUUGUGUAACCUUAGGAUCAUAUCAACUUCAUCCUCAGCAAAGCUUUCCCUUUUGAUGUUAGGGCAUAAAUAAUUUACCCACCUCAAUCUACAACUUUUUCGACAUCUAUUCAAUCCUGCCAAGUGUAACAAAUAUAGUUUCACAAUAUAUACAUGUGGAAAUGAAAUUAUGCAAAUGGUUGAUUAGAAUUUGGGAACUUCUACGGUACAUCUCACAAAUUGAAGAUUAAAACUUACACGUACAUCCAAUAAAGUCAUGCCAAAUAGAUCAUUUUGAAGAUACUUUAGGAACUAACUUAAAGGCAUGGUAUGCAAAUAUUUACACCGUUAGCGUAUACAAAUUAAAUCCCUGCUUUUAGAUAUUUGUUCAAAUUUAAUGAAAUAGAGUUUCUAACUUGAUUAACUAGUGCUUUUGUACUACUAGGAAAAGCAAAAUUAGGGAGGAAAAUUAAUGAGGGAAAAAAUAAAAUCCCUCAUAAAUUCCUUGGUCGCAAAAUUUAGUGACGGAAUUAAAGAGGGGUUUCAUGUUUUUCUCUAUAAAUUUCCCCCACUAAUUUUUGUUUUUUACUAGUGUUUUGCUAUUGAAUUUAUCAAUUAACCUUUUUUAUUUUAUUGAUUUUUGGUAAUUAGUGGCUCUCGUCCAUGAUUUCCAUUUGAUUUAUAUUGACACAAUGACCUGCUUUUUCUUUUUCUAGUUUUUUUUUUUUAAAAUAGAAUAGAAGUUGUUGCUAAAUUUUUAAACUUAAUUUUUUUUAGGCUUAAAUAUGUCUUUCGUCCCUACAAAUAUAGGCCAUUUGAUUUUUCGUCCCUGAAAUUACUAAUCCUUCCAAUCUGUCCCUGCAAAUAUUAAUCAUUUGACUUUUGGUUCUAAUUAGGUUUUUUUGCUGAGGUGGGAUGUCAUUAGCGACGUGGUGUCCAUGUGGCAAGUGAUGAUUGGGCGAGGUGGUUUGCUUAAAUAGGUCUUUCAUCCCUGCAAAUAUAGGUCAUUUGAAUUUUCGUCCCUGAAGUUACUAAUCAGAUGUAAUUAGGACCAAAAGUCAAAUGAUUAAUAUUUGCAGGGGCAGAUUGGAAGGAUUAGUAACUUCAGGGACGAAAAUUCAAAUGACCUAUAUUUGCAGGGACGAAAGACCUAUUUAAGCCUUUUUUUUAAGUAGAUUAAUGCAAGUAAAAAAAUAGAUUAAUGCAAUAUUCGAUAUUAUUUAUUAAAAAAACAAAUAAUAGAUUAAUGUAAUAAUAAUAUCGUAAUAUUAAUUAAAAAUAAAUAGUUAUUAAAAAUUAUAUAUUCAGUUCAACUUUAAAAAAGGAAUUCAAAAUUCAAUCAAUUUUAAAUAUGAACACCUCUAAACCCGAGUGGUGCGAUCAGUUUUCUGUUUUUUUUGGAGAGGAUCAAUUUUCAGUUUUUUUUUGUCAAGAAGUUUAGUGGCUAGAGCUCACACAAUUAAUUGUGGAGAACUGGGUGUCAGGGUUCGAACCCCGACCCCUGCAUAUAAUAUGCAAUAUCCCUACCAACUGAGUUAAGCUCCCGGGGAUAGUUUUUAUUUGAACUAUUUUGGACAUCCGUACCAUGGCAUAAAGUUUGUCAAAAGAAAAAAUAAUUUUCAAGAUAUUUAGAAAAGAAAAUUUUGCAUCGUGAAUUUUCAUUUGCUUCUAUAUAAUUGUUCAACUUAAUUCAUUAUAGGAGAACUACACAGUUGAAUAAGAAAAGAAAAUUAUGCAUGGUUGAUUUUCAUUUCCUUCUAUACAGUUGUUCAACUUAAUUAAUUAUGGGAAGGACAAAUACACGGUUAAAUAAGCAACAUUAAUCAUAUUUACCUUUAUAUCAACAAAAACAAGAAUUUUUUUAUAUAAUCUCAUAAAAAUAAGAAAUAAAAAUCAUAUAUACCUGCUCUUUGAGAAACUAAAUGCCAUUUUCCUUCACCAUACUUCUGUAUACAAGCCUUGAGUAGCUUGUCUUCCUCAUAUGUCCAUGCACCUUUUCUCAAACUUCUAGUCUUCUCCAUAUGCAGCUUUCCUUGUAUACGCUAUCCAUAUACAAAAUAUAGGCAUCAUAUUUUUAUCUUGAUAUAUGUUUUUGAGAGGAAAGGUUGAGUAAAAGACAAAGGAGUUUCUUUCGUAAUUAACAGAAGACAAAAGUAUGAGAGUGACACCACUUUUCUUUUAUUUUUUCUUGAUACAUCAAUUUAUUUUAUUUUUAUAAUUUAUUUUUUACCAUGAAGGUAUAGUAAUAUUUUAUUAUUUAGAUAUCAAUUGUGCCAAGUAUCAUAUACACUUGGGAACAAUUAAUUUCUUUUCGCGAAUGUAUCUCAAUAUGUCAUAUAUAUAUACAAAUAGGGUUUUGUUAACUUAAACCAACAAAAACUAUGAAUGUCUAAGUUACUAAGAGUUCACAUUUUUAUUUGGACAAAAACACAAUUAAUCUUUAUUAUUUAAAAUACUAAUAAUUUGAGGAUUAAUUUAACAAUUUAAUAAUUAUACCCUUUGUUUAAGAAUGGUUUAUAAUAGUAGUAGGUGUACAUUUUUGUCCAAAUAAAAAGGUGUACACUUGUUAACUUAGACUUUCAUGUUUUUUAUUGGUCUAAGUUAGCAAACCUCAUAUAUAUAUAUAUAUAUAUAUAUGGUGCGUGCAGGGGAGAAUCUAGUUCAUGGACAUGUGUGGCUAUAGUCAUACAUGAUUUUUUUUUUAAAAUAGAAAAAUUUCUUUAGCGACCGAAUUAUCAAUCACUAAGAUAUGAAAAUCGGUCGCUAAUAUGUUAGCGAUAGAAAUUAUGCUGAAUGUUCAGUCGCUAAAGUAAAAAUAGGUCUCUAGUACGUUUAGCGACAGAAAUAGUGAUCGAAGAUUCAGUCACUAAAGUAUAAAAUAUUAAAAAUCGAUCAUUCUUCGAUUGCUACUUAUUUUGCCACACUUAAAAUGUAUGCCUAGAUCCGUCUCUGGGUGCGUGUAAAAUAUAAAUAAUAUAGAAUCAGUAAUUGUGGUUGGUAUAGAUGAUCGGACCUUUCACUCACAAUUGUGACUUAAGUUCAGAGGCAGAUCAAGAAUUUGAGAAGUAUAGAGGUAAACUUUGCAGAGUGGAUAUGUUGUCGCAAUGCUAUAUUAGAAUAACUAUAAAAACAAGACUUAAAUAUGUAAAGGUUAGUGUAAGUUCGUGUGUUUUUGCUUUUCGUCCAUGUAUUUUUUUUUUCUUUCAAAACCACCCUUGUAACUUGUUAACCUUUUGCUUUUAGUCCCUCCCAUUGACUUCUGUUACAAAAACGCUUUGCUGGCAAACAGAGUCACAUGUGGCAAUUGUUGGCAUGGUAAAACACGCUUAUGUGUACUGACUCAAGUGGGCGGUGAGAUUGGUCCCCUCGGUUAGUUGAUUCUUGAAUCGGAUACCGAGUUUUCAAAAAAAAAAAGUGACUAGAUUUGAGGGACCAAAACCAAUAACGCAAAAUUGCAAAGGGAUGAAAUUGAGAAAACGUAAACAUUAAAAUUUGAAAUUUAAAAACUAGAUCUUCUUUAUCCUUCUCCCUUUGUUUUUUUUUCUUUAUCUCCAACCUCAAUUUCUUCAUCUCUAACAAAUUUUUCUUAAUCUCAGUUUUUUCUUCUUAUUCCACUACCAAAUUUUUCAUUUUCCUUCCAUCCUUUAUUCAAAAACUUUUUUAUAUUCCCAUUGAGAUCCAAUUUAACAAAUUUUCUUCUCAGGAGUCUUUACUAUUGGCAUUACCACACUAGUACCUAUCAAAUUAGGAUGCUUUUUCCCCAGAUUUGAUGAUAGUUUUAGAGGAAUCAACAACAAGUUCAGCCUCAGAAUAUUCUAGAUUGAGUAAGGAUUUAAGAAUUUUGGUGAAGAAAAUUGAUUUGGAGAAGAAGCCGGAAGGGAGGGUUUUGAUUGAGUGAGAAGACGAAGUUGAAGGAGUGCCAGAGGUUCGUUGUCGGAUUUUGAAAGGGAAGGAUGGGAUGGAUGGGAGAGGGAAAGAUUGUUGUUUGGGAAGGUUUUCGGGGGUUUAGAAAGGGGUUUAUUGGAUUGUGAUGGUUUUGUUUUGAUUUUGGAUGUGGAUUUUUUGUGGAAACUAGUUUUGGUGGUGGUGGAUUUCGUUGUUGUCUUGGUGGCGUUGAAGAAAUGUGAGAUCUGUCAGAAUUUGAAUUGGAAUGAAACUGCAUUUUUUUGAUCGAAGAAGAAUAAAAAAGGGAAAUGGUGUCUUUUUUUCUUUUCUUAAAUUAAUUUAUUAGGUGUCAAAUAAUUACACAUGUGGACAAAUGAAAAAAAAUUACCACAUCAGCACCACAUCAACGAAUUUGAUGAGUUAGAUGGGUCAAAAUACUAUUUUUGUAAUAAUCUUUGUUUUACAAUGAUAGAAAUAUAAUUUAUUUUUUAUAGGACAUAAACCGGAAAUUGCCUAUAUAUUAUAUGGGGGUAAAACACUAUUAACCAAAAGAUAAUUACAACAAAUAAAUUGAUAUAAACUCUCUCAUCGAUGAAAAUCAUGUCGAUUAAUCAAAGUGAUAUUGAUCAUUGAAGUAAGACAUUCUCCCAAUCCUAAUGAUCCUAGUCUUAAAUCUCCACAUUGUGUAUUUGUUAUUUACGGUUAAGGCAUCAUUGGAGUCAUUUUUGUACCAAAAUUUCUUAAAACAAAAUGCUAAGGACAAUGCAAUUAUAUAUGUAUAUGUAUGAUGAAAUUGUGUUGAAUUUAGACAUGGUUAAACUUGGUGAUUUAAGUUUGUCGUUAGAAUAAGAUGUGUAACAAUAUUUAUAAGUUUGGUUAGUCAUAAGAUGUGUUUAUUUCUCACGUACAAUUUGAUGAUGAUACUCUGGUUUUGUGAGAGAAAAGUAAGGCAAAUGUUAGAGCUUAGAAUCGUAAUCUCAUUCUCUUUGAGGCAAUUUUGGCGUUAAAGAUGAAUUUUCAUAAAAGUUGGUUGGUGGGGGUGAAUGUGCUUUAAUCUUGGUUUGUGGAGGCAUCGUUGGUGCUAAAUUGUAAAAGUAGUCGUAUUCAUUUGAUUUACCUCGAGCUUACUAUGGAUGUGACCCUCAUCGAUCAUGUUUUUUGUAUCUAUUGAUUGAGCUUAUAAUUUUUUUUUUCUAGGUGUAAAAAUUGAGAUUUUUUUUUAAGAGGAAUUAAAAAUUGAGUUAAUGUUAUAAUUUAUGUUUUUUUAAAGGGUGUUAUAAUUUAUGUUUUUUUUUUUAAGAAAACGAGGUAAAUGAUAGCACCUCUAAAUACAUAGUUGAUUAGUUUUAUUUAUACCGGAUAUACAUAAUUUUUUUUAAGGAAGCAUUGCGUAAUUCUGAAAGUAUAGUAUAUAAUAUAAUAAUAUAAUUUUAAAAAUUUUGAGCCUAAAUAAUAAUAAGAAAAACUGGAGCCCUAAAGCCUAGCUUGAAAAACCUUAGGCUUUAUUAGAUAAUGAGGAAAUGAGAGGGUUUUGGGAUUGGGAAAUAAAUAUAUGUCAAAAUAGAGAAAAAAAUUUACAUUUUUUAAAAAGAGUAUAUUUUUUUUAGAUAAUGAUAAAUCAAUGUUUAUAAUUAAUAUAAUUUUACUUUUAGGAAUACUAUAAAAACAUAAAUUGACUUUGCUCUAAAAAAACAACAUAGAUUGAAUUUAAAUAAUUUAUAAAACUCUUUAAAAUCUUUCUCCAAUAUAAUUUUUGAAUUUUUUCAAAUUAAAAUAUUUUGGUAUUAUAAAGAAAAUUAAACCCCGCAAUGCGCUCUCCUUCCAAAACUCUUCUUUUCACCCACUCCUUUUCUUCCAUAAAGUUCUCCCAUUUAUACCCCUCCAAACUUGAAAACAAAGUUUUAGUGCUUGUUUGGGUGCACGUUAAGCACUCUCAAAAGCACCUUUGUAGUGUUGAAACGUGAUUUCAUGAAAUUUGAAUAUGUUUGAAUCUGAGUUGAAAAAUUGAUUCUAGACCUCAAACGCAAUUCUAGCUAAAACAACUAUUCCUAGCUUCUGGCCAAAAUCAAUUAUUGGAUGCCAUUUACCAUUUCACGACUUUGCCCCUAUUUAAUGGCCACGGUUCGUUGUUUCUUUUGUUACAGAAACAUUUGUUUCUCAAGGUUAGAGAAGAUAAGUCAUAUGACUAGGGCCCAUUUGUUUAAUAAUUAUAAUUUUUUGGUCUUAUUUGUUUAACAAAAUGGAAGACGGACCAAUUAUUUUUUAACGUGGUUUGAUUUUUUUUUUUUUUUAUUAUCUUAGAAAAUUCAAAUAAAAAUUGGGGUAAUAUUUGGGUUAUUUAAAAAAUGAUACUGUAUGAAUUUAAAUAUUUAAAUAAAAUUGAAUUAAAAUUAAUUCACAAAUAUACACAUACACAUAUUAAAAUUCAUUUUGGUCAUUUACACACCUAAACGCAAUUUUGACACAAAAUAUCUAAACAACUAUUUACACACGAAUCACUUCUUUUGUAAAGGUAUCCAAACAUAAACCACUUUAAAUUAAACUCGUUUUAAUUGACUUUUUCCUUAAAAAUCUUACACAAAUCUUAAACGACUAUUAUUUUGACACAGGGGAAAUAACUUUUCUUCGUUAUUGACAAACCUAAUUUUCUUGAUUUUGGUUGGCUACUCACGCAGACAAAACUUUCAACUAAAAAAAACUCGAUAUAACAACUUGACAAAUUUUCUUUUUAAUAUUUUUUAGAAUCGUGCCGACUUCUAACUUAAUAGUAAUAUAAGUUAAGGGGUUAAAAAGAAAAUUUGUUAUUGAAAAAAUAAUAUUUAUAAAUUUAAAAUAUUCAAUUUAUAAUUUUCAAAUUUAUAUUCUUACGUUUGGUUUUUUAACUGUUUCCUUAAGGGAAAAUUUAGAAUUUGCCUUGUUUUAAUUAUUUAUAAUUUGUUUCGUGGCUAUUUUGUUCCUUAUUUGUGACUUUUAAAAUUUCAGGUUUCCAUUUCGGAUAUACUACCUCUGUUUCAGAAUCAGUGUCAUUUUAGCUAAAAAAAAUUGUUUCAAUAUGAAUGUCACUUUACAUUUUCAAUGCAACUUUCAUUUUUUUCUUCAAACUUUACCCUUAAUAUAUACUCUAACUUUUCUACCACACAAUUUCCAAUGCAACUUUAAGUUUAUCUUUUUCUUAUGGGUCAUGUUAACUUGUGUCAUAAGGGAACAAGUUAAGGAGUUUAAAAUGGAAAUUAAAAAAUAAAUUUUAUAUUGAAAAUAUAACUUUUGCAACUUUUAAAACAUUGAAUUUAUGCACAACUUUCAAGAAAAACCUUCUCCAUUUGCCUUCUUAACUUAUGUCUCAAGGGCAAUUUAGUAAAAAUGGUAUAUCUAAUGAUUAUUUCAUUCCAUUUAUUUAUUUUGAACAAUUCAUUCUAUUUUUUAAUCUGUGUGCCAGCACCUAAAACGACACUCAUUUUAAAAUGGAGAGAGUAUAUUAAAAAUCAACCUAAUCAUCAUGAAGUCCUUGAAUCUACAAACUCUAUGUUACUUGAGAUUGAAAUCACAUAGUGCAGCAUUUGUUCCUUUGGUUGGAGAUAAAUAUGUUUUGUCUCUACUAAAAACUAUGUAUUUUAGAAAAUGAAGGACCCUAAUUUUGAAGAAUGGGGAUUUAGUUAUCAGUUAAAUUUACCAACUGAGCUACCUUCAUAGAGCUAAUUUGAAUUGAUAAUACUUGACAAUCGUACCGCAUAUAGGCUAGUGGUAAUAUAAUUGUAUAAAUUAAAACAACUAAAGGUAAUGAUAAAAUUUUUACAUAAUAAAUCAUUAAAUAAAUCAAGAUAAUAAAAUAGAAUUAAGCAAUAUGGCAACCAACAGGGUUAAGUCUGCCGGAAAUUUUUCAAUCGAUUUUUUUUUUAUAGAAAAUAAAAUGUAUUAAUGUGAUAUUAUAUAUUGUUGGAAUGUAUUAGAUGUAGGGAUGGAAAAAAAAUCCGCACGCGUAGAUAUCCGUGGAUAAAAUCCUCCACGGACAUGGAGUGGAUACCUUAAUUGAUAUCCAUGGAUAAAAUAAAUGGAUUUUUUAACUAUCGUUAAUUAAUGGAUACAGAUGCGGAUGUAAUUGUAUCCACACCCGCUAUUAAACAGAGUAAAUUACAUAAAUAACCUUAAUAUCAUUCAACUUCCUAAGAAAACACCCUAGGUAUUGUAAGUGUUAUUAGUUAUUAUACUCCUUUAAAAGGAAGUGAAAGUGGUUGAGAUUGUUGAAGCAAAAGUUUUUUUUUUUUUUUUAUUUUUAAUAUCAUGAGCUUUACUUAUGUUUUUAUUAAAUCAAAGUUAACUUUUAUUUUUAAUUAAAUAAUAAAAGUACUUUAUUUAUUGUUUUUAUUGAGUCAAUGAUUCUUUAUUGUUAUUGUAAUGUAUGAAUAUUAUGUUUUGUUAAAAAGAAAAGAAAAUGCAUGUGAAGAACCUUUGUUUCUAAAUUUUAGCAAACAAAAAAAAUUAAACAAAAUUUUUAUUUUAUUUUUACAAAUGUUAUCCAUGGAUAUCUGUAUAAACCCGCAUAUACCUCAAAAUCCACGGAUUACCCGCUAAAAGGAUAUCGACACGGAUAUGGAUAGGGUACGGAUUACAUAUUUAUGUAACGGAGCGUAUCACACUAUCCGCAUCCAUGGAUAUCCAUUUACAUCCCUACUGAUUAGAUGUGGUAUUAUAUUAUUUUUGGAAAUAUGUAUUAUUAUUAUGCUGUAUUAUUAAUAGUGAUAAUCAGCUUUGAGUCUAUUUAUAUAUUUUGCCUUUUCGAUAAAUGUUGCUGCUUAAAAAAAAGAGUAGUGAUAUAUGUACAAUCAUUUGGUACAACUUUGAUGACAACUUUUAUUUGCUCUCUUCUCAUUGAUCCAAAACAAUAGAGAGAGAAAAAGAAAGAGAGAGAAUAAGAAUAUAAUGUAAGUAUGAGAGAGAAAGUUGUCAAAAAAUUGUAAUAAAGUGGUUAUACAAAUAUCAUUUCUCUUAAAAAAAAAAGAACAAAAGUUAAAGAGUCUUUAUACAUAUACUAUCUUAGGUGGCAUACACCUUUUUGACAUCCACCCAUAAUUGCCACAUGUAAUAAAAACAUUGAAAGAAGAGACGAGAGAGGUUAUGAUGUGUUGCGAGAUUACUAAAAUACCCCGACACAUGAAGGUGUACAUGAGAGGUAUAUAAAAAAAGGAUGUUUACCUAUCUUUUUUCAAAGUUAAAUGGUAAUAACGGAGAAACAGCCUGAAAGACAAAAUCUGAAUAAACAAUUUGAAUUAAAAGCUGGUGUAAACUUAGAUAUCGUAUCCUUUAUAUAUGGCAUUGUAGCCAUUCAAUCAAUACAGUACGAAACUGUUCCUAAACGAAGUUGACAAUGGAGUCCGCAGUAGAUGACACUUAGAAUGCUUCCAGAUGUUUGCUUUAUGUGUGGUAUUAUAGGCCAUACAAUACAAUCAAUACAGUAAGAAACUGUUCAUGACCUAGAUUGACAAUUUGUCCAAAGACUAUUUUGUUUUUCAAACCAGAGGUUCGCAGGCAGCAGGAAUUAAUGCUUCGCAUGCUAGAUUUGGAUUUCAUAAGAAAAUUAUUUGAUACCUAAAAAGUUUGGUUGACUAUUAUUUUUGGUGUGAAUCAAAUAUAUAUUUUUGCAUAAUUGCAUAAAUAAAUCUUUCAAGUUGGGUAAAACUAUAAUAGAUAACAAUUUUUUUUUAAAUAUUUAAAACUACUACAUUUUUGGAGUUGGAUUCGAAUCUAAAGCAUCUAAUUAAGUUGAAAGAUCCUUUAGGGUGUGUUUGGAUGGAGGGUUAAGGCGGAGAAGGGAGGGGAGGGUUUACUUUUCUUUUUUAAAUUAUGGACAUUAUAAAAUGAUUUUUUGAAAAUUGAAUUAACAACAUGAUAAAUGAUCAUAUAUUUCUUCAAAAACACUUAAUUUAUUUUAAAAAAACAUUUUGAAUUGUUCGUAAUUUAAAAUAUAAAAGUGAGCCCUCCCCUCCCUUCAUCUCCUAAACCCUCAAUCCAAAUACACCCUUAGUAUAUCUCAUACAACUGUUCUUUAGGUUACUGUUAUUUGUAAGCAAAUCUUAUUUAAAAUACCCAAUAAAACUUAAAUGAGAUGACACAAAUCUCGAUCCUCUAAUAAGUGUGCGAAUACGUCAUUGCUCAAAAAAGAGUAUCAUAUCCAUUGUUUUAUUAAUUUGAUAUUUCGGCUUUCUGCAUCUUUGGUGACGAUUUUUAACUUUAUUCCACAAACUCUGUAGACUUGGUGAAUAAUUUUCAACUUCUUGGUCAUCGGAAGAUGUAUUCAUUAUUGUAUUGCUCUAUGACUUGGCUUGAUCAACAAGUCUUCAAAAUUUGUAGUGUUUCCCCAUUUACGUUAAAAGUAUCUUAGUUACUUUAAUUUUUGGAGUUAAGGUGACUAAAUAUUUUGGUCAAAUAUUGUCGUGAUAAUAAUCCAAAUGGUUUAGAUGAAUCAAUAGAAAGUUAGGUUUUGAUAUUGAUGGGCUAGGUACUAAGUUGGUUUAGGGUUUGAAGUCAAAAUUCAUUUGUUUCUAAAAUAUGUUUGUGUUUUUGUGAAAAAUGGUUGUCGGACCAAUUUGAUAAAAAAAAGUACUUCAAAUUCUUUUUGGGGUAAAACUUUGUAAACACAGGAUAUUAUGGCUAAUUUUUUUCUAGAAAAAGACUUAGAAAAUAUUUGCGUUUUGAUAAAGAAAAAAAAUAGUAAAUUUUCUUAAAUCAUUUACAUCUGCAUGGAUAUUAAACCCCUUAGAUUAUAUACCUAGGUCUAGGUUAAAUUGAAAGUGACCGAGCCCUAUGGAUUUUAUAUUAAAUAGGUUGUUAUUGCAAAAGGUUAUGAUGAGGGGAAGGAUAAGACUUUUGUUGAUUAAAGUGUGAGAGGUAUUAAGUAUUCUGAUUGUCGAUUUUGAAAAAAAUUUAAAAGGAAAAAUAGUUGCACUCUUUUUUUUUUGAAGGAAGGAACCUCAAGUUCUUGUCUAAAAAACAAACACGCUCUUGUCUUUGAAAAUCAGGCGUUACAUAUGCCUUGAUUGAUAUUUUUUUUUAAAAGAAUACUAGUAACACACCUUCUAUCAUACAUUUUUUAAAAUAAUAAAAUAUAUAAGUAAACAUAAUACCACUUUCCUUCUAACAUUAUUUUCUUAGCAUUCCUUCCUUCAAACAUACACUUUUCUUCACUUCAUUUCAAACAACUAUUGAUUGAUAUAAGUAAACAUAAUACCACUUUCCAAAAUAUGUAUUUUUUUUUCUUCACAAUUUGUUAUCUCAAACAUCCAUCUUCUACCUUCUACUCUUCGAAAACUCUUAGAUAUUGAUUGUGAAUUUAAGAACCUGUAGGGAUUCUUUGUACGUUAGAUUAUGAUAUUCUAGGAUUUUGCAAUUGAGGGUGGUAGAAACUAGGGGAGUUUGCGGUGCGGUUUGCAUCGAUUUUGAGGUAAAAUAUCAUCUGAUUCAAAAUAAAAAUCGCAUGCGGUUCGAUUCAGUUUGGAUGACUAUUCUAAAAAAUCCGAAACGGACCGAUCCAAAUAUAUGCGGUUUAAUUUGAAUCAGUUUUGGAUAUCCAAAAUGCAAAGUAUAUAUUUUUUAUUUACCAUUUUUUGAAGAAAAUAUUUUUUUUUAUUACUAUUACACAAACACGGUAAAAUAAUAGGUGUGAUGUAAAAUAUAUUAAAAAAAUCAAAAUUACAGCAUGAAAAUUAUUGAUUGUUUUUUAAACAUAUAUUAAAUUAGUGUAAUAUAUAAGAUUAAAAACUAACAAGCAACAUAAUAAUGCAAUAUAUACUAUUAAUAAAAGAUUGAAUAAGUCUUAAUAUUUACUUUUGUGGUUUGGUGUGGUUUUGAAAAAAGAUCCGGAAUCCGUUCCGAUCCUGGCGGUUUUUACAAAAUAACACUACCAAACGUACUACCAAACAUAUUCUGUUUUUUUAGAUCAGUUUACGGUUUUAUUUUGGAUCCGUUUGAAUUUGAACACCCUAAUGAAAACCUAAAAAAAGAUUGAGGUAUUUGACUUCCUUUGAGAAAUUCGGGUGGUUUUCUUCCUCCAGCAUUUCAGUUUUAAUUGACAACUUAUUAACAAUCACAUGAGAAUCAAAGAUUGAGUGCUCAAUAUCAAAGAAGGCUCAAUGUGCUUUAGUGGCUCAUGCUAAGACCGAGGAGGCUCUUGGAUUGAUUGGAUCAAAGUAUUGGUUGAUUGGCGAGGUUAUAUUAAAGAGUUGGAGGUUUGAGUCUUGUGCGGCAAGAUUCAAGGACAACACCAUGAAUUUUUGAAAGAUUGGAUUCUAGGUUAAAAUCUUAAGUCUCGGAGCAAUUUUACUUUUAAUGUAAACAUUUUCAUAAACACUUGAUAUUUAAUAUUCAACAAAACUUCAUUGAUGUUUGUCUUUGGAAGUGGAAGUAACCGACUAAGAAAGUUGGUGAACCACGACAAACACAUGUGUUCUUUUCUCAUUCCCUUCAGUCUUUGGUUUAUGUUUAGAAUUAAUUCAAUUGUGGAUUAAAAUUUUCUUUUUAAAAAUCUAAUUUUUUAUUGAUCUGAAAGAAUCCCUAUUUAGUGUUGAUAUCAAUCUUGGAUUGUUAUCACUUACUUGUCAAUAUUUCACUUUUGCUUAAAAUAAGUUUUAACAAGUUAAAAAUUGUAUCCAAAUAAGUGAUUAUCAAAUUUAGGCUUAUUGAACAAUAACUUCAGAUUAAGUGAUUAUCUCAAUCAUUUAAUUUGAUUUAUUCAUUUGGUUUUCAUUAACAAUCAAGUUCUCAUUUGUGCGUUCAAAUAAGCAUAAUUCAAGUUAUCCAUUUUUUCCGCUUCACACUCUUUUGAAAAACUUCAAAAAUAAUUUUUAUAUCUAUUCUAUUCACACUCCCCUACAGAUACCUUGAUCUAUUGUAAUUUGUAAACCCUUCCAUUGAUAACGUUAGAAGUUCUACCACCGAUUAUAUUAGUUUGAAAAGGAUAAUUUAUAAUAUUUUUUAUGGUAUAAGUAUGAAAUCAGUCGAAAAAUCGCAUAUUAAGUUUAACUUUGUUUAUCCUUCCAAAAAAAAAAAAAGUUUAACUUUGUUUAAAAAAUUGUAAAAUUCUUCAUGUACCAUAUUACUUUUGUUUCCGUUGUAUUGUCCAAAUAAUCACUUUCUGAGGAGUCCAUUUCUCAGAAUAAAAAUGUUAGAGAUUGAAUUGAUCUUUGAUAAUCUUUAUCUUUAUGAUAUUUAGGUCUUUACAUGGGUUGUUGUUUCAAGUCCCCGCAACGCCUACCUUAACUACGCCACAAUGGCUCCUAGAAUUAAAUACAAAUAUGUGCUAAACCAAUCAAAAGGGAGGAUUGUAACUUAGCUCAAAACUUAUCAACUACUAUAAAAUAGUGGGUUCCUCUUAUAUGUCCCACAUCGGAUAAAAUAGUAAAGGUUAAAUACUUUAUAAGUAAGAGGAUCCAUAAACUCAUUGCCUUAAGAUUUUGGAUAAGAGUGUGGUGUCUCUCUUCCUUAUGCGGUUGUUCUAGCCUUGAUGUGGACGGUUCCUCGAACUCUCUCAGUGACCAACACACCUCCUAGGUAUAACAACACUUCAUAUCUCAUUUAAACCAUGUUUUACGACCUAUUUGCACCAUGUACUACUAUUACUUUUGACAUCAUAUUAUUAUCUUUGCAGGUAGGUACUGUGUUCAUUGUAUAGGAACAAAUUUUAUUAUCGUUUUUUCUUUUAAUAAACUUACAUGUGCAUCACACAUGUAUACGAUAUAGUAAUAUUCUAUAGUUUGGAUAUAUUAAAAAAAUGAUCUUCAUUUAAUUUCUAUUCAAAUUUUGUUAUAUUUCCUCAUAAAAUACCCAAACCAUGAAAUAUAAAGUAGAAUCACUGUUUCCAUUCAUCUCAAUUGCAUUUCAUUCCUCUUUAUUUUGUUACAUAAUUAUUAUCCAAAUCAUUUUUAUUGAAAAAUAAAAAUUGAUAAUAAAAGACCUUGUUGUGUAGAGCUUGAAGGCAUAACUAAGAAUAUUACACAACAAACUAAAGAUCCUAAAGUGUGAAUCCCAAAAAGAGUCAUAACCAUUUAAAAACCUUAUAGUUCUGCUCUUGUAAUGAAGAGCAACCACAUUGCACACAUAAUAUUGGGGCAUUACCUAGUCUUGGUUGUGAAUCAGAAGCACAAUCUCUACCAAUUUGAUCAGGAACCAUAGUGUCUGAUGAGGCAUCAUGAUAUCUAGGAACCUUACCCAAUAUUGGAUGUGUCACAAAAUUAUGUUUCCCAUUCAACCAAGGUGAAUGAGUUGAAAAAGUUAAUGGACGAGGUUUAAUAACUUCAUGAGCUUUAAUAAUUUCCUUAGGGUUAUCUUUUUCUUUCUUUUCUUUUGCUCUUGAAACAUCCUUAUUCUUCAAAUGAGUGUUCCAAUAGUUUUUCACAUCAUUAGCUGUUCUACCUUGAAGUCUUGCAGCAAUCAACGUCCAUCUAUAUUAUAUGUAUAGUUAGAUGAAAUGUCAUCUAAAGAGUAUAGAUAGAUAUAGAUUACUAUAGCAUGAAUACAAUAAAUAAUUAUAGCUAGACUGCAUGCAUUAUGAGAUCUAGCAUACAAUAAGAAAUUAAUUUUAAUUUGGCUUUAUUUGGAAGCUUACCUAUUCCCCAAGAGGUUGUGUAACCUAAGGAUCAUAUCAGCUUCAUCCUCAGAAAAGAUUUCUCUGUUGAUGGUUGGGUUUAAAUAAUUUAACCAUCUCAAUCUACAACUUUUUCUGCACCUAUUCAGUCCUGCCAAGUAUGUUUGCCAAAUAUUUUGAUAAUAUAUAUGUAGAAAUUAAAUUAUGCAUAUCCUUGAUUUACAUUUGCAUUUAUAUGGUUGUUAAAUUUAAGACUUAAUUGCACUUUUGGCCCCCUAUCUUUUCAAAAGUGCAAUUAAGCCUAAAUUUAACCAAUUAUAUUUUUUACACUAAUGCUAUGUAUCGCGAGAAAGGAUCCCGCGAAGUUUACCGACUUAACACUAUAUGCCCACCUUUUUUUUUUCCGCCAAAUUCAAGAUUAGAAUUAAAAAAAAAUGUUGUCAUUUUGUUUAAAAGUAAAAACACGCUCGGGACGUUUUCGAGAGUUCGCUAUAUAUAGCACUUCUCUAUUUUUUAACCGAAUUUGUGCACCUUUUUAUUGUAUUUAUCAAUUUACUGCACUCUUUUUUUUUGUAUUUAUGAUUUUGGGAUGAAUCGUGGCUCUCAUCCAUGAUUUCCUUUUGAUUUAUAUUCACAAAAACGACUUUUCUUAUUUUUUGUAAAUUGAUUAGAAGUCGUUGCUAAUAUUAUAAACUUCAAUUUAAAAAGAAUAGUAUAUUAGUACAAUAAAUCAUAUGAUUAAUUAAAAAAUAACAGAAUAGCACUAUUAUUUUAAAUCCAUCAAAUAAAUAUUUUUUUAACAACCAAUAUUAUUCAUGCUACCAACCUGUCAAGAAGAGAGAGCUGGUGCCAAUGACAAACAAGACCCCAGCGCAAACAGCAAAAGGAAUAAAUAGCUCUAACCACUAAAUAUAUUAAUGCAAUAAUUUAAAUGGUGAGUUUCUAGUCACUAAGGCUAUUUGACAAAAAAAAAUAAUAUUAAUGCAAUAUGGCAUAUAUUAGUUUUCAGUUGUUAUUUUGAUUGUUUUGGAUAUAAUCAUACGUACUCUAGCAUAAAAAUUGUCACAUUAAUAUUUAGAAAAGAAAAUUAUGCAUGGUUAAUUUACAAUAUUUGCUUCAAUAUAAUUGUUCAAUUUAACAAUUUAUUACCCAAAUACGCAGUAGAAAAAGCAACAUUCACUAUACCUGCUCUUUUAGGAAUUAAAUGCCAUUUUCCUUCACCAUACUUGUUAAUAUAAGCUUUGAGUAACUUGUCUUCCUCAGAUGUCCACGUACGUUUUCUCUUGAUUCUGCUAUUUUCCAUACACAUUUUUUCUCAUAUACGUUUUCUUUAAAUGUCCAUACACAAAUAUAUAGGCAUGAUCUUUUGUCUUGAAAUAGUAUAUAUUUAUGUUACGUGCAUUAGAGGAAAGGUACGUUACGAAAAAGACAAAGGAGUAUGACGUCACAUUUCCUUAAUUUUCGUUUUUUCUCGAUACAUCCUUUUCUUUAAUUUUCACCAUAAAGGUUACUCUAAAUAAAUUUUGAUAUAUGAAGUGUGGCAAGUAUGAGAACCGCAGAAAUUAUUUAUGAUGAUCAGUAAAGUAAGCAAACACAUCAUUUGUCUCAUAAAUACAGCUUCAGAUAGUAAAAAAUCGAAGAAACAUGUAAACGAAAUAUGUUGAGAUUUCCUCAACAAAAAAAAAAAAAAUGUAAUAUGUUGAGAUGUACUCCUUCCAUGUCUUGCAUAUAGAUCUUCAUGGUAAAUUUCACUACAUGGACCUCUAAUAUAUUAUAUAAAUUAAUAUUUGAUUUGAUUCAAAUAGUUUAGGGAUGAAGUCUUGUGUGGUUAAAGAUAUGGACACAUUAUUUAGACACACACUCAAAAGAGAUAAAAGGUUGAAUAAAACAAAAAUGAAAUGAUGUGUUUUUACAUAAAUUAAAGGGUUAAUAGUGUUUUAACCCUUGUAAUAUAGAGCACUUUUGAUUUUGUCUCCAAUAAUUUUUUUUUCUUAGAUUCCGUCCUUGUAAAAUAAAGAUUCUUCAGGAUUGCCCCCUGAUCCCUAUGACUCAGCAUUACGUGGAUAUUUUUUUUUAUCAUUUAUUCAUUGGCCACAUGUAUAAUUCAUUUAACAAAAUCAUAUUUAAUUAAAAAAAGAAAAAAUACAACAAAAAAUUAAAAAUUAAAUUUAAAAAAUUAGAAAAAAAUAAUUUUCAAAAUAAAAAGUUCAGAUUUUUUUUUUCAAAAAAAUCUGUAACUAAAUUUUCAAAAUAAAAAAAAUUAGAAAAUAUAUUUCAUAAAUUAGAAAAACAGAUUUGAAAUUAAAAAAAGUUCAGAUUUCAUUUCAAUAGAAAAAUUCUGGAAUAAAAUUUCUAACAACUUUUUCAAAAUAAUUUUUUUUCCAGAAUUUUUCUUUUUUAAAAAAAAUUAUUUCAGAAAAAUACAUUUUAUUUUCCUGAAUAUUAAUUUUUUUACAAAAAUAAUAUAUAUUUUUUAUUUUAAAACGUAUCUUAUUUUCCAGAUUUGUAAGUUUUUAGAAAAAAUAAAAGUUUUAUUUAGAAAAAAAUAUUUAUUUUACCAGAAUAUUUAAUUUUUGUUACAAAAAUAAAAUAAAAAUUUAUAAAAAUAGAAAAUUUUCUUAUUUUCCUGAAUUUUAUAUUUUUAGAAAACGUAAAGCAAACUUUUUUAUUUAAGAAAAAAAAAUUGAACUUAUUUUAAUUUUGAAUUUAUUUUUCUAGUUUUCGAAAUAUAUUUUCCAAUUUUGUAUUUUUUUAUUUUCGAAAUUAAGUUCCAGAGUUUUUUAUUAUAUUAGUAAAUAUAAUUUUUUCUGAUUUUUUUAAUUUUUAAAAAUUAAUUUUCAGUUUUUUAAUUUUAUUUAAUUAUAAAUGACGUGUAAUAUGUUUUUUACGCGUGAUAUCCGAAAAAAAUAAUGAAAAAUAAAAAAAAUAUCCACAUAAGUGUCAUGUAUGAGAUUCUGAUGAGUCAUAGGGGGCAGGGGACAAUCUUGAAGAAUUUUUAUUUUACAAUGACGGAAUCUGAAAAAAAAGGUUUUACAUAGGGCAAAAUCAAAAGUUCCUAUAUUACAAGGGGCAAAACCAAAAGUGUCUUAUAUUAUAGGUAGGAACGCAUAAAGCAAUUAUAAUCCUUUGAUACCAAGGUGUCUAGAACUUUGAAAUGCACAAAAGUGUAUAUAUAUAUAUAUAUAUAUAUAUAUAUAUAUAUAUAUAUAUAUAUAUAUAUAUAUAUAUAUAUAUAAUCUCUAACUUUUUGGAUAUACAAAGUCAUGAUUGGAAUUGUUUGGAUACGAACCCAAGGUUCAUACACACUAAAUUCAUUUUAUAAUUUUUUGAGCAACUCCUUUUUUAUUCCUUCUUUGAUACAUAUAUAUAGAAGGGGUGUUUCUACGGUGCGGUCAAGUAAAAUUGACUUAUUUUAGAAAAAGUUACUUUGUUUAGUCAAUAAUAUAAUUGUUAAUGACAUGUGAGCUACUGUCAUGUUGGUAGACUACUCUAAGACUAAACUUUACCUUAUUAAAAAUCAAUCCUCAUACAAAAUAUUAAUUAUUUUUGAUUUAUUAACUUGUUUUAUUUAAAAUUAAAUCAUUUAUUAAUUAUGCACAAGUUAAAUCAUUUUUACUCAUCCGCUUUCUUCUUCAUCUACAUAAGGGAAUCUCGCUAAGACAUCUGUUCUUUGUGAGAAGAGAUUGUUUCAUCUUCUUGCUCCAGGUAUUGUAAUUGGUGCCGCUCAUCGGAGGAGAAAGGAAUUGAUGAAGAUGAACAUAUUCAAACUGAUGAAGAUGAAAGGGACUCGAAAGAUUUAUGAUUUUGAUGAUGAAAAGAUGAAGGAGAUGAAAAGCUCAUAGGUAAAAGGAACUGAUGUAGAUGAACUAUUUUGAUGCAUACGUUUUACGAUUCCAAAAUAAAAUAAUAAAAAAAAUGUUUAAAUUUUAUUUAAUCAGGGACACAAUGGCAAUAAGUAAAGAUACAAUAACACACCUUGUGGACAAAUGUGCAAUAAACCCUAUAAUCUGAAGUGACAUUGAUUAAAUACACAAAUGGUAAAUGAUUGGCUAUAUUUCACCAGAAAAAUCAUUCUCAUGAUUUCACUAUAGAAUUUUCCAUAUACAAGUGGUAAUUUUGUAAUAAUGACACAAAUUUACAAAAAAAUAUAUUAUGUUGGAAUUAGGUCUAAAUAAAAAUCAAUUUCACAGAACAUGCAUUUUUUUUGGGUACACAGCACAUGCAUAAUUUAUUAUGUUGGAAUUAGGUCUAAAUAAAGAUCAAUUUCACAGGACAUGCAUAAUACAAAUAAAAGUAUAGAUCAUUAGCGGAAGCAAAAAAAACUUUGAGCAUGAAUAUGAUCGAAUCUACAACAUGCAUGUAGAUCUAUCAAGAUACUAAUAAUUAGGUAUUAGGAAUACCUUGAUGAAGUUUUGAUGACAGUCCUCUCAACAACAACGAUAUGAAAACACACAAGAAAUAUUAGCGGCGAUAUAUUUUGCUCUUUCUCAAACGGUAUUUUUAUGCCUCAAGUUCUCCUUGGAUGGGGAGAAGAGAGAGUAUGGUGUGUACGGUGUACUGAGGAACAUAGGCUCUUUUAAUAUGAUGGUCAUUAGGGUUUCCCAUUAUUCCGUUAAUGUAUCAUCCAUAAAUCCACUCAUAUUGAGUUUCAUAUCAAUUAAUUAAUUAUUUAGAUAGAAAUCUAAUCAAACUUAUUACUUAGUUUGAUCACUAAUCUAAUCAAUUAAAGCUCCAAAUUGAUAAAUAGCUAAUAUAAUUAUGAUAAUAAUAUUUACCCACAUAAUGAUAUUGAAAUAUAAUUAAAUAAUAAAAUAAUCCAACGUAUUAUUCCAAGAAUUCUUUUCAAUGCACAUGAUUUUUUUUUAAUAAUGCACAUGAUUUUUGUUACAUAUUUUUAUAAAAUGGACAGACGCAAAACUCAAAACUUACAAGUCUUUCAUCUAUUUUUUUUUUUUUUUUGUGGUGUUCACAGUUUAAAUUCUAGACUUUACAUAUAUUAUACAUUGUCUUUAUCAACUGAGCUAAACUCAUAAGGACAAUCUUUCUUCAUUUAAACCAGUCUAUAGUUGAUAAUGUAGUUGGUAAUUGUUGAAUGUAAUUAAAUUAUGUGAAAUACUACAAUAAAUUUUACUAUAACGUACGACUUUUAGCUGUUGAUAAAAAUUCUUCCUGGCGGUUACAUGGAUUCAAAUAUGAACACUUGGAUAUCUUUUGUUAUAUGUGUGGUGUUAUAGACCAUACAAUCAAUACAGUAAGAAACUAUUCCUGAUCAAGAUUGAUAAUUUGUCCAUGAGUUUUUUUUUUUCAAAGCAGAAGUUCAUUGGAAUGGUGGUGGGACUAGGGGGUGUGCAUGGUUUAGAAAGCAAACCAAACCAAAUAUUGUAGAUGAUGGGAAGACGGUUUCAAUAUUUAUACCAGUCACAGAAGGAGUUGAUUCUUGGCGUGCUAAUUUUGAAAAUAAUUUUAUGUGAAAAUUAUUAUGUAAGGAUUUAAAUUCAACUGAUCUAAAUUAAAUCGCAAAUUGAUAAAAAAAAAUAUAGAAUUUUUUUUAAAAAAAAAAAAAAUCAAAUAUUUUUUAUGUGUUUGAUGCUAUUUUGUAAAGAUAGUUUGAAUCGGAUUUCAUAUAAAUUUUUUAAACCCCAUCCAAAUGUUUCUUUUAUCAAGUAAUCGCGGUUAGAAUUUCAUUUCUUAAAGUUUAUAAGUGAGGAAUUCGUGGUUCAAACCCGACCUCUUUAUAUUAUGGUAAAAAGUGUAAUUAAGAUAGGGUUUAGAUAUUAUUAUCAACCUCAAGUAACCUGAUUGUUAGAAUUUGACUUCUUGAAAUAUUAUGAAUAAAGACAUUUUUUUUUUGUUAGUGAAAAAUAAUAUUAAGCGUUUUAUUGCUUUUAUAAAAGGAUUAAUGAUUUGAGAUAAAGAAAAAUAAUAAGAAAAAUUCCAUUUAAAGACAGUUGGAGGAGUAAACUAUAAAAAUUUGUCUCAAGUUAUUCGUUCAAAUAUUAACCGUUAGAGGAGUGUCAUGAACACUCUCUUUCUACCACUCUUAACAUUUACUCUCGUAUAGUAUGAAAUAUAUGUAAAUAUAUGUGAAUACCAUAUUAUAGAAAUGGAUCCCACGUAAACUGAUUUGAGAUUCGCAUAGGUUUCACCCACGGUAGGUAGGUGUUAGAGAAUGUUAAAAAAAAAAUGUUCGUAAGAUUUCUAAUGCUUAACAAAAAACAUUGAUGACCUCGAUGAUGAUUGUAUCGCUUGGACGGUAACACGCCAACAAUUGCAUGAACACUUUAUACAUAACAGUGAGCAAUAAAACAAAGUUUCAUCAGAAAAUAUUUUGAAAUUAAACAUAUAUAGAUAGGUCCAUGAUUUGUCCGUGAUUGUUAAGUAUGUAAUGAGUGAUAUUUGUCUUUUUUCACUAAGGUCCAUCAAUGACAAGCAAGUAUUACGGAAAAUGUAUACCUCCCCGGUCGACCCUCUUCCAAGACUAUAAGCAAACUAGUCCUACAUAACAUCACAUAAUAUCAUAUACACAAACAAACGAUCGACUUUAUUGUUGCCAAAAUGAUUGAUUCCAUUAUUAUAUAUUAUUAUCAGUCACUUUUCAUGGGGUUUUCUUUAACAGAUUGUUUAUAUUACUACUUCUAGAAGUCAAUGAAAACAUGCAUCUUUAUGAAUAUGAUUAUGUGGAGAGUAAACAUGCACGUUAAAGGCCUACGUAGCAAUUUGAUACGUGCUUCCCGAUUUGUUUUCAUCUCCAAAUGAAAAAUUAAAAUAAAAAACUUGUCGAGGUGAAAGGAAAAAAAAUUAACAGUGAAAAUUUAUACCAUUUCAUGAUUUAAGUGUGGUAGUUCUUAAGCAGGGCCUUUAUUUCCUUCCCACUUCAUUUUGUAUUAGGGCAUAUCAUGAGUUAGCAUGCCUAUCUUAUUCCUUAUAUGAUUUAACAAUAGUCACUUAAAGUAUGAAACAAAUUAAAGCACAAAGAAUUUGUUUGCAUGUAUAUUGCAGGCACUAGCUCUCAUGCUUUAUACUCAAAAUUUAUGUGCGAUAGUCACGAAGACAUUACAAUAGUGUUAGUUAUCUCUAUUACAAUAUGUUGAUAUAUACAUGUUGAAUUGAAAUCCGCGAUUCCUCAAAAAAAUAUCUCAAAUAAAUGAGCGCAACAAGAUCAACGUAUGCCACUUUAUUAUAACUUCUAUUUAGUGGUUUUGAAUAUUUUCCUCAUGCAAGACGUAAGGCAAGUAGUUUAACUUUGACUAAUUUUAGGACUUUGUGGUUGUUUUGAAGUUUUUUUUUUGUCAAGCAGUCUAGUGGAUAUAAUUCCCCUGCAUAUAAUAAUGUAUGUUCCUGCCAACUGAGUUAUGUUUAUGGUGACGAUUGUUUUGAAGUUUACUUUGAUAAUAAAUGAUUUAAGAAGCGUAUUGAUGCUGUCGAAAUUUUAAAACUAAUUUUAAAUUUUAACGGCGGAGAUGUAUCAUAUGUUUAAAUCUUCAUCAGAUCGCAUGUGCCAUGAAAACCUAGUCCAUAUUCAAACUUCUAUCUAAAUAUAUACUUGCUAGAACACAAUUUAAAAGUUUUCUAUGUAGAAACCGAUUUAGAGUCUAAGAUUUGAACGUCUCUAAAUUGAUCACCAGUGGCUUAUUAGCGAUCAAUUUGACAUUUGCAAUAUCUAAAUUAAUCAAUAAAUAGCAAUGCUAAAACAUUAAAAUCAUUGAUUUUUUUUCUAUAAGCAAACUUUUUUAUUAGUGAGAUUAUAAGAGGCACUCCAACCCUUACAGCAAAAGUAAUCCGAAUUCUAUGAAUGGUUGCAUGCAGUGUACCCGCCAUAUCAAGUUCUCCAAAUUCAGUUUAAAACAAGAAAUAACCUCCUUACAUAUAAUGCGUUAAUUGUUAUACAUCAAAAUACCUUCACAAGAACACUACAUUCUUCCAUUUUAUAAAAGAAGUACCCUACUAUCAAUGUAUAUUUGGACAAAAAGCUUCAUAGUCUCAUUGACGUACGGUUCAAGCAGACGGACGCUAGCAAGGCAACAAUUGCCCCAACAAUUUCUCCAUAACAUUUAGAGCUCGUUUGGAUUAGCUUAUUUUAGAGCUUAUAUAAAACAGCUUAUGCAAAUAAAUAAGUUUUUAUGUAUUAUUUAUAAGUUUUUAAGCUAGUUUAUGAAAAAACAGUUAAUGAAGAUACGAUUUUUGCAAAUGAGAGCUUAUAAAUUAAAAUAAAAGCUUAUAUAUUUACAUAAGUUGUUUUUCAUAUGCUCAAAAUAAGCUCAAACCAAACAUGGAGUAUCAUAAGAAAAUACUUUGAAAUUAAACGUGAGAAAUGCUAACGAAUACCUUCAAAUCACUCUUUAAGGACCAAAAAUAAAUUUUUUCAAAAAAAAAGGACCAAAAAUAAUAUUUUUUAUGAAAAUUUGUGUCUUAUAAUGUAUCGAAAUUCCAUAAUUGUUCCUGAUCGUGAAUUAUUCAAGUUAAAAUAGUCUUUUAGGUUAAAAUGCUCCAUUAAUAUUGUCAUAUCAAUCCCUCAAUAUACUAAUUAUUGUCGUACCAAUUAAUUCCUAUUAUAUAAAAAGAGUUUACAUCAACAUUGACGGACCAUUUUAACAUCAAAUAUUAUUUUGACUAACGAAAUACACAAUAAAAAAUUAUUUUAAAAUUUUGAUACAAUUAUCGAUUGGUCCAUGUGACGUGAUUUUUUUUUUUUUUUUAAAAAAAGCAAAAAUGGAAUUUAUUAAAAUCACAAUAACUCCUAACCAGCAUAAGGAAUGCUAGACUAACAUACAAAGGAAAAUAAAAGUUGUACCCAAAACCCUCACCCAAAAUACAAAAAAAUUAAAACCCUCAACCAACAUCACAAGCUGUCAUAAAAAACAAUUUCCACCACCUACGAUCCGCUGUUUGCACACAAUCCCCAAACAACAAUGUCAAGAACCAACACAACAAGUAACAACUUUUGAAAAGCAACAAAGAUUGAAACAACAACAACCACCUUCGCCACAACAACAAUCGAUGUCACAUUAACGAAUCCACCUUUGCAACAACAACAACAACCAGCGCAACAACAAAUCCCCCUUCACGACAGCACAACAAUCAACGCAACAACCAAAUCCACCAUCACAACGGCAACACCAUCGAUCCACAUCGACAAACCAUCAGAUAACAGUAGUCGAACUGGAUGAGAAGGUUCUGAUCGAACCCAACCGUUGAAGACCCACCGGCACCUCCUCACACCACCAAAAAUGUGGCCUACAUCACCACCUCACACCACCAUCACCUCAUCCACAAAGAUCUGGAUCGGAAGGAAACAUCCACCACACUAAAACACCAGACAACCUGUGUUUUUCUAACGGCCGCAAACUCAGUACCCACAAGAAAGAAAACAGCACCACUGCAGCUAACAGUACCAAAACUACCAUCAUCACCUCCUCUUACCACCAAAGUCGAGACUUAUCUCACCGCCAUCACCACGUCACACCACCAUCACUUCCUCCACACAAAUCUGGAACAGAUCGAAACAAACACGAAACAGCCGCCACGAAAGAACGAACAAAAACCGCGAACAACAACAACCACAGUCUACCGGCGCGGAAACCUCCGGGAGAUCUGGAAAGGAUGGUGCGGAUGGCUAAAGCCGACCGUCGCACCACCACCAACUGAUGUCUACAUGAUGACGGCAAAAUUUGGAUGAAAAGGGAAAUGGGUAAGUGUUUGGCGGUAAAGAAGUUAGAUAGAAGGGAGAGGAGAUUCUAGAGAGAAGUUUCUAGGGUACGACUACGUGACGUGAUUGUCAAGCAUGUAUUGUGCAAAGAGGUAUUCUUCCAUGGUCACAAGAUCAAAUCAAUACUGUUUGGACACACACAUAAAAAGAUUCUCCUCAAACUAUUCAAUCAUCUUUUUUAUCAAUUUCCUUUUUAUUAUUUAAAAAAUACUUCUUUAUUGUGCAAAUUAGUCCCACAUAACUUGAACUCAUAUGUACAAACUAACAAUCGACUUUAUUGUUUCCCAAAUGAUGCCAAACAAUCGACUCUAUUCUCAAUCACUUUUCACGGGAUUUUUAUUUACCAACAAUUUAUCAGAAGUAAAAGGAAACAUGCAUCAUUAUGCAUCUUUAUGAAUAUGUGGAUAUUAAAACAUGCACGUUAAACGCCUACGGAGCAAUUCCAUACGUGCUUCUCGGUUUAAUUUCAUCUCCAAAUGAAAAAUUAAAAUAAAAAAAACUAGUCGACGUGAAAAACAAAAAAAAAAUAGAGACAUGGUCUGCCAUAGAACAUUUAAUAAAGGCUUAAUUGCACUUUUAGUCCCCUAUCUUUCUAAAAAUUGUGAUUUGGUCUCUAGCUAAUUAAAAUACAAAACAACCCUUUAUGUAUUGGAUCUUUGGCAGUUUUAGCCCGCAAUGCCACUUUUGACUUAGUCUUCGAUGACGUGGCACCCACAAUGGUUGACACAUGGCCUCCUAUGUAUUUUAUUAAAUGUUUUGGUGCGCCAUAUAACAUUUAAUAAAAUCAGGAAGAAAUUGAAAAUUAAAAAAAUAUUGUUCGCAGAGUUUCAAUCAGACCGUGUCAUAAAAAACAUGCACAGUCUACUAAAGUUAAAUAUUACCGAUUUUGUUGUCUCUUGGAGGAUGUUGUCCCUAUAGGACCAAUCCUAAUUACCACCUUAAUGGUAUCAAAUUUGUACUAUUCCAUUGCGUGAUUUAAGUGUGGUAAUUCUUAUAACCACUUUUAUUUCUUUCCACUUCAUUUUCUAUUAGGGCAUAACAUGAAUUAGCAAGCCUAUAGUAUUCCUUAUAUGAUUUAACAAUGGUCGCUUAAAUUAUGAAACAAAUCACAAAGAAUUUGUUGGCAUGCAUAUUGCUAGCAUUAGCCGUCAUGCUUUACACUCAAAAUUUAUGUGCGGUAGUCACAAAGACAUUACAAGGGAGCAAGCGACAACGACAACUAAGCAACGUAGUGAUGGCACUUGGGAGUUACUACUCCUUCAUCCACAACACAUUGCGUGAAAGUUACAUUUUGAUGACCAAAUAAAUUUACAAUCGUGUUAAUUAUCUCUACUGAAAAUAUGUUGAAUUGAGCGCAACAAGCUAAACACAUUUCACUUUAUUAUAAUUUUCUAUUUGGAGUUUUGCAUAUUUUCCUCUGGCAAUAGAUGAAGGGCGUAAUAAACCACAAGUCCAUUUUCAACAAGGAAUGUUUAAAACUCCCUAUGGAAUAAAUGAAACUUCUCCGGUCAUAUUUGUUUUGAACCUCUUAUAUAUGGUAUAAGCUGAGGAAGAGGAAGAAAUUGCUCAGCAAGAGAGGACAUUACUCUAGAUCAUAUCAAGUACGAGACCUAAAGACCAGAAGGCUUAUAGAAAGCCACAAGCCUAAAGAUAACUGCAAACUACUUUAUAUUUUAUGUCAAAUGCACUUAAAGGUCCUUUAAGUUUUUCAUUUUUCCUAAAAUCGUCAUUUAAGUUUCAAAAGUCCCAAACAAGUCCUCUUAGUUUUUGAAUCGUUUCAAACAAGUCCUAUUGUAGAUAGCAUAGUUGGUAAUUACUUCUUUGAACUCAUCUUUGGUACCAAAUCUGGCUCCUAACACCCACUUAAAAUUAGUCAUCUUUUUAGUCAUGACAAAUGGUGGAUAAUGCUCUUUGUUGCUAUCAUCUAAAUCAUCACCAUCAUCCUCUAAAAGGAAUUGUUUGAAACGAUUCAAAAACUAAAAGGACUUGUUUGGGACUUUUGAAACUUAAAGGACUUGUUUGAGACUUUUGAAAAUUAAAGGACGACUUUGGGAAAAACGAAAAACUUAAAGGACUUUUAGAUGCAUUUGACCUAUAUUUUAUUAUAUGUAAGUUUAGAGUUCGCACUAACACUAAAAGAAAUCCUUGAAUUGGCAGCAAGGAUUUGCUGCGGACUAUACUCCCACACAAACUUGCGGUGGAUUACAUGCAUUUGCGGUGGAAUAAUGUGUCGCAAACCUUUACGAUUGAAAUUAGGUUCACGCAAAGUCUGACCUGAAAAAUAUGGGAUUUGCGGUGGAAUAAAUUCAGCAUAAAGGUUGGGCGAAGAAAAAUGAAAUUUGAAUUUGCGUCGGAUUACAUUCCAACAAAAACGUCAAAGCUGGCCUAAAAAAAAUGAGAUUUACGGCAAAAUAAAUUGGCCAGAAGGAUUAAUUUAUUAGAUAAAUGUUAGAGAUUUUUUUUGUAAAGAAAAAAAUAGUUAGAGAUAAAAAUACCAAGAUAUGAUUACAUUAAAUUUAUAAUAAAUAAAGGAUUAUCUAUUAAUUUUAUUAUAUAGUAACAAAUUUAUAUAUAUCUAUGCUAUAUAAGCAAAUUUGAGUAUAAGAAUUCUAUUUACUGGUGUCGUUACAAAAAGAUAAUUUUAUAUAUUAUAUUUGUUAUUUUGUUGGCAUAAUUGAAAAAGAUAAGUAUAAUUUAUUACAAUAUAAAAGUGCAAAAUAUCUACAUUUAUACCUAUAAUUUUAAUCAAAAUCAAAAUAAUUUUAAUUAAAAUUUCAUAAAAGCUAUUUUUCGUAAUUAAUACGCAUUAUUGCAAUAAGAAGAGUGGACAGAUGGCCAGAGUGCCCGUCUGAACACAAUUAUUUUAAUGGGAUAGUUUUAUUAAAGACAAUUAUUUUAAUGAGAUAGUUUUAUUAAAGACAAUUAUUUAAAUUAAAUAUAUUACUUAGAUAAACAACAAUUAUUUAAAUUAAAUGUAUAGCAAGAUAAAAAUAUAUUUUUUUAAUAUCGUUGACAUUUGCGUCCGCCAAUAUCUACACUAAAUAUAUCGCAUGGCAUUUGUCUCAUCUUGCUACUGCCACAGAAAAAUAAAAAAAGGUUGACUUUGCGUCGGCUCUUAAUCCGUCGGUAUGUCAUAUAAGAGAAAAAUAAAAAAGGUUAUAUAUAAUUUUGUUUUCAUCAUAUCAAUGCCUCUAUUCCCGUUCUUAAUGAUUUUUUCGACGUGCAAUCCGAAAAGGAACUCUUGACAUUAGAAGUAAUAGACGUAGACUUUAUUUGUAAGGGACAUGAGUAUAAGCAUUUGUGGAUGUUAGUUGUGAGACCUUAAGAUAUGAGUUCCGAUGUGCAUAUGAUUUUGUGCAUAAGGGACAUGCUUCUAUUCCCAUUCUUAAAGAUCUCGCUUCUACAUAUGAGUUUUGAUCUCCAUUUCCGUUCAUAAAAAUAAGUACAAGAAAUAACUCAAACACAAUCGAUUUUGUUACACUUUAUUCUGUUACAUACCACUCAUUCAAAUAAUAUUAGAUUAAAAAUUAAAAUUAACAAUAAAAACAUUGUUGCGUAGAACUAAUAAUAUCGCACAACUAUUUAAAGAUCUCAAAGAGAAAUGAAAUCACAAAGGUUGGAAUCCCAAAAGGAGUAAUCAAUGGUAGAAAACUCCAUACUAAAGUACUCCUCUUGUAAUGAAGAGCAUGAGCCAAUUUUCUCACUGUCUACUGGCUCCCCCAAGUUCCACAAAUUAUCGGUCAACAUUGCACAUGGUAUUGCAACAUUAUCUUUUUUUGAACAAAGUAUUGCAACAUUAUCUAUACUUGGUUGUGAAGAGGAAACAUAAUCUCUACCAACUUGAUUUGAAACCGUAGUACCUAAUGAGGCAUUAGAAUCUCUGGGAACAUUACCAUCUUUAUUUGAAGCCAGUACUGGUUGUGUAACAAAAUUAUUUUGCUUCUUGUUCAACCAUGGUGAAUGAGUUGAAAAAAUUCGAGGUUGAGGUUUAAUAACUUCAUGUGUUUUCAUAGUUUCCUUAUGUUUCUCUUUUUCUUUCUUUUCUUUUUCUAAAGCAAGCUUCUUCCGCAAAUUUGUGUGCCAAUAGUUUUUCACAUCAUUCGCUGUUCUACCGGGAAGCCUUGCAGCAAUCAAUGACCAUCUGUAUAUCACAUGUUAAAUAGCUGAAAUAUUAUCUAAACAAGAAGUAUAUUAAAUAUAGGCUAAAAUGCAUUCUUGGUCCCCUUAAUUAUUUAGGUAGUAUCGCUUUGGUCCCUUAAAUUAAAAUUCGAUUUAUUUUGAUCCCUUAUAACUUCUCUCUGUUACAUAUUUUGGUCAUUUCCGUUAGUUUUAAUUCAAAAAUGUUAGGUUUUCUUUAUUUUCUUCUCCUCUUUUUCAUCUUCAUAUCAUAUCAUCUCCAUCAACCUUGAACAACAAGAAUCCCAGAAAAAUUACAAAUGAAAAUGAAGAAAAUAACGUUUUUGAAUUAAAACCAAAGGAAAUGUACAAAAUGUGUAACGGAGAGAAGUUAAGGGACCGAAAUAAAUCGAAUUUUAAUUAAGGAACCAAAGCGAUACUACUAAAUAGUUAAGGGACCAAAAAUGCAAUUUAGCCCUUUAAGAAGAACUUAGAUAUGUUUGCAUAAAUAUAAGAAGCAUACACAAACAAAUUUGAAUUUUGCCAUGGAAGCUUACCUAUUACCUAGAAGUUUUUGUAACCUUAGGAUCAGAUCAACUUCAUCCUCAGCAAAGCUUUCCCUUUUGAUGUUGGGGCUUAAAUAAUUUAACCACCUCAAUCUACAACUUUUUCGGCAUCUACUCAAUCCUGCCAAGUGUAACAAAUACUUUAACAAUAUACAUGUAGAAAUGAAAUUAUGCAUAUGAUUAAUUUAUGAUUACUUCAAUAGAAUAUAGUAGUGCACUUUUAAAUGUCACUCUUUAUAAACCUAGUUCAGACCUUAUAUAGUUGUUCCGCUUAACUGAUUAUAAGCCAAAUACACAAUAUAUAGAAUAAGCAACAUUCGUUAAUACCUGCUCUCUGUGGAACAAAAUGCCAUUUUCCUUCACCAUACUUGUUAAUGCAAGCCUUGAGUAGCUUAUCUUCCUCAUAUGUCCAGGCACCUCUUUUCACUGCUCUCGUAUUAUCCAUACGCACCUUUCCUCGUAUGUACGCUUUCCUAAUUUGUUCAUAUAUAUAUACACACAAAUAUAGGUAUGGUAUUUUGUCUUGUACAUAUCGUGGUUUUUCGGGUGGACAUAGUUGCUUAAUUUGUGUAGCAUAGAAAUCUCUUUUAUCCACUUACUUAGAAAUAUGAAGGGCAACCUACUAGUAUUUGUGGUGGUCUUAAUUUACUAUGGAAUUUAUAAAAAGAAUCUCCAAGAAAAUAGCAAUUACAUUUAUAUAUUCAUGAAAAGCAUAUUAAUCGAAAUCAACAUAAUUAGUUGAUGAUUGUUCUCUACGUCGAGCUCUAUUUAUUUUUUCAUGUUGAUGUAGUAAUUCAAUACUUGUUGUUUAAUUUAAAAUAAAUUGACAAUGCAAGUACAAAAAAAAAAAAAAUUGUAUGUAUUUAAUUUUGAGAUUAAUUAACAAACUCAGUUUUUUUUUUGGACAAAUAAUAUACUUUGUUAUAGUGUUUUACACAAGGAUCCAAUAACAUGUUGUCCGUUCAAUUAAUAAAUAUGACAACUCAUCUUGUGAGAGAGGUAAGAAAUUAAUAAUGGUCCUGCUAACUUAUGUUCAUAGGACACAUGUUAAGGAUUCCAUAAAUGAUAAAUAUUUUUAUUUAUUUUUUGUAUAAGCAAGGAGUGAAGGCAGGCAUCAGGAGACGUCAUCGACAUCCCAACUAGGUUGGCACCCCGAGAUACCUCCGUCGUAUGCCGCCACACUACAAAAAAAAUUAUUAAAAAAAGGGGGAAAAUAUUUACAAAAGGAGGGGGGGACUAGACCAAUACCCUCCAAGAAGCCAAAUAAAAUGAAACAGAAAAAUAAAUAGAAAGCAGACAAAUACAGAAAACAGAUUAUGGAAAUCUGUAAUUAGGGAGACCGCAUCUAUCGCGAAAAAAAUCAGGCUUCAAAUCAUUCGGCAGUGUGUCAAGCCAAAUCUCACCAGUCAUGGAGUGCCCCAAAUUAGCUAAUUUAUCUGCACAACAGUUGCCUUCACGGAAAAUGUGAGAAGAAAUAACUUGUAUUCCAAGGGUGAUAGCAUUAUGCCAUCUAUUACGCAGCAGCAUAGGCACCAAGCUAUGGUUCGAAAAAAUCAUAAGAGCACUUGUUGAAUCGCCCUCAAUCCAAAUAUUCCUCCACCCUUGCUGGUCCGCAAACUCUAUAGCUAAAAUAAUAGCAAGAACCUCCGCAUAAUAAACAGACUGUAUACCAACGUUACAAGAAAAGGCACCAAAGAACGUACCUAAGUGGUCACGAAACAGACCACCACAAGCCGCGAAACCACCCACCACCAACACAUCUGUGUUAACCUUCAGCCAAAGCAUCAAGGAAAGCGAAAUCAAAUUGCAAACACUUACCUUUAGAGAGGUUACCGGACGAUGCUACCAAAUAGUGAAUACGAACUUUGGCUGAAUGUAAAGAAGGCGAAAAUGUUGUAAAACGCAAAGAAUUUCUAACCCACAAAAUAGUGUGCAGAGUGUGCACGAUUGCUGCCACAAAAACAUCGGACACUUGGGAAGAGCAACGCGCCGGAACACAAGAGAGAAGCGAAUCAGUUGUUGAGCAGUCAAUUGGCCGAUUGAGCUUACCACCAAUCCAUUCCCAAAGCUUCUUAGAAAAUUGGCAUCGAAGAAACAGAUGCUCGGAUGUUUCAUUAGAUGUCAAGCAUAAAUUACAAAUUGAUACAACAUUGCAGCCACGACGCCUAAGGUUUUCGUCUGUGGGCAUCUUACCAUGGUGGAAUCUCCAAUAAAUGAAUGAGUGAGAAGGCGGAAUAGAAGAGCUCCAAAUUAAGUUUGCCCAAGGUAGCAGGGUUGCCCUUGGACGGAGAAAGGAAAAAGCUUGUUUCGCGGUUAAAAUUCCGUCAAAACUGUGCGGCCAAACUAACACAUCAGCAAGCUGCCCUCUAGGCAACACAAUGGCUUCUAGACGAUCCUUGAUGUCUCCAUAACCGGUGAUAGAUGAAGGCAGCACCAGCGCGCCAUUUACAAUUGCUUCAGAGACCAUACCUUUGAAAUUCCCAUGAAAAGCAACAUCAAUUUGAAGUAAAUCAACCAAGGGCUCACCAAGCCAAUUGUCCGUCCACAAAUGAAUACGCUCUCCUGUGCCUACAAUCCAAGUAGAGUUUGCCAUAACAGUACCAAUAUGCAUUUUGAUGCCCGAUUAAAUCGAAGAUUUGACAUGAUAAGAGAGUGGAAGACCAUUAGAAAAAAAACCUUCUCUUGAAGAGAGUCGACCAUUGUGAGUCUUUAACCAAUAAAUCCCACGACAAUUUUAGAAUUAGCGCUUCAUUAAUCAAGCGAGUAGGCUUAAUAUUCAGCCCUCCCUCUUCCCAUGGACGACACAUAUUAUUACAAAACAUUAAUUUUCAAUCUUUAAAGGAAUAAAUUGACACAAUUUUAUAUACAAAAUUUUAUUUAGGCACACACUCACAUAUGAAAAAAAAAAUUAAAAAGAUUAGAUUUAAAUGAUAUGACCAAAUAAUUUCUCUUUUAAUUUUUUACAUUUGUGUGUGUGCGUCCAAAUAAAUCCAUGUAAGAAUUGUUCGUGCCCUAAGGACACAAGUUAACAUUCCCCAUUAAAAGUUGGUUACUAAUUGUAUUUUUUUAUUACAUGUUGGUUACUAAAUGUAUUUUUUUAGAGGAGGGAUAUAUUGACUCCAAGAGUAAGUCUAAAGAGUUACUCCACAUCCUCACCCUUCAAUUUAUCUAAUUUUAAUGGACUAUAUUUGAUGCUUAUUAAUAAUCAUGUGACCUCAUUUACCUUAACCAAUCUCACCACAUUAAUUACAAUUUUCAUCAUUUGACUCCAUCAAUAUUUACCUUUUAUAAACACAACUAUUUUUUUUUUGAGGGAAUAAACACAACUAAUUUUUGGUAAGUUGGUAAAGAAAAUAUAGUCCCUAAUUAUUUUUUACAACCUCCUCUCAUCUGCAACUUGUUCAUAAAAAAUUCUAAAAGAAACUUCGUUGCAACUAUUUCACGAUUCACAAUGCAAAUUACAUAUAUUUUUAUUAAUACCCAUUAGUAUGUAAUUUUUGGAAUGUGUUGAUGCUUCCAUAUGUGUUUUCUUUUGUUUGGAUUAUCCAUACGUGCUUUUUAGAAAUGAUUAUUGUUGGCUUAUUCUUUUUGAGGAUUGAUCAAUGGACUUUUAUGUUGCUAACCCUAGUUUUUAAUUAAAUUUAACCAUGCCUUUGAAUUUGAGUUAGACAUAUCUUUUGUCUAUUUAUCGUGGAGAUGCAAAGCCCUGGAUUUAAUUUUUUGACAUGAUUUAAUUUUUGAAAUGGUGGUAACAAUAUAGUAACGUAAGGUUAAUCGUUGAAAAAAAAAACUCAUGUGAUUAUUGAUAUUUAUUGAAUCAAAAAGGAAAUCAUAAUUUUAUUUUUUUAGGUAAAAAAGGAAAUCAUUAAUAUUCUAAAAAUGAUUGGGUAGAUGAGAUCAUAUGAUUAUUAAUAACCUAUAAAUCUUGGCCAUUAAAUUUAGAUAAAAUGGAGGGUGAGGAUGUGGAGUAACUCUUUAAACUUACUCUUGGAGUCAAUAUAUCCCUCCUAUUUUUUUAUUACAUGAAACUAAAACAAUUAUGAAAGUUUGUUCUUUUCUUAGUAUUUGUCGCUCCCCUGAUAUACAAUAAACCACUACUGUCAGUAUUAUAGGCCAUACAAUACAAUCAAUCUUCCACCGAGGUUGAUAAUGGAGUCUGGGAAGACGAUGUCAAUAUCAGUGUCAAGAUCAAACAAAGCUGGUGUUAAUUCUUCAGUGUUAAUUCUGGAAACAAUUUUAAUGCUGCAAUAAAUGAGAAUGCUACAUUAUUAACGUACGGCUCUAUGAGAAAUUCUAGCGAACAAAAAGUCGGUAAUGGACGGAGUGAAUAGAUGAAGUUCUGGGGUGAGGGUUAGGGGACAGUUUAUAGGAAAAACAAUUUGAAUGUGUCAGGGAGACAAGCAUUUAAUAUUGGGGUCACCAAAUAAGAAAUAAUGCAUCAAUUCUAAGGGUUUCAAAGAUGGAUUUUUUGCUGAAUGUUGAAUACUCCACUUAUGCCCUCACUAGCAUCUAGCAUUACGACAGUACAGUCUAUUUUUUAGAAGCAUGCAUAAGUUGGAACUAUUGAGACAAAAUAAUUUAAGUUUCUUGUUGUGAAUCCGGCUCAACUAAUGAACCUUCACAUCAAUGAGAAUAAACCAAUGAUGUGUGGAGCAAGUGAUAGAGAUAAUCUAUGAGUGCAAAUGACCUCCAAGCUAACAACAACAAAACAGCCUAAGCCUAAUGUAUAGCAAAACCACAUAUAGAGCUAACAAGCAUACAGGAUAAACGAUAAAAGGAAAAGAACAAACACCGAGCAAGAUUGUUGACCCAGUUCAGCCAAUGUGGCCUAAUCUGGGGGGGAGAGCAGCUCUCCAAUCCAAUAUGUGAAUGUGUUACAAAAGAGUUACAAGAAUCUAGCUUUUCAAGCUUUACACAUGAACAAACCCUAGACCUACCCUUUCGGUUAUUUUCCCUACCCCUCCACACUAUGAACCAAUAAUCCCAAGGUGAUUACAAUGUUGUUUUCCCAACCUAAGAAACACUCUCAUCAAAGGAACACACCCCAAAGGAUCCCCAUCUUUGAUCUCCAAGUUUUCUCUCUUAAGCUCUCUUAAGGUUAUCUCCAAAAAAGCACAAGAACACUUUAAAUACUAGUCAUGCCCUGAAGAAAUCGUGCCACGAUUUCCCUAGAUCGUGUCACGAUCUGCAACGGUCCCCAGGUUGACCAGUCCUUAUCAGAGAUACUUAACCAGCAAGUUUCUGAAUCGUGUCACGAUUUCCCAAGAUCGUGCCACGAUUUUGCUUCCAGCAAACUUGGCUCACGGCAUCUCCGAUCGUGUCACGAUUGCCAAAUCGCGACACGAUUCCUCUGUUCUUCCAAACCACAAAUUUGAAGCCAAUUUUCAACAUUUCUCCACCUUGACUUCUAAUUUGGUGGUGAUGUCAAUUUAACCAUCAACCACUAUGCUGCUCUCUCCAAAAGGGAAUUACUCUUCGACAAACUUGAUCAAGUCCAAGCAAUGCUUGAAUCUUGAUCGAGGCAAUGACUUGGUGAACACAUCCUCCAGAUUCUCCUCCGAUGCCACUUUCUCAACCACAAUCUCUUUUGUUUCAAUCAUGUCUCUGACAAAGUGCAGGCGAAUGUCAAUGUGCUUUGUCCUUUCAUGAUACACUUGAUGAUUUGCCAAGUGAAUGGCACUUUGGCUAUCACAAUGUAUCUUCACACAUUCUUGAGUAAUUCCUAACUCACCAAUCAUCCCUUUCAACCAUAUGGCCUCCUUCACACCUUCAACAAGUGUGAUGUACUCCGCUUGAGUUGUAGAUAAUGCCACCACGGAUUGUUGAUUUGCCUUCCAACUAAUCGCCGUGCCAUAAAGAGUAAACACAAAACCCGACAAGGAUUUGCUAGUGUCCACGUUGCCCGCAUAAUCCGCAUCAACAUACCCCUCCAAAGCGUCUUCAUCUUGAGCUGCCCUUGUGUACUUCAAACCGCCCUUCAACGACCCAUUCAAAUACCUCAAAACCCACUUCAAAGCUUGCCAAUGCACAAUUCCCGGAUUUGCCAUAAACCGACUCACAAUGCUAACCGCAUAAGCCAAGUCCGGCCUACUACAAACCAUUCCAUACAUGAUGCUUCCAACCCCACUUGCAUAGGGAGUACCUUCCAUCAAUUGCUUCUCAUCCUCGGAUUGAGGACAUUGUUGUAUGGACAACUUUGUGUGGUGACCCAAGGGAGUGCUUACGGUUUUAGAGUUUGACAUUCUAAACCGCUCCACCACCUUCUUCAAAUAACCAAGUUGAGAUAAGAAAAGUUCGCCUUUGUCACGAUUCCUCUUGAUAUCAAUCCCAAGAACUCUCUUUGCCGGACCAAGAUCCUUCAUCCCAAAUUCACCAUUUAGCCUCUCCUUGAGCUUCAUAAUCUCAUCCUUGCUAGAGCUUGCCAUCAAGAUAUCAUCCACAUAUAGAAGAAGAUAGAGAAUGACUUUCUCAUUCUUCUUCAACAUGUACACACAAGAAUCAUAUCCGCUUCUCACAAAACCGGUCUUCAAAAGAAACUCAUCAAACCGACGAUACCAUUGCCUAGGGCUUUGCUUCAACCCAUACAAAGAUUUCUUCAAAAGACACACCUUAGACUUGUCCUCCACAAAACCUUCCGGUUGCUCCAUGUAGAUUGUCUCUUCAAGGUCACCAUGUAAGAAAGCGGUCUUCACAUCCAUUUGUUCCAACUCAAGAUUGAAUUGAUUCACAAUAGCCAUAAGUAUCCUUAUGGAACAAUGCUUCACCACCGGUGAAAAGAUCUCGUUGUAGUCGACCCCCUCCACUUGAGUGAAACCCUUUGCCACAAGUCUUGCUUUAUACCUUGGACCUUCAACACCCGGAAUGCCAUCCUUUUUCUUGAAGAUCCACUUGCAUCCAACUACCCUUUGGUGAUUAGGUAGCUUCACAAGUUUCCAAGUUUGGUUCCUUUCCAAUGAAUCCAUUUCUUCAUUCACCGCUGUUAUACCCUGAUUUUGGACCUAAAAAUACUCGUUCAAACUUCUUUUUAACACUGAUAUUUGUCAAUUCGCUGUUGUUUUUUCUCUGAAUCUUUACUCUCUUUUUAAACGAAUUUUACUGCCUCUGUCUUUUCUGACAUUCCAAGUCCUUUAAGAACUCUCUGAAACGUCGCGUUACUUUUUCUUGCAUUUUAUUUCAAAAAUCAUACAAAAAGGGUAUUUUGGUCAUUUCCUGCAAUGGAACCCAUUUUAGUCCCUGUGUUUGCCUCUGAGUCUUUUCAACUUGUCUGUACGAAUUAUUGUUGAGUCUUUGUUAAAAAAAUCAUUUCAAAAAUUACAUCUGAGUCAGUUUGAGUCAGUUUAGUCCCUAGGGGCAUUUUGGUCUUUUCCUGUCAAAAUUUCGACAGGGAUGUAUUUUAAAAUACCUCAUGUCGGUAUUUUGUUCGUUUUAGUCCGUUUGUUGAUUUUAUUUUUCGUUUCACUUUACCUUUUUACCAAUUACCAAUUUUAAUUCAUUUUAUUUUUUUAUUUACAUUUCGGUCCCCCCAAAAGAGUCCCAAAAUUGCAUUUUUGUCCAAUACUUUUUUUUAUUGCAUUUUUUUUAGUCUUUUUUAUUAUUGCAGAUUAGUCCUCAUAUUAACUUUUUUGCAGAUUAGUCCAUAAGUCCAAAACGGUCCAGAUGUCAUUUUUUUCAUUGGUUCUCAGAUGCACAUGGCAGGCUAUAAAUAGUAAAUGUGUCAGAUCCAUCACAAGAGUCAGAAAAAUCAGAAUCAAUCACAAUCACUCCCAAAACAGAAUCUUUUUCUCUCUCUCAUCCAUAACAGAAUCAAAACAGAAAAAAGCUGAGAAAAAGAGGAAGAACACCAAGAACACUUCAUCACCAAAAUCAACAGAUCCAAACCGGAUCUGCUCCAAAACAGCCCCAACCACCACAAAAUCAACAAAUCCGAACCGGAUUCACUCAAAACCACCGCGAAACAUCACAUCAACACAAAAACGUACCGGAUUUUCGAGCAAAAACAACGCCGACGGAGCACAUAGCGCGCGCGCGAGGAGAAGAGGAGGACUCGAAGUUUUUCGAAGGUUUUUCUCCGUUCUACGACAGAGGUAACGCAUUUCUCUCCCCUUUUUCUCCGUUUUGCGCGCAUAUGUAGUGAAAAAGUGUGAAAAAGUUUGUUACGGAUAUGUAUUUGUAGAUCUAGGCUUGUACGUUCGGAUUUUGAAAAUUUUGAGGCCGGAUUUGGACACUAGAGCGAAAAGGAUAUCUAGAUCCGUGGUUUUUUUUCAAAAAAAGUGUGAAAAAAUUUUUCAAAGAAAAAUGUAGAUCUAGUCCGAAUCGCUCCGUUCUCGCUAAAACUAACGCCAGAUUUGUGUAGAGGAGGUGGUGACGGAACUUUUGAUGUAAAAAUUUUGAAAAAAAAUGAGUUUGUAAUUUUCCUAGCGCGGUGGCGCCGCCGCCGGAACCGGCCGGCCGCCGCGCCGGAACCACCACCACCACCCACGCUCGCCGGCGGCGAGUUCCUAGAGAGAAGGGAGAGCUUCUCUCUCUAAGUAUGACUUAGAGAGAGAAGAAGAAGAGUUUUAUGAGUUUUUGUGUGAAAUUCCUUUUAUACUCCCUCCGAUCCCACGCGCGCGCGUGCGUGCUCUUGUUGUGUUCCCUCGCUCUGUGAACCAUCAGAUCUGGAUUGUUCCAAGAUCUGAUGGCUGCUGUGUAUUUGAUUUUGAAUCCUGUGCGUGACUUUUUGUGUGGAAUAUGGUAUAUCUUCUGUUUGAACCGUUAGAUCUUUGAUCUAACGGUCACUGUGCUUCCUGCAUUUUACACUAUCUUUGGUGUCUUUUUUUCUGGACCCUUUGUAUUCUUUGAUCUAAUGGCUGUGAUGUAAUCGUUGGGGGCUAGAUCUGGACCUCUGGAUUCAUCAAACGGUCCAGAUUAAAUCCUGCUGAGUUUCUUUUUAAUUGCUUUUUAAUUGUGUUUUAAAUACCUUUUUUACACUUUCUUGGUGUUUUAUGCUUCUAAAAAAUUUUCUAAAAAUAUUUCCCUAUCAUUUUAAUUUUUUCCUCUAAGUUUUAGAAUUUAUUUGCUUAUUUUUGCAUUUAUUUUCUUUACUUUGUUCUUUUAAUUCUUGCUCAUUUAAUUCUUGCUCAUUAAAUUCCAUAUAUGUUCUUGAUGCAUUUUUUCAUAUUGUGAUAUUUUGGCAUGUGAAAUAAUGUGUGAAAAUAUCUCUAGGAAUAUGAUAUAAUGCUUUGCUUGUGUGUGCUCUUAUGAUCCUCACAUUGUAGCUUAAAUUCAAACCUUUCAAAAAAAAUGGCUAUAAUGAGGAAAUUAUAGGUCAUAUGCAUGUAUGAGUGCUAUACCUAAAUUCUAGGUGUAUUUUUUUACCACUUUAUUUCAUUUCAUUACUUUUUUUUCUCUCUUGCUAUUCUAUUCAAUUUUGUUUACCUUUCUACUAUUUUUAUGCUUUAUGAUACUAACCAUCUCAUCUCACAUUUCAUUCAUCCUAUAGUUUUGGCAUCAUUUUUUCCAUUCAUUUCUAUAUCAAUUGGGUUUGUAAUAAUCUUAGAUAGAUUAGUUCCUUUUAAAAUUCUUCACAAAGACCAUAGCAUGUAUCUAGGACAAUGUAAAGGACUAUGGACAUUAUAAGGGAUGUACACCGACACAAGCACCGACACGCACACACGUUGCAUGAUUACCGCUUAGAUGUAUGCUUAGGUUCUACAACGCUUAGAAAAAAAUCAUUUUUUCAAAAAUAUGAAUAACCUCACUUGAAAACUUUUUUUUUAAAAUAGGAGUCAAAACUCCUCAUUUCCCUUUUGUUUUCUUAAGAAAAAAAUCCCAAUGAAUUUUAAUCAUACUUAGACUUUAUUUUACAAAAUAACUACUUCCACCUCACAUUUUCCAAAUCUCAUGCCCUUGAGGCCUCUCAUCUCCAUUCUUCAAAAUUCCUUUUUCAAACUUAAAAUCAACCAACAAAAACAAAAAACCUUUUUUGAGAACGAACUACGAUUGGUUUUGAUCCCUUAAAAGGGUACGUAGGCAAUGAGUCAAAACUCCUCCAAGCCAAAUAAAAAUGAGAUCUCAAUCAUCUUCUCUCCCCCAUUCUUCACUCAAAUAAAACUUCUUUUCUUUCAGUAGACAAUAAAAAUAAAGCGUAGAAAUAAGCUUAGGAGAACGGUUCUUAUGGAGUACCAUAAUCGCUCCGGGUGCCUAACACCUUCCCGUAGCGAAAACGACCCCCGAACUUAGAAUCUAAGGGUUUUUUUUCUCAAUUUUGCCCUUCCCAAGAAAAAAUAGAGAAUAUCAAAGAUUGAAAGGUUCAAGCCAAAUUAAUGACUUGACACCCGAACAUUGCGAUAACAGAAAUGGCGACUUCACUGGGGAAUUUUCUUUAGAGCGGGUCACACCUAGUUUUCUUUUUGCUUAUGUUUUACUUUAUUUAUACAUGUGAAUAUUUUGUUUACUUUCAUUUGACGUGUGGGGUGAGAAUAUCAAAAGUCCUAUACCCGGGCUGAGUGAACUUAUGUUUAGGUAGAGAUAUAAUCGACAAUUCGAUCCGGGGGUUGCCUCGUGUAUUGGAUUAUGCGAUCAAUCUCACAUAGCUGAGGCAUUUUGAAGGUGAUAUUGUCGGCGUGUGUUGUCAUGCUUAGGCACUUCACUUUCAAUUGUUCGACGAAGCUAUGAACCGUAGUUACCAAACCCAUCCUAGCCUUUUUUAGGACGUAGUGCGGUGGCUAAAUUGAGUGUUGUCUCAAACUUUAGUCGUCACGCGAUACUACACUCAAACUAGACCUUCUCACAAAUAAUCAUGGAACGGGUGUCGUCCUGUACUACCAUGAUAUAUGUGAGAGAGGUUGCAGUUUGGGAACUGUGUUAGAACCUUGGUUACUACUAUCCAAAGCCUUAGUUCACCGGACUCCGUGUCCAUCCGUGGCCCUGUUACUUUGAAUCUCAACCCACCUUGUUCUUUGUAACUAAACAACACAAUCAUGCAUACAUGCAUUCAUGCAUAAACAUUUUUCAUGCAUUCAUCGAAGGGCUUAAACAAAUGGAAAUUUUUGUAAAUAAUCACAGGUAUGAAGAAGACUAAGUGCUACAAGUUCAAGGAAGUGGAUUUGGUCAGUUUAAGAGAGUUGGCACUCAAGGUCAAGAGUCAAACAGGGUUCCGACUCCGGUAUGGGGGAUUGAUUACUUUGCUCCGAACCGAUGUGGAAGAGAAGCUAGUGCACACUCUAGUGCAAUUUUAUGAUCCGAGCUUCCGUUGCUUCACUUUCCCGGACUUCCAGUUGGUUCCUACUCUCGAGGCUUACUCCAAUCUAGUGGGUUUACCUAUAGCCGAGAAGACGCCUUUCACCGGUCCCGGGACUUCUCUUACUCCUCUGGUUAUUGCUAAGGAUCUUUACCUCAAGACUUCCGACGUCUCCAACCAUCUUGUUACCAAGUCUCACAUCCGGGGGUUCACUUCAAAGUAUCUUCUUGAGCAGGCUAAUCUCAGUACUACUUGUCAGGAUACACUCGAGGCUAUUCUUGCUUUGCUUAUCUACGGGCUCAUUCUCUUUCCGAACCUCGACAACUUCGUGGACAUGAAUGCUAUCGAGGUCUUCCAUUCCAAGAACCCGGUUCCUACUUUGCUAGCGGAUACCUACCACGCCAUUCAUGACAGGACUCUCAAGGGCCGUGGGUAUAUUCUUUGCUGCAUAUCUCUUUUGUAUAGGUGGUUUAUUUCGCACCUUCCGAGUUCCUUCCAUGACAACUCGGAGAACUGGUCCUACUCGCAGCGGAUUAUGGCCCUCACUCCUAAUGAGGUCGUCUGGCUCACUCCUGCCGCUCAGGUGAAGGAAAUCAUUAUGGGUUGUGGGGACUUUCUCAAUAUACCUCUUCUUGGUACUCGUGGAGGAAUUAACUACAACCCCGAGCUUGCUAUGAGACAGUUUGGGUUCCCUAUGAAGUCGAAGCCUAUCAAUCUUGCUACAUCUCCAGAGUUCUUCUUCUACACGAAUGCUCCUAUCGGACAAAGGAAAGCUUUCAUGGAUGCUUGGUCCAAGGUUCGAAGGAAGAGUGUGAAGCAUCUAGGUGUGAGAUGCGGUGUUGCUCAUGAGGCCUAUACUCAGUGGGUGAUAGAUCGAGCUGAGGAGAUUGGUAUGCCUUAUCCAGCUAUGAGAUACGUGUCUUCAUCUGCUCCAUCUAUGCCUCUACCUCUACUCCCCACGACUCAGGAUAUGUAUCAGGAGCAUCUAGCUAUGGAGAGUCGUGAGAAGCAAGUGUGGAAAGCUCGGUACAAUCAAGCUAAGAAUCUAAUCAUGACUUUGGAUGGUAGAGAUGAGCAGAAGACUCAUGAGAACCUGAUGUUGAAGAAGGAACUAGCUAAGGUCCGGAGGGAAUUGGAAGAGAAAGACGAGCUGCUUAUGAGGGAUUCCAAGAGAGCCAGAGGACGACGAGACUUCUUUGCCAGAUACUGUGAUUCAGAUUCCGAGUCCGAUGAUUCUCCGACUACUUCCUAUGCUUGAGGGCUUCAUUUGUUUAUCUUGCUGAAAUUUCAAAGUCUUCCUUUUGAAAAUACUAUGUAGUUUUGAUUAUUUGCAAGAUUUCUAAUUUGUUUAAAAAUCCUUCGAUGAAAAAAGAAGUCUUUUGCAUUUGCAUUUGCAUAUCAUGCAUCAUAUGCAUCAUGCAUUGGUCACAAAGGCUUCCAAGUGCUCACUACCUCCUGGUUCCUCUGCCACAGUUUGAAAAGUGGCUCGUGCUCAGAAGGUCUACGAACCUGACAGAAUCGAUCGAACCAGAGAAUACAGAAGAAGGAAAAAGGCUAUGGAAGAAGAGAACGCUCAGCUCCGUACCGAGUUAGCCACUCUAAGGGAGGAAUUGGCUAAAGCUAAUGAUGUCAUGACUGCUCUGCUAGCCGCUCAAGAACAAUCAGCUACGGCUAUCCCUAUAGCCACAGCUGUACCGGUGACUACAAGCGUGCUCCCAACCGCAUCUGCAGACGCUCGCUUUGCUAUGCCAGCUGGGUUUCCGUGUGGGCUUCCACCGUUCUUCACUCCCAGUACUGCAGCGGGCACUUCGGGCACUGCUAACAAUGUUCUGAUCCCUGCAACAAAUGCUGUCUCCAUCAAUGCUACUUUGCCACAAACAACGGCAGCUGUCACCGAGCCUCUUGUGCAUACCCUGCCUCAAGGUGUUAACAUCAACACACACCACGGAAGCAUCCCCGUAACCAAAACCAUGGAAGAGAUGAUGGAGGAACUUGCUAAAGAACUCCGUCAUGAGAUCAAAGCCAAUCGAGGAAAUGCAGACUCUUUCAAAACUCAAGAUCUCUGCUUGGUGUCAAAGGUGGAUGUCCCUAAGAAAUUCAAAAUCCCAGAUUUCGACCGGUACAACGGGCUAACUUGUCCCCAGAACCACAUCAUCAAAUACGUCCGAAAGAUGGGCAAUUACAAAGACAAUGAUUCCCUUAUGAUCCUCUGCUUUCAGGAUAGUUUGAUGGAAGAUGCCGCAGAGUGGUAUACUAGUUUGAGCAAAAAUGAUAUCCAUACCUUCGAUGAAUUAGCCGCUGCUUUCAAGAGCCACUACGGGUUUAACACCCGAUUGAAGCCGAACAGGGAAUUCCUUAGAUCUCUCUCCCAGAAGAAGGAGGAAAGCUUCCGUGAAUACGCACAAAGAUGGAGGGGGGCAGCUGCCCGCAUUACUCCCGCUCUUGAUGAAGAAGAAAUGACCCAGACAUUCUUAAAGACCUUGAAGAAGGAUUAUGUUGAGAGAAUGAUCAUCGCUGCCCUGAAUAACUUUUCGGAGAUGGUCACCAUGGGAACCCGUCUGGAGGAAGCCGUCAGGGAUGGAAUCAUUGUGUUCGAGAAAGCUGAAUCCUCUGUGAAUGCAUCGAAGAGGUAUGGUAAUGGACACCACAAGAAGAAAGAAACGGAAGUAGGGAUGGUGUCAGCUGGAGCUGGUCAAUCCAUGGCUACUGUUGCUCCUAUCAAUGCAGCUCAAAUGCCUCCGUCAUACCCAUAUGUGCCGUAUUCUCAGCAUCCUUUCUUUCCGCCAUUUUAUCAUCAGUACCCUCUGCCACCGGGUCAACCUCAAGUACCCGUUAAUGCAAUCGCUCAACAGAUGAAACAACAGUUGCCGGUUCAACAACAACAACAAAAUCAGCAAGCUAGACCUACUUUCCCUCCGAUACCGAUGUUGUAUGCUGAGUUGCUUCCAACUUUACUCCAUAGAGGGCAUUGUACAACCAGACAGGGCAAGCCCCCACCUGAUCCGUUGCCUCCAAGGUUCAGGUCCGACCUCAAAUGUGAUUUUCAUCAAGGCGCCCUGGGUCAUGAUGUCGAGGGGUGCUACGCUUUGAAGUAUAUCGUGAAAAAGCUCAUUGAUCAAGGAAAGCUGACUUUUGAGAAUAAUGUCCCACACGUCCUCGACAAUCCUCUUCCAAAUCAUGCCACUGUGAAUAUGAUCGAAGUAUGUGAGGAAGCUCCUAGACUUGAUGUCCGUAACGUCGCAACUCCUCUGGUGCCUCUACACAUCAAGCUGUGCAAAGCUUCUCUAUUCAGCCAUGAUCAUGCCAAGUGCCUAGGAUGCCUUCGUAAUCCUUUGGGUUGCUACACUGUUCAAGAUGACAUCCAAAGCUUGAUGAAUGAUAAUUUUUUGACUGUUAGUGAUCUCUGCGUGAUUGUGCCAGUUUUUCACGAUCCGCCUGUCAAGAGUAUACCUUUGAAGAAGAAUGCUGAGCCUUUGGUGAUAAGGUUGCCCGGACCGGUACCAUACACUUCAGAUAGGGCUAUCCCGUACAAAUAUAAUGCUAUCAUAAUCGAAAACGGAGUAGAAGUGCCUCUGGUGUCCUUGGCUGUGGUGAACAAUACUGCCGAAGGAACUUCAGCAGCCCUAAGAAGCGGAAGAGUCCGUCCACCGUUGUUUCAAAAGAAGGCCGCUACGCCUACCGUGCCACCCAUUGACAAGCCAACCCCGACUGAUGUUUCUCCCGUUAACAGAGACGCGGGCCAACCAGGCCGGUCUAUAGAGGAUUCUAAUCUGGACGAGAUUUUGAGGUUGAUCAAAAGAAGUGAUUAUAAGAUUGUGGAUCAGCUGCUGCAAACUCCGUCGAAGAUAUCCAUUUUGUCUCUACUCCUGAGUUCCGCUGCCCACAGAGAUACCCUUUUGAAAGUAUUGGAGCAGGCUUAUGUGGAUCAUGAGGUAACUGUGGAUCACUUUGGUAGCAUAGUGGGGAACAUUACCGCCUGCAGCAACUUGUGGCUCAGUGAAGAUGAAUUGCCCGAAGCAGGAAAGCAUCAUAAUCUGGCAUUGCAUAUCUCUGUGAAUUGCAAGUCCGACAUGAUCUCAAAUGUGUUAGUAGACACUGGCUCAUCUUUGAACGUGAUGCCCAAGUCAACGCUGGAUCAACUGAGUUACCGGGGAACUCCUUUGAGGAGGAGCACUUUUCUGGUCAAAGCCUUUGAUGGAACCCGCAAGAGUGUUCUCGGAGAGAUAGACUUGCCAAUAACUAUCGGCCCCGAAACCUUUCUAAUCACCUUUCAGGUCAUGGAUAUUAAUGCCUCUUACAGCUGUCUCUUGGGGAGACCAUGGAUACACGACGCGGGAGCAGUGACCUCUACUUUGCACCAAAAGUUGAAAUUUGCAAAAAGUGGAAAGCUUGUUACUAUUCAUGGAGAGGAAGCAUACCUGGUUAGCCAGCUAUCGUCUUUCUCUUGCAUAGAAGCAGGGUCUGCAGAGGGGACCGCUUUUCAAGGAUUAACUGUCGAAGGUACGGAGCCCAAGAGGGAUGGAACUGCCAUGGCUUCUUUGAAGGAUGCACAGAGAGCCGUCCAAGAGGGUCAAGCUGCCGGCUGGGGCAGGUUAAUACAGCUUCGUGAGAACAAGCAUAAGGAAGGUCUUGGCUUCUCCCCAACUUCAGGAGUUUCCACCGGGGCAUUCUAUAGUGCUGGGUUUGUCAACGCAAUCACAGAAGAAGCAACUGGAUUUGGCCCGAGGCCUGUAUUUGUUAUACCAGGAGGCAUUGCGAGAGAUUGGGAUGCCAUUAACAUUCCCUCAAUCAUGCAUGUUUCUGAGUAAUAUACCUUGUUGCUUAAGUAUCUUGUUUUUUCAAAAUAACAAUCCUCUCGCUCUGCCCAAAGCGAGAGUGAUAUUUUCUGUAAGGGCAUGUUUGUUUCGGCAUUGCCGUUGAUUAAUAAAAAAUUGUCGUUUCUUUCACGACUGCUUUUUUUUAGUGCCUUUUUUUUCUUGGAAAUAAUGGUAAUGCCAGAAAAAACCAAAACAUCUGUAUUUUUCUUAUUAAUUUCAAAAAUCUGCAUAAAAACCCUCUUUCUAAAAUCAUCCAACCAUUUUACGCAGAUUGAACUAUAAUGAACCCGUUGGGCACAGUAAUCCUGCAUUCUCUCCGAAUUUUGAGUUUCCAGUGUAUGAAGCCGAAGAUGAGGAAGGUGAUGACAUACCAUAUGAGAUCACUCGGUUACUUGAGCAAGAAAAGAAAGCCAUUCAGCCUCACCAGGAAGAGAUUGAGCUUAUCAACAUAGGUACCGAGGAGAACAAGCGAGAAAUCAAGAUCGGUGCUGCUCUAGAGGAAGGGGUUAAAAAGAAGAUCAUCCAACUCCUCCGGGAAUAUCCGGAUAUUUUUGCAUGGUCGUAUGAAGAUAUGCCAGGUCUAGGUCCUAUGAUUGUGGAGCAUCGGAUCCCCACCAAGCCUGAAUGUCCUCCCGUCAGGCAGAAAUUGAGAAGGACUCAUCCAGAUAUGGCUCUCAAGAUUAAGAGCGAGGUUCAAAAACAGAUUGAUGCGGGUUUCCUCAUGACAGUUGAGUACCCUGAAUGGGUUGCCAAUAUUGUACCUGUGCCAAAGAAGGAUGGUAAAGUCCGGAUGUGUGUUGACUUCAGAGACCUGAACAAAGCCAGUCCAAAAGACAACUUUCCAUUACCUCAUAUUGAUGUGCUUGUUGAUAAUACUGCUCAGUCUAAGGUGUUUUCCUUCAUGGACGGUUUCUCCGGUUACAAUCAGAUCAAAAUGUCUCCUGAAGAUAGAGAAAAGACGUCUUUUAUCACUCCAUGGGGUACUUUCUGCUACAAAGUGAUGCCGUUCGGCCUAAUAAAUGCUGGUGCUACCUACCAAAGAGGAAUGACUACUCUGUUUCAUGACAUGAUUCACAAAGAAGUCGAAGUAUAUGUGGAUGAUAUGAUUGUGAAGUCAACAGAUGAGGAGCAACAUGUUGAAUAUUUGACAAAGAUGUUUGAAAGGUUAAGAAAAUACAAGCUUCGAUUGAAUCCCAACAAAUGUACAUUCGGCGUCAGAUCCGGGAAGUUAUUAGGCUUCAUUGUCAGCCAAAAGGGCAUUGAAGUCGAUCCUGAUAAAGUCCGGGCCAUCCGAGAAAUGCCAGCUCCACAGACCGAGAAGCAAGUCAGAGGUUUCCUCGGGCGUUUGAAUUACAUCUCCCGAUUCAUAUCUCACAUGACCGCAACCUGCGGGCCGAUCUUCAAGCUACUCAGAAAGAAUCAGCCUAUUGUAUGGAAUGAUGAAUGCCAAGAAGCUUUUGAUAGCAUCAAGAAUUACCUGCUGGAGCCCCCUAUCCUUGUCCCACCCGUGGAAGGAAGGCCUUUGAUUAUGUAUUUGGCAGUAUUUGAUGAAUCCAUGGGAUGCGUACUUGGUCAACAAGAUGAGACUGGAAAGAAAGAACAUGCUAUCUACUAUCUAAGCAAGAAGUUCACCGAUUGUGAAACUCGGUAUACAAUGCUUGAGAAGACUUGUUGUGCUCUGGCCUGGGCCGCUAAACGCCUGCGUCAUUAUUUGGUGAAUCAUACAACUUGGUUGAUAUCCAGAAUGGAUCCGAUAAAGUAUAUCUUUGAGAAAGCUGCUGUUACUGGGAAGAUUGCACGCUGGCAGAUGCUUUUGUCUGAAUAUGAUAUUGUGUUCAACAAAAGGCAAUCAAAGGUAGCAUUCUUGCCGAUCACCUUGCUUACCAACCUCUUGAUGAUUACCAACCAAUUGAAUUCGAUUUCCCCGAUGAAGAGAUCAUGUAUUUAAAAUCAAAAGACUGCGAAGAACCGUUGAUUGAGGAAGGUCCAGAUCCCAAUAGCAAGUGGGGUUUAGUCUUUGAUGGUGCUGUCAAUGCUUAUGGUAAAGGAAUUGGGGCAGUCAUUGUAUCCCCGCAGGGGCAUCACAUUCCUUUUACCGCCCGAAUUUUGUUCGAAUGUACCAACAAUAUGGCUGAGUAUGAAGCAUGUAUCUUUGGGAUCGAGGAAGCAAUUGACAUGAGAAUCAAACACCUCGACAUCUAUGGAGAUUCUGCGCUCGUCAUCAAUCAGAUAAAGGGUGAAUGGGAGACCCACCAUGCUAAGUUGAUUCCUUAUCGUGAUUAUGCGAGACGUUUGCUGACAUAUUUUACAAAGGUUGAGCUGCACCAUAUUCCUCGUGAUGAGAACCAAAUGGCUGAUGCUCUUGCUACUCUAUCCUCCAUGUUUCGAGUAAACCAUUGGAAUGAUGUGCCAAUAAUCAAAGUGCAACGCCUUGAAAGACCUUCGCAUGUGUUUGCUAUUGGGGAUGUGAUCGAUCAGGCUGGCGAAAAUGUGGUUGACUAUAAACCCUGGUACUACGACAUCAAACAGUUCUUGCUGAGCCGUGAGUAUCCGCCGGGUGCUUCCAAACAAGACAAGAAGACCCUGAGAAGAUUGGCCAGUAGAUUCCUGUUAGAUGGGGAUAUUCUGUACAAGAGAAACUAUGACAUGGUAUUGUUAAGAUGUGUUGAUGAACAUGAAGCGGAGCAGUUAAUGCAUGAUGUACAUGACGGUACCUUCGGGACCCAUGCUACAGGGCAUACUAUGUCGAGGAAGUUGUUACGGGCAGGUUACUACUGGAUGGCCAUGGAGCAUGAUUGCUACCAGCAUGCUAGAAAGUGCCACAAAUGUCAAAUCUAUGCUGAUAAGAUUCAUGUGCCUCCGCACGCUCUCAAUGUUAUUUCAUCCCCAUGGCCGUUCUCAAUGUGGGGCAUCGACAUGAUUGGAAGAAUUGAACCGAAGGCUUCAAAUGGUCAUCGUUUCAUCUUAGUGGCAAUUGACUACUUCACCAAGUGGGUUGAAGCAGCAUCUUAUACCAAUGUGACCAAGCAAGUGGUAGUUAAGUUCAUCAAGAACAACAUCAUCUGUCGAUAUGGUGUUCCCAGCAAGAUUAUUACCGACAAUGGUACAAACCUGAACAACAAUGUGGUGCAAGCUCUUUGUGAAGAAUUCAAAAUUGAGCAUCAUAACUCUUCUCCCUAUAGACCUCAGAUGAAUGGUGCAGUUGAGGCCGCCAACAAGAAUAUCAAGAGAAUUGUCCAGAAGAUGGUAACCACUUAUAAGGACUGGCAUGAGAUGUUACCCUAUGCUCUGCAUGGCUACCGCACUACCGUGCGCAGUUCAACCGGGGCAACCCCUUUCUCUCUUGUAUAUGGUAUGGAAGCAGUUCUUCCUUUGGAAGUGGAGAUCCCAUCCCUCCGUGUGAUCAUGGAAGCAAAGUUAUCUGAGGCUGAAUGGUGCCAAAGCCGGUAUGAUCAGUUGAAUUUGAUUGAGGAAAAACGUAUGGAUGCCAUGGCUCGUGGACAGUCAUAUCAAGCAAGAAUGAAGACUGCUUUUGACAAGAAAGUCCAUCCUCGAGAAUUCAAGGUAGGGGAACUUGUAUUGAAAAGGAGGGUAAGCCAGCAACCCGACCCAAGGGGCAAGUGGACGCCUAACUAUGAAGGUCCUUAUGUUGUCAAGAAGGCCUUCUCCGGUGGUGCUUUAAUCCUUACACACAUGGAUGGUGUAGAACUUCCAAAUCCAGUGAAUGCUGAUAUAGUCAAGAAAUACUUUGCCUAGAAAUAUGAAAAGAACAGCGUGGUAGGUCGAAAACCCGAAAGGGCGGCCUAGGCAAAAAUGCGCUUCCCGGUGGAUCGAAAACCCGAAAGGGCGGUCCAGGCAAAAAUAAGGGACAAAAAAAUAUAUAUGAAAAAGCUCGCUGAGAUUGUACACGCAACUCAGGCAAGAAUGAGCGUCUCGAUGAGCCGAAAACCCGGAAGGGCGGUUCAUGCAAAAAUGAGAUUGAAACAAGAGGCAAGUAACUAUAUCUGGCCAACCACCGUCCCCCUUGGGGCAUCUGCAGCUGUUAAUGACCAUCUUCAUCAAAAGCUCCUAUGCUUGCGAAUUCAAAGUUUCUAGGAAAUGUAAUGAUUGCUGUGUUCAAUGUACCACCAACCCAUAAAAUUACCAUUUUCCAAGCUUUGUAAAUCCGUGGAGUCACGCCUUCGGCUGACCACCACUCUUAUACAUCAAUUUGAGCCUGUGCUUUUGUUUGAAACUCUAUUUUCUUUUUACUUUCAAAGUUAUGUACAAAAACAUUUUCCUUCUAUUUUUUAAUAAUGACAAAUGCUCGAAACAAACAUCUUGAAAAUUGAAAAAGUUUUUUGAAAAGCAAACCGGAGCAACAGGGUACAUUCAAACGAACAUGCAUGAGCGAGUGUGUGUUGGUGUCUAUUUCAAUAUAUGUUACAAGCAGGUUCUCCUCCAGGAUAGUCUGUGGUCAAUGGCAAGAAUGAAAAAACAGAAUGAAAAUGCAUGAAAAUGAAUAGGCUCGCUAAGUUGAAAACCCGGAAGGGCGGCUUAGGCAAAAAUGAGCACCCCGCUGGAUUGACAACCCGAAAGGGCAGUUCAGGCAAAAAUGGGGCAUUGAAAAGAAUUUAUUUCCCCGGUGGGUCGAAAACCCGAAAGGGCGAUCCAUGCAAAAAUGGGAUGCAAAAAAAUGAUGAAUGAAAAUUGAGAAAAUAACAUGCAAAAAGCAUUGACCACAGAUGCGACGUCCACGAUACAUCCGGCAUUAUUCCCAGUAGAGUCUCCCGAGAUUCUAUCCCCAGCAAGUUGCAUAGCUACCGGCCCUCAACUUAGGUCCCGAUACGUCUCCCAACGACGUCAUCUCCAAAGAGGAUUUCCAGGAAUGCGUAAUAUAGCACGAGCCACUACGUGCCCAAUACUCCAAUGUCUUGUCUGUCUCUGCGAAACUGUGUCUACAAACUGCCAACAGUCAUGCAUUACAAGCAUUCAUACAUGCAUAAUCAUGCAUAUUACGUGCCCAUGCAUUUAAUGAAACUGUUAUAUCAUCCAUGCAUAUUGCAUUUCCAAUGUCAACAUCAGUCUCAAUUCAAUACUCAUGUCAGGUUCUCUGUCAAAACCUUGUGAGCCAAUAAUAUUGGUCAAUUUCUACCUUUCAAUUCAAAUCGACGUCAAGUCAAUCUCAAUCUAUAUUUUGUCAAAAAAAACCAAUCCCCAGUGAAUCUGUUUCUGUUUGGUCAAGUGGCUAGCUCAAUCCAAGAGCAGCUUGAACAUACCUAUUUGCUUAUGUUAUCGGUCGAGUGCCCAGCUCAAUCCAAGAGCAGCUUGUACCUGUCAAUAUGUUUCUGUUUGGUCAAGUUACCAGUUCGCAUCCAAGAACGACUUGUACCCGUUUACUUUUCAAUGUUAUCGGUCGAGUUACCAGUUCAAAUCCAAGAACAAGCUCGCACCUGUCUAUUUGCCUUGCUUCCGGUCGAGUGACCAGUUCGAAUCAAGAACAACUCGUACCUGUCUACCUUUUCUAUGUCCCCGGUCGAGUGACCAGUUCGAAUCCAAGAACAACUCGCACCUGUUUGUCUGCUUUUAUUCCCGGUCAAGUGCCCAGCUCAAUCCAAGAGCAGCUUGUACCCGUCAAUUUGUUCCUAGUCUCCUAUCUACCCUGUUAUCUGUUAACUUACCAAUGUCUACCAAUCCCGCAAUGGAUACGACAUCUUUUGUUAAUUCCAGCCUUCGUUUGUCUCGCACUCAUAAUCCAAAUGUUGCAUGGCAUUCAUGAUAUUUGAAAAUGUACAAGCGUAUUUUUACGUCCAAACACAGUGCAAAUGUUAAUAUUUAAGUAUCUUCGUCCCGUCAAGCCAAAGACUCCGUCUCUUGACCCUCCAGACAAAGAAACUUAAAUAGGGGCAGCUGUUAUACCCUGAUUUUGGACCUAAAAAUACUCGUUCAAACUUCUUUUUAACACUGAUAUUUGUCAAUUCGCUGUUGUUUUUUCUCUGAAUCUUUACUCUCUUUUUAAACGAAUUUUACUGCCUCUGUCUUUUCUGACAUUCCAAGUCCUUUAAGAACUCUCUGAAACGUCGCGUUACUUUUUCUUGCAUUUUAUUUCAAAAAUCAUACAAAAAGGGUAUUUUGGUCAUUUCCUGCAGUGGAACCCAUUUUAGUCCCUGUGUUUGCCUCUGAGUCUUUUCAACUUGUCUGUACGAAUUAUUGUUGAGUCUUUGUUAAAAAAAUCAUUUCAAAAAUUGCAUCUGAGUCAGUUUGAGUCAGUUUAGUCCCUAGGGGCAUUUUGGUCUUUUCCUGUCAAAAUUUCGACAGGGAGGUAUUUUAAAAUGCCUCAUGUCGGUAUUUUGUUCGUUUUAGUCCGUUUGUUGAUUUUAUUUUUCGUUUCACUUUACCUUUUUACCAAUUACCAAUUUUAAUUCAUUUUAUUUUUUUAUUUACAUUUCGGUCCCCCAAAAGAGUCCCAAAAUUGCAUUUUUGUCCCAAUACUUUUUUUAUUUUGUCAUUUUUUUUAGUCUUUUUAUUAUUGCAGAUUAGUCCUCAUAUUAACUUUUUUGCAGAUUAGUCCAUAAGUCCAAAACGGUCCAGAUGUCAUUUUUUCAUUGGUUCUCAGAUGCACAUGGCAGGCUAUAAAUAGUAAAUGUGUCAGAUCCAUCACAAGAGUCAGAAAAAUCAGAAUCAAUCACAAUCACUCCCAAAACAGAAUCUUUUUCUCUCUCUCAUCCAUAACAGAAUCAAAAACAGAAAAAAAGCUGAGAAAAAGAGGAAGAACACCAAGAACACUUCAUCACCAAAAUCAACAGAUCCAAACCGGAUCUGCUCCAAAACAGCCCCAACCACCACAAAAUCAACAAAUCCGAACCGGAUUCACUCAAAACCACCGCGAAACAUCACAUCAACACAAAAACGUACCGGAUUUUCGAGCAAAAACAACGCCGACGGAGCACAUAGCGCGCGCGCGCGAGGAGAAGAGGAGGACUCGAAGUUUUUCGAAGGUUUUUCUCCGUUCUACGACAGAGGUAACGCAUUUCUCUCCCCUUUUUCUCCGUUUUGCGCGCAUAUGUAGUGAAAAAGUGUGAAAAAGUUUGUUACGGAUAUGUAUUUGUAGAUCUAGGCUUGUACGUUCGGAUUUUGAAAAUUUUGAGGCCGGAUUUGGACACUAGAGCGAAAAGGAUAUCUAGAUCCGUGGUUUUUUUUCAAAAAAAGUGUGAAAAAAAUUUUCAAAGAAAAAUGUAGAUCUAGUCCGAAUCGCUCCGUUCUCGCUAAAACUAACGCCGGAUUUGUGUAGAGGAGGUGGUGACGGAACUUUUGAUGUAAAAAUUUUGAAAAAAAAAUGAGUUUGAAUUUUCCGGUCGCGGUGGCGCCGCCGCCGGAACCGGCCGGCCGCCGCGCCGGAACCACCACCACCACCCAGCUCGCCGGCGGCGAGUUCCUAGAGAGAAGGGAGAGCUUCUCUCUCUAAGUAUGACUUAGAGAGAGAAGAAGAAGUAGUUUAUGUAGUUUUUGUGUGAAAAUUCCUUUUUAUACUCCCUCCGAUCCCACGCGCGCGCGUGCGUGCUCUUGUUGUGUUCCCUCGCUCUGUGAACCAUCAGAUCUGGAUUGUUCCAAGAUCUGAUGGCUGCUGUGUAUUUGAUUUUGAAUCCUGUGCGUGACUUAUUGUGUGGAAUAUGGUAUAUCUUCUGUUUGAACCGUUAGAUCUUUGAUCUAACGGUCACUGUGCUUCCUGCAUUUUACACUAUCUUUGGUGCUUUUUCUGGACCCUUUGAUCUUUGAUCUAAUGGCUGUGAUGUAAUCUUGGGGGCUAGAUCUGGACCUCUGGAUUCAUCAAACGGUCCAGAUUAAAUCCUGCUGAGUUUCUUUUUUAAUUGCUUUUUAAUUGUGUUUUAAAUACCUUUUUUACACUUUCUUGGUGUUUUAUGCUUCUAAAAAAUUUUCUAAAAUAUUUCCCUAUCAUUUUAAUUUUUUCCUUCUAAGUUUUAGAAUUUAUUUGCUUAUUUUUGUCAUUUAUUUUCUUUACUUUGUUCUUUUAAUUCUUGCUCAUUUAAUUCUUGCUCAUUAAAUUCCAUAUAUGUUCUUGAUGCUAUUUUUUCAUAUUGUGAUAUUUUGGCAUGUGAAAUAAUGUGUGAAAAUAUCUCUAGGAAUAUGAUAUAAUGCUUUGCUUGUGUGUGCUCUUAUGAUCCUCACAUUGUAGCUUAAAUUCAAACCUUUCAAAAAAAUGGCUAUAAUGAGGAAAUUAUAGGUCAUAUGCAUGUAUGAGUGCUAUACCUAAAUUCUAGGUGUAUUUUUUUACCACUUUAUUUCAUUUCAUUACUUUUUUUCUCUCUUGCUAUUCUAUUCAAUUUUGUUUACCUUUCUACUAUUUUUAUGCUUUAUGAUACUAACCAUCUCAUCUCACAUUUCAUUCAUCCUAUAGUUUUGGCAUCAUUUUUUCCAUUCAUUUCUAUAUCAAUUGGGUUUGUAAUAAUCUUAGAUAGAUUAGUUCCUUUUAAAAUUCUUCACAAAGACCAUAGCAUGUAUCUAGGACAAUGUAAAGGACUAUGGACAUUAUAAGGGAUGUACACCGACACAAGCACCGACACGCACACACGUUGCAUGAUUACCGCUUAGAUGUAUGCUUAGGUUCUACAACGCUUAAGAAAAAAAUCUAUUUUUUACAAAAAUAUGAAUAACCUCACUUAGUAAAACUUUUUUUUUAAAAUAGGAGUCAAAACUCCUCAUUUCCCUUUUGUUUUCUUAAGAAAAAAAUCCCAAUGAAUUUUAAUCAUACUUAGACUUUAUUUUACAAAAUAACUACUUCCACCUCACAUUUUCCAAAUCUCAUGCCCUUGAGGCCUCUCAUCUCCAUUCUUCAAAAUUCCUUUUUCAAACUUAAAAUCAACCAACAAAAACAAAAAACCUUUUUUGAGAACGAACUACGAUUGGUUUUGAUCCCUUAAAAGGGUACGUAGGCAAUGAGUCAAAACUCCUCCAAGCCAAAUAAAAAUGAGAUCUCAAUCAUCUUCUCUCCCCCAUUCUUCACUCAAAUAAAACUUCUUUUCUUUCAGUAGGCAAUAAAAAUAAAGCGUAGAAAUAAGCUUAGGAGAACGGUUCUUAUGGAGUACCAUAAUCGCUCCGGGUGCCUAACACCUUCCCGUAGCGAAAACGACCCCCGAACUUAGAAUCUAAGGGUUUUUUCUCAAUUUUGCCCUUCCCAAGAAAAAAUAGAGAAUAUCAAAGAUUGAAAGGUUCAAGCCAAAUUAAUGACUUGACACCCGAAAAUCGCGAUAACAACCGCCUUCAACCAAUACUUGCUCUCUUUGCUCUCAAAUGCCUCCUUGAAGUUUCUAGGCUCCGAGUCUUGCACGUCCUCCGUCGCAUUUAGAGCAAAACACACCAAGUCCGCAUAACCGAAUCUCUUAGGAGCCGUAAUGGUCCUUCUUUCUCUAUCUCUUGCCAAUAGAUACUCAGGAUCCACUACCGGUUGAGUUCCACUUGUAUCCGAUGUCGAAGCUUCAUCUUCUACAUCUUCUUCUUCUUCAUUUGGAAGCUCCACCUCAAACUGAGUUUUCUCCACCAUAGUUUCCGGUACUUGAGUCUCUAGGUCUUUACACUUCAUCCCCAUCCGGGUCUCAUCAAAGGUAACAUCCCUACUUAUCAAGACUCUUGAUCUUCCACUAGAUUCCAAUUUCCACAACUUAUAUCCCUUCACACCUUCCGGAUAACCAAUGAAGACACAUUUCAAAGCUCUAGGCUCAAGCUUGUCUUGCUUGAUAUGCGCAUAUGCCAAAGCUCCGAAAACCUUCAAAGAGGAGUAAUCCACCGGUUUCCCACUCCAUACCUCCAUAGGUGUCUUGAAGUCUAUUCCCGUUGAUGGACAUCUAUUGAUCAAAUAAGCAGCCGUUGUCACGGCUUCACCCCAGAAACUCUUAGGUAACCCAGCUCCUAGAAUCAUACACCUCACACGCUCCAAAAGUGUCCUAUUCAUGCGUUCCGCAAGACCAUUUUGUUGCGGUGUUCUUGGUACGGUUCUAUGCCUCUUGAUUCCUUUCAACCUGCAAAACUCAUUAAACUGCUCUGAAACAAACUCCAGGCCAUUGUCAGUUCUUAAACCUUUUAGUUUAGUUCCCAUUUGAUUUUCUAUGAGGGUGUGCCAUUCUUUGAACUUUUCAAAGGUGUCACUUUUGUUUUUCAAAACAAAGACCCACACUCUCCUAGAGUAAUCAUCAAUGAUAGAAAGAAAAUAGGAACCUCCCCCAUGAGUAGGAGUCUUAGAAGGGCCCCAAAGAUCCGAAUGCACAUACUCAAAAGGUCUACUAGAAUGAUGCAUGCCACUUCCAAACUUCACCCUAUGUUGUUUGCCUAGUAUGCAAUGUUUACAAAAUUCUAGCUUAUCCAAUUUAUCUUUCCCUAGCAAACCUUGUUUAGCUAGUUCAACUAAACCCCUCUCACUAACAUGCCCCAAUCUCAAAUGCCACAAUUCAGAAUUAUUAUGAGAUGCAACACUAGCUACCGAUGCAUUACCAAUUACUAUGGAACCAUCUAAAAUGUAUAAACCAUUCAUUCUAGACCCCAUGCUCUAUUCUAGUGCAAUAACCUAGAUUAUCAAACAUGCUUAUGGAAAUUAAAUUUCGCUUAAGUUCGGGAACAAACCUCACAUCCCUUAAAAGGAAUUCACGGCCAUCAAACAUCUUUAGAUGAACGUUGCCCAUGCCUUGGACUUUGCAAGCUUUGUUAUUUCCGAGUCGAACAACUCCUCCUUCUUUUAGAAUCAAAGUCUCAAAAUAUUCCUUUCUAGGACACAUGUGAUAAGAGCAUCCCGAGUCCAAAACCCAACUCUUCUCCGGUUCCCAACUUGUUACCACUAGCGCACCCGCACUCUCAUAACCUUCUUCAUUUGAAGCCUCCGCAACUUGAACCGAAGGACUACCAUCGCCCCCCUUAUCCGGACAAUCUUUCUUGAAAUGACCUUGCUUGUGACAAAGAAAGCAUUUAUACUUUGAUUUGUCAAAGCCCUUGGACCUAGACUUGGAUCUUGAUUUCCCUUUGCCUUUUCCUCUAUGCUCAUUCCUCCCUCUUGUAACAUUCAAGCCUUCACUACCUUCAUCAACCCUCAUGUCCUUGAACUUGGUCAAUUCUUUGGUUCUCAAAGCCGCUUGGACCUCCUCCAAAGUAGUAGUGCCCUCCUUACCAUAAAGGAUGGUAUCCUUGAAAUGCUCAAAGGACUUUGGUAAUGAACAAAGUAACAACAAAGCCUUAUCCUCAUCUUCCAUGUUAACUUCAAUGUUGGCCAAAUCAUCAAGAAUCUUGUUAAACUCCGUUAGUUGCUCCGAGAUCGAUUUAGACUCCACCAUCUUGAAUGAGUAGAGUUGUUGCUUCAAGAGUUGUCUAUGAGCCAAAGAUUUCGUCAUAUACAAUGACUCCAACUUUGCCCACAUCGAUGCCGCGGUAGCUUCUCUCGCGACAUCCCUUAAGACCUUAUCUCCGAGACAUAAGACAAUGGCACUCUUUGCCUUGUCCACCAUCUCACGCUUCUCCUCUUGUGUCAAGGUUGCCGGCAUCGCCGCUUCACCCUUCAAUGCUUCUAGACACUUUUGUUGUGUCAAUACCGCUUGCAUCUUAACUUUCCAUAACCCGAAAUCAUUGCUUCCGGUGAACUUCUCGAUGUCCCACUUUGACCCCAUGAUACCAACUAUCAAUCACGCCUAUGCCCCACGGUGGGCGCCAAUUGUUGUGAAUCCGGCUCAACUAAUGAACCUUCACAUCAAUGAGAAUAAACCAAUGAUGUGUGGAGCAAGUGAUAGAGAUAAUCUAUGAGUGCAAAUGGCCUCCAAGCUAACAACAACAAAACAGCCUAAGCCUAAUGUAUAGCAAAACCACAUAUAGAGCUAACAAGCAUACAAGAUAAACGAUAAAAGGAAAAGAACAAACACCGAGCAAGAUUGUUGACCCAGUUCAGCCAAUGUGGCCUAAUCUGGGGGAAAGAGCAGCUCUCCAAUCCAAUAUGUGAAUGUGUUACAAAAGAGUUACAAGAAUCUAGCUUUUCAAGCUUUACACAUGAACAAACCCUAGACCUACCCUUUGGUAUUUUCCCACCCUCACACUAUGAACCCAUAAUCCCAAGGUGAUUACAAUGUUGUUUUCCCAACCUAAGAAACACUCUCAUCAAAGGAACACACCCCAAAGGAUCCCCAUCUUUGAUCUCCAAGUUUUCUCUCUUAAGCUCUCUUAAGGUUAUCUCCAAAAAAGCACAAGAACACUUUAAAUACUAGUCCUGCCCUGAAGAAAUCGUGCCACGAUUUCCCUAGAUCGUGUCACGAUCUGCAACGGUCCCCAGGUUGACCAGUCCUUAUCAGAGAUACUUAACCAGCAAGUUUCUGAAUCGUGUCACGAUUUCCCAAGAUCGUGCCACGAUUUUGCUUCCAGCAAACUUGGCUCACGGCAUCUCCGAUCGUGUCACGAUUGCCAAAUCGCGACACGAUUCCUCUGUUCUUCCAAACCACAAAUUUGAAGCCAAUUUUCAACAUUUCUUGUACCGACUUAUGCAUGAAACUUUGGUUAAUUCUAAUAAAGUUGGAGAAGUAGCACUUCAAUGGCAUGUAUUAUAGUGGAUCUAUACUUUAUUCGUCUCAAGUUAUAAGUUGUUUUUGAAAGAAAACCAAAUUGUCAAAAAUAAUAAAUUGUUUUACAAUAUUAAUGAAGGGUGACUUUAAUUUGUAAAAUACUUCACACUUUCUCCUUCGUAUAAAAUUAAGCGAAAUGAUAACCGGUGUCCCGGGACACCGGUUAAGGAAACGGAUAUAGUGAUGUAACAUCGGAAUUUAUGCGGUCAACUAUUCAAAAAUAUAAAAAGUGUUAUUUUUAAUUUAAGAUUUUCAGUAUCCCGAGACAUCGGUUAGCAUGACCCUAAAAUUAAUUGUAUUUCUUAAUCUUUGUCAAAUUGUCAAACGACUUAUAAUUUAACAUACAUAGAGUAAUGAUAUGGAGGUCGACAAUGUUCUUAAAAAUAAUUGGAGUUUUACGGCAUUAUAUGUCUUUGGGAGAGCACUCAUGCCUCGUCAUAUAUAAAUGUUGUUUUUUUUUUUUUUAUUUUUAAAAUAUAAAUGUGUUGUUAUAAAUGGAGUUUUACCACUAUUUUUUAUUUUUUUUUACAAAGAGUUUUACCACUGCUUGUUCUGCCCCCGCGUAUAUAUAAGAUUAAAAAAAUUAGACACUAACGGACAAUUUGACCUAAGGGUGUUCGCGAUGGUUUGGUUUUAAGGUUAAAAUUCAUUCAAACCGCAAGAUAAAUAAUAUGUGGUUUGGUUCGGUUCGGUUGAUUUUUAAAACCAAAUAUGAACUAAACCAAACCAAAUCAAAUCAAUGUGGUUUGGAUUGGAUCAGUUGGUACGGUUUUUUAGACAAUAAUUCUUUUUUGUUUUCAACGUUAAAAUCAAAUUAAAAAGGUAAAACACAACAUAUUUUCAGCAAUGUUUUAAAUUUCCAUCCAACAAUGUUCUCAACUACGUAGACUAAAUUAAAACGUGGACAAAAAGCAAUCAUAUUUUGUAAGAAAUAAAAAAGAUUAAAAUUUUAAUUAUUCGUUAAGAGUCCAAGUAACACAUAAAUACAUUUUUGAUAGAAAAAGCAAAGAAGAAAAAAAAAUGUCAUUUUAUUAAAAUUUUCAUUGAAUUUCUAUAAGCAUUAGUCUAAAUAAUAUAUAUUUAAUUAGUGUUUUUCUUAUAUUGCAGUUUGGUUUGGUUGAUAAAAUCAAAACCGCAAACCAAAUCAAACCACACGGUUGAGUAAAAAAAUGAUCUGAAUACAUCCGAACCAAAUGCGGUUUUUUGCGAUUUCGGUUUGAAUUGGUUCGAUUUGCAGUUUUUCUUUUGGAUUGGUUCAGUUUUAAACCCCUAAUUUGACCCGUCAAGCCUGAAUAAUUUAAAAUAAAAUAAAAAACUAUUCACUAUCUUUAUCAUGGCCAAAUUUUCCAAUUUUCUCUUAUAUUUGACCCAAAUAGUAGAGAGAAGAAAUCUGUUUAAUUAAUUUACUUUGGUUAUCAAUUUUUUUUUUAGUAAAAGAGGACUGAUGCCCUUUGGUUUUAUGAUUUUAACGUCAUGUUUGGAAUACUCUUUGGAUUAAUUAAGUCAUUAAAUUUUUAUUUUUGUUGUUUUGUUUGCUUAUUUACCUCAUGGGAAGGGAAACAAAUCAGGCUAGUUUAUAACCUCCAAGUGAAAGUUAUAUAUGUGUGUCUUCAUGUUCUUAUGGCAAUUUUUAUAUUAUAAUCGAAAAUUUGAAUGUACUAGUAUUUCGGUUAAUAAAUUAAUUGUUAAAUGAUUUGCUUCUUUAACGAUUUUUUUUUUUAACAAUUUACAAUUAUAAUAACUAAAUCAAAUUUAUCAGAGGUGUCGGCGAUUUUUUAUUUUUAUUUUCAUUACUCCUAAUAAUCUAUAUUGAUUAAUUUUUUUGAGGGAAUCAAUGUUGAUUAUUCUUUACCAUAAAAUGUAAACAAAAAUUGUAUAUAUAUAUAUAUAGACACACAUAUCAAUAAGGCUAAUAAUCAUAAUACGUAUAAGACGACUCAGAAAUCUAAGUGGUUGAAUACGCCAUUGCUAGAAGUCGUAUAAAAAAUCAUUAGCUUUGGCCUUUAUCUACGAACAUUGAUGUAGUAUUUUUGCAUCAAACAAUAGUAAGUAUUUAUAUCGUCUCCUCAGGGACUAGUGCGAUAUCACGGACCGUUUGACACCAAAUAUCAUUCUAAGUUAAAGAUAAUUUGUUGUAUGUUUUAGAAACUAAGUUGCAAGAGUAAAAGUUGAGAGUAAUAAGGCGUAAAAAUGUUGGAAUUAGAGUUCUUUGAUUAAGCGUCAAACAUAACCUAAUAAUCACAUAUAUGGAUUCUAGCGUUUUACUGAUAUUAUCACGUAUCGCUCAACAAGAUUAUUCGUAUCCAAAUAAUCAUGUGAGAUCAAUUGUAUUGUUCAAUAGUUGAUUUCCCAAACUAUUAAACAAUCCAAUUGUCGAUCGUAUCGUUUAAUUGACGAUUUCUCAAUCUAUUCAACGAUCCGAAAGCUUUUGUACCGAUACCUUAUGUCUAGAACAAGUCGGUCCUUUGUCUAGAACUAACUUUUGAUUCUGCUCCAUUGGGAAAGUAGAGGGUUUGCAAUCAAGCAUCUUACAUUCAUCCAAAAUGUCUAGCGUGUAUUUUCGCUGACACAUAAACAGCCCAUUUGCUCCUCGUGCGAGUUCUAGACCUAGAAAAUAUUUCAGAGGCCCAAGGUCUUUCAUAUGAAAACACUGUUUCAAGUAUUGUUUGAAGUUGGUGAUUGUGUCAGUGUCAUUACCCGCAAUCACAAGGUCAUCAACAUAAAUUAAUACUGCCAUAAAUAUGCUCUCUCUUGAAUAAGUGAAAAGACUAUGGUCUGCAUGUGAUUCUUGAAAACCAUAUUCUAUGAGUGCUUGGGAGAGUUUUGAGUACCAAUUUCGUGAGGCCUGCUUCAAUCCGUACAAAGAUUUCCUCAACCAGUAAACCAUCCUUCUUUAGGAGUAUUAUAACCAUUUGGUGCCUGCAUAUAAACUUCUUCCUCUAGAUCUCCAUGUAGAAAGGCAUUGCUAACAUCCAUUUGGUGUAAUUCCCAUCCUUUCGCUACAGCAACAGUAAGAAGGCAACGAAGUCCUCUCCUUCUACCUGUGUGUACCCUUUCGCCACAAGGCGAGCCUUAUAUUUUUCGAUUUCUCCUGAGGCCUUGUACUUUAUCUUGUAGACCCAUCUGCAUCCCACUAUUUUCUUUCCUUCUGGUGGUAAUGUCAGGUCCCAAGUUCCAUUCUCCUCGAGCUUUGAGUUCUACUGCCAUGGCCUUUUGCCAUUCAGGUUUCUUCAUGGCUUCUUGAUAGCUUUGCGGUUCUUCAUUGUUAUGAAUUGAUGCAAGAUAUGCUUGAUGCCUGCGAGAAUAGCAAUCAUUAUUGAUGAAGUUAGUGAUAGGGUAGACUUUACCUGAGGAGUGUGAAUGAGUCGAGGCCAUGCUCAUGGGGUUCUUGUGCGCUGCAUGACAAUAGUAGUCUCCAAGAUAGGCAGGUGGUUUUCAUGUGCGUGGUGGAAGAUCUGUCUCCCCCUCAUUUUGCAUUUCAAUCUCCAUUGGAUUGAUUUCCCCUUCAUUCUGAUUGUCAAACUCAGCUGCAUCUAUGCCCCCUUCCUGAUUCUCUGAGUUCUCAUUAUUCACUUCUUCAUUAAGGUUGUUUUCCUCUUGUUGUUCAGAGACAUUUGGAAAAACUACACUUGGAAAUUCCGCUGUCACAUCUUUUUCGUGAACAACAUAUGGCAGAAUAUGUUCAUAAAAUACCACAUCACGUGAAAUGGAGAACUCUCUUGUCUUAGGAUUGUAGACUUUCCAACCUUUCUGUCCUUGUGGAUAGCCUACAAAGAUACACCUUUAUGCUCUUGGAUCAAAUUUGUCCCUCAGUUUCGAAGCUGUACUGACAUAACAAAGGCAACCAAAUACUUUCAAGUGAUCAUAAGUUGGUGACUUUCCAAAAAGUACCUCAUAUGGCGUGAUACCUUUAUUUGCCACAGUAGGGGUUCUGUUUAUAAUAUGAGUUGCAGCAAGUACGCAUUCUCCCCAAAAGCGAAUGGGAAGAUUUGCUUGAAACCUUAGAGCCCUUGCAAUAUUUAGAAUGUGUCUGUGUUUCCGUUCUACACGGGCAUUUUGUUGAGGUGUGGCUACACAUGAUGUGUCAUGGAGUAUUCCUUUUUGGCUGAAGAAUUUUUUAAUACCAAGAUUGGUGAAUUCUGUCUCAUUAUCACUACGUACUCUUUUAAUUCUAACAUUAAAUUGUGUUUCUAUCAUGUUGUAGAAACUUAUCAAGAUGUCAAUAGUUUGGGUUUUGUGUUUCAUCAAGUAAACCCAAGUCCUGCGACUAUGAUCAUCCACUAAAGUAAGAAAAUAAUGAGAUCCAUUAUGUGAAGAAGUAUUAUAUCUUCCCCACAAAUCACAAUGUACUAAAUCAAAAGGUCUCUUAGCUUUAUUGAUACUAUGAGGAAAAGGAAGUCUAUGUUGCUUUGACUUGUGACAUAUGUCACAACAAUCUAAAUUAUUGAAAUUAAAACUACAAUUGAUAAAACUAGAAAGACGCUGCAGAGACUGUAGUGCCAAAGAGUGGUAUCAUCUUUCUUACUUGUUGUAAAAGCAGAUCCUUGCAUCAUCCCUUUGUACACAUAAACCCCAUUACGCAUGCUACCCGAUCCAAUCGUCCUCCUCGUGGCUAGGUCCUGUAUCACACAAGAAUCGGAUUGGUAAGUUAUCAUGCAAUUUAAAUCAUGUGUCAACUUAUGUAUAGAGAUUAAAUUGCAGCAAAAAUCGGGCACAAUCAACCCAUUAGAUAGCUUGAUAUUUCUAUCAAGUUUGAGAUUUCCAGCUCUUUCUACCAGCACAGUAUUUCCCGUGGGAACUGUGAUAUAGAAAGGUGUCUCAAGUGAUUGUAUUCCCUCUAAAAUUGAGGAAAAAGGAGUCAUGUGAUGAGAUGCGCAACUGUCCAAGAUCCAUUGGAUCUCUUUAUUACCAGCCAUGCUAGAGAGGGAUGAUCCCGCAUUCUUCAUUCUCAUUCCGUGCAGGGCGUGAGUUGUAUAUGCAGCAAAAUUCCCUCCUGAUCCUCAUCAACAUGAGUUGUAUAUGCAGCAAAAUUCCCUCCUGAUUUAUUGUUCCAACGGUUUGUUCUACGAGCAUCCCAGUUGGAAGGAUAUCCGAUUAUCUCAAAACACUUGGACUUAGGAUGUCCAACCUUUCCACAAUGAUCGCACUUGGGCUUGGGUCCAUCUCUAUUCUGCUUGUUUCCUGAAUAUGAGUGGAAGGCUGUACCUGGAUCCAUCUUAUUAUUCCCUUUCUCCUUCUCCACAGUGAAGCGUGCUUCUUCUCUCAAGACGUGAUUGAAAGCGCGUCUGAGUGAAGGUAAUGGUUCUACAUUCAGAAUGGAGGUUUUGACAUGUCCGUAUUUUUCAUUAUCCAGACUUCCAAGGAAAAGAUGGAGACAUUGUUCUUCUUCCCUUCGCAUCAAUUCCUUUGAUGCUCCACAAGUGCAUUCGGGCAGAGGUUGUAAUUCACUCAACUCAUCAAGCAAACUCUUGAACUAAGUGUAAAAUGUUGUUACACUCAACUCAUCAUCCUUCUGCAUAAGACACAGAUUGCGCCAUAAUUGAUGGAUCCUUGGUGCGUUGGUUUGAGCAAAACGCUCUUCGAGAUCGAGCCAGAUGUCCCUCGUUGUUGAUGCGUGUGAAAUGCUGCUAUGCAGUACCGGAUCAGUGGCAUUGAUGAUCCAUGCUGUUACCAUUGAAUCUGCUCUCUCCCAAUUGACAUAAUUGGUUGUUUUCAUCCCUGGUUUCGUGAUUGUUCCAUCGAUGAAACCGAGCUUCAAUUUUGCUCGGAGCGCCGUUUUCAUCGAUCGUGACCACGUUCUGUAGUUUUCUCCAUUUAGAACAGCCGCCACUAAUGGAGUUCCUGGAUUAUCUGAGGAACCAAGAUAGUAUGGUGAGCUUGAGUCAAUGGCAUGUGAUUUUUUACCUUUAUCGGAGGCAUGAUUUUUCUUCCCCGAAUUAUCUUCCUCAGAACUGUCCCGCUCUGAUGCCAUAUUGAAAAUGGCUGUAUAUUUUACUGAUGUACAAAAGAAUGAUAUACAAUUACAUUUAUAGCACCUGAGACAUUAAACUGGUGCAAAAAUUAGCCUAAUUAUAAGUGUUGACCGCUAGAGCUAUCAGAGGAAAUAAUACAAAGUUAAUAGUAACAGCUGGCUGGAAUGAUCUAAAAAAUUAAUAGCAUAUCACAAAAUUAAUAUCACAUCAUUCUCCUUGAUUAUAUGCUGACCAGAAAAGUCAAGAUACUUGCUUAUUCUGCAAUACUAUAUAAUUUCAUUUUAUCUUCAUAAAAAAAGAAGUUGGAAAACAUGGGGUACAAUAACGAAUGUUUCUCAAAUGCAUCUUGUUUUGAUUUUUCUUCGCUGAUUUCUCCUUCCCCCUAAGUUUUAGAUCAAUGCUCACCACCUAUGUUUUAGGUUAGUGCAAUGGAACAUACGUACCCUUGGCUUGAAGCGAAAAACUAAUAAUAGAUACUUAACUUGAACAAGAAAUUGAUCUCAUUAGAAUCCAGACUGUGGAGCAUGGGCGGAUCCACUGUGAAAUAUGGUGCGGCAAGACCAGAUUAUUUCCCAUUUUUUUUUCUUCCAUAUACUUGACUUAAAUAAUUAUAUAUAUAAUAUAAGUCGUUCACAUAUCACAUGUUUCUCUUUUGGCCGAGCAUUUCUUAGGGGGAAUCGAACCUGUAACACCAUGUUAAAAUGCUCUCACCCAAAAUAUUUCGCUAUACUAUUUAAAGUGUCAAUGGUCUACUUUGUUAAUACAUAUAGUUGUUUUGAAAGUUUUGCCAAACCAAUAUCAAAUGUCUAGAUCCGCCCCUGCUUGGAGGUAUAUAUGUCUUGCAUUUGUCUUCAUCUUUUAUGUGCGACUACAUAUUAUUUUAAAUUUACCUUCUUCACACUUCUUGCAUAAAAUUUCAAAUCCUGUUACUCUUAUUUCUUAACCUAAAAUACGAACCUAUUAAAAGGAUAGAACUCAUUGACUUAUAAUCUUCACUAUUUUAUGUGAUGCCAGAAUCCUAACAAUUCCUCUUCAAUAUUGAAUGCUCUAUUUGGAAAAGAAAAAGACAAAGAAAAGAUGAUAUUAUUUUAAAAAAUAACAUAAUUCCAUUCGAAACCCUCCAAUGUUGUAAAGGAACCUCACCUCCUCUUAUGGUAUAUGGAUAAUUUAAACCCAAUUAACAAUAACAGUUUCAAAUCAUAUUCAUAUAUCUAUACAAACUACAACGUAAACAUAUUUCAUCGCACUUUAGAUUCCAUAAACCAUUGGACAUGACUACAUUUGUUGAUGUUAAACACAACCCAAAUAAAUAAUUAUUGGGCAAAGAAUGAUGACAGAGUUGAAACAAUGCAGAUAGAAAAUAAUCAGAGAUAGGUAUAAAAAUAUUGCAGUCUUUGGAGUCUAGUAAGUUCAUAUAUAAUAACUAAAAGCCUAAUAGGUAGAUAAAUAUUAUGUUUUUUUUUUUUUGGAGGAAAAUAUUAUGGUUAUAUAACAAUAAUAAAAUAUCCAUGUGGUUCUAAGUUCUAACAAGUGAAAGCAAUGAAGAUAAAUUAAUAUUUUUUGUAAAUUAAGGCAUAUAAGCACACCUCAAACAGUGGUAUGUGAAUUGUAACACUCUUAGGUUUAAUGUAUAACAUAUUUUGGCCAUAACAGUAGUAGCCAAAGCCAAACAUGAAACAUUUCUUUCAGCUUCUUAGAGGUACAUGCAACACUAUGUGUGUGUAUAUAUAUCAAGAAAAGCAGAGAAUGCUGAAAUGCACAAUUUUUUGAUUCAGAAAAUUUUUAAAACUGAACUGUAGAUUCCUACUCCCUCAAGUCUCAAUUAUAAGCCAAUUUUUUAGUUUGUAAGUAGUUCAUUCAAUGAAUGAUGUAUGUUGUCUAUAACCACAUAGAUCAUUAAACUACAUACAUCAUUUAUUGAAUGAACCUAAAACUGAAAAUUUGUUUAUAAUUGAGACAUGACGGAGUACUUUAAAAAAGUGAUACUCAACAAACUAUAAAAUAGAGAAUGAAGUGAUACUCAAUUUUAUUUUAACAUCCAUUUUUCUAUCUAAUACUAGACGAGGCUCUUACCACAUUUGAUAUAUAACAAUAUAAACGAAGGUAUUUCAAGCUCAAAAGUUAAAGUAACAAAAGUGAUCACAUAAGAUCUAUAUAAAAAAGCGGUUUUCAUAUAAAAAAUAAAUAAAUAAUAAAAAAAGAGCUAUAUAAAUAAGAUGGGCAAUAUUAUUGUCUAAGUGAGUUUCUUUAACUCAUGCAUCAUUCAAUUGAGUCAAAUAGAUAGUUAAAAUAUAAAAUGUCUGAAAUGACUUUCUAUCAUGCAAACCCAAUUAGAAAAGCCUUCAAAAAUUGAAAAAUAAAAUAAAAGCAAACUAGGUUCAAAACCAGCCCUAGACACCAGCUUAAUACUCAUAACAAAAAUAAGUUUUGAGGCAACAUGUAAAGUAAACAAUUAUUCAUCUUCACUUUCAUCAUCAUCAUCAUCUUCAUAAAUGUUCAGAGCAGUGUUCUUACAGAUUGGACAAACAUUCUUCUCCUCCAACCAUUGUUUGAUGCAGUUAAGAUGAUAUAUGUGAUUGCAAUCAAGUCUCCCAAUACACUCCCCAUCAAUAAAAUCUUCCUAAUAAACAUAAAACAAGAGGGGUUAUGACACUUGAAUAUGCUCAAGUAUUAGGAUUUUAAAAUUUAGUUCAUCCAAUCCUUACAAAAUCAGUUGGUUAGAAUAGAGGUGCCACUUUUUAUAAAAAAAAUUAUUUAUUUAUUUUCAAUGUGGGACUUUGAUUUUCUUAAUAUCGUGUUCCCUAAAGAGUUUUAUAUGCUAUAUUAGAAGAAAAAAAAAUGAACCAGGAACUAAAUUAGCUACAUACAAAUUAAUGUGAUAUCAAAUUUUGAGGUAAUAUAAACGAUAUUUCAAGUCCCGUGAGCAUAACUCAGUUGGUAGGACAAUGCAUUAUUAUAUGCAGGGGCCGGGGUUCGAACCCCAGACACCCCACUUAUUCACCUUAUAAGGUGAGUUCUAGCUACUAGGCUACCUGGCCGAAAAAAAAAAAAACAAUAUUUCAAAAAUAAAGAAACAAGUAGAUUAAUCCUUCACCUGACAUAUGGUGCAAGUUUGAUUCAUUGUGCUUGUUUCCUCAGUAUUAGGCUGGUAAGUUUCUUGCUGGAUAUACAUGAGAAUUUCCUCCUCUUCCAGCCCCACCUCAUUCAUCUGUACGUUAAUUAAAUUUAUCAUUUUCAAUUGAAUAUGAUCAUGUAUAAUAUGUAAGCUAAACUCUAGCUACAUGUUUAUACAAUUGGGCAAACAAUAUGAAGGAAAAAAAAAAGGAUGUAUUAAUUAUACAUUAAUAGUUACAAAGCUUUAAAAAAAAAAAAAAUCAAAAUUUUUACCUCGUCUUGCCAAUCCUCUGAAUUAGUUAUCCAAUCUAUGUGCUCUUGAGAGUGAAGUAGCCGAUUUUGAGUGGCCCAGUAAUCAAGCUGUGUGACAUAUAUUUAUAAGGAAAAUGUUACAUGAACAUCCUUUAUUUCUACACCCCAUUGUACACUCCAUGUAUUAGGGAUAUUUUAGUAAGUUCAUCUCACAACCACACUUUAUCUUCUAUUUGUGUGGGAUCCAAGUUGCCACGUGUCAGAAUUUUGUGUGGGUGUAAAGAGUGUAUUGCCACAUGGGAAGGUACAUAUAUCAUCACUCUAUUUGUAAAGUACAUGAAAGUAAUGUGAUGAAUUCAAAAUGGUACAUAUCAAGAUGAUUUAAUUUAAUGGGAAUGUUUAUUCUGCUGCAACUGCUAGUUAAUCCAACGGUAUAGUAAAACAAUCACAAAGUAGUAUUCAAUCUUUUACCUAAAUAACUAAUCUAAAAAUUUGGGUUAAACAUAACUCAAAUAUCUUAUGUAUUUAAUGUAGAAUUUUAGCACACCUCCUCACACCAAUGAUUAUACAUCUGGAUGUGACAUGGUGGUACAAUAGUGGUGGUCGAAUACGUGGUAGAUACAUAGUGAUCACAGAAGAGUUUUUUACAAAAUUAGGAUAUAAAUUGAGCACUAUGUAUCUAUCACUUAUAAACAUUUUGUUAAACUAUAUUUCGCUUAUUCUUUUUUACACAAUAUCUCACUACUCUUAACAAUUAAAUUAUUUUUAUAAAUAAUAAACAUAUCAAUUACGUUAGGUUUCUAGAAUAGAUUUCUAACAACUUUAUAUCAACAAAACACACUUAUCAUCAUUUCCAAUUCAUUGCAAUAUUAAAUUUUCACAUGCAUACUUAUAGUAACACAUAAUAUAUAACCACAAAUUAAAUACUAUCACUUAUUAAUUUUGACUAAAGUUUACUUGAUGGUAAAUAAAUCUAAAAUAUUUGAAAAUGAAGCACAUUAUUUAAUUGUGAAUUCAUUUAUUUUAGUCUUCAACCAAAGUUAAUAUUAACAAGUAAUUAAGAAAGUAUAUAUAUAUAUAUAUAUAUAUAUAUAUAUAUAUAUAUAUAUAUAUGCACAGGCCGGGGAUAUUGCAUGGAUAUUGCAUUUUAUAUGUACGAGCCGGGAUUCGAACCCCGGACACUCCACUUCUCGAAAAUUAAAUUGUGUGAGUUCUACCCACCAGACUACUUAACCAAAAAAAAGAGAAAGAAAGUAUAUAUACCUCAAAGAAGUCCAGGUUGUUGUUAUUAUCACCAUUCUGGCUAAAACUUGUGCCUUGAGAAGAAGAACAUGUUGCUUCUCUUGUUGCUGCAGAGGGAUAUAGAAAUGAUGCAGGACCACCAGGAGAGCUAUUAAUUUCAGACAGAGUAGUAGUACUACUUAGUCCUGCUUCUACAUCAACAUCUUCAUCCAUGAUGAAAUGAUCCCAAAAUGUUGUUGUAGGUAAAGAAGACAUGUUAUUGACAUUGUCUUGAUAAGGAUGAAAAGGAGGAGGAAGAGUGCGUCUUCUGCUAAACCUUUCAUCAAUUUGUGAACCUUGAUUAGAAGUUUCACCUCUAGUGAAUGGAUCAGGCGAUCUACUUCUCUUGAAUGAUGAAUUAGCCUGACACAACUCAUCAUUCCUAGCACCAGUAGUAGUGGUGUUAAUUUCAUCGUUGAAUGACGAAACGGAAUUAGCAUUACUACUAUUUCCUACAACAUCUCCACUUCUUUGAUAAUCGGAUUCUACAACAGGUGCAACUUCAAUUUGUCCUCCAAUAGUCGGAUAUAAGGAGGAUAAUGACAUAUUAUCUCUAGCCGAGAUGGACGACACACUUCUCGGUCCUCCAUUGAUAAAUUGAGAAGUGUUGUUGCCUUCUAAAGCAUUGUGAGUAGUAGUAGGAAUGAUGCUAAUAUUUGACCCAAAAAGUCUUAAAUAUAUUGGGCUCCUUUCUUGAUUAUGACGAUUUCCUAAACGAUAUUGGUUGGCCAUAGAUUGCAACUUCUUGCCUGCAUGCACACCAUAACAACAACCAUAUAUCAAUACUACCAUGGACAUAUGAUGCUAUCAUAACACUCACAAUGAUAUCUAGACUCCAAUCGUAAUGUGAUAAAAUGAACAAAUUCGAAUGUAGAUGAUUGUGCUAUUGCUGGAGUGUAAACAUAGUUAAAAUGCUAGUAACAUAUAAUGAUGUCAUUGCGCUCUAUUCUUUUGCUUAAAAAAAAUAUAAUCAUAUGAGAUUUAGUGUGUUGAACACUAAUAUAUGACACUACAUAUAUUCGUUUUCUAAAAAAUUGUAUUAUUAUUGUUAAUUCCCUAUACACAUAUAAUAGAUCUGAAAGAGUAUAACAGUCCGUUCGGAUUGGUUUAUUUUUUAUAUUAUUAAAUAUAAUUUAUGUAAAUAAAUAAAUUUUUAUAUUACUUCAUAAGUUUUUACUAAUGAAAAUUGUAUAUUCAUAAACUACCUUGACAAAUUUAUGAAUAUAGUACAUAAAAGCUUAUUGAUUUGCAUAAACUCAAAAAUAAGUAAAUCUAAACGGGACCUAAGAGUAGGUGAAAUAAAAUUUUCAACAUAUAAAACUUAUAUGUAAAUUUAAGAAUAUUAAAUUUAUUUUCACAAAGUAACCCAUUUUCUAAAACAUCAAAAUCACACACAAAAAAUAAUUUGAUAGACAAAACAUUUAUCAGCCAAUCAAUAAGUUGAUCAAAAAAUCAAACAGGAAGAUAGUUCAAAUCACAUGCUCAUAUAAACAAGAUUAAAAAAAAAAAAACAUAGUACAAAUCAAACCCAACCUUGAUUAUAUACCUAAAUAGAUGAGUAGGUACAAGAAUCGAUGGAUGUUAAAAACCAAAAGCUGGUGAUUACAACUGUUUAAUAUCACACUGAUGGUUUCUCUAUAGCAUGAAGGGAAAAAAGGACACUGUUGAGAGCUUCAAUUUAUUGAGAUUUUGUUUUUACAGUCUCUAUCGAUGCCGAUAUAUUAUUUUUAAUUUAUGUCUAAAUUUUUUAUAGAAAUUCAACUUUAUGGAAACGACCGUAAAUGGUUGACUGUUGACUAGUAUUUUGUCACAAUGCAUCCUCUCGCGUUACUUUUUAAUAUCUACCUACAUUUAUUGUUAUUUUUGUCACAAUGCAUCCCCUCGCGUUACCUUUUAAUCUCUACCUACAUUUAUUUCUCUAGCGAUUUUAGGAGAGAAAAUAUAUUGUUCACUUAUCACCUUCUAAAAGUUUUCUUCACAAUUAGCUUUUCUUCACCAACCACACCACCGACAUGGCCAAAAACACCACCUCCACCUCUAAUCAUGUCCUGAUUCCAUAGCCUUGCCUAUAUCAAGACCCCCUGAAACCAACACCAAAGCCUGAUUGCCCAGAAACCGACCCCAAACCUAAGAAAACCUUAGCACAAACCAUAAGCAACGUUUGCGAUAUACCAACAUCACAACUACCACAAUCGGUGAUCAAAGGGGAUAAGGUCUCUAUAUCCAUCCCAGAAGAUGAUUACACGGUGGGAUUAGAAGCAUGCAAGCACAACUUACAUGCUAGGAUCAUUUACCCUAAAGGUGCUACCCCUCUAACUGUAUUUUCCUUGAGAAACAAACUUACUGCUCAUUGGAAAGAUCUAGGGCGAUGGGGAGUUCAAGUUAUUAGGAAAGGAUUCUAUGAAUUUACUUUCUCCAACUUAGAAGAUCUGCAGAGGGUAAUAUCCAUUGGCUCAUAGAAUUUGAGUCCCGGCUUCAUCAAAUUCUUUGCUUGGACGCGUGAUUAUAGCCCUAAUACACGUCAAAAUACUUCAGCUCAAGUAUGGCUCAAGAUCUAUGGUGUCCCUCAGGAGUAUUGGCGCAAGCGGAUACUAUUUCCUAGUGCGAGUAGCAUUGGUACACUUAUUUGCAUUGAUACUGCCACUGCUAAGCCUAUGUGGGAGAGAACUUUUGGCCAAUAUGCAAGAACCUACCAGAUUAUUGUUCACAUUGCAACAAAAUUGGAUACUAUUUAGAGAUAUGGAUGUGUCACAAUCUUUGAGAAAUAAGGUAUUGGUAAAAAGGAAGGGUUUUUCCUUCUUUGUGGAAUUAGGUUAUGAGAACCUACCAGAUUAUUGUUCACAUUGCAACAAAAUUGGAUACUAUUUAGAGAUAUGUAAAAAUGUUAGAAAGGAAGGAAAUGAAGAGCAUGCUAAUUAAGGAACCAGUCAAGCCAAAGAAAGCAAAAACAAAAACAUAAUAUGUCAGAAAGGAGCAGGGGAAGUCUCAAACAGAUCCCAUUGUGGUCCCUGAGCAGACAAUUGAAAUACAACAAGAAAGAGAUCCAAACAAAGGGAAGGCCAUUAUGGUAGUUGAGACUAAGAAGGUUAGCAAAGAGAUGAACAUGGAGUUUAAUAAUGAAAAGGCAGAAGAUGCUGAUGAAUCUUCUUCUGAAGGUUCUGAAUUUGUAGAAGAUAUUGAGAUUAGGGAGGAAAACAUUGAUGAUGACUCUGUGGAAGAAGUCAACAAUAACACAGUGUGAUCAAGACUUGGAGAACAAACUAUUUUUGGAGGAAUCUUGGGCCAAUAUGGCUAAAGAUGAUGAUACUGAAGCAAGACUGCUAGCUGAUAUUGAGAGAGUUUCCAAAGAAUGCUGAUGAUUUUCAAUUAGUGGUAACAAAGAGGAAGAAGAAGCAACAAAGAUCAGCAAACAACAAAUAUGCAACUAGAUCAAGGAUUGGUAAAACAAAUCCUUCACAAUAAAGAGUUUUUUCUGGAAUGUAAGGGGUUUAGCUAACGCCCCCACUAGAUUAGCUCUUAAGAGGUUUCUUGAUGUUAAUAAACCAAAUUUUGUUUUAUUAGUGAACCAUGGUUGGAGCAUGAUUCUCUUCCUAGAGUUUGGUUUAGUAGACAUGGUGACAAACUUUUCGGUUCUAAUAUUAGAAAAAAUUUGAAGCCUAAUCUUUGGUGCCUGUGUACUUCAAACCUUAACCCUAAGAUUUUAGAGAUUACUGACCAACUAGUUUCCUUUACUAUUGACUAUAACAAUAUUACCUGUGGAAUUUCUGAUGUAUAUGCCUCAACAUGUUAUUUGAAGAGAAGAGAACUGUGGCAGUCCCUGCAAUCUUUACAAACGAACUACCCCAUUCCCUGGUGCUUUAUGGGAGAUUUCAACUCCAUCUUAGGAGCUUAUAAGCACAAGGGGCAUUAUUGACCUUCCAGAACUGCAAUGAAGGACUUUCAAUUGUGGACUAAUAGAAAUAACCUGAUACACCUUCCCACCAAAGGUGCAACAUUCGCUUGGCAAAAUGGUAGAAGUGGAAGAAGAUACACUGAAAGAAGACUGGACAGAUUCAUUUGCAAACACCUUUGGCUUGAAAUGUGUACCUGUGUAACCUGUUCAACCCUAUUAAGAACUAACUUAGACCAUCACCCAAUUUUCCUUGAUUUUGAAGCCACUCAAAACAAGUUUGUUACCUAGUUUAAAUUUCAAUAAAUGUGGACCCUACAUACAGACUAUAGAAACAUUGUAACCUCAACCUAGAAUUUUAAUGUAGUUGGUUGUCCCAUGUUCAUUCUAUCCUAAAAGCUCCAGAUGCUCAAAAUAAACCUUAGAAACUGGAACAAAGAUGUCUUUGGUAAUAUUCACCAAGUUGUUAAAGAAGCAGAAGAUAAAUUACAUGAUAUCUGACAACAAAUUCAAACCUCUGGCUACUUAGAAACCAAAAUACAACAAGAGAAGCUAGCACAAAAAAAACCUUGAAGAAGCCCUCAACAAAGAAGAAGCAUUUUGGCAAGAAAAAUCUAAACUGAAGUGGCAUUUAGAAGGUGGUAGGAACACAUCAUAUUUUCAUAAGGUCGCCAAAAUUAGAAAUACUACAAAACACAUUACAUCAAUCAAAGAUGGAGGAAACACUAUCAUUGAUCCCAUACUCAUUGUUGAUCAUGCCCUUAAUUUUUAUAAGUCUCUUUUUUGUACUAACAUUGUUUUGCAGGACAGCUUGCUUAUGGAAGAAGUAAUUCCAAACUUAGUUUCAGACAACACCAAUCAGAUGCUUACCAUGCUCCCUACUUCUCAAGAAAUUCAUAGAGCAGUUUUUGCACUUAAUAAGGAUAGUUCCCCUAGCCAGAUGGGUUUGGAGCUGUCUUCUUUCAAACUUUGUGGGAUAUCAUAAAGACAAAUGUGGAGAAAGCAGUGUUGCAGUUUUUUACUUCUGGAUGGAUCAUGCCAAACUUCAACUCAAAAACUAUUGCUUUAAUUCCAAAGACACCUAAUGCAGACACACACUACUAGGUAAAGCAAAAUUAGGGUGGGAAAUGUUGGUUUCCAGCCACAAUAGUAACAAUAAUGCAUCAAUGGGAAAUGUUGAAUUUUUCUCCACUAGCAUGCCUAUGAAUAAUAGCUUGCGGUGGUAAAAAUUCUACCAUGUCAGUAACAAAUUGACAAACUUGGCAAUGGGUAACUAUUGUCAAAGAUGGUGCAGCAAGGAUUGGAAAAUAAGAACCAAGCAUUUAAUGCACACGGUUCAAAACCCUCUAUAAAUAGAGAAGAGUUUCAGCAAUGAAACACACCACAACACAAUCCUCACUCACAUAGAGUUGAGAGAAAAAUAGAGAGUUCCUCAUAAGAGUGUGAGAGAAAAAUAUAGUGAGCCAAUUUGUGAGAGUUGUAUCUACAAAUUGAGAUACAUAGUUAGGUCCACCUGAGGGUGAAGAUUUGUAUUCCCAUUAUUAUUAUAGUGGAGAUUUAAGAGGCCUACGGGUCCCGUGGUUUUUCCUUACUCACAUUGAGAAGGUUUUCCACGCUAAAAUUUUGUUGUGUCAUUUUACGUUUCCGCUAAAGUGCCUAUUUUGAGUUCACGGAGGAGGGAAAUUAUGCAGGCAUUUCCCAACAGUGGUAUCAGAGCACUCGUUGCUCUGGGACUAUGAGUUUUCGUAUAUGCAAGAUAAUUCUUAAUAUGCUCUGUGGCUGCAACAUUGUUUGAUCUUCCACAUCAGAAAAGAAAUUUCUUGUCGCUAGAAAUAAAGUGAGGUAGUGAUAUAUUGCAUGUCUAGGAGUUCUGGCAAGGAAAGACUUGGUAUUUAAGCGUGUCUAUUGACCCACCUUUCUUACCUGGGAACUUUCAUGGUGCACUAUUCACGAACUCAGAUUUAUUCUAGUAUACGAUACUAGUCACACUUGUUAAAGAAAUUAUUUCCUGUGUAACUCAAGAUGGAGGGUGCAAUCAGCCAUGAUGGUGAUAUGUUCAAGCUAACUGCUGACAAUUACGCAUAUUGGAAGCCAAUGAUGGAAGACCACUUGUAUUGCAAAGACUUUCAUGAGCCAAUCACCCAAAAAGAUAAACCCUACAAGAAGACCGCUACGGAAUGGGAGACGGAGAAUCGAAAAACAGUGGCUAUGAUCCGAAAAUACAUUGAUCGAAGCUUGUUCGAGCAUGUAUCAACUGAUACCAAUGCGUAUGAGUUAUGGACGAAGCUUGAAUCAUUGAUUCAAAAGAACACGCCGAGAAAUAAAGCACACCUUGUUAGAAGACUGGUGAAGUUAGAGUACUCAGACGGUCAAAAGAUGAUCGAAGCUUUAAACACCUUCAAAGGUUUUGUAAUCAGUUGACAAGAAACGAAAUGAAGAUAGAUGACGAGUUGGACACACUUCUUACUCUUAUUUCCUUACCUGACAGUGGGGAAACUUUAGUUGGCACUCCUCGCUAUUCUGGCUCAAAAGGAAAACUUAAAUGGAAUUCAGUCCCUGUCUGUCUGGUAUAUGCAAAAACAAAACGAAAGGAAAAAGCUUGAAACAAUAUGUUCAAACCCACUUAUUUAACAACAAAGAAGGAACAAAAACCUGAAAAAAGGGGGUGGGAAAAUAUAAGGAGGCAAAAAAAGAAUUACCUAAACUAAAUUUGUUUUUACGGGGGAAAAACAGGCCAAUAAAAGGCUUGGGGUGAUUAUUUCUUUAAAAAAAGUUCUGCAGGGGGGUGCAAGAAACCCCUUCCCUUAAAAAAAAUUAGAAUAAAAAAAAAAAAAAAAAGAAAAGAGCGGGGAACCCCACCGCAAACAGCCCUUCUUUCUCCANNNNNNNNNNNNNNNNNNNNNNNNNNNNNNNNNNNNNNNNNNNNNNNNNNCACAAACAUACACAAAGAAAAGAAAGAAAGGGACGACAGGGAGCUGCAUUAUUUUAUUGGAUUUUUUUUGUUUUUGUGGUGUGGAGGGGAGAAAACAAAAACACAACCCCCCUUAUUUUGAGAGAAGAAUACCAAGGAAGAUUUUUUUACCCCCCCCCCCCCCAAAAAAAGAAUUUUUUUUCUUAGGGGGGAAUUAUUAUAAAUUUUUUCUUGAGGGGAAGGGGGGAACCUUCCAAAAACCUUCUGUGGAAAGGUUUAAGGAGCCCCCCAAAAAGGGAAAAAAAGGGUUUUCAAUCCCUUGGAAGAAAGGAAAGAAAAUUCCCCAAAAGGGGAAUGAGAGGUUUGGCCUGGUAAAAUUUUCCCAGAUGGAAAGGAGGGCUUUUAAAAAAUAAAUGGGUUUUCAAACUUCAAUUUUAAAGGGACAACCCAACCCCCAAGUACAAAGCAUGAAUUGGUGUGAAGGGGUGCCCUUCAAAAGAAAGGCAUUGAUUUUGAAAAAAUGUUUUCCCCGGUGGUGAAGAUGACAUCCAUUAGAGCAAUCCUUGGUCUAGCUGCAAAACUAGACUUAGAGAUAGAACAACUUGAUGUUAAAACAGCAUUCUUGCAUGGAGACCUAGAGGAAGAAAUCUAUAUGGAGCAACCUAAAGGUUUCGUUGAACCAGGCAAAGAACACCUUGUGUGUCGCUUGAAGAAAAGUUUAUAUGGCUUAAAGCAGGCUCCAAGACAAUGGUACAAGAAGUUUGAUCUCUUCAUGACCCAACACAACUUCACAAAGACGUCAACAGACCAUUGUGUGUUUGUGAAGAACUAUGAAAAUGGAGAGUCCAUCAUACUUUUAUUGUAUGUUGAUGAUAUGCUUAUUGUUGGAAAAGAUAAGACAAAGAUAUCUGCUCUCAAGAAAGCAUUGAGCAAAUCUUUUGCUAUGAAGGAUUUGGGUGCAGUGAAGAAGAUUCUUGGAAUGAAGAUCAUUAGAGAUCGAUCAAAAAGAAUGUUGUGGAUGUCACAAGAAGAAUAUCUCAAGAAAGUUCUUGAAAGGUUCAACAUGCAUAAUGCAAAACCUGUGCAUGUUCCAUUACCUGGUCAUUUGAAACUCAGUAAGACACAAUGUCCUGAGAAUGAUCAAGAGAAAGAAGAAAUGAGCAAGGUGCCCUAUUCUUCAGCCGUGGGUAGCCUUAUGUACGCCAUGGUCUGCACGAGGCCAGACAUCGGUUAUGCUGUAGGAGUCGUGAGUAGAUUCCUAUCAAAUCCAGGAAAAGAACACUGGAGUGCUGUGAAAUGGAUACUGAGGUAUCUAAAAGGAACUGCCAAAAAGUGCUUAUGUUUUGGCAAUGGAAAUCAAAUGCUCGUUGGAUAUGUAGAUGCUGAUAUGGCCGGAGAUAUAGAUUCAAGAAAAUCUACAUCUGGAUAUUUGAUUACUUUUGCAGGGGGAGCUGUCUCAUGGCAAUCUCGACUACAAAAGUGCGUUGCUUUAAGUACCACAGAAGCAGAGUACAUCGCAAUCACUGAAGGCUGUAAGGAGAUGAUGUGGAUGAAGAAGUUCCUGCAAGAGUUAGGCCAGAAUCAAGAAAUUUAUGUUCUCUAUUGUGAUAGUCAAAGUGCAAUUCACCUCAGCAAGAAUUCGACAUACCAUUCAAGGUCAAAACACAUCGAUGUGAGGUAUCAUUGGAUUCGUGAUGUGUUGGAGAAUAAACUGCUGCAAAUAGAGAAAAUUCACACCAAUGACAACGGAGCAGAUAUGAUGACAAAAGCUCUACCAAAAGAGAAGAUAGAGUUUUGUAAACAAGCUGCAGGCUUGGCAGCAACCCCAAACUAAUCUAAGGAUAGUUUCCCUUUGGCUGGAGGGGGAGAAUUGUUGGUUUCCAGCCACAAUAGUAACAAUAAUGCAUCAAUGGGAAAUGUUGAAUUUUUCUCCACUAGCAUGCCUAUGAAUAAUAGCUUGCGGUGGUAAAAAUUCUACCAUGUCAGUAACAAAUUGACAAACUUGGCAAUUGGUAACUAUUGUCAAAGAUGGUGCAGCAAGGAUUGGAAAAUAAGAACCAAGCAUUUAAUGCACACGGUUCAAAACCCUCUAUAAAUAGAGAAGAGUUUCAGCAAUGAAACACACCACAACACAAUCCUCACUCACAUAGAGUUGAGAGAAAAAUAGAGAGUUCCUCAUAAGAGUGUGAGAGAAAAAUAUAGUGAGCCAAUUUGUGAGAGUUGUAUCUACAAAUUGAGAUACAUAGUUAGGUCCACCUGAGGGUGAAGAUUUGUAUUCCCAUUAUUAUUAUAGUGGAGAUUUAAGAGGCCUACGGGUCCCGUGGUUUUUCCUUACUCACAUUGAGAAGGUUUUCCACGCUAAAAUUUUGUUGUGUCAUUUUACGUUUCCGCUAAAGUGCCUAUUUUGAGUUCACGGAGGAGGGAAAUUAUGCAGGCAUUUCCCAACAGUGGUAUCAGAGCACUCGUUGCUCUGGGACUAUGAGUUUUCGUAUAUGCAAGAUAAUUCUUAAUAUGCUCUGUGGCUGCAACAUUGUUUGAUCUUCCACAUCAGAAAAGAAAUUUCUUGUCGCUAGAAAUAAAGUGAGGUAGUGAUAUAUUGCAUGUCUAGGAGUUCUGGCAAGGAAAGACUUGGUAUUUAAGCGUGUCUAUUGACCCACCUUUCUUACCUGGGAACUUUCAUGGUGCACUAUUCACGAACUCAUAUUUAUUCUAGUAUACGAUACUAGUCACACUUGUUAAAGAAAUUAUUUCCUGUGUAACUCAAGAUGGAGGGUGCAAUCAGCCAUGAUGGUGAUAUGUUCAAGCUAACUGCUGACAAUUACACAUAUUGGAAGCCAAUGAUGGAAGACCACUUGUAUUGCAAAGACUUUCAUGAGCCAAUCACCCAAAAAGAUAAACCCUAGAAGAAGACCGCUACGGAAUGGGAGACGGAGAAUCGAAAAACAGUGGCUAUGAUCCGAAAAUACAUUGAUCGAAGCUUGUUCGAGCAUGUAUCAACUGAUACCAAUGCGUAUGAGUUAUGGACGAAGCUUGAAUCAUUGAUUCAAAAGAAGACGCCGAGAAAUAAAGCACACCUUGUUAGAAGACUGGUGAAGUUAGAGUACUCAGACGGUCAAAAUAUGAUCGAGCAUUUAAACACCUUCAAAGGUAUUGUAAAUCAGUUGACAAAAACAGAAAUGAAGAUAGAUGACGAGUUGCAAACACUUCUACUUCUCAGUUCCUUACCUGAGAGUUGGGACACUUUAGUUGUCACUCUCAGCAAUUCUGCUCCAGAUGGAAAACUUAGCAUGGAUUCAGUCACUGACUGCCUGUUAAAUGAAGAGUCAAGACGAAGGGAAAGAGGCUUGAACAAUUAGUUCGAAGCCAACGUCAUUGACAACAGAGGAAGGAGCAAGAACCGUGAAAAAGGUGGUCGUGAAAAAUCACGAGGCAGAUCAAAGACUCGCACUAAACUAAGUUGUUAUUACUGUGGAAAACCAGGCCAUAGAAAGUUUGAGUGCAGAUUCUUCAAGAGAGAUCAGCAGGCUGGAACGAUCCAUCCCGAUAUAAUCGAUUCAAAGAAGAAAGAAGAAGGAACCACGACAGCAGUCGUAGCAACUAACGAGAAUUUCUUUCUCGUUGAAGAUGAAAAUUAUCUAAAUGUAGCGUCUGAUGACUGCAUUUGGAUAAUUGACUCAGGAGCAUCCUUUCAUGUAACCCCUCAUGAAGAAUUUUUCUCAUCAUAUCAAAAAGGAGACUUUGGUAUGGUGAAGAUGGGCAAUCAUGUCACAAGCAAGAUUGUUGGCAUUGGCGAGGUGACUCUGGCUACAGAUAAUGGCUCUAAGCUCGUGUUGAAGGAGGUUAGACAUGUUCCAGACAUGCGUCUAAAUCUUAUCUCGACAGGAAAAUUAGAUGAUAUUGGUAUGAUAAACCAAUUUGGAGAUGGCAGAUGGAAGCUUAGUAAAGGAAGCAUGAUCAUUGCUCGUGGUAAAAAGGAAGGCUCUCUGUAUGUUAUGCAGGGAAAGAUAAACAAGGGAGAUAUCAAUGUAUCUCAAGGCAUGAGCAAAGAAUUGUGGCACAAACGACUUGGCCACAUGAGUGAGAAAGGUUUGGAGAUUCUUGCUAAGAAUCAUCUUCCAAACAUCAAGGGUCAACCACUUGAAUCCUGUGAAGAUUGUCUAGCAGGCAAACAACACAGAGUAUCUUUUCAAAGAUCGGAUGAUGCAAAAAGAAGAAAGCAUAUCCUCGAUCUUGUUCAUUCAGAUGUUUGCUCUACAUCUGAAAGGUCCCUUGGUGGUUCACAAUACUUUGUUACCUUCAUUGACGAUCACUCUAGAAAAGUGUGGGUGUAUCCAUUGAAGAAGAAAGAUCAAGUUCUUCAGGUUUUCAAAGAAUUUCAUGCCUCUGUAGAACGGGCAUCUGGAAGAAAACUGAAAUGUCUAAGGACAGAUAAUGGUGGAGAGUAUAUAGGCACAUUUGCAGCCUACUGUAAAUCUCAUGGAAUAAGACAUGAGAAGGUACCUCCUAAAACUCCUCAGAUGAAUGGAGUAGCUGAAAGGAUGAAUAGAACGAUUGCAGAGAAAGUCAGAAGCAUGCUUUCUCAAGCAAAACUUCCCAAAUUAUUUUGGGGUGAAGCAGUGAGAACUGCAGUUGAUUUGAUUAAUUUGUCUCCUUCAAGACCUUUAAAUGGAGAGAUACCAGAUGAAGUAUGGUAUGGAAAGAAAGCCUCCUAUGGUCAUUUGAGAGUCUUUGGAUGCAGGGCAUUUGUGCAUGUUCCAAAAGAUGAAAGAGCAAAGCUAGAUGCUAAGACGAAGGAGUGCAUAUACCUUGGUUCACCAAGAGAUGAACUUGGCUUUAGAUUAUGGGAUCCUGCUACUAAGAAGAUGGUUCGAAGCAGAGACGUGGUAUUCUAUGAAGAUCAGACGAUCCACGACAUUCAAUCUAAAAAGCCAAAGACCAUUGUGGUGCACAAUUCAGGGGGAGAGAUUCCUCAGAUGAAUUACGAUCAUGAUCAGCUAACAGAACCAAAUCAGAUGGAGGAGCCUGAUCAGAUAGAACAAAAUCAAGCAAUGCAUGAAGAGCAGAUGGCAUAUGAUGAUGUUGAUGUUGAGAUGGAACAAGAACCUCAAUUGAGAAGAUCAACGAGAUCUAGACAACCAUCAAAAAGAUACUUCUCAGGUGAAUAUGUAAAUUUCACUGAGGAAGGGGAACCUCAAAGCUUCAUGGAAGCUAUAGAGACAACCAAUAAGGAAAAAUGGUUACAAUCCAUGGAAGAAGAGAUGAAAUCCCUAAAGGAGAAUGAGACGUAUGACCUGGUAAAAUUACCAGAUGGAAAGAGGGCAUUGAAAAAUAAAUGGGUGUUCAAACUCAAGUCUGAAGAGAACAACCCAAACCCCAAGUACAAAGCACGAAUUGUUGUGAAGGGGUGCCAUCAAAAGAAAGGCAUUGAUUUUGAAGAAAUAUUCUCACCGGUGGUGAAGAUGACAUCCAUUAGAGCAAUCCUUGGUCUAGCUGCAAAACUAGACUUAGAGAUAGAACAACUUGAUGUUAAAACAGCAUUCUUGCAUGGAGACCUAGAGGAAGAAAUCUAUAUGGAGCAACCUAAAGGUUUCGUUGAACCAGGCAAAGAACACCUUGUGUGUCGCUUGAAGAAAAGUUUAUAUGGCUUAAAGCAGGCUCCAAGACAAUGGUACAAGAAGUUUGAUCUCUUCAUGACCCAACACAACUUCACAAAGACGUCAACAGACCAUUGUGUGUUUGUGAAGAACUAUGAAAAUGGAGAGUCCAUCAUACUUUUAUUGUAUGUUGAUGAUAUGCUUAUUGUUGGAAAAGAUAAGACAAAGAUAUCUGCUCUCAAGAAAGCAUUGAGCAAAUCUUUUGCUAUGAAGGAUUUGGGUGCAGUGAAGAAGAUUCUUGGAAUGAAGAUCAUUAGAGAUCGAUCAAAAAGAAUGUUGUGGAUGUCACAAGAAGAAUAUCUCAAGAAAGUUCUUGAAAGGUUCAACAUGCAUAAUGCAAAACCUGUGCAUGUUCCAUUACCUGGUCAUUUGAAACUCAGUAAGACACAAUGUCCUGAGAAUGAUCAAGAGAAAGAAGAAAUGAGCAAGGUGCCCUAUUCUUCAGCCGUGGGUAGCCUUAUGUACGCCAUGGUCUGCACGAGGCCAGACAUCGGUUAUGCUGUAGGAGUCGUGAGUAGAUUCCUAUCAAAUCCAGGAAAAGAACACUGGAGUGCUGUGAAAUGGAUACUGAGGUAUCUAAAAGGAACUGCCAAAAAGUGCUUAUGUUUUGGCAAUGGAAAUCAAAUGCUCGUUGGAUAUGUAGAUGCUGAUAUGGCCGGAGAUAUAGAUUCAAGAAAAUCUACAUCUGGAUAUUUGAUUACUUUUGCAGGGGGAGCUGUCUCAUGGCAAUCUCGACUACAAAAGUGCGUUGCUUUAAGUACCACAGAAGCAGAGUACAUCGCAAUCACUGAAGGCUGUAAGGAGAUGAUGUGGAUGAAGAAGUUCCUGCAAGAGUUAGGCCAGAAUCAAGAAAUUUAUGUUCUCUAUUGUGAUAGUCAAAGUGCAAUUCACCUCAGCAAGAAUUCGACAUACCAUUCAAGGUCAAAACACAUCGAUGUGAGGUAUCAUUGGAUUCGUGAUGUGUUGGAGAAUAAACUGCUGCAAAUAGAGAAAAUUCACACCAAUGACAACGGAGCAGAUAUGAUGACAAAAGCUCUACCAAAAGAGAAGAUAGAGUUUUGUAAACAAGCUGCAGGCUUGGCAGCAACCCCAAACUAAUCUAAGGAUAGUUUCCCUUUGGCUGGAGGGGGAGAAUUGUUGGUUUCCAGCCACAAUAGUAACAAUAAUGCAUCAAUGGGAAAUGUUGAAUUUUUCUCCACUAGCAUGCCUAUGAAUAAUAGCUUGCGGUGGUAAAAAUUCUACCAUGUCAGUAACAAAUUGACAAACUUGGCAAUUGGUAACUAUUGUCAAAGAUGGUGCAGCAAGGAUUGGAAAAUAAGAACCAAGCAUUUAAUGCACACGGUUCAAAACCCUCUAUAAAUAGAGAAGAGUUUCAGCAAUGAAACACACCACAACACAAUCCUCACUCACAUAGAGUUGAGAGAAAAAUAGAGAGUUCCUCAUAAGAGUGUGAGAGAAAAAUAUAGUGAGCCAAUUUGUGAGAGUUGUAUCUACAAAUUGAGAUACAUAGUUAGGUCCACCUGAGGGUGAAGAUUUGUAUUCCCAUUAUUAUUAUAGUGGAGAUUUAAGAGGCCUACGGGUCCCGUGGUUUUUCCUUACUCACAUUGAGAAGGUUUUCCACGCUAAAAUUUUGUUGUGUCAUUUUACGUUUCCGCUAAAGUGCCUAUUUUGAGUUCACGGAGGAGGGAAAUUAUGCAGGCAUUUCCCAACAGGAAAUUUGUGACAGAAAACAUAAAAUUCCUCACAAAUUCCUUGGUCGCAAAAUUUAGUGACGGAAUUAGAAAGGAAUUUCAUGUUUUCCCUCACUAAAUUUCCCUCACUAACUUUUGUUUUUUUAGUAGUGACAAUGAGUCAGUUUAGACCAAUUGCAAUGGCCAAUAUUAAAUUCAAAAUCAUCUCCAAGAUCAUAGCAGACAACAGGUUAGCUCAAUUAAUGCCUACUUUAAUUUCUAAAGAGCAAAGAGGUUUCAUUCAUGGUAGGAAUAUAAAGGAUUGCAUUCUUAUAGCUUCAGAAGCUAUUAAUUUGCUUGAUGCAAAGUCAUUUGGUGGCAACAUAGCUUUGGAAGUGGAUAUAGCCAAAGCCUUUGAUACAUUAGAAUGGAGUUUUUUGAUUGAAGUUUUAACAAAGUUUGGUUUUAGUACAACUUCCCGUAAUUGGAUAAUGGCCACACUGGAUUCAGCUCACUUAUCUAUCUCUAUCAAUGGUACCCAACAUGGUUACUUUUAAGUGUACUUUAAGUGUACUCGCUUUUCUAUCUUGCAGAAGAAGUGUUGAGCACGGGCAUUUCUAAACUGGUGGAUAAUGGUGAUUUAGAGUUGAUGUCAAGCACUAGAAGUUGUGAUGUUCCAUUUCAUACUUUGUAUGCAGAUCACAUAAUGAUAUUUAGCAAUGGGAAGGCAUCUUGCAUAAAUUCACUGAUAAACCUUUUCACUAGAUAUGCACAGGUUUCUGGUCAGGUGGUCAGCAAUAGCAAAUCAACUAUUUUCUCGGGGUCAAUCUCUAAUAAUAAUAGAUUACAACAUAUUGUUGACCUUACUGGUUUUCAAGUGGGUUCUCUACCAUUCAUUUUGUCAUAUUGUUCCAAAAUAAAUAAAUUUUUAGUUAGAGGAUCAAUCCGAUACCAAUUAAAUAGUUAGAGAAUCAAAAAGGUAAUUUAGUCUAAAAAAAACCUAAAACUAAUAAAAUAGAAAAUUAAAUAACGAGGCAAAACAACAAAUAGUGAAUGAGUAAGACAUAUGAUCCUAGAAAUAAGGGUGGUGCUGCUUUAUGUGUUUGCUUGUACUCUUUUGAUUUAUGUGUGGUAUUAUAGGCCAUACAAUUCAUACAGUAAGAAACUAUUCAUGAUAAUGCAUUAUGGAAUGCUGGAAUAUGAGAAUUUUUUCAGAGCAUAAUGGUGGUGGGGGUGACGAACAAUAGAUUAAGAACUUUUAAAUAUAGUCACAGCUAGCGGAAGUUAAUGCUAAUUUUGGAAGUAUUGAGAAAUGAGAAUGUUCCAGUAGGCAAUGGCCCUAUGGGAAAUGCUAGGGAACAAGAUGUUUGUCAUGAGUGCAGUCAAUAUAUGAAAACGACUUUAACGGUCAUGAUGAUGUAGAGUGAUUUUGAGGUGAGAGGAGAACAGUAACAACUUGAAUGUGACAGUUUAUUUAAUGGUAUAAUUUAGAGUUAAAUAUGUUUUCGAUCAGGUUAACAAAUGGUUUAAGGACAUUAUUUAAAAAGUAUAUAAAUAGAAAAUUUGUUUUGAAAAUUCAACUUAAACUUUUAUCAAGGUAAUAAUCACAUUAAUUUUCAUGCAAAUGAGUUUUUUUUUUUUAUUUCUGAAACAAUGUUCUAAAGAUAGUAGUUAAUAUUUUUUAUAUGUUUUUUAAUCCUUACAAAAUUUAUUUUUUAGUUCUAAACCUUACUUAAUUUUGGUACCUUAAUUUAUUACCCCUACAAAAAAUGUAUGCAUGCAGUUUUUUUUAAUAUUCCCUUCGGUGCUAAAUAUACACUACUAGAAAAAGCAAAAUUGGGGAGGGAAAUUUGUGACGGAAAACAUAAAAUUCCUCACAAAUUCCUUGGUCGCAAAAUUUAGUGACGGAAUUAGAGAGGGAUUUCAUGUUUUCCCUCACUAAAUUUCCCUCACUAAUUUUUGUUUUUUUAGUAGUGAUAAGCAAAUUUAGGACCGGAGGGAGUAUAAGAAAGAAUAAAUUAUACUACCUCUGCCCCUAAUUAUAGGACCUUUUUGAAAAAAUAAAGGAAAUUAAGAAAAUUGAAAGUGAUAAUAAAUUUGUUUGUAAUUACUAUUGCUUUUACAAUUCUAUUCUUUAAGAAAGAGGAUUAGUGUAUACACGGACGAAUCUAGGAAUACAUUUCAAGUGUGGCUAAAUAAGAAGCAACCGAAAAAACACUGAUUUUUAAUAUUUUAUACUUUAGGGAUUGAUUUUUCAGUCUCUGUUUCUAAAAUGAAUUAAGACCAUUUUUACUCCACCAACUGAAUUUUCAUUCUCUGUUUCUGUUGCAUUAGCAACCGAUGUUAUACUUUAGAGACUGAAAAUUCGGUCGCUAAAUAAAAACUUCUAAUUUUUUUAAGAAUCUAUAGCCACACAUGCCCAUGAGCUAGAUCUGCCUCUGAGUGUAUGUUUUCAACAUAUUAUUUAAUAUUGAUUGAAAAAAAAAAGAUAUAAUAGGGAUAUGUUGGUAAAAAAUUAAUUAAUGUAUUUGGAAAUAUCAAAUGAAUCUUAUAAAAAGAGACAAAAGAAAUUUCUCAAAAGAGUCUUAUAUUUAGGAACAGAUGUAGUAUUAACAUAAAUCUUUGUAGAUUAGGGCCCAUGCAGCCUCCUCUGUCCAAGUCUUAUACCCCCUCUAUAUGGGCAUGCUUGGCUAUAGUAUAUGAGCCAGAGCUAUACCAUAUUAUUACAAGGUUUAGUAAAUUGAAACUUAAUGUUCUAAAACCUAUUUAGGGUUUGUCUAAUGUUAUUUACCAUUCUUCCCCAAGACUGCAACUGACCGUCAUUGAUAUUUUCAUGAGAGUUUCGGAAACAAAACAAAUGACACGAGUGUCAUAUAUUGAAAACAAAAUUGUAUUUUAUUCAAGUGCUAACGUUGUUGAUCGAGCUUCAACGAUUGUUGGAUCGUUGUGACCCCAAGUCACCGUCGCAACUACAUAAUGACUCCUAUCUUUUCAUGGAAAACGCUCAUGCUUCUUCAAUAUUUCUAGAGCUAUCAAGAAACUGAUACAUAUCUCUUAGUUGUUGGCUUACAAUUUUCUUUCUAACUACAUAAUUUUCUUUUUGAAUUACUUAGUAUACAAGAACAAGAACAUUAAGUUUAAAAAAUGGAGAAAAUUAACAACGAAAGUAAAAGAAAAAUGACAUUAUAAACCAGAUUGAGCUACACACAUAGUUUGAUCCACAAUUAGUAAGAUGUUUUGUCCUAUCUAAACCAAUGUGUAAUAUAGUAGGUAAAUUUACAUAACAGAAAUGAACUCCUGAAUACGGAGAACAAAUCUCCUAUUUAUAGGAAAUGAAAAAAAAAAAAAAAAAAAAACUAACUUCUUCUAACUAAUCUUGAAAACUUAUGCAAGUUUCUUCUAAUCAUCAAAUUUUGAUGCUUUGAUAUUUUUUUAAACAAAAUUGCAUUUGUUGUAACUACUUACAAGCUACUAACAUCCGAAAUGGCUUCUUUCGAGCAUGGGCAAUCUUCAAGGAUAUUAUUUGAGUACAUAUCUUAGAAUAAAAGAUCUUGCUAACAGUGCUAAGAUAAACCUUUCAUUUUAAACUUCAAAUGAACACUAACAUCUGAGUUUAUUUUUUUUUCUUUUUCUACUCCCUUGUAUAUAGAAAGAUAUAUCAACUAUGUUUUAUCAAAUAACUUUGGUGAAUAAGACUAAAAUAAACCAUUUCAUUAUUGUUCUUAUUUUAGCGGUGUUCUUAUAUUAGUGGGAUUUAACUAUUUUUUUAAUUAAUAAUUUAAAUUCCUAUUGAACCUUGUUGUGUUAUUUUGAUUUAGUGUUGUUGGCUUGAGACCUUAAAGUAUAUUUCUCUCGAGGUUUUAAGCUUGAUUCUUUCCGAUGACAAUUUUGGUGGGUUAGUCCAUAGAGAGCUUUGUUGUUGUGGCUUUAACCGGAGAUUGGACCCCCGCAAGUAACAGUGGGAUAAAGCCCCUCAUAUUUGUCGGUCCUUUGUUCGAAUAUGAAGUUUUUAAAAAAUAAACAUUUUAAAUAAUAUUAUAAAUUAAAUAAAAUAGUUUAAAUGAAUGGUGAAGUCAGAAUAAAAAAUUCAACCCAAAAUCCAUCUUUUUGUUUUAUUCCAUCAUAAAAUAUUUAAACUAUGUACAAACCAUUUCUUUUUCAUUCAUUCCAUUUCGUUCCACUGUAUUUUGUUACGUACAUAUACUCAUCCCAACAUUUUUUAUUGAAAAAUAAAAAUUAAUAUUAAAAGACCUUGUUGCAUAGAGAUUCAACAUAGAGCUAAGAAUACAACCUCAAGUCAUUAUUAUAAACAAAAAACAAAAAUCAUUUUUUUAGGUUCAUUGAAUAACUUAUGUAUUUAGUCUAUAAUAUAGACACAAAACAUCAUUUAUUCAAUGAAGUUAAAAAUCCAUUUCUGCCAUUAAUAAUGACCAGAGGGUGUAUUACACAACAAAUUAAAGAUUCAUAAGAAAAUCAAAAUCAUCAAGGUUGAAAUCCCAAAAGAAGUCAUCAACAUUUGGAACCUCCAUAUUAAAGUUGUUCUCUUCUUGUAACGAAGAGCAUGAGCCAAUUUUGUCAAUGUUUACUUGUUCCCCCAAGUUCCAUAAACUGUCCGACCACAUUCCACAUGGUACGGGAACAUUACCUAGACUUUGUUGUGAAGCAGAAGCACAAUCUCUACCAAUUUGAUUUGAAACCAUAAUCUCUGAUGAGCCAUCACGAUCCAUGAGAAUUUUACUAUCAUUAUUUGAAUUCAAUAUUGGUUGUGUCAUGAAAGAUGAAUGAGUUGAAAGAGUUAUAGGUCGAGGUAUAAUAACUUCAUGAGCUUUCAUUGUUUCCUUAGGUCUCUCUUUUUCAUUUUUUUCUACUGAUUCUGAAAGAACCUUCUUCCGCAAAUGUGUGUUCCAAUAGUUUUUCACAUCAUUAGCCGUUCUACUAGGAAGCCUUGCAGCAAUCAAUGACCAUCUAUAUUAUAUGUAUAAAUACAUUAGCUAAAAUGUUAUCUAAAGAAUACAUCAUACUUAAUUCUAGCUAGGCUACAUGCAUUUCCCUAAUUGGAAGCUUACCUAUUCCCCAGGAGAUUGUGUAACCUUAUGAUCAUAUCAGCUUCAUCUUCGGUAAUGCUUUCUCUGUUAAUAUUAGGGUUUAAAUAAUUUACCCACCUCAAUCUACAACUUUUUCGACAUCUAUUCAAUCCUGCCAAGUGCAUAUAUGUAUAUGUAACAAAUAUUUUGAAUAUAUAUAUAUAUAUAAAUUAUAAUAUAAAAUCUCAAACGAGAAUCACAAUUCACAGAACAACAUUUGUUUGUUUUGUGUCGUUUUUCAUCUUCUGUUUGGUAUUAGUUGGCUAGGUGUGGUUAUUAUUUGCGAGACAAAUUUUUCCUCCUCCUUUUGGACUUUAGCUGUUUUGUUUUAGAGGAAGGGAAAAUGAGGUUGUUAUUGGCUUUACAUGCAGUUUGUGGUCAAUUUAUAAGGCCAGAAAUAACGACAUUUUCAAAAACAACUCCAACUACAAAUUAAUUGGUUACUUACAUCAAAGUUCUAUUUUGAAAUUCGCAUGUAGUCAAAGAAAAAGGGUGGGUCAUGUUUAUAUUAUGAGUGGUGUAUUCAUCCUCUUAUUUGUACUCAUAGAGAGUAGUGUUUGAGCUAUUUAGCUUUUGAUAUUUUAUACUCCCUCCGUUUCAAAAUGAAUAUCGUUUUAACCAAUUGCACACAGAUUAAUUAAUGAAAUAAAAUAGUCAAAUGUUAUAGCAAUUUUACUAAAAUAACCUUACUUUAUAAGAACAAGACAAACUUAAAGUUGCAUUGAAAAUUGUGUGAGAGAGAAAAGUUGAAGUAUUUAUUGAAGGUAAAGUUGAAAGAACAAAAUUAAAGUUGUAUUGAAAAUGUAAAGUGACAUUCAUUUUGAAUCAAUUUUUUUUGACUAAAGUGAUACUCAUUUUGAAACGGAGGGAGUAAUACAACCCACUUUUAUUAUAUUUGUAUAUUCUCUUUUGCUGCUCCAAAAUGAAUUAAAUAUGAUAUUUCAUAUUAUUAAUCUAAAAUCAACAAAUAAUAGAUUAAUGCCUUCUAAAAAAUUAGAGUAAUGCAACAUUCCAUACUAUUAAUUAAAAAAAUUAAAUAAACAUUAAAAUUUAUAUGUACGGUUUGUUGUUGAUUUGGUUUUUUAAUUUGGAAUAUAAGUACUCCUAACUUUGAUUAGUUUUCAAUUUUAUUUGGGUUGUUUUCCAUAUGAGCUUACCUCUAGCAAAAAUUUGUCAAAAAACAAAAUAAUCUGUCACGGUAUAUAUCGAAAAUAAAAUAAAAUUAUGCAUGGUAUAAUUUACAUUUGGUUCUAUAUAUAUAAUAUAGUUGUUUAAUUUAACAAAUAUACGUAGUAGCACAAGCAAUAUUCAUUAUACCUGUUCUUUUGGGAAUUAAAUGCCAUUUUCCUUCACCAUACUUGUGAAUGUAAGCCUUGAGUAAGUUGUCUUCCUCAUAUGUCCAUGCACCUUUUCUCAAACCUCUCUUAUUCUCCAUACGCACCUUUCUUAUACGCUUUCCUUAAUUGUCUAAAUGCAGAUAUAUAUAUAUAGGCAUGAUCUUUUCAGCCAUAUAGAUGAUAUAAAAGACAAAAGUGUAGUAUUACACAACUAUUCCACUCAUUAUUUUGUCUCAUACGUCAUUUUCUUUCAUUUUCACCAGAAAUGUACUAUAUUUGUUUUUUCUUAGAUAAGAUAUGUGGCAAGUAUCGGAUACGCUGAGCCACAAAAGUUAUUUAAUGAUUAGAAUUAGUAGAGGAAACAAAAACCUACGAUUUCUUUUUGAAUUAAAAAAGUUCGAUUUCUAUUUUGAAUUGAACAAUGAUAUUUGUACAUCCAUUCCAUGACAACUUUAGUGACAACCUUGUUUUUCUCUCUUCUUAUUGGUCAAAAACAAUGGAGAGAGAAAAAGAAAGAGAGAGGAUAAGACCAUCAUGUGAGUAUAAGAGAGAAGUUGUACAGAAGUUGUCACAAGUUGGUUGUACAAAUAUCAUUUCUCUUUUGAAUUAAAUAAAGGGAAAAGAUUAAUAGUGUGAAGCAUUAUCCUACGAAGAGUAACGAAUGACUUGUAUUCUCGCCUUAGUGGAAAUAUGUUUUACCAACUUUCAAGACAUUUUUGUUAAUUUAGUUGUUAAUUCAUGUUUACAUUAAUGACAAUCACGAUUAGUUGAUUAAUCACACUUCGUUUUAGUUUGUUACAAGUUGGUUAGAAGUUUUAGAAAAUAAGAGUUAUAGGGUUGUUACUUUACUUCUGCUUCAAGUAACAUAACACUUGCUUGUAUAUAAGCUCAUUCCUUGUACAAUUCUCAAUAGAAUCUAUAAUGCAUUUUACAUUCCUCAAUUCAUUAUCUUUCUCUCUUUUCUUUCUCUCAAAAUCACACACAAUCAUCAAAACCUAAAACCCUAGAAACCUUAAACUGCUUCUGGUUUUCUAUUGCUUGUGGAACAAGCGCAUUCAUUUGUUGCGCUAACAAUUUUUGCCUACAACAAGCUUGCCCUAUCGCCACUGCAACUCUGUUGUCUUCCCUUGCCAUGGCAAAUACCGGUGUCGUUGCCGUUGCAAAUAGGGACGGAUGUAAGAUAUGGCCAUGUGUGGCUUUAGCCACACAUCCAAUUCCCCAUUUUUUUUAUAUAUAUAAAUAAAAACACACAUUGUUGAUUGGAAUUGGGAAUUUUAGAAUUGUUUAUGAAUUAUGAUAAGCCAAAUAUGAACAUUUUUGUUUUAUGAUGUGAAUGAAAAUGUCGAUGAUAUUUGUUUGGUUUGAUUCCUUGAGGAUGAGUGUGUAGAUUUAUUGUUUUUAUGUAUAAUGGUGUUAUGUAAAACUCAUGUUCAUGAUCAUGUUGUAUAAUUAUUCGAGAAAACUAUGUUCUAUUAAUGAUCAUGAACAUGUAAUCUUUAUGUUUUGAUCACUCUAAAAAUUUCGUCAAACUGCUUUCUAAAGAUUAUUUAUAUUGAUUUAAAUUUAUAGUGUUUCUAAUUUGCAUCAUUAUUAGCAAUGAUGUUAUUUUAACUCAUUUUCAACAAAUGAAUAGGAGACGAUUUUCAUUGUAAUUGUACUGCAUCAAACAAUGUUAUUUCUUAUUUUUAAUAUAUUUUGCAUUAUUGUUUCUUUAAAAUUUUAGCCAUAAGUAUACCAAAUAUUUGGAUCCACCCCUGGUUGCAAAUACCGCUCUCUGCACAUAUUUUCAGUUUACUGUUUUUAUGUUCAAUUUUAAUCUCCGUCUUUAAAUUAAACCAAUGAUAAUGAAUGGUGUCGUAGGCAUUGCUGACAUCAGAGGGACCUUUCUGAAGAUGACAAUGAUGGUGGUGGCUCCUAUAUAUUAGAACACUUUGUUGUUCAUGUCGAAGAUGUUUAAUUUUAUUUUUUUAUUAAGAAAAUAAUAAUAACUCAUACGUUGUGAGUUUGUGAAUAUAGAAGUACUCCCUAAUACUCAACCCUUUCUAUUCCAAAAUACUCCAUUCAUCCUUAGUUAUAAGAAAAUGUUACAUUGACACCAUUUAUUCUCAUACAGCCUUCUACACCCCAUGCACUAGGAAGAGAGAAGAGAAGAUAAAAGAGAAAGUGUGCUUGUGUAAGGUUCACAUGAACACGUGUCAGAUUUUUAUGUGGGUGUCAAGGAGUGUAUUGCCACCUAAGAAUGUCUAUGCAUCAUUACUCCUAAUUAUAAGUCUUGUUUCAAAAAGUUCCGUGAGCAAGUCUUGCAACUAUAUAGCAUUCAUCUUGUUUUUAUCUAUAUCCGCUGGUGUUGCUGUUUGUUUUUUCAAUCCACUAGGUUCACCUUCGUGGUUAUUAUUCAAUGAAAGUUUAACUGUUAAAAAAAAAUUAUUUUAAAGAUUUAAUUGCACGUUUGGACCCCUAUCUUUCCAAAAGUUGCGGUUAUGGACCCCUAACUAAUUUAAAUAUAAAACAACCCUCUAUGUUUUGAUUCUUUGGCAGUUUUGGACGCCCAGUCCAUUGUUGACUCGGUCAACGCUGACGUGGCACCCUAAGUGAGGUGCCACGUGUCAAUUUUUAAUUAUUUUUUGUCUUGGAGGUCCAAAACUGCCAAAGAAUUAAAACAUAGAGGGCUGUUUUGUAUUUAAAUUAGUUAUGGAUCCAUAACCACAACUUUUGAAAAGACAGGAUCCAAAAGUGCAAUGAAGCCUAUUUUAAACUGAAAAAACCAAAAGUAAAAAAAUACUAAAAUUAAGUGCCAAGGAAAACAACAAAUGGUGUCGCGGAUCGAAAACAAAUAGUGCCGGACACAGGAUCCUUGAAAUAAGGAUGCUAUGUUGGAAUUUUAUUAAUUUAUUUUAAAGUAUUAUUAUAUCUAUUAUUAUUUUAUUAAUUAUCUUUUCUCUUGACUUGGUAUCCUAUGUGUUUCCUAUUUAUAUUCCAAGUCAUGCACGUUUUUAUUUAUUACACUACCUAGUUAAAAUGGCAGUUGCAAUUCACUUGGUCAUAUCAUUGAAAGCUUUGAAUCUUUCUACUGCACUCACGGUUUCAAUUUCCACUUAAAUAGGAACUAUUUUUUAUGUGCAUACGAUAGCAUAUAUAGUGGAUUGGGAUCAGUGUGUAAAAGAGGAGAAAAUAAUAUAGGUUGCUGAAUUACAAUGUCUUCUUUCAUCUCUUACUAGAUUACUAACCCAUGCGCCGCACGGGUUUUAUGAGAUGAAAAACAUUCGUUAACAAUUUAAAAAAAUGAACAUUACAUUAUAUAAUAUUGUCUCUCAUUAUUAUAGAUCUCUGUGAAUAGAAUAAGAUGAUGAAAUGACAAAAGAAGUCGAAAAACCAAAGAUUAUUAUUUAUAGGUCAAAAUUACGUAAAGAAUAAACAAUAAACAACAUAAUAAAAACUCAUGUUCAAUGACAUGAUAAUAAUAAUUUGAAUCAAAACAAAUACACUCAUGUUCAAUGACAUGAUAAUAAUAAUUUGAAUCAAAACAAAUACUUUAGUUACAACCAAACAAAAUACUUACUAAGAUAUUUAAGAAAAAAGACUAUUAUUGAUCAUAAGAUAAAGAAAAACGAUUGAGCCUCACUAAAUUUAUUUAUAUCAAGUACAAUUUUUCUGUUUCUUAUUCUCAAGGUAUAAACUACAUAUUUUAGCCAUACAAACUCUCAAAUUUAGCAGCACUACACACAAUCCUUGACUACUUCUAUCAGUUCAUUUCUUGAGUUUCUAAUAAGGAUAAACAAAGGAAUUCAGCAUCAGGGUUCAAAUAGUAAAUUUAUGCAAUAGGUUUAGGUUAAAAUUAGGGCUAAAAUAUGCUUCUGUGUUAACUUUAAUAUAUAAGAAGAUAUAUAAGAUGUAUCGAGAAAUUGAGAAGGGGGAAAAUUCAAUAAGGUUAAACAAAGGAAUUUAGCAUCAGGGUUAAAAUAGUAAAUAGUUCAUUUCUUGAGUUUCUAAUAAGGUUAAACAAAGGAAUUCAGCAUCAGGGUUCAAAUAGUAAAUUUAUGCAAUAUGUUUAGGUUAAAAUUAGGGCUAAAAUAUGUUUCUGUGUUAACUUUAAUAUAUAAGAAGAUAAGAAGAUAUAUAAGAAGAUGUAUCGAGAAAUUGAGAAGGGGGAAAAUUCAAUAAGGUUAAACAAAAGAAUUUAGCAUCAGGGUUAAAAUAGUAAAUUUAUGCAAUAGGUUUAUAUUAAAAUUAGGGCUAAAAUAUGUUUUUGUGUUAACUUUAAUAUAUAAGAAGAUUUUCAUUAUAGUCACUAAUAAUAAAUUAUAAGUUCCCAAGAGCAUCCAUAAGUGAUUCUUGAGACCUUGCUAAUCCACGUGCGGUGCUAGCAAGAAGCGAUUGUUGUAUCCUGGAGAGUAUUAUCUAUGAGACCUAUCGCAUCAGGUGAUUCAUCCGGGGUGGCAAAAUACUCUUAAGCCCAGUGCUUCGUGCACGCCUCAGUCAAUGACCGAUAAAUUUACUUGUUCUCUAUUCUAUUAUAUUUAGAGUUCUAUUAAUUUGAUGCUAAUAUUUCUUAUUACUUAUUACCUUAUAAUAUUUCUCUGUCUAAUUUUUCCUACAACUUUCACAAAACUUUAAUGGUGAUAAGGGUGCUAAUUAAUUUGAUGAAUUCAAUUCAUGGUGAUGGUGGUAAAUGUGUGAUUCAUUCAAGGCUCAUGAGCACAUAUAUUUUAAAAAAAUAAUAAUAAAACGGCAGGGGCCAAGGCCUAACACAUGGGGCUGCUCCUGCUUCGAUAUAUUUUGAUUUAUGUGUAGUAUUAUAGGCCAUACAAUCAAUACAGUAAGAAACUCUUUCUGGGAAAACGGUUUCGAUAUCAUAUGCGACAGAUGAACAGCUUCCACUGUAAUGAUGAUAAUGCGUGAUUUUGGAAUUGGAAGUGAGAUUUUAAUGCUGCAAUGAUAAAUUUUACACGGUGCAAGAAGUCAGUAAUGAUGUAGUUUUGAAAUCAUCCGGUAAUGGCUGAAAAAUUAUUAAAACAAUUAUAGUUAAUAUGAGAGGAAUUAUUUGAUUAAGUUGGUGAUAUAACUUAAACAGGUUUAUGGUUAAAAAGAAAUUAAAAACUUAUGUAUGUCUUAACGAAAAAAGGAUUUUUGAAGGUAGAUGAUCGUGGUUACAAAGCAGGACUAAUUAUGAAUUAAACCUUCACAACUUUGAUGUCAUUUGAGGUUGCCUUGUCCGCCAAGAUAGAGUGCAAAGUAUCUAUUUUUUGAGAACUUAUUAAUCUUUCAAAAAUUCAUCCAUUAAUUAAGUUGCAAAUGUUGUUUCUUGUCUUCCCAUCUUUACUCUUGUUUUUUAAGACCACACAUUGAACUUCCUUUUCUUAUGAUCUAACAUCAUUUCAACGUUUAAAGUCUGCAGAUUAUAGAUGAGUAUUAACCUAUUAAACUGAGAAAAUUUUGUCAUUGGAUUAAACUGAGAAAAUUGAUAAGGGGCAUUAGAAGGAACUUUGUGUCUCUAGCAGCAGUAUUAUAGUUAAACUAUUCCUCAUUAUCUUAAAGAAUGUAUCCUUUGAUUUAAAUUAAGAAUUAAUCUCAUGAUUUAUACAUUCAACUUUGUUAUUUUGAUCUUAUAUGAAUGAUUUGUUCUCCUUUCAAUUUCACAUCUUCUUGGCUUUGCUUUAUGUCCCACCUAAAUAAGUUCUUCAAAACUCAUCCACUCUAUGUAACCCUCUUUGCAAUCGAUUAAGUUCCAAUUUAAAAAAAAAAAAUGAGCGAAUUAUAAUACAUCUCAAAUAUAGUUAAUAAUUCUAAUAACAUUUUUGAACUUCUUUUCUUUUUUGCAGGAUAACAUUUUUGAACUUUAAAACUUAACAAAUUGACGUUCAUUGUAAUUUGAAAUUACGAGAGUGGGAUAAAAAAAAAGUGCACAUCCAACUUCAGUACUUCUACUAUGAAAUGAUGGAAUAUGUUCAGGAGAUAGAAAUCCAGGGUAGAUAUGAAAUUGAAAAGUGUUACGACCAUAGUAAUUGCAAAUCAAAUUUUGAUGUCCUUGGAAUCCAUAGAUUUUUUUCAAUAUACUCCAUCCUUUUCUCAAUGAAGUAAGAGUUUUGCAUUGAUUAGAAAUAUAAUAUGAACUAUUCCACUCUCAUGGAAGAACCUCCAAUUCUUUCCAAACUUGUAAUUACACCUCCUUAAAAAGUAAGGACAAACUUCUCCAAUAUUGUCCUAUAUGCAAAAGGACAAACCUCCUUAAUAAUUUUUUUUAUUUUUUGACAGAACGUUAAUAAUGUUUAUAGGAAGAGAUUAAUGAUUUACAUUUUGUUUGUAUUGAAGUAAAAAACAAAAAUACGAGAAUCACUUAAUUCGAAGCCUAUAUGUUUAAAACACUGAUAUAUAUAACAUAGUUGAUAUAAAAGAGAUUGUGAACAAAAACAUUACCUCAUUACAAAAAAAUAAUAAUAAUAAUAAUUUCCACUAAAAAUAUUUCCAUUGAAAAUAUGAGACACAAAAUAUACUCAAAAUUUACAACACCAAUAACAUCUCAUUGCACCGACCCUUUGACUACUACUACUCCACGACUCACUAGUUUCACUCUAGUUGGCAACCGGCUCUGAAGCCCCGAUACUUCAAAAUGGAUGACGUACCGUAUCCCCUGCGUAUCCUGCACCGAUACAUGCCUGAUACUUCCCGAUACGUAUCCGGAGAGUAUCCAAAUAUUAAAUUUUUUUUUUUAAAUAAUUAUCCGAUACUUUCUGAUACAUCCUGGUACGCACGGAUACUUGUGUUUUUUUUUUUUUAUAUUAUUUUGAUUUCUGUUUUUUUUUUUUUUAAAUAAGAAUAAAAACAUUAUAUUACUAUAAUAUAUAUACAUUUCCUUUAUCUUUCUUUGGUGUCAGUACGACCCACACCACACCACACAACCAAUUGCAUCUUUCCCUUUCUAAGAAAUUAGGGUUUCAACUUUUUCUUCCAAAGUGGUCGCCGUCCACUUUGGCCACCGUCGAACUAUCGAAAAGCUAGCUUUAAAGCUUCUUGUGCAACCUUCUUCUUCCUCCUGUUGUGAGAGAAAUUUGAGUACUUUCUCUUUUAUCCAUUCUUUGAAAAGAAACAAAAUGGAUCCAAAAAGGGUAAAAGCUUUGGUUUAUGUGCAUACUAAUCUUCGACUAUUGUCAAGGAAAGAAGAUGGAUAUAAGAAAGGACUAUCAAGAAUGUGGGACAUUAGUGGAGAUGUGCAUGAACCGCUUGAUGGUGUUGGAAUUGAGUUAGCAGAGCUGUCUUUGGAUGAACCGGAUUUGAAAGUUGAUUUGUAUCUUGAUGAUGGGAAUGGAGGAGAGGAGAUGUAAACGUUAGUUACUUGUUAGUGUUAACUCUUAGUACUGAUGUGUUCUUUUUUUGGAUAUAGUGAUUUUUUUUGGAUCGAUAUAGUAUAACACUAACAAGUUCCUUUUGGAUCGAUGUAGCAUUGAUGUAAACGUUAUAUAUAUUUUUUAUUAACGUAUCCCAGCCGUAUCGUAUCUUGAUUUUUGAAAUUUUUCCGUAUCGGUGCAGUAUCGUAUCUGUAUCGUAUCUCGUAUCCGGGCUUCACAGACAACUGGUGACAAACAUUUGCAAAGAGAACACAAUCACCUCUGCAGGUGCAUUACUCUCCCAAAGCCUUCCUAACAAUUUUCAAAUUUCCUCUAUGACACGCACACACCCCCUACCCACCCCCCACGCCCAACGGAUAACAGAAAAUUUGGACAGGACGGUGUAUAUAUAUAUAUUGAAAGAAAAAAGAUAAAUGAGAGUGAAGUGAUAAAUAUGAUAACUUUAUGAUCUUAGAAUGAGGUGUUCAAUUAAUGUAUAAAAAUCUGAAAUAUUCAAAUACACUGAUUUUCAAAGCCUUCCUAAAUCGGAAGCACGUAUCCGAUUGCACCUGAUGCCCUCAACGUGCAUGUCUUUAGAAAUAACAUGCAAAACAAAAAUCCCUAUAAAGAGUGACUGAUACUAUUAAAUAAUGGAAUCAAUCAUUUAUGAAAUAAUAAAGUCGAUUGUUUUACAUAUGAUGUGAUGUGUUGAACCUGAGUGGCAGGGCCUGGGAGGGUCCUGGUCGAUCAGCAGGGUACAUUUUCGACACUGCAUGUCCUUCGUUGACAAAUGCCAUCAUUGAAUGACUGUUUUACGCUCACUGUUAUUGUAGAAAGAUUUCGUGCAAUUGUUGGCAUGCUCUCGUCCAUGUUAUACAAUCGACAAUGACAUUAUGCUCACUGGUCUUAUUACUUUAGGCAUUUCUUGUGGAUAAGAUUGUCGUACCUUGUAUCGUACGUUUCAACCGUGGCGCAAUUUUUUCAGGCACGGCGCGAUUUUUGUCUGUCACUGUGUACUAUUUAAGCGUUUCAGCUCAUUUUUUAAGGAAGAGGAGAGAGAACUUCAAAAGAGGAAAACUUGGGAAAUCAAAGGAGUUAAUUUUAGGGUUAAGGGUCUUUGAUUAGAGUUCUCUUGGGUUGGAAAACAUUGUAAACACCUUGGGUGAGUGAAAAUCAUUGAGUGUCUUAUUCAUUUGUGAGAUUGGAAAAAUGGGUAGAAAUUAGGUUUGUUCUUUGUGAGCUUGUUUAAGCUAAUUUCUUGUAACCCAUUUGUAUCUCUUUGUAAGAACUCAUUGAUAGUGGAUUGAAGAGAUCAAUCUCUCCCCCAUAUUAGGUCAAGUUGGACUGAACUGGGUCAACAAUCUUUGGUGUUUUUGUUUCUCUCUUCUCUCUUUAUCUUUUGCUUGUGGCUUUGAGCUUUUUCACUUUGAUUCCUAGAUUAGAUUUAGGUGCUGCUAUUGUUGUUAUUGCUUGUGUUCACUUUGAUUUUGGUUACUACUUUCCUUUGCUCCACACAUCAUAGUUUGUAUUUGUGUAAUUUUGAGUCCGAAUUCACAACAGAGGUAAUUGACGAAACUUACAAUUUUGGAGGUAAUUGCCUAUUCACUCGCUUUUUGUUAGAAUUUAAUAACAUUAGCUUUAGUUUCAUGGGAGAAAUAAAGUUGUUUCUCCUAAUUUAUCGUACCUUGUUUUAAGGAAAUUGGAUCCAAUAGAGUUCAUAACUUUAUAUUGAACUCUAUAAACUGAUGUGAUAGGAAUAUAUCAUUCGUUUCGAUCGCAGCCAUGUAGUUUUAUGAAGAGAAAUAAAACAUCUAGAAUAUUUCUAUCAUUCAGACUUAAGGUUAAAUAUAGAAAACAAUUUAAAAAGAUUGAUCCAUGAUUUAGGUUUGAUUCAACUGUUCCUAGAAGAAAAUUAUGAAAGUGGUUGUCUUUUAUCUCUUAAGUAGUGAAUCACAAUUACAUCAAGAAACACCCCCUCUGAGAGGCUUUAAACCCUCUCUUUUGGUGAUAUUUUUGCAUCUCUAAAUUGUAUAAUAUUUGAUUAAUGUCUUCAAAAUGAAUUUCUUCGUAAAAGACUUUGUUUGAGAAAGUUUGAGAUUGAUGUGGUUUAAGUUUGGAAAUUUCAUUUGAAAUUCACAAACUUGAAUAUAUAUAUAUAUAUAUAUAUAUAUAUAUAUAUAUAUAUAUAAAGUUUGUUAGGAUACACCCGCUAAUUUUUAUUAAGGUGUGUUUUAACAAGUUAUUUAAUUACUUUUUAGUUAUAACUUGCUAAAACACACCUUCCAAAACAAUAAGUGGGUGCGUUCUAACAAAUGCCUAUAGGAGUUGCUAACAUACACUCAUUUAUUUUUUUAGAAGGUGUGUUUUAGAAACGUUCACCUUAAGAUGUAUUUAACAACUUUUUAGUUAUAUUUUUGCUAAAACACACCUUAAUAAAAAUUAGUGGGUGUAUCCUAGAAAACCGAUAUAUAUAUAUAUAUAUAUAUAUAUAUAUAUAUAUAUAUAUAUAUAUAUAUAUAUAUAUAUGGGUUUGCUAGGAUACACGCACUAAUUUUUAUGUGGGAGUGUUUUAGCAAAUUAUAACUAAAAAGUUAAUAAAUGUAUGUUGCUAUAACACACCUUCUAACAAAAACAAGUGGGUGUGUUCUAACAAAUCCUAUAUACAUUUGCUAGGAUACACCCACUUAGUUUUUAGAAGGAGUAUUUUAGUUAGUGAAUAACUAAAAAGUGGUUAAAUACACCUUAAGGUGUAGCUUUGCUAAAACACUCCCACAUAAAAACUAGUGGGUGUGUUCUAGCAAACAUAUAUAUAUAUAUAUAUAUGUGUGUGUGUGUGUGUGUGUGUGUGUGUGUGUGUGUAUGUAUGUAUGUAUUAAAUUUAGCGUCGGUGUAGCCGAAUCUAAAGGAUUUAGUUGGUUAUUCUAAUUUUGAUUUUAGAGUCGGUUCAUCCGAUUCUAAGUGAUUCAAUUGAGUUUUUCGAAUGAGAUUAGAGUUGGACUUUAACUCGGCCGGGCCGUCACUAAAUUAGCCUCGGACGCUACCUGGUAGCUUUAACUAUUUAGCCCGCACCCGACCCCGAUGUUAAUCCGAUGCUAAAUCAUUGUUAGCAUCCGUUUUUACCCUGAUAGAGUGGGUUUUUGGCCGACACUAAAAUGCAAUUUUCUUGUAAUGUUCUCCAUAUUGAUUCUUCUGAUUUAUUGUCAUUUUCUAUAUUUAUUUUUCUGAUUGAUUGCUUGUCUCUCCAUUGACUAUUUGGAUGUUUCUCUUUUUGUUUGGUUUGUUUUGACCCGGUUCUUCUCUUUGGAUGAUUUCUCUCUCCCUUGUUUCUUAACCUUAAGUCAUGAUUCCGAUGAAAAUUUCUUAACCUUAAGUCAUGAUUCCGAUGAAAAUUUUAUAUUUCAAGUUUGAACUGAUAGACCUAAUAUCUAUAAACUAUUUAAGGGUUUUUUGGGGGCUAGUUUAACAUAUGAGUUUAAGAGUCCCAUGCUAAAGAAUAAUCGAUUAUAGUUCAUUCAUUCACAAUGCACAAACCAAAAGCCAUACUAGAGAAAUGCUAACAAGUGUCUUAUUUAGAAAUUCAAAAAAGAAAAAAAUCUUGAAAAUUGUAUAUACAACAUUGAAACAACACUUCAUAUCUUAAACCAUGUUUUACGACCUAUUUUACACCAUGUGUUACAUCAGACUAUCUUUGCAGGUACUAUGUUCAUUGUAUAGGAACAAAUUUUAUUAUCAUUUUUUCUUUUGAUAUAAACUGACAUGUGCAUCACACAUGUAUACGAUAUAGUAAUGUUCUAUAGUUUGGAUAUAUUAAAAAAUGAUCUUCCUUUAAUUUCUAUUCAAAUUUUGUUAUAUUUCCUCAUAAAAUACUCAAACCAUGAAAUAUAAAGUAGAAUCACUGUUUCCAUUCAUCUCAAUUGCAUUUCAUUCCUCUUUAGUUUGUUACAUAAUUAUUAUCCAAAUCAUUUUUAUUAUUGAAAAAUAAAAUUAAUAAUAAAAGACCUUGUUGUGUAGACCUUGAAGGCAUAACUAAGAAUAUUACACAACAAACUAAAGAUCCUAAAGUGAAUCCCAAAAAGAGUCAUAACCAUUUGAAAACCUUAUAGUUCUGCUCUUGUAAUGAAGAGCAACCACAUUGCACACAUAAUAUUGGAUCAUUACCUAGUCUUGGUUGUGAAUCAGAAGCACAAUCUCUACCAAUUUGAUCAGAAACUAUAGUGUCUGAUGAGGCAUCAUGAUAUCUAGGAACAUUACCCAAUAUUGGAUGUGUCACAAAAUUAUGUUUCCCAUUCAACCAAGGUGAAUGAGUUGAAAAAGUUAAUGGACGAGGUUUGAUAACUUCAUGAGCUUUAAUAAUUUCCUUAGGGUUAUCUUUUUCUUUCUUUUCUUUUGCUCUUGAAACAUCCUUAUUCUUCAAAUGAGUGUUCCAAUAGUUUUUCACAUCAUUAGCUGUUCUACCUUGAAGUCUUGCAGCAAUCAACGUCCAUCUAUAUUAUAUGUAUAGUUAGAUGAAAUGUUAUCUAAAGAGUAUAGAUAGAUUAUUAUAGCAUGAAUAGAAUAAAUAAUUAUAGCUAGACUGCAUGCAUUAUGAGAUCUAGCAUACACAAAGAAAUUAAUUUUAAUUUGGCUUUAUUUGGAAGCUUACUGUGCUCGCGAUUUUUGGAUAUCAAACCAUUAAUUGAUUUGAAUCGUCAAUCUUUGAACUCUCGAUUUUUAUUCUUGGGAAGGGAAAAAAUGAGUAAAAACCCUUUUCGAGACUUUGGAUUCGGGGGUUGGUUAUGCGAAAGGAAGGUGCUAGCAUCCUAAGCAUCUACGGUAUUCCGUAGGAACCUCUUACCUAGAUUAUCUUGUGCUAAGCUACUUGUUUAUUUGAAAAAUUAUUGCCUAAUGUCUAAGUGAAAGAAUGGAGGGAGAAGAAGUAUGUUUUUGGUUAUUUUUAUUUGAUUUGGAAGGAUAAAAAUCCUAUGCCUACAUACCCUUAAAGAAAGGGAUCAAAACCAAUGUAGUUCACCUCAAAAAUUUCUUUGGUGGGUUAGGUUGAUUUUAAGAUUUUUUUAAAAUGGUUUUAAGAAGAGAAAGAGGCCUCAAGGCAUGAGAUAAAAGAAAUGAGUGAGGUUGAUUGAUUUUAAGUUUUGAAAAUGAUUAAAGUUGAAUUAAAAUUGAUUAAAAAAUUUGAUUAAGAAAAUAAAGAGAAAAUGUUGCUAAGAAAGAAAAAAAAAAAGAUUUUUUUGAAUUUGACAUAUUUGAUUUUUUUGUGAAAAUGAUUUUUCUAAACUAACGGUGAAAACUAACGUAACGUCGUAAAAAAAUUAACGGAAAGCGGUAAAUAAAAUGUGGUAGUGUCGGUGCAUGUGUCGGUGCUUGUGUUACCUACAUUAUUACAUCAAUUCCUAAAUACAACCCUAAGGCCUUUAUGCCAAAAUAAAAUGCAAAAAAUAAAAUUACAUCAAUUCCCUAUUUAUACAUACUAAGUCAAUGACAAAAUAGAAUAAUGAUAAAAUUAAAUGUGCAUGCUAUGAUUCAAGACAAAAAUUAAAUAGUUAGUAAAACCAAAAAAAUUUUUGUGGAAUGAGACAUAAGAAAUAAUAAGCACAAAUUUUAAAAAAAAAAAAAAAAAAAAAAAAAAAUUAAGAUCAUCAUAAAAAAAAUUAAAAGGAAAUAAAUAGGAUGGAUUUUUUACAAUUAUAGAAAAUUAAAAUAGUGAGAAAAACAUUUUUUGGAAUUUUUUUCUAAACAUAAAAAUGUCAAAAAGGGUAAAAAAACAGCAUUUAAAAAUAAAGACAAUAAAAAAUAAAAAUAAUAAAACAUUGGCUUAGCAGGAUUAAUUCUGGACCAUUGGAUUAAAUCAAUGGUCCAGGUUCAGCCUCUGGAUUCAUCAUAGCCAUAGAAUCUAAGAUCCAACGGUUGGACAAAACAGAACAUGGAAUACUGCAAGCAAGGGACACGCGUGUGAUCUAAACAGAAUCAUCCCUGACCGUUAGAUUAAAAAUCAAUCAGUCUAGAUCUGAAGGUGUACUAAGUAUCACCAUAGAUUGCACAUGCAUAACCGUUGGAUUAAAAAAAAGAAAGGAUCUAAAGGUUUAGAAAGAAAGGAAAGAGGAAACAUAUGGACCGGUGCGGUUCAGAUGAACCAGACCGGUCUGCACAUGUUUAUAAAAGGCAUAGGGACCGGUUUUUUCUCAUUUUUCUCCUUCCUCCCUCUCUCUAAACAUUUCUAGUGAGAGAAGGUCUGCAAAUUGCAGCCUUCUUCUCCGGCGAAGCUUGCGUUUUCCGGCGUGGUGGCCGCCGGCCAACAGGCGGCGCCGCCGCGCCGGAGCAACCAAACCACUCCAAAUUAAAAAAAUUUCACAUAUUCACACAUCCUUUUUAGCACUAAACACGGAUCCGGACUUGCUUUUCUCAAACUCACAACAAAAAAACCUAGAUCUAAAGCCAAAGAUUCACGAAAAUAAGAUAGGAGUAAAAGAAGAAACAAAACACCACAAGAUGAAGAGAUAGAGACUACCUCUUGUUGAUUGUUUUCUUCUAUCCGGUCCAAAAAUCCGUGCCUCCGUUUGUUCCCUCUUCUUUCCGGUCCGGUUCCGGUUCGUCCCUCCCUUCUCUGGUGCGGUUCUGUUUCGCUCCGAUCUGGUUCGGUUCCGUUUUCUACACUUUGAUUUCGUAAUUGUUGGUGUUUGUUGUUCUUGGGUUUGAGCACUCCGAUCUGUUUUUGUUUGUGUGAUGAACUGGUGAUGUGAUUAUGAUUUGUUUUGAUAUUGAAUGUUGUUGAGCCUUUUCUUUCUUCUUUAUCUGGAAAUCCUGUUUUUUUGAUCCGAAAAAAUGUAUGAGAGAAAGGAAAUUAGGGUUUGUGUGGGUUGAGGGACUGAUUUGACUCUGACGCAGCUACAGUGAUUUUUUCUCUAUUUCCCAAUGAUUGACAGUGUUUUUAUAGUGACAAACUAGGGUUGGCUCUGGUACAAAUCAAUGACCAAAAUGCCCCUGCAGCUGAGACUUGGAGAAAAAGAUUUUAACAAAUAAAUAAAUAAAUAAAUAAAAUAAAAACAAAAUGCAUAAAAUAAAUAAAUAAAAAAUAAAAAAAGAAAAGAAAAGAAAAGGAAGGAAGUCACUCACGUGACUUUCACUUCUUUGUUUUUUUUUUUCUAAAAAAAUAAAAUAAAAUAAUAAUAAACAAACUAACCUAAAAAAAAGAAAAUAAAAAGUCCCUUCGAAAUCUGACAUGAGGUACUUCAAAGUAUCCUUCCUGCCGAAAUUUUGGUUGAAAUGAUUAAUAAAAUACGCCUUUUAACAUACAAUUAGCCAUUUUAAAAUGACUUGUCUGUUAUGACUAAAAGGAUUAUAAAAUGCGUUUAUAAAAAUGCAAAUGGAGUGAUUUUAAAUGUUGUAGAAAAUGCAAGCGAGGACUUAAAUGCAAGAUGAAAGUUUUUUUAAAUGAUUAAUGACGAAAAACACGAGUUUUAAAAGGUAAAAAACGAAUAAAAGAGAAUCUGAACUAUUAAAAAAUGUGGACAAAAAAGAUUUCAAAUGGUCCAAAUUUGGGGUAUGACAGAUGCCCCUAUUUAAGUUUCUUCGUCACGAAGGUUUUAAAAGGGAAACUUUUAAACCAAAGGGUCGAGGAGACUUAAAUAUAUAAAAAACGCCAAUUUUGGACCGUUUGAAAUGCCAGGGAUGUGAUGCUGAUGAAUGUGAUGAUAUGACUGAACAUGAUGCAAGUAUGAAUGUAAAGAUAAUGCAUAAAGACUGACUGGGUUUCAAUUGGAUAGGUAUCACUGGGGAAAGAACUGAUAAAUAAUGCUUAAAGUCGCCGUGAGAUAGCUUGAAACAACUAGAGUAUGAACGAUGAUGUUUAUUAACGUUGCUUCAAGAUAAGAUAAGGAUAUGAUUAGCCGACGAGUGGCAACAGUAAAGACAUGAUUAGCCGACGAGUGGCGGAAGUAAAGACAUGAUUUGCCGACGAGUGGCGAAAGUAAAGACAUGAUUGGUCGACGAGUGGCGAAAGUAAAGACAUGAUUGAGCCGACGAGUGGCGAAAGUAAAGACAUGAUUUAGCCGACGAGUGGCGAAAGUAAAGACAUGAUUUAGCCGACAAGUGGCGAAAGUAAAGACAUGAUUGGCCGACGAGUGGCGAAAGUAAAGACAUGAUUUAGCCGACAAGUGGCGAAAGUAAAGACAUGAUUGGCCGACGAGUGGCGAAAGUAAAGACAUGAUUGGCCGACGAGUGGCGAAAGUAAAGACAUGAUUUAGCCGACAAGUGGCGAAAGUAAAGACAUGAUUAGUAUAAAAGAUAGGGGAUUAACCUGGUCUGAAGGUAUAAAUGAUAUUGGCAGGUGAUUAACCUGGUCCAAAAGGUAUUCAAAGGUGUUGGCAGGGUAUUAACCUGGUCCAAAAGGUACAAAAGACAUUGGCAGGGGAUUACCCUGGUCCAAGAGGUAUUCAAAGGUAUUUGCAGGGUAUUAACCUGGUCCAAAAGGUAUAAAAGACAUCGGCAGGGGAUUAACCUGGUCCGAAAGGUAUUGGCAGGGGAUUAGCCUGGUCCAAAAGGUAGAAAUGAUAUUGGCAGGUGAUUAGCCUGGUCCAAAAGGUACAAAAGACGUUGGCAGGGGAUUAACCUGGUCGAAGAGGUAUUCAAAGGUAUUGGCAGGUAUUAACCUGGUCCAAAAGGUAUAAAAGACAUUGGCAGGGGAUUAACCUGGUCCAAAAGGUAUAAAUGAUAUUGGCAGGGUAUUAACCUGGUCCAAAAGGUGAGUGAAGACCGAACUGAAGGAAUAUGACCAAACAAGACUACAUGUGACCUCUCUGGUUCAUACACAUUGGAGACGCCAGUUUUGUGAGAUACAAAUGAAAUAAGCCACAAGACAAUUAAUGCGAUCAAGUAUAAAUGGUAUUUGUAUGCAAGUUAUAUGUGCAAGAAUGUUUAUAUGCAUGAAUAUGUAUAUAUGAAAUGAAUGAAUGUAUGAGUACAUGAAUAUAUGACUGUAUGAAUGUAUGAUUUAGACGACUCUAUACAACAAGUGAAGCUGACAAGACUAGACAAGUAAGAUGGAAGGCGGACUGACAUCGCAGUACAAACACUCGACAAUCUUCAUUGGGGAUAGUAUUACUCGAGAUGAAUCAAAUCACUGACGGGGUAAAGCUCGAUAUCCAAUCACUGAUGAGAGGAAGCUCAAUAAUCAAUACACUGAAGAGGUAAAAGCUCUUUAAUCAAACAACUGGCAGAAAUCGCCCUUUCUUAAUCAAACCACUGAAAGGGUAAAACCCAUGUUUUGGCAGAAGUCGCCAUUAAUCAAACCAGAGGUAGAAGUCACAGUUAAUCAAACCACCGGCCGAAGUCGCCAUUUUUAAACCAAACUCAAGGUGUAUUCUUCUGUUGGAACUGUGAUGCCUCUGUCUUUUCCAUUUUUUCAUUUCAUUUUUUUUUUUUUUUUGUUUUUUUUUUUUUUGAAAAUCCCUAACUUUUGCCUGGACCGCCCUUUUGGGUUUUCGAUCCACCGGGAAUAUUGUCUUUUUUUUGUAUGCCCCUAAUUUUUGCCUGGACUGCCUUUUCGGGUUUUCAAUCCACCGGGACGCUCGUUUUUGGCUUAAGCCGCCCUUUCGGGUUUUCGACUUAGCGAGCCUUUCUUUUUUUGUAUUUUUUUUUUUUUUUUUUUUUGACAGAGGUCAUCUCUCAGCUUUUGGUCAUGCCAACCUUGCAGAGCUUAACUGUCCUUGAGACGGAAGUUGAUGUAUGUUUCAACCACUCAUAAAUUCAAAGAAGAUGUACUUGUUGUUUAUGCUUUUCAGAAGACAUGAUAAAAGUUUUUUUUUUAAAGAUUUUUUGAAAUUUUUCUUUGCUUUAGGUAUUAACAUCAAAAAUAGAAGAAAAAUUUGCAAACAGAAUAAAUGAGAAUUUUAAAUAAAUGGGCACAAGCUCAAGUUAAUGUAAAUGGAAUGGUGGCCUGCCAAAGGCGUGGUUCCACAGAUUUUAAAAGUUUGGAAAAAUGGUAAUUAUAUGGAAAAGGUACGUUGAACACGAUAACCACUGUUUCCUCUACCAACUUUGAAUUCCACUGUUUUGAGUCUUUGAUUUGCAGACGCUUCAGAUCGGAUACCCUUUAACGGCUAAGAUGCCCCAGAUGAAUCAUGUCUGAUAUGAUGCAAUUACCUUGCCAUGAGUCGGAGGUCUUUUGACGGCUGAAAUGCCCCAUAUGAGUCAUGUCCGACCAACUGCAGUUACUUUGUCAUGAUCCUUAACUUUUGCAUAGAUCGCCCUUGCGGGUUUCAACCUAUCAGGAUAAUCAUUUUUUUUAUAUAUAUUUUUUUUAUGUCUCUAACUUUUGCAUGGGCCGCCCUUUUGGGUUUUCAGUCCAUCGAGACGCUCUUUUUUUGCCUAAGCCGCCUUUUCAGGUUUGCGACUUAUCGAACUUUUUUCGUUUUAACAAAGUAUUUCUUGACUGCAUCGGUAUUCACAGGACAUACCAGUUUACCCUCAUUCUUUGUAUUAGGCAUUCAUUGCUCCUGGAGCUUGUUUAAAUCAGAUAGCAUAACUUUUGAGCACAAGGCCACUCUCUUGACAUUCAUGGGGACGAGCCUUCUCUUGUUGAAACUUUCUUCAUGCUUUUGAUACAACUGUCCACGCCAUACGGUAGUGACACUUUUAAAUUCAAUCAAGCUUAGCUUUCAUUGGAACUCCCGUUGACGGGACUUUGACCUUCAUGUGAGGCACUGCCUUUAUGUGGUAGACUGAGGGAUGGAGGGGGGGUUGCCCCUGCUGAAAUGUUCACUUGAAGUACAAUAUCCUUGCAAGGCAAAUGGUGGCAUCUCGUGCCAGUCUUUGUACAUGAAAGUCCUCUUCUGGACAAUCUCUCUUGAUAUUUGCAGCUUCGACGGCCAAGAUGCCCCAGUAGGCGAGAAAUCUCAGUGGAAGCUUCUUCAUCAUCCUCUUAUUCAGCCUCGGAUACAAGGAACUCAAGGUCGAGAGGGAAUAUAUGAUUAAAGUGUUCAACGCGUUUAUUAAUGCAUGAUUUGAUUAUUGAUAUAAACAUUAUGAUUAUGCAGAUAUGUGGAAAUGAUUAAAGAAAAAGAUUUUUUUUUGUUUUUUUUUUUUGUAUUACCAUUUUUCCAGAAAAAGCACAAAAUAAAACAAAGUCGGGAUCAAGCGACCUUUUCAUUAAUGAUGAAAAUACGAAAAGCAAAAAGCCCUAAACAAGUUCAAUUCCGUCUCGGGUGGGACGAAAGGAUUAAAAAAACAUAAAGCAAUAAACAAACAUAUUAAUUGAACAAAAGAGUAGUAGAAAUAAACAUCAACAAAUACCAAAUUGCAACUAAACACUCCACAUGCCACCACAAGGUCCAAAGAUCCGACAGAGGAUUAACUUGCACAUUCAGAUCCAAACUCUUCGAAAGGUAUGAGUUCGUCUUCAAUCAGUUUCUGGACCGCAAUCUUCAAAGAAAAACAGCGCUCAACAUCAUGACCUUGUGCCCCUUGAUGGAAAACACAAAAGAGAUCAGGUCUCCAUCGAGCCGGCAAUAUCUUCGGUAUCGGAGGAGGUGGCCUGAUUUGGACAAGGUUCCUCUCAAGCAAAUAGGGAAGCAACUUUGCAUAUUUAAUUGGAAUUGGAUCAAAUUUUAUUCUUGGAGCCUGUAGUCGAGGUUGUUGUUGAUAUUGUUGAAAUUGGGACUGAUAACCCAGACCUUGGACAUUGGUGAUGGGUGUAACAGCAGCAACAGAGUGAGAAGCCAGAUGUUGUUGUUGAAGUAGCACUUUUAUAUCUGGGUCUUCGAAGGACCAAGCGUUAUUUUCAAUCAACUUCUGAACUUUUUCCUUCAAAGGAUAGUACUGCUUAGUGUCAUGAUCUGGUGCCCCUUGAUGGAAGGCACAAUUGCGGUCAGGACGAUACCCGGGAGGCAGCGUAUUUGGCACAUGAGGAGGUGACGAGGUUUGAACAAGGCUCGUCUUCAGCAAAAUGGGAAGCAAAUCCGCAUAUUUCACAGGAAACGGGUCACACUGCGAUGCUUUUUGGGCCUGAUUUUGAGGUAUAAGCGGUUGAGGAGAUUGAUCUUGAGGGAUAAACCGCUGAGAACCCUGUUGUCGAGACCGUUUCAUGCAUAUUGGCUGACAUAGUGCCUGAGGCCUUUGUUGGACAAGCGGUGGAUCCUUUGUAGCCAUCAAUGAAGAUACAAGGCUAGUUAACUUCUCUACCUCAGCCCGAAGUGUUGUUACUUCUCCACGAAGCUCGUGGACCUCUUGCUCAAGUUGAUCCAUCUUUUGUGUUUGCACGAGUGUCUGCAUAUGUGAGCCGAACUUGGAUGAAGACAUCUGACCACUUUACUAAUGAAUUGACCCUUUUAUGGAGAAGACACAGUGUGAGAUACAGACUAGAAACUAUGAAUGCAAAAUGAUGCAUGAUAUGCUUAUGCAAAAAUAGUAUUUUUUUUUUUUUUAUUUUUUUUUGAAGGACUUGUUAAAGUGAAAUGUAAACAUGGCAGAGGAACAUGGUUUCAUUUGAAAAUUGUCAAGAUAUUUACAAUAGGUUUCUUUUUCAAAAGGUAAGAACGAAACCAAGGAAGAAGUUCUUUAACAUAAGCUAAAAGCUUAGUUAAGAUUUUGGAAGUUGUAUUUCUCGGUGUUCAUUCUUACAAGGUCCAUAUCCGUGAUGUUUACAAAAACUUGUCUAAGUCCUUCAAAAAAAGUUUUUUGAUGGAAAAGGUUGUUUAUGAAUGAAUGCAUGUAUGCAUGGUUAUGCUAAGUGGAUAGAAUACAUGGUGAGGGUAAGUUCCACAACGUUGGAGUCAAUGGUAACAACGCCAUUUGGUAAGGACUAUGGUUUCAAAUGUACCUGUAUCACGGGUUCUACCAAGUUCCCAAAGUCUUUAACCACUUCCGAAUAUUUAUCGGGUGACAGGAGUACUCCCAUUCCAAUUAUAUUCGUCGGAAAGUCUCGUUUGGGUGUAGUAUCGCGUAUCAACUAAUUCAAGAGUACUCUCGAUUAGCCACCGCACUACGUCCUAAAAGGCCAAGAGGGGUUAAAGGUGACUAAAGGUCCUCAACUUCAAAGGUCACUUGAAAAUAGCAUGCCAAACAUGAGUACUCACGUUGACAACAUAUACUUCCAAGAUCCCUCCGUUGAGUGGGGUUAUCACAUGUGCCAAUACCGAAGAGUACUCUUGGCAUGGAACUAUGAUUAUACCGCCGUCCUAUCUUAAGUUUCCCUCAAGCUCGGGUGUAGAGCUUAUCUCACCACUCACGUAAUAAAGUAAACAUGUAAGCAAAAUAUUUACAAAGCAUAAACAAAUAAUAAAGCACAAAAUAAAGAAAGUAAGGUGGGUUUAACCCGCGUAGGAUCUAAAUCCCCAGUGAAGUCGCCAUUUCUGUGCUCCCGAUUUUUGGAUAUCAAACCAUUAAUUGAUUUGAAUCGUCAAUCUUUGAACUCUCGAUUUUUAUUCUUGGGAAGGGAAAAAAUGAGUAAAAACCCUUUUCGAGACUUUGGAUUCGGGGGUUGGUUAUGCGAAGGGAAGGUGCUAGCAUCCUAAGCAUCUACGGUAUUCCGUAGGAACCUCUUACCUAGAUUAUCUUGUGCUAAGCUACUUGUUUAUUUGAAAAAUUAUUGCCUAAUGUCUAAGUGAAAGAAUGGAGGGAGAAGAAGUAUGUUUUUGGUUACUUUUAUUUGAUUUGGAAGGAUAAAAAUCAUAUGCCUACAUACCCUUAAAGAAAGGGAUCAAAACCAAUGUAGUUCACCUCAAAAAUUUCUUUGGUGGGUUAGGUUGAUUUUAAGAUUUUUUUAAAAUGGUUUUAAGAAGAGAAAGAGGCCUCAAGGCAUGAGAUAAAAGAAAUGAGUGAGGUUGAUUGAUUUUAAGUUUUGAAAAUGAUUAAAGUUGAAUUAAAAUUGAUUAAAAAAUUUGAUUAAGAAAAUAAAGAGAAAAUGUUGCUAAGAAAGAAAAAAAAGAUUUUUUUGAAUUUGACAUAUUUGAUUUUUUUGUGAAAAUGAUUUUUCUAAACUAACGGUGAAAACUAACGUAACGUCGUAAAAAAAUUAACGGAAAGCGGUAAAUAAAAUGUGGUAGUGUCGGUGCAUGUGUCGGUGCUUGUGUUACCUACAUUAUUACAUCAAUUCCUAAAUACAACCCUAAGGCCUUUAUGCCAAAAUAAAAUGCAAAAAAAUAAAAUUACAUCAAUUCCCUAUUUAUACAUACUAAGUCAAUGACAAAAUAGAAUAAUGAUAAAAUUAAAUGUGCAUGCUAUGAUUCAAGACAAAAAUUAAAUAGUUAGUAAUCACAAGAAAUAUUAUGAUGAAUGAGACAUAAGAAAUAAUAAGCAAGAAUUAAGACAAAUAAAUAAAAAAAAAAAAAAAUUUAAUUUUAUUAAAAAAAAAUAAAAAAAAAAAAAUUUGGGGUGUUUUUUUUACAUUUAAAAAAAUAAAAAAUUGAGAAAAAAAUUUUUUUUAAUUUUUUUUUCAAAACAAAAAAAUGUAAAAAGGGAAAAAAACACUGUUUUUAAAAAUAAACAUUAAAAAAAAUAAAAAUAAUAAAACAUUGGCUCAGCAGGAUUAAUUCUGGACCAUUGGAUUAAAUCAAUGGUCCAGGUUCAGCCUCUGGAUUCAUCAUAGCCAUAGAAUCUAAGAUCCAACGGUUGGACAAAACAGAACAUGGAAUACUGCAAGCAAGGGACACGCUUGUGAUCUAAACAGAAUCAUCCCUGACCGUUAGAUUAAAAAUCAAUCAGUCUAGAUCUGAAGGUGUACUAAGUAUCACCAUUGAUUGCACAUGCAUAACCGUUGGAUUAAAAAAAAGAAAGGAUCUAAAGGUUUAGAAAGAAAGGAAAGAGGAAACAUAUGGACCGGUCCGGUUCAGAUGAACCAGACCGGUCUGCACAUGUUUAUAAAAGGCAUAGGGACCGGUUUUUUCUCAUUUUUCUCCUUCCUCCCUCUCUCUAAACAUUUCUAGUGAGAGAAGGUCUGCAAAUUGCAGCCUUCUUCUCCGGCGAAGCUUGCGUUUUCCGGCGUGGUGGCCGCCGGCCAACAGGCGGCGCGGCGCAACCAAACCACUCCAAAUUAAAAUUUUUUCACAUAUUCACACAUCCUUUUUAGCACUAAACACGGAUCCGGAUCUGGUUCGGUUGAUUGUUUUCUUCUAUCCGGUCCAAAAAUCCGUGCCUCCGUUUGUUCCCUCUUCUUUCCGGUCCGGUUCGUCCCUCCCUUCUCUGGUGCGGUUCUGUUUCGCUCCGAUCUGGUUCGGUUCCGUUUUCUACACUUUGAUUUCGUAAUUGUUGGUGUUUGUUGUUCUUGGGUUUGAGCACUCCGAUCUGUUUUUGUUUGUGUGAUGAACUGGUGAUGUGAUUAUGAUUUGUUUUGAUAUUGAAUGUUGUUGAGCCUUUUCUUUCUUCUUUAUCUGGAAAUCCUGUUUUUUGAUCCGAAAAAAUGUAUGAGAGAAAGGAAAUUAGGGUUUGUGUGGGUUGAGGGACUGAUUUGACUCUGACGCAGCUACAGUGAUUUUUUCUCUAUUUCCCAAUGAUUGACAGUGUUUUUAUAGUGACAAACUAGGGUUGGCUCUGGUACAAAUCAAUGACCAAAAUGCCCCUGCAGCUGAGACUUGGAGAAAAAGAUUUUAACAAAUAAAUAAAUAAAUAAAUAAAAUAAAAACAAAAUGCAUAAAAUAAAUAAAUAAAAAAUAAAAAAAGAAAAGAAAAGAAAAGGAAGGAAGUCACUCACGUGACUUUCACUUCUUUGUUUUUGUUUUUUUUUUUACUAAAAAAAUAAAAUAAAAUAAUAAUAAACAAACUAACCUAAAAAAAAGAAAAUAAAAAGUCCCUUCGAAAUCUGGCAUGAGGUACUUCAAAGUAUCCUUCCUGCCGAAAUUUCGGUUGAAAUGAUUAAUAAAAUACGCCUUUUAACAUACAAUUAGCCAUUUUAAAAUGACUUGCCUGUUAUGACUAAAAGGAUUAUAAAAUGCGUUUAUAAAAAUGCAAAUGGAGUGAUUUUAAAUGUUGUAGAAAAUGCAAGCGAGGACUUAAAUGCAAGAUGAAAGUUUUUUUAAAUGAUUAAUGACGAAAAACACGAGUUUUAAAAGGUAAAAAACGAAUAAAAGAGAAUCUAAACUAUUAAAAAAUGUGGACAAAAAAGAUUUCAAAUGGUCCAAAUUUGGGGUAUGACACUUACCUAUUUCCCAAGAGGUUGUGUAACCUAAGGAUCAUAUCAGCUUCAUCCUCAGAAAAGAUUUCUCUGUUGAUGGUUGGGUUUAACCUGAGAACCGCAUAAAUUAUUUAUGAUGAUCAGUAAAGUAAGCAAACACAUCACUUGUCUCAUAAAUACAGCUUCAGAUAGUAAAAAAUCGAAGAAACAUGUAAACGAAAUAUGUUGAGAUUUCCUCAAACAAAAAAAAAAAAAAAAAAGUAAUAUGUUGAGAUGUACUCCUUCCAUGUCUUGCAUAUAGAUCUUCAUUGUAAAUUUCACUACAUUGACCUCUAAUAUAUUAUAUAAAUUAAUAUUUGAUUUGAUUCAAAUAGUUUAGGGAUGAAGUCUUGUGUGGUUAAAGAUAUGGACACAUUAUUAUUAUUUUUUUUGGUAAGUUGGACACAUUAUUUAGACACACACUCAAAAGAGAUAAAAGGUUGAAUAAAAAAAAAUGAAAUGAUGUGUUUUUACAUAAAUUAAAGGUUAAUAGUGUUUUAUCCCCUAUAAUGUAAUAUAGAGCACUUUUGAUUUUGUCUCCAAUAAUUUUUUUUACUUAGAUUCUGUCCUUGUAAAAUAAAGAUUCUUCAGGAUUGCCCCCUGAUCCCUAUGAUUCAGCAUUAAGUGGCGCUUAUGUGAAUAUUUUUUUAUUAUUUAUUCAUUGUCCACAUGUAUAAUUCAUUUAACACAACAUAUUUAAUUAAAAAAAGAAAAAUACACAAAAAGUUAAAAAUAAUUUAAAAAAUUGAAAAAAUAAUUUUCAAAAUAAAAAGUGUAGAUUUUUUUUUCAAAAAAAUAAAAAAAUCUGUAACUAAAUUUUCAAAAUAAAAAAAUUAGAAAAUAUAUUUCAUAAAUUAGAAAAACAGAUUUGAAAUUAAAAAAAGUUUAGAUUUCAUUUCAAUAGAAAAAUUCUGGAAUAAAAUUUCUAACAACUUUUCAAAAUAAUUUUUAAAACGUAUCUUAUUUUCCAGAUACGCGUGUCAUCCAAAAAAUAAUGAAAAAUAAAAAAAAAUAUCCACAUGAGCGCCAUGUAUGAGAUUCUGAUGAGUCAUAGGAGUCAGGAGACAAUCUUGAAGAAUUUUUAUUUUACAAGGACGAAAUCUAAAAAAAUAUUUUACAUAGAGCAAAAUCAAAAGUGCCCUAUAUUACAGGGGGCAAAACCAAAAGUGGCGUAUAUUAUAGGUAGGAACGUAGAAAGCAAUUAUAAUCCUUUGAUACCAAGGUGUCUAGAACUUUGAAAUGCACAAAAGUGUAUAUAUAUAUAUAUAUAUAUAUAUAUAUAUAUAUAUAUAUAUAUAUAUAUAUAUAUAUAUAUUAUAAUCUUCUAUAUAUUAUAAUUUUUUGAGAAACUCCUUUUUUAUUCCUUCUUUGAUACAUUUAUAUAGAAGGGGUGUUUCUACGGUGCGGUCAGAAAAUUGACUAUUUUGAAAAAGUUACUUUGUUUAAUCAAUAAUAUAAUUGUUAAUGACAUGUAAGCUAGUGUCAUGCUGAUAGACUACUCUAAGACUAAACUUUACCUUAUUAAAAAUCAAUCCUCAUACAAAAUAUUAAUUAUUUUUGAUUUAUUAACUUGUUUUAUUUAAAAUUAAAUCAUUUAUUAAUUAUGCACAAAUUAAAUCAUUUUUACUCAUCCGCUUUCUUCUUCAUCUACAUAAGGGGAUCUCGCUAAGACACCUGUUCUUUGUGAGAAGAGAUCGUUUCAUCUUCUUGCUCCAGGUAUUGUAAUUGGUGCCGCUCGUUGGAGGAGAAAGGAAUUGAUGAAGAUUAACAUAUUCAAACUGAUGAAGAUGAAAGGGACUCGAAAGAUUUAUGAUUUUGAUGAUGAAAAGAUGAAGGAGAUGAAAAGCUCAUAGGUAAAACGAACCGAUGAAGAUGAACUAUUUUGAUGCAUACGUUUUACGAUUACAAAAUAAAAUAAUAAUAAAAAUGUUUAAUUUUGAUUUAAUCAGAGACACAAUGACAAUAAAUAAAGAUACAAUAACACACAUUGUGGACAAAUGUGCAAUAAAUCCUAUAAUCUGAAGUGACAUUGAUUAAAUACACAAAUGCUAAAUGAUUGGUUAUAGGGUUAAUUUCACCAGAAAAAUGAUUCUCAUUAUUUCACUAUAGAAUUUUCCAUAUACAAGUGAUAAUUUUGUAAUAAUGACACAAAUUUCAAAAAAAUAUAUUAUGUUGGAAUUAGGUCUAAAUAAAAAUCAAUUUCACAGAAUAUGCAUUUUUUUUUCGGUACAUAGCACAUGCAUAAUUUAUUAUGUUGGAAUUAGGUCUAAAUAAAGAUCAAUGCAUAAUACAAAUAAAAGUAUAGACUAUUAGCGGAAGCAAAAAAAACUUUGAGCAUGGAUAUGAUCGAAUCUACGACAUGCAUGUUGAUCUAUCAAGAUACUAAUAAUUAGGUAUUAGGAAUACCUUGAUGAAGUUUUGAUGACAGUCCUCUCAACAACAACGAUAUGAAAACACACAAGAAAUAUUAGCGGCGAUAUAUUUUACUCUUUCUCAAACGGUAUUUUUAUGCCUCAAGUUCUCCUUGGAUGGGGAGAAGAGAGAGUAUGGUGUGUACAGUGUACUGAGGAACAUAGGCUCUUUUAAUAUGAUAGUCAUUAGGGUUUCCCAUUAUUCCGUUGUAUCAUCCAUAAAUCCACUCAUAUUGAGUUUCAUAUCAAUUAAUUAAUUAUUUAAAUAGAAAUCUAAUCAAACUUAUUACUUAGUUUGAUCACUAAUCUAAUCAAUUAAAGCUCCAAAUUAAUAAAUAGCUAAUAUAAUUAUGAUAAAAAUAUUUACCCAUAUAGUGAUAUUGAAAUAUAAUUAAAUAAUAAAAUAAUCCAACGUAUUAUUCCAAGAAUUCUUUUCAAUGCACAUGAUUUUUUUUUAAUAAUGCAUGCACAUGAUUUUUGUUACAUAUUUUUAUAAAAAUGGACAGACGCAAAACUCAAAACUUCAAGUUUUUCAUCAUUUUUUUUUUUUUUUGGUGUUCACAGUUUAAAUUCUGGACUUUACAUAUAGUAUACAUUGUCUUUAUCAACUGAGCUAAACUCAUAAGGACAAUCUUUCAUCAUUUAAACCAUUCUAUAGUUGAUAAUGUAGUUGGUAAUUGCUGAAUGUAAUUAAAUUAUGUGAAAUACUACAAUAAAUUUUACUAUUACGUACGACUUUUUGUUGUUGAUAAAAAUUCUUCCUGGCGGUUACAUGGAUUCAAAUAUGAACACUUGGAUAUCUUUUGUUAUAUGUGUGGUGUUAUAGACCAUACAAUCAAUACAGUAAGAAACUAUUCCUGAUCAAGAUUGAUAAUUUGUCCAUGAGUUUUUUUUUUCAAAGCAGAAGUUCAUUGGAAUGGUGGUGUCACAGAAGGAGUUGAUUCUUGGCGUGCUAAUUUUGAAAAUAAUUUUAUGUGAAAGUUAUUAUUUAAGGAUUUAAAUCGCAAAUUGAUAAAAAAAAAUAUAGAAUUUUAAAAAAAAAAAAAAAUCAAAUAUUUUUUAUGUGUUUGAUGUUAUUUUGUAAAGAUAGUUUGAAUCGGAUUUCAUAUAAAUUUUUUAAACCCCAUCCAAAUGUUUCUUUUAUCAAGUAAUCGCGGUUAGAAUUUCAUUUCUUAAAGUUUAUAAGUGAGGAAUUCGUGGUUCAAACCCGACCUCUUUAUAUUAUGGUAAAAAGUGUAAUUAAGAUAGGGUUUAGAUAUUAUUAUCAACCUCAAGUAACCUGAUUGUUAGAAUUUGACUUCUUGAAAUAUUAUGAAUAAAGACAUUUUUUUUUUGUUAGUGAAAAAUAAUAUUAAGCGUUUUAUUGCUUUUAUAAAAGGAUUAAUGAUUUGAGAUAAAGAAAAAUAAUAAGAAAAAUUCCAUUUAAAGACAGUUGGAGGAGUAAACUAUAAAAAUUUGUCUCAAGUUAUUCGUUCAAAUAUUAACCGUUAGAGGAGUGUCAUGAACACUCUCUUUCUACCACUCUUAACAUUUACUCUCGUAUAGUAUGAAAUAUAUGUGAAUACCAUAUUAUAGAAAUGGAUCCCACGUAAACUGAUUUGAGAUUCGCAUAGGUUUCACCCACGGUAGGUGUUAGAGAAUGUUAAAAAAAAAUGUUCGUAAGAUUUCUAAUGCUUAACAAAAAACAUUGAAGACCUCGAUGAUGAUUGUAUCGCUUGGACGGUAACACGCCAACAAUUGCAUGAACACUUUAUACAUAACAGUGAGCAUAAAACAAAGUUUCAUCAGAAAAUAUUUUGAAAUUAAACAUAUAUAGAUAGGUCCAUGAUUUGUCGUGAUUGUUAAGUAUGUAAUGAGUGAUAUUUGUCUUUUUCACUAAGGUCCAUCAAUGACAAGCAAGUAUUACGGAAAAUGUAUACCCCCGGUCGACCCUCUUCCAAGACUAUAAGCAAACUAGUCCUACAUAACAUCACAUAAUAUCAUAUACACAAACAAACGAUCGACUUUAUUGUUGCCAAAAUGAUUGAUUCCAUUAUUAUAUAUUAUUAUCAGUCACUUUUCUAUGGGGUUUUCUUUAACAGAUUGUUUAUAUUACUACUUCUAGAAGUCAAUGGAAACAUGCAUCUUUAUGAAUAUGAUUAUGUGGAGAGUAGACAUGCACGUUAAAGGCCUACGUAGCAAUUUGAUACGUGCUUCCCGAUUUGUUUUCAUCUCCAAAUGAAAAAUUAAAAUAAAAAACUUGUCGAGGUGAAAGGAAAAAAAAUUAACAGUGAAAAUUUAUACCAUUUCAUGAUUUAAGUGUGGUAGUUCUUAAGCAGGGCCUUUAUUUCCUUCCCACUUCAUUUUGUAUUAGGGCAUAUCAUGAGUUAGCAUGCCUAUCUUAUUCCUUAUAUGAUUUAACAAUAGUCACUUAAAGUAUGAAACAAAUUAAAGCACAAAGAAUUUGUUUGCAUGUAUAUUGCAGGCACUAGCUCUCAUGCUUUAUACUCAAAAUUUAUGUGCGAUAGUCACGAAGACAUUACAUAGUUAUAACUUCUAUUCAGAGGAAUUUCAAUCAUUGAUAUUUCCAUUCAACAUGUUGAAUUUUUGCGCAAAUAAAUCAGCGCAAAAAUUCAAUCAUUGAUAUAUUUUUUGAGGAAUCAUGAAUUUCAAUUCAAUCAUUGAAAUCCGUGAUUCCUCAAAAAAAUAUCUCAAAUAAAUGAGCCAACAAGAUCAGCGCAUGUCACUUUAUUAUAACUUCUAUUGAGAGGUUUUGAAUAUCUUCCUCAUGCAAGAUGUAAGGCCCGUAGUUUAGCAAUGACUAAUUUUACGGCUUUAUGAUUGUUUUGAAGUUUACUUUCAUAAUAAAUGAUGCUAUGAAAUGUAUUGAUGAAAUCGAAAUUUUAAUGCUAAUUUUUUUUUUUUAUUUUUAAGGCCAAGAGAAAGGUUGGGUAUCCGGGAGAAUCUGAAGCAUCCCAACUAGGUUGGCAUGCACCCCAUAGAAACCCCCAUCCUCUACUGCCUUUUCAAUACGUAAAUUUUAUUAAAAGAAGGGGAAAAAACUUACAAAGAGGGGGGACUAGGCCAAUACCCUCGAAAGAAACGGAAAAAUAAACAGAAAACUAGGAACUAAAACAAUUAAGGAAAUCUACAAUUUGGCAAUCCAUUCCUGUCCCUAGCAAAAUCCUCCCCCAGCGACAGAGGCAACUGAGUGAACCAGACUGUGUUCUGUAUAUCAUGUCCCAAAGCUACAAGGUCGUCAGUACAAACAUUCCCUUCUCGGAAGAUGUGAGAACAAAUCAUAAACAAGCCAUUAUGAGUGCAGUUGUGCCACUCGUUCCGAAGACAAAUAGGAAUAAGAGAUGGUUUAUGGAAAGCUUGAACUGCACAAGAAGAAUCACUUUCAAAAAUUUCUGCCUCGAAAACAGAAACUGCGCCAAGAUUGCUUGCGAACCCACCAAAAAAUGUGCCACGAGAAUCACAAAAAAUACCACCGCAAGCAGCCAUAAAAUUUCUAACCGACCCGUCCGUGUUUGUCUUCACCCAAUAGACAAUGGGUGCCUUCCAAACAACCGAUAUAAUAUCCCGUAUACGCCAAUGAGAGGGAAACAAACAGAUUUUCCAAAAUAACAAUAUCUGAAAAUAAAGAGUAACUUGUGGAGAUACUUCCCGACAUGGAAAUCAUAGAGGUAAUCUUGGCAAGAGUGGCAUGCAGGGAUACAACAAAUGCAUUGAAGCGAACAACGUUUCUAGCAACCCAAAUUGUGUGCACCGUGUGCACUACAGCAACAAUCAAAACAUCACGCAGCUGGGAGCUGCAACGAAGCGGAACACAAGCCAACAAGGAGCAGGGAGAAUCAAGAGAAAUAGGGUGUUGUAGCUUGAUGCCGAGCCAGUGCCAAAUGGUUUGCGAGAAUUUACAAUCCAAAAAUAAAUGUGCAGAAGUCUAAGCAUGGUCGUAACAUAAUGGAUAAAUGGAAACCAAAGUGCAGCCCCUCGACUGUAAAUUUUCAUCCGUUGGGAGCUUGGAUAAAAUUAACCGCUAGAGAAGAAAGGAAUGGGACGGAGGAAUACAAGGCCGCCAAAUAUCGGACCAAGCAACCUUUGGAGGCGCCGGAUUAAGAAAUUGGAACGCAAGUUUAGCAAAGAGCUCUCCAUCCGGAGAAUGGACCCAAACACACUUAUCCAGCAAAGGGGAGACUGGGAGAGUAAUUUGCAUAAUUUGUGCAGCCACUAACGGGAAAUCAAGAAUAAUUCGAGGAAUUUUCCAUUUACCAUUAGUAAUAACAAAAGCGAGAUUAGCCUUUAAUUCGGGAAACAAGUGCGGAGGCAAGUCAAGCAUAGAGACCAACGAUUCACCCAUCCAAUUAUCAAACCACAACUUGAUAUUUUUGCCAUUUCCAAUGAUCCAUCUAGUAUUAGCACUCAUCGUAGAGAAUUUUUCUUUCAGACCUAGCCAUAUAGAAGAUUUGAUGUAACGACUUCGAGGUAUGCGGUAGGAAAGAAACCGCUUCUGAAAUAAAUAGGAGCAAGCCGUGCUUUGAGUAAAUAGUCUCCGGCUGAGAUGAAGAAGUAAAGCAUCAUUGAUGGCUCUAGUGGGUUUAAGAUCAAGACCACCGGCAUCCCAAGGGCGACAAACCUGAGACCAAGAAACAGUGCAAAUCUUGCGAGUAUCAAUGUCCCCACUCCAAACAAAAUUUUUAAUGCACCUAUCGAGCAUUUUCAAUAAACGGAUUGGCCACCGAUAGAUAUGGAAGGAGUAAACUAGCAUCCCAUGAACAAUCGACUUCACUAGCUAAAUCCUACCCAUUAUGGACAAUAGAACACCUUUCCAAGUAGCAAGCUUCACCUUAAUCGUGUCAAUAAUAUGUUGGAAAUAGAUGCAUUUCGGCCUACCUUGGAAAAUGGGGCAGCCAAGGUAUUGAAACGGAAUAGAACCUAAUUUUCUAUUGAUUUUUGAGAGAGCAACGCUAGAAACACUCUCUUAAACACCCAAUUUCUUAUUCGUAUAAAUCAAUGUGGGUCUCAUGCUUAGGAAAUGGGUUCCACUUAAAGUAGUUGGACAUACAUUAAUUUCAUUCAAUAGUAAUGUGAGUGUUUGAGAAAGUGUUGAAAAGAGAGUGUCUCUAACAUUCUUCAUUUUAAGAUAAUGGCCGAGAUGUAUCUGAUGUUUAAAUCUUCAUCAGCCCUCGUGUGCCAUGAAAAUUUAAACAAGCAUUGUGAAACAUAAAUUGUGAGGAUUUUUUUUUUCCAUUAAUUUGUGAGCGCAUAAAUUGUGAGAACCUUUUUUUGCAGCUAAUUUAUGAGGACCUUUUGGUAGCUACAGAUCUCUUAGUAACUCAACGGUUAAAACCUAGUCCAUAUUCAAACUUCUAUCUAAAUGCAGUAUAUACUUGCUAGAGCACAAUUUAAAAGUUUUCUAUUUAGAAACCGAUUUAAAUCGUUCACUAAAUGAAUUAGUUUCUGAUAUAAAGUCUAAUUUUUUAAAGUCUCUAAAUUGAUCACCAGUGGCUUAUUAGCGAUCAAUUUGACAUUUGGAAUGUCUAAAUUAAUGAACAAAUAUGAAUACUAAAACAUUAAAAUCAUUGAUUUUUUUUUUUAAGCAAACUUUUUUAUUAAUGAGAUUAUAAAAAAGUAAUCCUUACAGCAAAAGUAAUCCGAAUUCAUCAGUAAAAACAAUAAAUAACCUCCUUACAUAUAAUGCGUUAAUUGUUAUACAUCAAAAUACCUUCACAAGAACACUAAAUUCUUCCUUUUUAUAAAAGAAAUACCCUACUAUCAAAUAAAGUCACGACCCUUCUAAAUUUCUCAAAUCCAUGCUUCCUCAAUUUGCAAGCAGUCCCAAGAUACUCACCUUUUCUGCACUAACAGAAAUCCUUCCCUAUCUUCGAAUUUUUGUCUCAAGGUAAUUGCUUCCUGUAGCAAAUAAAUACCAAUUAGUCUUUUAAAUAUUAAAAAAUAUAACAAUAUAAAAUAGUACAAAAAAUUGACCUAAAAUAUAUGCAUACGGUUAACGUUUGAAUUAGAAUUUAGAACAGGAAAGAGCCAUGUAUAUAACUUACCAAAAUGUUCCUAAUACAUGGGGUGUACAAUGGGGUGUAGGAAUAAAGGGUGUUCAUGUAACAUUUUCCGUAUAUAUUUAGACAAAAAGCAUUCAUAGUCUCGUUGACGUACGGUUCUAGCAGACGGACGGGAGAAAGCCAACAAUUGCACGAACAAUUUCCACAUAACAUUUAGCAUAAAACAAAGUAUCAUAAGAAAAUACUUUGUAAUUAAACGUGAGAAAUGCUAACAAAUACCUCCGAUUAACUCUUAAUAAGUUUUAUAAAAAUUUAUGUUUUUCAAUAUAUCAAAAUUUUAAAAUUGUUUUUGAUUGUACAUUAUUCAAGUUAAAAUAGUCUCUUACGUUAAAAUGUUCUGUCAAUAUUGUCAUAAUCAAUCCCUCAAUAUACUUAUUAAUGCCGUACCAAUUAAUUCCUAUAAAUACUUAGUGACAUAUCAUCCCCUAUAUAAAAAGAGUUAACAUCAACAUUGACGUACCAUUUUAACAUCAAAUAUUAUUUUGCCUGACGAAAUGCGCAAUAAAAAAUUGGACAAAACUUAGGCACCGUUACAUAGGUCCAGUUUUUACUGUUCACGAAUUAUAAUAGGACACCUGGAAUAUUUAAUUAUAUUAAAUUAGAUAGAUAAUUUAACGUCGUUAAUUCCUUUCCGUCUUCGUCGUGUAAUUCUCUGUGAUCCAUUAUCCAUCACAAUCUCCAUCCUCAAUGUUGCCAAAUCACCACCGCUAAGAACUGACUGUGGCAGAACUCCACUGUGUAACAAAUAUCUAAUCUCUAGGUAUAAAUAACUCUCAGAAAGCAAAAUCUCACCCCUCAAUGAAAGAAAGGAGAAAAAUUAGAUGCAUGAAUUUUGGACAGAAACAUGAAAUUAAGAAACUCCAAGUGGGAGGGUAUGGAAGAUCUUCUCUAAAACAAUUGCAGAUGACAGAUAUUUUGUUGGAUUAUAUGAGAAUUUGUUGUCAAUUUUUUGUCUAUCAUAAUAAAUCAAGGAGUCUGGGCUUUUAUCAUGUCUGAUGCAUAUACGUUGGUGUUGGUGCCCUGAAGAGAGAGGGUAUGGAUGAUUAACAAGGGGAAAAUAUAUGGCAGAGUGGUAUGUUGAUUCUCGAAAAAGUUCAAAUCAAGUCAUCUCCAAAUGAAAAAUUAAAAUAAAAAAACUAGUCGACGUGAAAAACGAAAAAAAAUAGAGACAUGGUCCGCCAUAUAACAUUUAAUAAAAUAAGGAAGAAAUUGAAAAUUUAAAAAAUAUUGUUCACAUAGAGUUUCAAUCAGACCGUGUCAUAAAAAACAUGCACAGUCUACUAAAGUUAAAUAUUACCGAUUUUGUUGUCUCUUGGAGGAUGUUGUCCCUAUAGGACCAAUCCUAAUUACCACCUUAAUGGUAUCAAAUUUUUACUAUUUCAUUGCGUGAUUUAAGUGUGGUAAAUUCUUAUAACCACUUUUAUUUCUUUCCACUUCAUUUUCUAUUAGGGUAUAUCAUGAGAUAACAUGAAUUGGCAAGCCUAUAGUAUUCCUUAUAUGAUUUAACAAUGGUGGCUUAAAUUAUGAAACAAAUCACAAAGAAUUUAACGUGGUAGUCACAAAGACAUUACAAGGGAGCAAGCGACAACGAUAACUGCGCAACGUAGGGAUGACAGUGGGGAGUACUCUAUUACUACUCUUUCAUCCACAACACAUUGCGUGAAAGUUACAUUUUGAUGACCAAAUAAAUUUGCAAUCGUGUUAAUUUUCUCUAUUAAAAAGAUAAAAAUAUGUUGAUAUAUACAUGUUGAAUUGAGCGCAACAAGCUCAACACAUUUCACUUUAUUAUAAUUUUCUAUUUGGAGCUUUUGUAUAUUUUUCCUCUGGCAAUAGAUGACGGGCGUAAUAAACUACCAGUCCAUUUUCAACAAGGAAUGUUUAAAACUCCCUAUGGAAUAAAUCAAACUUCUCCGGUCAUAUUUGUUUUGAACCUCUGAUGGUAUGAACUGAGGAAGAGGAAGAAAUUGUCUAGAACAAAUUAAGUAGGAAACCUAAAGACCAGAAGGCUAAUAAAAAGCCACAAGCCUAAGGAUAAGUGCAAACUACUUUCUAUUUUAUUAAGUCCGAGUUUAAAGUUCCAACCAACACUAAAAGCAAUCCUUGAAUUGGCAACAAGAGUUUGUGGUGGAAUAAUGUGUCGCAAACCUUUACGGUGGAAAUUAGGUUCACACAAAGUCUGGCCUGAAAAAUAUGGGAUUUGUGGUGGAAUAUAUUCGCCACAAAGGUUGGGUGGAGAAAAAUGAAAUUCGAAUUUGUGUCGGACUACAUACCGGCUGCGGUUAUCCUUAUGCACCCUUCAUAAAUCCAAAAAUGGUUUAUGUGAGUUGUACUCCAAAACCAUUAGAUUUACUUAAUGGUUUACAGCACUCUACAUAAAUCCCAACUCAAUUAUGCCAAAACCAUUUUGUUGUGGAAAUGGUUUCUGUGAAUUGUACUCCAAAAUCAUUUCUGAAUUUAUGCUUAUGCACCAUAAUCGUACCCAUGAUUACAUUAAAUUUAUAAUAAAUAAAGGAUUAUCUAUUAAUUUUAUUAUAUAGUAACAAAUAUAUAUAUAUAUAUAUAUAUAUAUAUAUAUAUAUAUAUAUAUAUAUAUAUAUAUAUAUAUAUAUAUAAGAAAAUCCAUUGUUUUGUGUUGACUUUUUCACUUUCAAUUAUACAUAUAAGCAAAUUUGCGUCACUUCCAAUUAUACCUAUAAGCAAAUUUGCGUAUAAUAAUAUAUAUUAUUUUGUUGGUGUCCUUCAAAAAGAUGACAAUUUAUAUUAUAUUUGUUAUGUUGUUGGUAUCACUAAAAAAGAUAAGUAUAGUUUGUUACAAUAUGAAAAUGAAAAAUAUUUAUCAUCUAUACCUAUAAUUUUAAUCAAAAUCAAAAUAAUUUUAAUCAUAAUUUCAUAAAAAUUAUUGUUCGUAAUUAAUACGCAUCGCAAUAAGAAGAGCGGAUAGAUGGACAUAUAUAGAAUGUCCGUCUGAACGCUACUAAUUAUAAUAUUUUUAAUAGUAUUUAACGUGGAUAGUUUUAGUAAAGACAAUUAUUUAAAUUAAAUAUAUUAAUUACAUAAAUACAAUUAUUUAAAUUAAAUGCAUAGAUAUAUUAUUUUAAUAUCUUUGGCUUUUGCGUCAGCCAAUAUCUGACGCUAAAAACGCAUGGCAUUUGCGGCAUCUUGAUUCCGCCACAAAGGAAAAAUAAAAAUAAAAAGGUUGACUUUUGCAUCGGCUUUCAUCUGAGAAUUAGCGGCGACCUAAAUCCCGCCCCAAACGUUUGCAAGAUCCGUAUUUGUUUGGGACAUAUGUCCACCGCAAAUUUUUCUUUGUGUGGACAUUUUGUGCUUUGUAUGGGACAUGUAACUCCCUUGCAUUCUUGUAGCGUAAUCUCAUUCAAGAUGGCUAGCUUUUAAAUGUUGUUAUAUUGAAUUUUUUUCAUAGUCACUUGAUGAGUAUAAAACACGGAUAGCACUUGUGUACCAUAAUGGUAUAUACCAUUGCCCAAUUAGAAUGUGUCACGUGGCACACCCUUUAAAAAAGUAUAUCAAAUAAAACAUUUAUAAAGUAACAUUGGUAGGUGGCACACUAUAAUUGGUCAAUGAUAUAUACUAUUGGUACCUUAAUGGUACACAGGUGAAUCCUAUAAAACACGUAUGUAUUGUUUGGUCAUGUUUUAGGGAAGAAAAAUCAUAUGUCAAUUUUUUUUUAAACGGCAAAUAUUAUUCUCGCCGAACCUGUGCAAGAUGUACUCAAAAAAUCCCUGAAGACAACGACACAAUUAAAAAGGAAUCGUAUAUAGAAGGAUUUCACACACCCCACCCAUAUUCAAAACCAGAAGGUUAACACCCAAAGGAAGGUGCACAUCGCAACCUAUAAAGAUACACACCAAAUAGUACCCAAUCAAAAACAUACGUGACAGACAAAGUCCCAAACUGUAGCAGGUAUCCUAACAAAGAAGUUGUCCAGCAAAAACCAUCCCACUAACACCAAAACUGCAUAACAGAGAAAAAAACUCCACCCACAUAUACAUAUUGCGUGUUAAUUACCCGCCCCCCAAAAAGCAAAACCCCCACCAACCAACAUACAUUCAUUAUCUUAUGAGACAAUCUUUCGGAUUCCAACGCCACUCAUAAUACAAGCAAGCCGAAGAUUUCAAUAGACUCUAAUCAUGAUGUUAGGGAAAAGAGAGAAAAGCUUGAAAUAUUUAUAUUGAUUUGGUACCAGAAAAAGAUACAAACGAAUGAUAGAUUCUUAAAAAAAAUUCUUCUCUUAUAUUUAGGGAUCGAAGGGAAUAACUAAUAAAAUGACCUUGACUGCCUAUAUGUCAACAACCUCUCAAAAGCUGGAAGGUGUUUACAACAUUUUCUGUUUGAGAUGAUCAAUACAAAAAAACCAAAAUCAAAAUAAUUCUUGUAUUGUCAUGUACAAAUUGUACCAAUAUAUCCUUCCUAUCAUCCUUCAAAAGAAAUAUACAAUAAAUUUGCAUCUCAACAAAUGUCAGUAAAUGAUAAGUGCCAAAUUCAUGUUAAUUAACUACAUGGCCCUUAUUAACUUGUUUUGCAAGUAAUCUAGGUAAAAAAAAAAAAAACCAAUUUAAUGUAAAUACCUAAUAAUAUUUUGUAUUUUUAGGCCAGUUAAGCCGUUAUUCCUUAUUUACCUUCAUGUUUUGUAGGUUUUUGGAUCAAUGACCGAGAACGAUAAAGAGCAAGGAUUCUGAGGAAAAUUAAUCUUGCUAGGCGAGCCAGGAGAGAAUCAGAACAGAGAGUUUAAAGCAAAAUGCAAGAGCAGAUUCGCUAAGCAAGCAUCAAUUUGCCAAGCUAAUCAUGGUGGUUUGAUGACUUGAUUGGAUGAGCUAUCAUUUUCCUCCAUCUGAAGAAAGCUCAGAUUCUCUACACGAACAUAACUUUGUCUAUCGAAUUCCCACUUAUAAGAAUUCUAUAAAUAGAUGUCACCACUUCUUUUCAAGGAGGAGUCAUACACCAUAGAAGAACUCAUAAACCAAGAAAGGGAGAGACAAAAUGAUCUAGGGAAGAAAGAUACAACGAAGGAGAAUGGGGAAUCUUCUUUGGGGUUUAAUCUCUUCCCUUCUUGUUUCUUAUUAUAAGACUAUGCAUAACUAAUCCUCUCUAUCUUUUGGAUUAAGCAUAGUUUCUAAUACUCUUUUGUAGAUUAAAUAUUUAAUAAAAUUACGUGACUUUUAAUAAGAAAAAAAAUGCAUUCCCUUUGAUUUUAUGUAUACGCAAAAGUUAUCAUAAAUUUUGAACUUGUUUUAUGUUAAUCCUCCAGUUUUCAGAGGAAAGGACUUUGGAAGUCCGGACUUCUAAAGCUCAACUAUGACGUAAGUAUAGCUUAGCAAGAAUUGUUGCAUUCACGAAUUGAACUUAGAUUCUCCAAAACAUUUGUUCUUUGAUGAAAUUAAUUUACCACUUGAGCACAAUCACUUCAUUUAAAUACAAUCAAAUGUAAGCUAAUCAUAUUUAAUGUCAUUGUUCUAAAUCUAUUCUUACAUUAAUUUGUUAAUCUUGUGAGAGAGGUAAGAAUUUAAUAAGUAAGGAUAGGUUACUAGAUGUAUUUUUUUAUUACAUGAAACUAAAAUAAUUAUUAAAGUUUGUUCUUUUCUUAGUAUUUGUCGCUCCCCUAAUAUACAAUAAACCACUACUGUCAGUAUUAUAGGCCAUACAAUACAAUCAAUCUUCCUCAGAGGUUGAUAAUGGAGUCUGGGAAGACGGUGUCAAUAUCAGUGUCAAGUUCAAACAAAGCUGGUGUUAAUUCUUCAGUGUUAAUUCUGGAAACAAUUUUAAUGCUGCAAUAAAUGAGAAUGCUACAUUAUUAACGUACGGUUCUAUGAUAAAUUCUAGCAAACAAAAAAUCGGUAAUGGACGGAGUGAAUAGAUGAAAUUCUGGGGUGAGGGUUAUAACAAUUUGAAUGUGUCAGGUAGACAAGCAUUUAAUAUUGGGGUCACCAAAUAAGAAAUAAUGCAUCAAUUACAUAUGAUCCCUAGCAGGGAGAUAUGAAUCCGCUGGACAACAAGAUAAGGAGAAGAAAUGGCCCAUGACUGAAUGUUGAAUACUCCACUUAUGCCCUCACGAGCAUCUAGCAUUACGACAGUACGGUCUAUUUUUUAGAAGCAUGCAUAAUUUGGAACCAUUGAGACAAAUAAUUUAAGUUUCUUGUACUAACUUAUGCAUGAAUCUUUGUUUUUGUUUAAUUCUAAUAAAGUUGAAGACUUAAAACAACUUUUCUAAUAAAGUGUUAUUUUUAACUUAAAACUUUUUUGUUUGCUUGCUUAACCAUUGCCUUGGAACACCGGUUAGCUCUACCCUAAAAUUAAUUACAUUUUUUAAUCUUUGUCAAAUUGUCAAGGCGACUUAUAAUUUAAGAUAUAUGAAGUACUGAUAUGAAGGUUGACGAUGUUCUUAAAAAUAAUUGGAGUUUUACCGAAUUAUAUGUCUUUCGGAGAACACUCAUGCCUCGUCAUAUAUAAAUGUGUUGUUAUAAAUGAGAAAUUCUUGUGAACUCUCACCCAACACAUCAUUCUUACACUCUAGGGUGUGGUAGUCGUGGGCCCUGUCUAAGGUUGUUGUCUUCUCUUGGCAACUGAUCCGACUAGGUUUAACCUCCAUAGGCGUGGUGUUCCCUUGCCUGAGAGGGAUCUUGGUUGUGUCUUUUUUGAGGCGCCUUCCGAAUCUUCCGCGCAUCUCUUUCUUGUUUGCCCUGCUAUCCUCCCGGAUUGGUAUCAGGUCUCUAGGUAGUUGGGUUGGGUGUUUGUGAGCCCUAGGGGUAUUGCACAACAUUUCUUUGCUUUCACAAGCUUAUGGGGGUAAGAGAGUUAGAUUAGAUCUUCUUUUAGUUUGGAUAGAGUGAAACUUUGGCUUGGAAGUGGCUCCCGGCUAAGUGCCCUGGUAGUUCCUGCUCUUUUCAUGAGUGGGAGGUGUAGCCCGUCCUUUGCUGGCAUCGUUAGGGUUUUGGUGGUGGUUUUCCUUGGUUCCCGGGGGGGUUGGGUGGGGGUUUUAGCCUCCACCUUUCUGUCCGGUUUCUGGGGUUGCUUUUUUGCUUUUGUGUUUCUGUUCGACCACCUGGUUGUUUGGUGUUGGCGGUUUCAGUUUUGUUUCUUUUCCGUGUUGUUUUUGCUGUUUUUUGAUGGUGGGGUGGCUCAUGGGGUUUUGUCACAGGGUUUGCUCUUUUGGUGGCAUAUCCCCGUCCCGAAUGCAGAAAACUAUUUUAUGUUGAUAUGCCAUGUUAUUUUGUUUGAUAAUUGUCAUGUUGUAAAAACUACGAUUGAUAUUUAAAUGACCAACUAAAUCAAUGGGCUAACAAAUGUUAAAGUGAACAUAUUGUUGGAUAAUGCAUUACAAUAUUUCUCUUGGGGUUGCAAAAAAAAUCUAUUUUUUCAUUAAAAAAAUUAUUCAAUGCGGGGACGGGGAUGGGGCGGGGAUACCCGAACCCGUCGGGGACGGGGAUGAGGUUCAAUUUCUCAUCCCCGUUGAAUAUGGGUAGGCGGUAGGGUAACGAGUAUGUAUAUGAGAAUCGGGUAUGGGGACGGGGAAUGUAAAACCCGUCCCCACCCCGCCUCAUUGUCAUGCCUACUAAAGCUAAUAAUGAUUCAAAAUCUAGAUUCAAUUCAAACUUGGUCGAAAAUUGAAAAAAUUAAGAACAAGAUAUACUCCCUCCGUCCCUAUAUCUAAACACCCCCAUUUGAUUUUAUUUUUGUCUGUAAACUCAUUUUCAAAUUACUAGAUGCAUUUAUUACUUUUUUCUUAAACAUGUCUCUAAAGGACAAUUUAGUAAUAUUAGUAUACAAAACAGACACAUUAAUUACACUGACAAUUUUUCUUAAAGAAAUGUGAAAAAACAAAGGGGGUUACACUAAGGGACGGAGGGAAUAUUAAAUAAGCACAGUUCAAUUGCAUUAAUAAAAGGACAAUAAUAAUCGCGUGUUUCCAACAACUGAAAAUAUGUUCAUCUUGAUAUCAUAAUUUAAGUGUUUAAUUGCUCUUGGAAACUGAUUACAUCAUCAAAGAGAAAAUUUAUGAGUGAAACAUGCUCUUAAACAGGCAAUUUUUCCUAGGGCGCAUGGUCUAAAGUAGAUUUAUGUUGAUUUCUACUUCAUUCUCCAUGUGUUUUUCAUCCUUAAUAUGUGAGCUUGUGGCAUUAAUUCCCCAAGUUAUUUGAACGUCAAUAACUUCAUUGCACUUGAUCUCCUUGCUUCCAUUACUUUCACGAGAUGUCUAGGUUGGCUUAACUUCAUGAUCUAUACCAAAAAAGACUCAAAACAUCUAUGGAGUUGUCUGACCGGUUAUAGAAGAAAGGGAAAUACAACGACCCGAAACCAAACAUUUCAAAUCCUUUCCCAAACCAUGUGAAGCUCACUCUAAAACCUCGUCACUCUACCUCUGUUAAAUCUCUCUCCAGCCUCUGCCAUUAAUGUGAUUGUGAUCAAAACUCGUCAUUAAUGUGAUUGGGAUCAAAAUUCGCACUCUACCUCUGUCAAAUCUCCCGCUAGCCAUAAUGAGUUAUUCCACGUAAAGAACUUCACCAAAGGAGCAUACAAGAUUUAUCAAUUUUACAACUUCCUAAAGAUGCAUCGAUAACCCUAAAACGCCAACCAAGUCGUUCUCUGAGACGGCCUCACCUUCGGUGAGCAUCGUUCCAGCGUACUGAUUCAUUUGGACCACCAAACACUAUGAUACAUCUAGAACUCAUGCACUAGGUCCAUAAGAGGGUUCUUUCCUUCCACUGGUCUCAUGUAGAGCGCGUGGAAACCUUGAAGCCACAAGUUCCCUACGGUCCUUUCAUUUUCUCGGUUCCAAAAGGAAACCCGCAUAACAGGUUUCAACCUCAGACACUAGUACAUUGUUUGAUGGGACAAACGAUCCUCUUCACCGGUGGUGGGGGAAGUUUCUGUCGAAGAUUGAUAUUGUUCGACAAAAUGGCCUACUGACAAAGAAUGUCAAUAAAUGUCUCACAUCCACCACCUUAGCUCCGAAAUUAUUUGUUGUCGAAACAUCACUUUGCAAGGCAAAAUGGAAAGGCUUUAAUGGUUCUAUACCGAAUUUGGUCACAUUGAUGUGAAGCUUUGUAUCCCCCCAUUUAAACCGAUCGGCUGCAACCUGUUGAGCAACCAAUCUGCCUUAUGGACUCCUUCGAAUCUAACGACACCACCAUGUCCAUACCUAGCGAAAAACUCCCCGAGCCUUACUGCGCAGAUGUGUUGUUUGAAAAAGGAGAUACACACUCCCUUUGCACAGCUAACACAUACACCGGCAAGCCUCUCUGCUGCCAACUUGAGGAACACAUAUCGAUCGGAUGGUUAAGCUGGCACUGUCCUUAUCAUACGUUCUUUUAAUUAUGCACCUUGAUCUCCAGGCUAUGUAUUUCCACACGCUCUUUUCCAAACGUGGCGUGAUAUAUGUCUCAUAUUUCUCUUACAACAAGCAUAUUAAAUAGCAUAGUUAUUUAACAUGUUUACAAAGCAUGUAAGUAAAUGUUUCACCACCACAAAGAAAAAGUAUAUUAAUUAUAGCUUAUAUAUGUGUUUUUAUUGUAUUGUUAACCCUUUCCAUUAAUUGAUCAAUUAAUAAUAUCUCUUGGUUAUUCAAAAAAAAAAAAAAAAAAAAAAUCGUGUGGUGGUUUUGGUGAAGGUUAUAACGAUAGUCUUUUUUUUUUUUUUUUUUUUGUCAAAAAAGAAUACAGAUAACUAUGAUAGUCUUAUUUUAAUUAUGGCAAAAUAUUUUUUUUGACAUACAUCAAAGGACUUUUCAACAUCUUAAUGCUCUUACUUAAGUCUCAAGCUUACGUUACCAAGCUCGGCAAGGCCAAAUGUUAAUUGUUGUUUUUCUUAUUAUUAAAAUUGUGUUCCUCUGUCCGAUCGGAUCUAUAUAUCACUUUUUGUAUUUAAUAUAUAUAAUUUUACAUGUAACAAAAAAAAAAUAUAAUUUACCAACAAGCAAAAAUUAAAUGAUUCAAGUAGUAUGAAAUUUCGAUCCUUUAAAAUAGUGGUUUAAGUUCAAUCAUUGGCUUUUGCGUAUGAAAAAAAUUCGAUUCAAAGAGGAAAACUUUGUACUAAUAACACGAUAAUAAAACAUAGUACUUUUCAUAAUUUAAUAUUUCAACUUAUUAAAACAAGAAUAAAUUACAAACAAGAAAAGGGUAAAAAGUUAAAACUUGCUGUGUGCAUGUAACAACAAAGAAAUCUAAAAUUAAACUUAUUGAUAAAUUUGCACCUCUUACUACAUUAGAUGUAUGUUUGACCCUAUGCAGUGGCGGCAAUACCGUUAAAUCUAUGGCAAAAUAUUUUGAACUUAGAUUUAACGAUUUUGCUGCUACUUCACACAGAGAAAUUCAAAUCCUAAUUUAAGAUAUCAUCUAAAAGAGAGUCAAAUUCACAAAUGGUAGAAUCCCAGGAGAAAUCACCGACAGUACUGGGUCCUUCAGCAAGAAAGUUCUCAACAUUUAAUUUGGAAUAUUCCUCUGGUAAUAGUAAAGAGCAUGAUCCAAUUUUGUCAUUGCUCACGUUCAACAAACUCUCCCACCACAUGGAAGACAGUGUUGGAUUUUCAAGAUAUGGUUGUGCAGCACUAUCACCAUCACCAUUAAUUGGUAGAAUAGUAUCUACUUCACUAUCUUUUGCAACAUUACCAUCAUUUGUUGAAACAGUUACUAUUGGUGUCACAAAAUUAUUAUAUUUCCCAUUCAACCAUGGUGAAUGAGAUGAAAAAGUUCGAGGUUGAGGUUUAAUAACUUCAUGAGUUUGCAUGCUUUCUUUAGGUUUCUCAUUUUCUUUCUUUUCUUCUUUUCUUGAAACCAUCUUCUUGCGUAAAUGUGUGUGCCAAUAAUUCUUCACAUCAUUAGCUGUUCUACCCGGGAGUCUUGCAGCAAUCAAUGACCAUCUAUAAAAAUAUAAAAAUAUCAUGCUUACUUACUUCAUACAAUUAAAUUAUUUUUAAAAUAUAGUUUUUUUUUUUUAUUGACAAAAUUCUUAAAAUAUAGUUUAAGUGGUAACAUUCUCUUUUAUAAAAAUCGUGAAAUACUAUUUUAUAACUUGAUGUACUUAAUAUCAACAAUGAUAUUAAACACCCCAACUUUUUAUACAUUCAUUUAAUACUUUAUUAUAUCUCUAGCUUGCUCUUCUUAUCACAUCAUCAACGACAUCGCACUUUUGUUUUCUAUCUUUAUUUCAAGAUGUAUACUAAGUUAUCAUCUACGGUGUAAACUAAACUUUAUCUAUUUAAUAUUGACUUCCUCAUAUUAUAAGACACUUGUCCUUUUUUAUCAAUAUCUCUUGAUCUAAGACACUUAACUAGUAGUAUUAAUCAAAGGUUUAUUUGAAAAAAAAAAAUAUUAGUUCUAUGUACUAUCUAGUAAUUUAGAAUUAGUCCUUUUAAGAGAUAAAAAGACACAUACUUUUUUUAUAUAAAAAAAAUAGCAAGUGAAAUAUUAUUAAUAAAGUGGCAUUAAUUAUAGGGUUAAUUAAGAUUUUAGUCCUAUAAAUAUUCACAGAUUUGUUUUUAGACCUUACAAAAUAAAAUCACACUUUUUAGUCCCUGUGACAUUUUUCUUAAGCACUUUAGGGACCAAAAAUGUUGAUGGAAAUUUUUUACAGGGACUAAAAAUGCUAAUGGAAAAAUUUUAUAGGGACUAAAAAUGCUGAUGAAAUUUUUAUAGGGACUAAAAGAUGUGAUUUUAUUUUGUAGAGACUAAAAAAACAAAACUGUGAAUAUUUAUAGGGACUAAAAACUUAAUUAACCCUUAAUUAUAUAUUGGUCUUUUUCACACCAAUCUUCGAGAAAAUUUGAAUUUUUGACCCUUCAGAUUACAAAACAAACUCCAUGCUGCUAAGCUUACACUUUAUGAACAAAUAAACUUACAUUUAAGGAAACAUAAUAUUAAGAAUAUAAUGUUAACAGCUGAAUUGAAUUAUAAGAAAAUAUUUAAUUAAAUGAUAACUUGGCCUUGGCAUCAUACAUACCUGUUCCCUAAAAGCUUGUGUAACCUUAAAAUCAUAUCAACUUCAUCCUCAGAAAAACUCUCUCUAUUGAUGGUGGGGUUUAAAUAAUUUAACCACCUCAAUCUACAACUUUUCCGGCACCUAUUCAAUCCUGCCAAGUACAUGUAACAAGUAUUUUCACAUACAUAAAGAAAAUGAAUUAUAAGUUACAUUGCUUCUAUGUUAUUAUUCAGUUUAAUUAAUCAUAAGCCAAAUAUACAGUACAAUAAGCAACUUUCAUUAUAUACCUGCUCUUUGUGGAACUAAAUGCCAUUUUCCUUCACCAUACUUCUGCAUACAAGCCUUGAGUAGCUUGUCUUCCUCAUAUGUCCAUGCACCUUUUCUCACACCUCUAGUCUUACACUUCUCCAUAUACACUUGCUUUUGUCCACAGACAAACAAAGGCAUGAGGCUUUUCUUUAGCUAUAUGUGCUUUAAAGGGAAGGUUGCAUAGAUAAGACAAAGAGAGUGAUACUACUUAUCAUUUUCAUCCAAAAAGUGCACACAAUUUUGCAUGUGAAUAUCGUUGUUACACGUCUUAAAUUCAUCACUACUUGUAUUUUUCUAUCUUUCUCUUCUUUUUUCAUCCACUAUCUCAUUUUCAUCCAAUAUAUAUUACAAGCUGUGAAAAAUCUGUGAGGCUAUAAUACGUUCUUCGUAUGCAAUAUAUUCAUUUCAUUUAAUGUCUUGAUCCUUAGUUUUUUUCUUAGUUUAAUAAGUGGUUCUUAUAAUAUUAUUUUGAUUCAUUUAUAUUUUUAUUUAUUAAAUGUCGGAACAGUAUUAUGUACUCCAAUAUAAAAUCACAUAUAUACUACUCUCUAGAUAUCCUAAACAAAAUGUAGUUAAAGUUGUUAGUUAAUUCAUACACCGUCAACUAUUAUAAGCAAAAAAUCAUUAUUUUAUAUUCAUUCAAUUAAUGAUAUAUAUAGUCUUUAUUGUAGACCACAUACAUCAUUUAGUGAAUAAUUAUAAAAUGUUGAUUUUUGCUUAUAAUAAUGAUCUAAUUGUGUAGUAGUCUAGAUAUGAUCAAUUUUGAACUGAUUUGACUAUAAACUCAAAUUUUAGAAGAUUCGGAAUGAAACCGAGUUUACCAAGGGCAAAAGUUAUUAUGCAUAAGUCAUUUCCUUAUGCACCCUGCAUAAACACUUCACAACCAUCUGAUUUAUUUUACAUGUGUAAUAAUCCUAGGUCUAUCAACUUUGAAUUCAGGCACCAACUUUUGUUUAUAAUGGUGAAAUCGAUGAAUCAGUUCAGUAAUAAUCCUGGAGAACGAGAUUCAGUUCAGUAAUGGUGAAAUCGAUGAUUCACCGAUUGAAAUUGAAAAAACCAUGUCUAAGAUGACGUUGUUUUCUGUGGAGGAUUUUCCAAAACCGCUGCUUUUGUUUGUUUACACGCGCCGGCAACGGAAGAGAAGUUCAAUUGAAGUUGAUUGUGAAAGGACGACGUUGAAGAGGAGGAGAAUUGGGAGUAAUAUUGAGUUGGAGGGAUUUGGGAUUGAUUUGAAUUUGAUUGGGAAAAUUGAUGAUGGACCUGGUUUGAGAAAAUGUCGAAAUCAAAUUGGGAAUUUUUUCUGAGAAUUGUGAUUCUGUUGCUAAGAAAUCAAAGUUGGUGCCUGAAUCUGAUGGUUUUGAAUUUUAUUUUUGAUUGUCAUAUGCACCCUACUGGAUCAAAGAAAACCAUUAAGUACAUCUAAUGGUUUUGGAGUACAACUCACAUAAAUCAUUUCCACAGCAAAAUGGUUUUGGAGUACAACUCACAAAAACCAUACCCAUAGCAAAAUCAUUAGACAAUUAUUUUGGUUUCUCAUAGAAGACUAUCAAAACCAUUAAACCAUAAUUAUGGUUUCAGUAAUAAUUUCAGUGUAUAACAUCUUAAUCAUUAUUUAAAACCAUGUAACAAUAAUAAUUUCAUUAAAAAUCAUUACACAAUUAUCUUGGUUUCACAUACAAGACUAUCAAAACCAUUAAACCAUACUUUUGGUUUCAGUAAUCCAUACCCUGAAGUUUGUUUCAAUUCAGCAACAACCCUUUUUGCAAAACAAGUGUAUCGUAUGACGACGAUGGAAAAUGGAAAUUGAUGUGGUGUGUUGUUGUUGUUGAGUGUUCCUCAUUUGAUGUGUUCGUGUCGGUGUCGCCGUGGACACUGGAUUGUUAUGCAAAUGUUGACGGUUACCAAGUUAAGCAUAUGUAUAUAUUGUUUUGCUAAAAGCUUAAUCCAAAAAUUAAAGACUUGUGCAUAUAUGUGUUGCCAUGAUCACAUAUCAGUAAAGUGAACACGUGAAUUGCAGAAAUAAACUGGCCAUUAAUUAAUGAAAAUCUGGUAUCGUGUCGGAGAAGAUGAAGAAACAGAAUUGUGGUUUCGCUUGAAGGUAUAUGAUAAAAUGGGUUGGGGUGUACGAAGCAAUUAUGUUGAGCUAUCAGUUAAUGGAUUGGGAUUUAUGCAGGGUACAUAAAGAUGCCUUAUGCAAGAUAACCGCACCCUUUACUAAGUGGGGUGUUUUAUUGAAUUGAAAUUUUGAUGCCUUUAUGGUAUAAGUGUGUAUGUCAUGUAUUUAUUGUCAUACCUAGCCACGUAGUUACCAUACUUAGCCACAGGAAUGUCCCCGUGUUUACAAAUAGAUCUCUUGAGAAUUUGUUUUGAAUUCUUUACAAAAAGUUCUUAUGUCAUGUAUUUAUUUUGAUGCUUUCUUUUUUAUUUUUUUGUUACAAAUUUUGAUGUAUUUUUUAAGGGCAAUGCUAUCCAAUGUCUUGGGCACUAGUUAAGGAACAAUAUAAUAUGUCCCAUUUAAUUAACCUUAAUUAAAUGAAAAGUUGAUCAACUAAAUUAAAAUAGAAAAUUUUUGUAUUCAAUACUCUUAAAAAAUCAGCAUCAAUAUACACGGGUCAAUACAAGCAUGGAGUGGAAUAUCAACUUAAUUUAUUUGAUCAUAAUGUUUGUUCUUUUAAUAUUAUACUACUAUGUUUUAUCUUUAGAAUUGCAAAUUUAUUUUGGACUUUAUAAUUUCUUGUCUUAGUUUAAUUAUUUCAACAACUUUUAAUAAAAUAAAAUAAAAACAAUAAAAAUUUUCACCGGAAGAAAAAAAAUUCAUGGAAAAGAACUGGUUUGAGGAUAGGUUUUCCCUUGAAUUGGUUUGAAAGAAAAAAAUUAUUGAAGAAAAUUCACGGGAAAAAAAUUGUUGAUACGAAAGGAAGAAAUGGAUUAAAAAAAAAUCAAAAAAUGUUCAUAAGAAAAACAAAUGAAAGGAAUCGCGUGUUGUGUUGUGUUUGUGUAGCUAUCUUUCUAAAGAGUAUUAAAUGCAAUGUUUUCCUAUUUUAAUUAAGUUGACUAAUUUUUCACUGUAAUUGUGGUAAAUUAAAUGGGACACAUUAAUUAUAUUGUUCCUUAUCUCGUGCCUCGGGGGUACUGAUUAGCAGCACCCUUCUUUUAAUGAUGUUUUAUCAUACUUUUUUUUUUUUUGAUAAAAUGUUUUAUCAUACUUAAAAGUUAUACUUUUUAAUGAAGAUAAUGAGAGAGGGGGAGGGAGAGAGAUUUUAUUUUCAAUUCUUUUAAAGAUGUUUUAUUGAUACUGUAACAUAGAAAUGGAAAUAGAAUAUGAUUUAUAAAGAAACGGUAUAUUUUCUAUUUUGAUCAUAAGUUUUUUUUUUUUUUUUUUUAUAAAUUAUUGUCUUUAUAAAUUAUAUAUAAUGAAGAGUGUCAAUGCAUUUUGACCUCCUAACUUUAUACUAGUUACGAUUUUGACUCCUAUUUAAAAAACACAUUUCAGCCCCCUAAGUUUUUCUCAUUUUACAACUUUUAAUUUUGAUCAUUCAAAAUCAAUCAUUUAAGAAAGUAGAAGAUCAAGAAACCAAACCCAAACCAUACCUUUUUCCCUAUAAAUAUGAAACUUGCUCAACAAAACACCCUCUUAUUUUUAUUGUCUUGAAUGAUUGAUAUUGAAUGAUAAAAAAAAAAAAAAAAAAAAAAGAUGCAAAAUGGAGAACCUUACAGGGUUGUCAUGUAGUUUCUUUUAUGGAGAAACUUAGUGUGUUUAAGCCAACAAAAAAAACUAAUGUAUCUUAAUUAUAUCAUAUACUUAAUUUUAAAAAUCUCGCAUUAUGUAUUGUAUCAUACUCAUAUAUACGUAUAUUGGCUUCAUAGCUCAAAUUUAUAUCCACUAAACCACAUUCCUCCUUAGUCUUACAAACGGUAUCCCAUUGAAACCAAACACAUAAUUAGUUUAUUUGUAGAGAUUUGUUAUUUUUUCUUUUCAUUCGACAAGUUUAUAUUUUAAUUUUUCUUUGGCUUAAUGAUGUGUUUUGUCCUUGCAAUUAAGUGUCAUUUAAAAAUUAGUCCCUGUAAUCGCUAAUUCUGGCAAUUUACCCUUGCAUUGUUUAAUCAUUUAAAAUUUCGUCCUUUGACCAACUUAAUCACCGCCAAGUCAUCAAACUAGCAAAAUGGCAUGGAAAUGGACAAAAAUACCCUCGUCUUUAUUAUGAGAAGAAGAUGAAGACAGGGGUAAAAAUAUCAUUUCACGAAUGGAUGACGAUGGUAUUUUGUCCAUUCCCAUGUCAUUUUGCUAAUUUGAUGACGUAGCAGUGAUUAAGUUGGUCAAAUGACGAAAUUUUAAAUGAUUAAACAAUGCAAGGGUAAAUUGCCAGGAUUACUGAUUACAGAGACUAAUUUUUAAAUGGCGCCUAAUUGCAAGGACGAAACACAUCAUUAAGCCUUUUUCUUUCACUACAAGGAACAUUGCCUUUUGCCAGGGGCAAAAUCCCUGUCAAAAGGACAAAAGCCCUGGCAAAUGGGACAUUUGUGAGGGAAAAAACGAGGGGCAGAUGGCCUGGCAAAAGCGCUCAUCGCAAACGCUUUGCCAGGGGCUACACCCCUGGCAGAAAAACGAGGGGCAGAACCCCUGGCAAAAGGCAACGCUUUCUCCCUGGCAGAACCCCUGGCAUGUCCCCUCACUUUCGUCUGCAGCUUUCCUGCACCACUGACACGACUGACACCUCUGCGCCGGCACUGACUGAAGUGACAACAGCAAAAAACGAGGGACAAAGCGAGGGGUUUAACCCCUGGUGUUAUACCCUGUUUUUGGACCUAAAAAUACUGGGCCCAAUUUCAUUUCAAACUUUGUCGAUUAUCAAAUUUCAACUGCACAGUUCAAAUUGUCUCUGCCUCGCAGUAUUUUCAAUCACAAUUUUACCUAUGUUUUUCUUGCAUAAAACCUUUCGAAAUGUCUUUACUUGUCUUGUAAGUCAUUCAAAAGUGUCUCUGAAUCAUUACAUUGCUUUUUCUACAGUUUAUUUCAAAAUUUGCAAAAAGUCAUACAGAAGGGUAUUUUGGUCAUUUCCUGCAGUGGGACCCAUUUUCAUCCUUGUGACUGUCUCUGAGUCUUUUCAGAUUACUUUUAAACAUUUCAUCAGUAAACUUUGUUAAAAUUCAUUUCAAACUUACAUCUGAGUCAGUGUCAAGUCAAUUUGAUUCAGUUUAGGUCGUUUUUAGCCCUAGGGGCAUUUUGGUCAUUUCACAUGAAAUUUUGGCAUGGGGAGGUUACUUUGAAGUACCUCAUUUAGGCCAUUGGUUCGUUUUAGUCCGUUUUGUCAAUUUUAUUUUUGUUUCGCUUUACGUUUGGUCAAAUUACGUUUUUUAUUCAAUUUCAUUUUUAAUUGCAUUUUGGUCCCUCAAUUGAGGUCCCAAAGUUGCAUUUUUAGUCCAGAAUUUUCUUUUUUUUACAUUUCAGUCCUUUUUUGGUCAAUUACAGUUUAGUCCUUAAGUGUUGUUUUUUGCAGAAAAGUCCAUUUUUUGUACAAGGCCGUGUCACUCUUUUUUUUCAGGUCCAGGUGUCACUUUCUCAUUUGUUCAGAGGCACACAUGUCAUGCUAUAAAAGGUGCACAGUGCCACACACGCCAACUCAUAAACACAAAUAAAAGUUUCUUUUUCUCAGCAACUGAAUCAAAAACAGAAAAAUUUCUCAGAUUCAUCAAGAACACCAAGAACAAAACCCUAACCGUUUCCAGAAAGUCACAAAUUCAUCAAGUUUCAGUGUUUUUCGUAUCAAUUCUCAGAGAUUCGUAUGAAUCUUCAUCACUGAAUUGAUUGAUUCUCUGCAAUUCCAAACGCGAGCUCGCAUCAAAGCAAGCUCAAGCGUUGAUCACAGAGAGCCUCUCGCAAAAAAAAAAAUCAAAGAAGCAAGUUCAAACGUAUAAUCAGAGAAAGAAUCGGAGAAGAUGAAGAAACCAAGCCAGUAAACCGAUUUAUUUUCGGUCCAGAGAGAAUCAAAGAACGUUCAAGUUUUCCAAAGAUUUUCUCCUUCAAGAAUCUCAACCAAAUUCAGGUAAAACUCAUUUUUCUCUCUUUAAAAAGUAUAAUCACUGUUAAACCUGCAAACAAGAUCCAAAAAAAAUUUCCAGAAUCAUAAAGAAAAUCAUAACCGUAAACACCAAAACACAAAUCCAUAAGGAUCCAAGUUUUGUAAGCAAGAACAAGCAUCAGAGAAGUAACAAAUACGAGACGAUGUAGAUCCUUAAGAGUAUUGAACGCACGCGUUCAAAACCCUAAAAAAAAAAAAUCAUUUCAAAACCGUUUGGAAAUUCUCCGAUCUACGUCGUUUCAAGCUUUAUUUGUGAAAAUCAAGGUCAGAUUCGUGUUUAGGGUUUAAAGGCGAACAAGAAAAGUGUAAAAAAUUGGAAUUCUGGGUGAUUUGCUCGUCGGAACCCUAACUUCUCACCGGAGAAGAUGAAGUUUCCGGUGGAACCUUCAUCUUCUCCGGCCAACAACCACCGGAGAGAGGUGAGCUGAGAGAGUUUAGAGAGAGAGGCUCUGAACUUAGAGAGAGAAAGAGAGUUUACAAAUGGAAAAAACCGGUGCCAUGCCUUAUAAAUAAGCUAGUGAACCGGACCGGUCCAAGACCGGUCCAGUCCCUUUGUUCCUGGCCGUUUGAUCUAGGGUUUCAGAACCCUGGAUCAAUCGUACGUCCCCUGUGCAUCCGGAUCUUUUGAGUGUGGGCUUUGGUCUGGGCUUAGUUUUUCUGUACGUUUUUUGCUAUUUCCUUGCUAUUUGCACUGCCUGUCUUUGCUACCUGCACCUAUGUCUUGAUUAAAAUUGUGAUAAAAUUCCUAGAAAAAUUAUCACAUGUUUCUUGAUAUUUUCUUAGUGUUUUUAUGACAUUUUUGAACAUUAAGGAUCUAUGAAAUUUUUGUAUAAUUAAUUCAUAGCAUUUUAAUUCUCUUUGAAUUAUUUGUUAUGGAUUCUUCUUCACACAUUUGUCCUUGAUGUGAGAAUAUGUGAUAAAAGCUACUUGAUAUGAUAAUAUGAGAGAUUUGUGCUUAUAAUUUCAUGUUGAUUUGCUGUUUUGAUUUGGUUUAUAAGUUCUUGAUUUUAUGAACAAUAUAUGCAUAUUUUGAAAGAUAUGAAAUGCCAAGUUUAUUCUAGAAAAUAUGGCAUGAAACCAUGCUUGCAUAUUUCCAAUAAUUCCAUGCUAUAACUUGAGAUAAAGAAAACUCUUUCAAAAUUUGUUAGAGCAUGAGAAUUAGAGGCCAAGAAUGCUUUAGGUUUCAUACCUAAGUUUUUAGGGUUUAAUGUCAUUUUGUUAACUUUUUGUGCCAUCUUGCAUGCUUUUAUUUCUUAGUACUUGUUAUGUUUUUUUCUUUUCACUAACAAGUUUAUUUCCAUGUUUCAUGCAUCUCAUUUAGCAUUCCAUCCACCUUCUUUAGUCUAGCAUUUAUUUUUGCAAGUUUUAAUUCAUUUUAGAGAUGUAAUUUACCAUUGGUUUGUAGCUUGGCAAAGAGGCCAUAGAAUGUAUUUAGGAAAUGUUGUAAUAUGGACUAUGGACACUAUGACGCACCGACACGCACACACUCACCUUAGAUGUAUGCAUAGGAUUGUAUGGUUAAAUAAGCGUUUAGGUUUUAAACACUUAGAGAAAAUCCAUCUUUUUUCAAAAAAAACAAUUGAACUUCACUUCAAGAAUUUUCAUAAUAAAUAUGAAGUCAACACUUCAUUUUUUCCCUUUCUUUUUUUCUUAAGGAAAAUUCAAUUCAUCUUAACCAUUUAGACUUUCUUUCUAAUCACUAAACAAACCCCCACUUUUUCAUACUCUAAUGCUCAUGAAGCCUCUCAAUCCCCUUCUUCAAAUCAUUUUCAAAAUUUAAAAUCAAACAAUUAAAACAAAAACAAGUUUUUUAGCAAGAACUACGAACGGUUUUGAUCCCUUAAAAGGGUACGUAGGCAAUGAGUCAAAACUCAUCCAAGCCGAAAUAAAAAAUCAAAGUCUUGCAACUUCUCCCCCCAUUCUUAACUAAAUAAACCUCCCAUUUUCAAAAGUAAGUAAAAAUAAGCGUGAAUAUAGACUUAGGAUAACGGCUCCUAUAGAGGACUAUAGUUACUCCGGGUGCCUAACACCUUCCCGUAGUAAAACCGACCCCCGAAUCCGGAAACUCAAGGGUUUUUCUCCUUUUACCCUUCCCAAGAAAAAAGAGGGAUAUCAACGGUCAAAAGGUUCAAGUCCAAUUAAUGGCUUGGCACCCAAAAACCAUGAUAACAGAAAUGGCGACUUCACUGGGGACCCUUUUUUAGCGGGUCGCGCCUAGUUUUCCUUAGUUUAUAUUUACGCUUUGUUUUAUUGCUUACAUAUGUGAAUACUUGUUUACUUUCAUUUGACGUGUGGGGUGAGAAUAUCAAAAGUCCUAUACCCGGGCUGAGUGAACUUAUGUUUAGGUAGAGAUAUAAUCGACAAUUCGAUCCGGGGGUUGCCUCGUGUAUUGGAUUAUGCGAUCAAUCUCACAUAGCUGAGGCAUUUUGAAGGUGAUAUUGUCGGCGUGUGUUGUCAUGCUUAGGCACUUCACUUUCAAUUGUUCGACGAAGCUAUGAACCGUAGUUACCAAACCCAUCCUAGCCUUUUUAGGACGUAGUGCGGUGGCUAAAUUGAGUGUUGUCUCAAACUUUAGUCGUCACGCGAUACUACACUCAAACUAGACCUUCUCACAAAUAAUCAUGGAACGGGUGUCGUCCUGUACUACCAUGAUAUAUGUGAGAGAGGUUGCAGUUUGGGAACUGUGUUAGAACCUUGGUUACUACUAUCCAAAGCCUUAGUUCACCGGACGCCGUGUCCAUCCGUGGCCCUGUUACUUUGAAUCUCAAUCCACCUUGUUCUUUGUAACUAAACAAAAACAACCAUGCAUACAUGCAUUCAUGCAUAAGUUUUUUUUUUCACGCAUACAUCGAAGAUUUUUUUAGACAGAUCGAAACAUUGUAAGACAUCGCAGGUGUGAACUUGUAUUCAUAAGUUUACCGUUGUAAAACCUUAUUUUGCUUGUUUAACAGUGUUUACAAUGUUUCGAAUUUGUUUAAAAAGUCCUUCGAUGACAUUAAAAAGAGUCGUUUUUGCAUUUGCAUCUGCAUAUCAUGCAUCAUAUGCAUCAUACAUCGGUCACAAAGGCUUCCAAUUGCUCACUACUUCCUGGUUCCUCUGCCACAGUUUGAAAAGUGGCUCGUGCUCAGAAGGUCUACGAACCUGAUAGAAUCGAUCGAACCAGAGAGUACAGAAGAAGGAAAAAGGCUAUGGAAGAAGAGAACGCUCAGCUCCGUACCGAGUUAGCCACUCUAAGGGAGGAAUUGGCUAAAGCUAAUGAUGUCAUGACUGCUCUGCUAGCCGCUCAAGAACAAUCAGCUACGGCUAUCCCUAUAGCCACAGCUGCACCGGUGACUACAAGCGUGCUCCCAACCACAUCUGCAGACGCUCGCUUUGCUAUGACAGCUGGGUUUCCGUAUGGGCUUCCACCGUUCUUCACUCCCAGUACUGCAGCUGGCGUUUCUGGUACUGUCAAUAAUGGCCAGAUUCCUGGGAAGAACCAUGUCUCUGUCAAUACCACCUUGCCUCAGACAACGGCCACUCUGGAUCGAUUGAGCUAUCGGGGAACUCCCUUGGGAAUGAGCACCUUUCUGGUUAAAGCCUUCGACGGAUCCCGUAAGAACAUUCUUGGGGAGAUAGAUCUGCCAAUAACUAUCUGUCCCGAAACCUUUCUGAUCACGUUCCAGGUCAUGGACAUCAAUGCUGCUCAGCUACCUCCGUCGUACACGUAUGCGCAAUACUCUCAGCAUCCCUUCUUUCCACCAUUCUAUCAUCAGUAUCCUUUGCCAUCGGGUCAACCUCAGGUACCCGUUAAUGCCGUCGUCCAGCGAAUGCAACAACAGCCUCCAGCUCAACAACGACAGCAGCAACAGGCUAGACCUACCUUUCCUCUGAUACCAAUGUUAUAUGCUGAAUUACUCCCGACUCUACUUCUCAAAGGGCACUGCACAACCAGACAGGGCAAGCCUCCACCUGAUCCAUCGCCUCCCAAGUUCCGUUCGGACCUCAAGUGUGAUUUCCAUCAAGGUGCUCUGGGUCAUGAUGUCGAAGGAUGCUAUGCUUUGAAACACAUUGUGAAGAAGCUCAUUAACCAAGGAAAGUUGACUUUUGAGAACAACGUCCCUCAUGUCCUCGACAACCCUCUUCCAAAUCACGCUGCUGUGAACAUGAUUGAGGUAUAUGAGGAAGCUCCCGGACUUGACAUCCGUAAUGUUACAACUCCUCUGGUGCCACUACACAUCAAGUUAUGCCAAGCCUCUCUGUUUGACCAUGACCAUGCCAAUUGCCAAGAAUGAUUCUGUAAUCCUUUGGGUUGUUGCGUUGUUCAAAAUGACAUCCAGAGCUUGAUGAACAACAAUCAUUUGACUGUCAGCGACGUCUGUGUGAUUGUGCCAGUCUUUCAUGAUCCGCCCGUCAAGAGCGUGCCUUCAAAAGAGAAUGUUGAGCCUCUAGUGAUAAGGCUGCCCGGACCAGUACCUUAUACUUCUACAAAGGCUAUUCCUUACAAGUACAAUGCCACAUGAAUCUUCUAUAGUGCUGGGUUUGCCAAUGCAAUUACUGAAAAGACGACUGGAUUUGAUCCUAGGCCUAUGUUUGUUAUACCAGGAGGCAUUGCGAGAAAUUGUGAUGCCAUCAACAUUCAUUCAAUCAUGCAUGUUUCCGAAUAAUGUGUCUUGUUGCUUAAGUGUUUUGUUUUUCAAAAUAACCAUCCUCUCGCUCUGCCCGAAGCGAAAGUGAUAUUUCUGGAAGGGCGUGUUUGUUUCGGCAUCGCCGUUAUUAACAAAAAUCGUCGUUUCUUUCACGACUUUUAUUUUUUUAGUGUUUUUUUUUUCUUUUUUUCUUGGAAAUAAUGGUAAUACCAGAAAAAACCAAAACAUCUUUAUUUUUCUUAUCAAUUUCAAAGAACUGCAUAAAAGAAAAAAAAAACCCUUUUCUAAAAUCAUUCAACCAUUCUAUGCAGUUUGAACCAUAAUAAACCCGUUGAACACAGUAAUCCUACGGUUCCUUCAAAUUUUGAAUUCCCUGUGUAUAAAGCCGAAGAUGAAGAGGAUGAUGAUAUACCAUAUGAGAUCACUCGACUGCUUGAGCAAGAAUCAGCCUAUUGUAUGGAACGAUGAAUGCCGGAAGCUUUUGAUAGCAUCAAGAAUUACCUGCUGGAACCACCUAUCCUUGUCCCUCCCGUGGAAGGAAGGCCUUUGAUUUUGUAUUUGUCAGUGUUUGAUGAAUCUGUGGGAUGCGUGCUUGGUCAACAAGAUGAGACUGGAAAGAAAGAACAUGCUAUCUACUAUCUGAGCAAGAAGUUCACCGAUUGUGAAACUCGGUAUACAAUGCUUGAGAAGACUUGUUGUGCUCUAGCUUGGGCUGCCAAACGCCUGCGUCAUUAUUUGGUGAAUCAUACAACUUGGUUGAUAUCCAGAAUGGAUCCGAUAAAGUAUAUCUUUGAGAAAGCUGCUGUUACUGGGAAGAUUGCACGCUGGCAGAUGCUUUUGUCUGAAUACGAUAUUGUGUUCAAAACUCAAAAGGCAAUCAAAGGUAGCAUUCUUGCCGAUCAUCUUGCUUACCAACCUCUUGAUGAUUACCAACCAAUUGAGUUCGAUUUCCCCGAUGAAGAGAUCAUGUAUUUGAAAUCAAAAGACUGCGAAGAACCGUUGAUUGGUGAAGGUCCAGAUCCCAAUAGCAAGUGGGGUUUAGUCUUUGAUGGUGCUGUCAAUGCUUAUGGUAAAGGAAUUGGGGCAGUCAUUGUAUCCCCAGGGGCAUCACAUUCCUUUUACCGCCCGAAUUCUGUUCGAAUGUACCAACAACAUGGCUGAGUAUGAAGCAUGUAUCUUUGGGAUCGAGGAAGCAAUUGACAUGAGAAUCAAACACCUCGACAUCUAUGGAGAUUCCGCGCUCGUCAUCAAUCAGAUAAAGGGUGAAUGGGAGACCCACCAUGCUAAGUUGAUUCCUUAUCGUGAUUAUGCGAGACGUUUGCUGACAUAUUUUACAAAGGUUGAGCUGCACCAUAUUCCUCGUGAUGAGAACCAAAUGGCUGAUGCUCUUGCUACUCUAUCCUCCAUGUUUCGAGUAAACCAUUGGAAUGAUGUGCCAAUAAUCAAAGUGCAACGCCUUGAAAGACCUUCACAUGUGUUUGCUAUUGGGGAUGUGAUCGAUCAGGCUGGUGAAAAUGUGGUUGACUAUAGACCCUGGUACUAUGACAUCAAGCAGUUCUUGCUGAGCCGUGAGUAUCCGCCGGGUGCUUCCAAACAAGACAAGAAGACCUUGAGAAGAUUGGUCAGUAGAUUCCUGUUAGAUGGAGAGAUUCUGUACAAGAGAAACUAUGACAUGGUAUUGUUAAGAUGUGUUGAUGAACAUGAAGCAGAGCAGUUAAUGCAUGAUGUACAUGACGGUACCUUCGGGACCCAUGCUACAGGGCAUACUAUGUCAAGAAAGUUGUUACGAGCAGGUUAUUACUGGAUGGCUAUGGAGCAUGAUUGCUACCAGUACGCCAGAAAAUGCCACAAAUGUCAAAUCUAUGCUGAUAAGAUCCAUGUGCCUCCGCAUGCUCUCAAUGUUAUUUCAUCCCCAUGGCCGUUCUCAAUGUGGGGCAUCGACAUGAUUGGAAGAAUUGAACCGAAGGCUUCAAAUGGUCAUCGUUUCAUCUUAGUAGCAAUUGACUACUUCACCAAGUGGGUUGAAGCAGCAUCUUAUACCAAUGUGACCAAGCAAGUGGUAGCUAAGUUCAUCAAGAACAACAUCAUAUGUCGAUAUGGUGUUCCCAGCAAGAUUAUUACCGACAAUGGUACCAACCUGAACAACAAUGUGGUGCAAGCUCUUUGUGAAGAAUUCAAAAUUGAGCAUCAUAACUCUUCUCCCUAUAGACCUCAGAUGAAUGGUGCAGUUGAGGCCGCCAACAAGAAUAUCAAGAGAAUUGUCCAGAAGAUGGUAACCACUUACAAGGACUGGCAUGAGAUGUUACCCUAUGCUCUGCAUGGCUACCGUACUACUGUGCGCAGUUCAACCGGGGCAACCCCUUUCUCUCUUGUAUAUGGUAUGGAAGCAGUUCUUCCUUUGGAAGUGGAGAUCCCGUCCCUCCGUGUGAUCAUGGAAGCAAAGUUAUCUGAGGCUGAAUGGUGCCAAAGCCGGUAUGACCAGUUGAAUUUGAUUGAGGAAAAACGUAUGGAUGCCAUGGCUCGUGGACAUUCAUAUCAAGCCAGAAUGAAGACUGCUUUUGACAAGAAAGUCAAUCCUCGAGAAUUCAAGGUAGGGGAACUUGUUUUGAAAAGGAGGAUAAGCCAGCAACCCGACCCAAGGGGCAAGUGGACGCCUAACUAUGAAGGUCCUUAUGUUGUCAAGAAGGCCUUCUCCGGUGGUGCUUUAAUCCUUACACACAUGGAUGGUGUAGAACUUCCAAAUCCAGUGAAUGCUGAUAUAGUCAAGAAAUACUUUGCCUAGAAAUAUGAAAAGAACAGCGUGGUAGGUCGAAAACCCGAAAGGGCGGCCUAGGCAAAAAUGCGCUUCCCGGUGGAUCGAAAACCCGAAAGGGCGGUCCAGGCAAAAAUAAGGGACAAAAAACAAAUAUGAAAAAGCUCGCUGAGAUUGUUCGCAACUCAGGCAAAAAUGAGCGUCUCGAUGAAUCGAAAACCCGGAAGGGCGGUUCAUGCAAAAAUGAGAUUGAAGCAAAAGGCAAGUAACUAUAUCUGGCUAACCACCGUCCCCUUGGGGCAUCUGCAGCUGUUAAUGACCAUCUUCAUCAAAAGCUCCUACACUUGCGAAUUCAAAGUUUCCAGGAAAUGUAAUGAUUACUGUGUUCAAUGUACCACCAACCAAUAAAAUUACCAUUUUCCAAGCUUUGUGAAUCCGUGGAGUCAUGCCUUUGGCUGACCACCACUCUUAUACAUCAAUUUGAGCCUUUGCUUUUGUUUGAAAACUCUAUUUUUUUUCCACUUUCAAAGCUAUAUACAAAACAUUUUCUUUCUAUUUUGAUAAUGACAAUGCUUGAAACAAACAUUUUGAAAAUUGAAAACUUUUUGUCUAUUUUGAAAAGCAAACCUGAGCAACAGGGUACAUUCAAAUGAAACAUGCAUGAGCGAGAGUAUGUUGAUGUCUAUUUCAAUAUAUGUUACAAGCAGGUUCUCCUCCGGGAUAGUCUGUGGUCAAUGGCAAGAAUGAAAAAACAGAAUGAAAAUGCAUGAAAAUAAAUGAGCUCGCUAAGUUGAAAACCCGAAAGGGCGGCUUAGGCAAAAAUGAGCACCCCGCUGGAUUGACAACCCGAAAGGGCAGUUCAGGCAAAAAUGGGGCAUUGAAAAGAAUUUAUCUCCCCGGUGGAUCGAAAACCCGAGAGGGCGAUCCAGGCAAAAAUGGGAUGCAAAAAAAUAAAAAUGAGAAUAUAACAUGCAAAAAGCAUUGACCACAGAUGCAAUGUCUACAACAUGCCCAGCACAACGGCAUUUUCCCCAGUCAGGUCUUCCAAGAUUCUAUCUCCAGCAAGUUGCAUAUCUACCUGCCCUCAGCCUAGGUCCCGAUACGUCUCCCAACGACGUCAUCUCCAAAGAGGAUUUCCAAGAAUGUGUAAUAUAGCACGAGCCACUACGUGCCCAAUACUCUAACGUCUUGUCUUCCCCGUGAAGUCGUGCCUACAAACUGCCAACAGUCAUGCAUUACAAGCAUUCAUACAUGCAUAAUCAUGCAUAUUACGUGCCCAUGCAUUUAAUGAAACUGUUAUAUCAUCCAUACAUAUUGCAUUUCCAAUAUCAAUAUCAGUCUCAAUUCAAAACUCAUGACAGGUCCUUUGUCAAAACCUUGUGAGCCAAUAAUAUCGGUCAAUUUCUACCUUUCAAAUCAAAUCGACGUCAAGUCAAUCUCAAUCUAUAUUUGGUCAAAUAAAAACCAAUCCCCAGUGAAUAUGUUUCUGUUCGGUCAAGUGGCUAGUUCAAGUCCAAGAACAGCUUGUACCUAUCAAUUUGCUUAUGUUGUCGGUCGAGUGCCCAGCUCAAUCCAAGAGCAGCUUGUACCUGUCUAUCUGUUUCUGUCCGGUGGAGUAACCAGUUCGCGUCCAAGAACAAGCUCGCACCUGUCUAUUUGCCUUGCUUUCAGUCGAGUAACUAGUUCGAAUCCUUAAGAACAACUCGUACUUGCCAAUUUUCUCUUUUUCCCAGUCGAGUCACCAGUUCGAAUCCAUAAGAACAACUCGCACUUUCCAAUAUCCCCAAGUGAGUCACCAGUUCGAAUCCAUAAGAACAACUCAUGUUUGUCCAGUAACCUCUAUCCCCUGCGAAGUGACCAGUUCGAAUCCAUAAGAACAACUCGCAGUUGUCUGUUUGUUUCAUCCCCGGUCAAGUGGCUAGUUUGAAUCCAAGAACAGCUUGUACCUGUCCAACUUGUUUCUAGUUUCCCGUUGCUCUGCUAUUCACUAUCUUUGUCAAUGUCUACCAAUCCCGCAAUGGAUACGACAUAUUUUGUUAAUUCCCAUCCCCAUGAGGUCUUGCAUUCAUAAUCCAAAUGAUGCAUGGCAUGCAUAUUAUUUGAAAAUGGGUAGGCGUAUUUUUACGUCCAAACACAGUGCAAAUGCUAAUAUUUAAGUAUCUUCGUCCUGUCAAGCCAAAGACUCCGUCUCUUGACUCUCCAGACAAAGAAACUUAAAUAGGGGCAGCUGUUAUACCCUGUUUUUGGACCUAAAAAUACUGGGCCCAAUUUCAUUUCAAACUUUGUCGAUUAUCAAAUUUCAACUGCACAGUUCAAAUUGUCUCUGCCUCGCAGUAUUUUCAAUCACAAUUUUACCUAUGUUUUUCUUGCAUAAAACCUUUCGAAAUGUCUUUACUUGUCUUGUAAGUCAUUCAAAAGUGUCUCUGAAUCAUUACAUUGCUUUUUCUACAGUUUAUUUCAAAAUUUGCAAAAAGUCAUACAGAAGGGUAUUUUGGUCAUUUCCUGCAGUGGGACCCAUUUUCAUCCUUGUGACUGUCUCUGAGUCUUUUCAGAUUACUUUUAAACAUUUCAUCAGUAAACUUUGUUAAAAUUCAUUUCAAACUUACAUCUGAGUCAGUGUCAAGUCAAUUUGAUUCAGUUUAGGUCGUUUUUAGCCCUAGGGGCAUUUUGGUCAUUUCACAUGAAAUUUUGGCAUGGGGAGGUUACUUUGAAGUACCUCAUUUAGGCCAUUGGUUCGUUUUAGUCCGUUUUGUCAAUUUUAUUUUUGUUUCGCUUUACGUUUGGUCAAAUUACGUUUUUUAUUCAAUUUCAUUUUUAAUUGCAUUUUGGUCCCUCAAUUGAGGUCCCAAAGUUGCAUUUUUAGUCCAGAAUUUUCUUUUUUUUACAUUUCAGUCCUUUUUUGGUCAAUUACAGUUUAGUCCUUAAGUGUUGUUUUUUGCAGAAAAGUCCAUUUUUUGUACAAGGCCGUGUCACUCUUUUUUUUCAGGUCCAGGUGUCACUUUCUCAUUUGUUCAGAGGCACACAUGUCAUGCUAUAAAAGGUGCACAGUGCCACACACGCCAACUCAUAAACACAAAUAAAAGUUUCUUUUUCUCAGCAACUGAAUCAAAAACAGAAAAAUUUCUCAGAUUCAUCAAGAACACCAAGAACAAAACCCUAACCGUUUCCAGAAAGUCACAAAUUCAUCAAGUUUCAGUGUUUUUCGUAUCAAUUCUCAGAGAUUCGUAUGAAUCUUCAUCACUGAAUUGAUUGAUUCUCUGCAAUUCCAAACGCGAGCUCGCAUCAAAGCAAGCUCAAGCGUUGAUCACAGAGAGCCUCUCGCAAAAAAAAAAAUCAAAGAAGCAAGUUCAAACGUAUAAUCAGAGAAAGAAUCGGAGAAGAUGAAGAAACCAAGCCAGUAAACCGAUUUAUUUUCGGUCCAGAGAGAAUCAAAGAACGUUCAAGUUUUCCAAAGAUUUUCUCCUUCAAGAAUCUCAACCAAAUUCAGGUAAAACUCAUUUUUCUCUCUUUAAAAAGUAUAAUCACUGUUAAACCUGCAAACAAGAUCCAAAAAAAAUUUCCAGAAUCAUAAAGAAAAUCAUAACCGUAAACACCAAAACACAAAUCCAUAAGGAUCCAAGUUUUGUAAGCAAGAACAAGCAUCAGAGAAGUAACAAAUACGAGACGAUGUAGAUCCUUAAGAGUAUUGAACGCACGCGUUCAAAACCCUAAAAAAAAAAAAUCAUUUCAAAACCGUUUGGAAAUUCUCCGAUCUACGUCGUUUCAAGCUUUAUUUGUGAAAAUCAAGGUCAGAUUCGUGUUUAGGGUUUAAAGGCGAACAAGAAAAGUGUAAAAAAUUGGAAUUCUGGGUGAUUUGCUCGUCGGAACCCUAACUUCUCACCGGAGAAGAUGAAGUUUCCGGUGGAACCUUCAUCUUCUCCGGCCAACAACCACCGGAGAGAGGUGAGCUGAGAGAGUUUAGAGAGAGAGGCUCUGAACUUAGAGAGAGAAAGAGAGUUUACAAAUGGAAAAAACCGGUGCCAUGCCUUAUAAAUAAGCUAGUGAACCGGACCGGUCCAAGACCGGUCCAGUCCCUUUGUUCCUGGCCGUUUGAUCUAGGGUUUCAGAACCCUGGAUCAAUCGUACGUCCCCUGUGCAUCCGGAUCUUUUGAGUGUGGGCUUUGGUCUGGGCUUAGUUUUUCUGUACGUUUUUUGCUAUUUCCUUGCUAUUUGCACUGCCUGUCUUUGCUACCUGCACCUAUGUCUUGAUUAAAAUUGUGAUAAAAUUCCUAGAAAAAUUAUCACAUGUUUCUUGAUAUUUUCUUAGUGUUUUUAUGACAUUUUUGAACAUUAAGGAUCUAUGAAAUUUUUGUAUAAUUAAUUCAUAGCAUUUUAAUUCUCUUUGAAUUAUUUGUUAUGGAUUCUUCUUCACACAUUUGUCCUUGAUGUGAGAAUAUGUGAUAAAAGCUACUUGAUAUGAUAAUAUGAGAGAUUUGUGCUUAUAAUUUCAUGUUGAUUUGCUGUUUUGAUUUGGUUUAUAAGUUCUUGAUUUUAUGAACAAUAUAUGCAUAUUUUGAAAGAUAUGAAAUGCCAAGUUUAUUCUAGAAAAUAUGGCAUGAAACCAUGCUUGCAUAUUUCCAAUAAUUCCAUGCUAUAACUUGAGAUAAAGAAAACUCUUUCAAAAUUUGUUAGAGCAUGAGAAUUAGAGGCCAAGAAUGCUUUAGGUUUCAUACCUAAGUUUUUAGGGUUUAAUGUCAUUUUGUUAACUUUUUGUGCCAUCUUGCAUGCUUUUAUUUCUUAGUACUUGUUAUGUUUUUUUCUUUUCACUAACAAGUUUAUUUCCAUGUUUCAUGCAUCUCAUUUAGCAUUCCAUCCACCUUCUUUAGUCUAGCAUUUAUUUUUGCAAGUUUUAAUUCAUUUUAGAGAUGUAAUUUACCAUUGGUUUGUAGCUUGGCAAAGAGGCCAUAGAAUGUAUUUAGGAAAUGUUGUAAUAUGGACUAUGGACACUAUGACGCACCGACACGCACACACUCACCUUAGAUGUAUGCAUAGGAUUGUAUGGUUAAAUAAGCGUUUAGGUUUUAAACACUUAGAGAAAAUCCAUCUUUUUUCAAAAAAAACAAUUGAACUUCACUUCAAGAAUUUUCAUAAUAAAUAUGAAGUCAACACUUCAUUUUUUCCCUUUCUUUUUUUCUUAAGGAAAAUUCAAUUCAUCUUAACCAUUUAGACUUUCUUUCUAAUCACUAAACAAACCCCCACUUUUUCAUACUCUAAUGCUCAUGAAGCCUCUCAAUCCCCUUCUUCAAAUCAUUUUCAAAAUUUAAAAUCAAACAAUUAAAACAAAAACAAGUUUUUUAGCAAGAACUACGAACGGUUUUGAUCCCUUAAAAGGGUACGUAGGCAAUGAGUCAAAACUCAUCCAAGCCGAAAUAAAAAAUCAAAGUCUUGCAACUUCUCCCCCCAUUCUUAACUAAAUAAACCUCCCAUUUUCAAAAGUAAGUAAAAAUAAGCGUGAAUAUAGACUUAGGAUAACGGCUCCUAUAGAGGACUAUAGUUACUCCGGGUGCCUAACACCUUCCCGUAGUAAAACCGACCCCCGAAUCCGGAAACUCAAGGGUUUUUCUCCUUUUACCCUUCCCAAGAAAAAAGAGGGAUAUCAACGGUCAAAAGGUUCAAGUCCAAUUAAUGGCUUGGCACCCAAAAACCAUGAUAACACCUGGCAAAUGUCCAUAUUUUUUUUUAAAAAAAUAUUAUUUUAAUGAAAACGUUUUUUUUUUAUUAAUUAAUAAAAUAUAUUUAAAUUAAUUUAAAAAUCGUUUUUUUUUUAAUUGUUUUUUGUAAUACAAUUAAAUGGUUAAAAAAUCAAUUUAAUUAAAAAAUAUAUAUUUAAAAAAUUAAUUUUUUUUAAAACACAAUUAAAUGCAUAUCAAUAAAGUUUAAUCACACAAACACUAAUAAAUCUAAUUAAAAUGCAUGAAAUAGAAAGUGUACUUAAUAAUAUUACAAACCGUGCAGGAAAAUAAAUAUUGUGCCGGGAAGCAUGGAAAACCUCCCAAAAUCAUACAAACCAUAAUAUAAUAGUAAAGAAAACACACAACAAGCAUCAUAAGCAUCAAUCAUCCAUCUCGAGGUCGUCGACAUCAUCAUCCUCUUCGCCCUCACCAUACACUUCAUAGGGGUCAUCCGCAUCAUCAUCACACACUGGAGGAGCCCUCACACUCUCUCGGCUUCCACUCUGCUGCCCAACACCUUGCUCAUUCAUAUUCCAGCCUUGCUCUUGCCUAAAUGUGUCCAACUGAGAGUCUAGGAAUUCUCGUUGCUUCCUAACCACCUCAUGGAUCAGGUCCUGCUGGGUUUGCAUAUGGGCAGCAAGCUGUUCUUGAGUCAACCUAGUGAUCAGAUCCCGCAUUUCUGGAGUGAGCUCAGGUUGCCGAGAAGAGCCCUCCCCAGCAUUAAGGGUCAACUUUAGAGUGGUAGCAACACCCUUGCGGUAGUUUCCAGCUAGGUUUCCUGCACCGUACAAUCGCCCCUUCUUCUUCUCACCAGCAACUUUCGUCCAUGCACGAAGUGUGAGAGCUUCAUCAACAGAGCAUCCACGGGAGAGCGCCUCCGAUAGCUGACGAUCAUACUCCUCCUAAAAUAAAUAAGAAUAAAAGUAGAAAAAGAUAAAUAAACAUUAACAAAAAAUUAUAACCACUAAUAAAAUUAAUUAAAAUAGACUUAGGUAACAAUUACCUGGCAUAUCUUGGAGCGAUCAUCAACAUACUGGCCUGAUCGAUAUGUGUGGGUCUUCUUGUGGAGCUCAUUUAUGUAUGGCUCCCUACCCAGCUUCUUUGCCUAAUUGACAAGAAACACAAUUAUUAAUUAGUUAGUAAAACAUUAAACUACAUUUAACCACAAAAUAUUUAAAAACAUACAUUCUAUAAAAUUAAUUAACAGAGUUAUUAUUUUUAAUUACCAGUCGACGGGCAUGCUCUGCUGUGCUUAUGCAGCCUCCCGUGUGGAUGCAUCCCCCUUUCUCUGAUGCUCUGUUCUUCUUUGCCUUCUCUGAUUUCGCCUUAAACUCUGGACUCCCCCAAUAGUCCACCAACUGCCUCAUAAGUGGCUCCCCGAUCCAGUAGGGCCUCUUUCCAGCAGUUUCGUGACGAAGUCGGACAUGUCGCAACAUGUCGGAGAGGCGGGCAGAAGCUCUAAUGUGAAAGUUCCUCCUUAUCUGAGCAUAGUACCUGGGGUUCCAGGUACACUUCAUCUGCAUAUUUGUUAACAUAUUUUAGGAAAUUAGUAAAUUAUAACAUAUGUGCAGAUAAGUUAAAAUAUAUUAUGAUAGGUAUUAAUGUUACCUCAAAAAGACCAAACCAUGCAUCCUUUUCAUCAUCUGGGAUAUCACCAUAAGUCUUCCAAAAUCCAUGAAACCUUCCCUGGAUGAUGUCUCUAAUGGCACUGGCGGCUGGCUUGCAGGGCAUGAAACUACAAACAAUAAAAACUCAUAUAGUUAAACAUUACAUAAAUUUAUAACAAUAUACAUAUUGAACAAAAAUACAUAAAGACUUACGAGUUCCUGCUAGGCACAAUGAUGUAACGCUCUUGUUCAUCUUGCGGAUAAUCUGCCAUCUCCUCAUCAUCAUCAUCAGCACCCUGUUGGGGUUGGGGUUGGGGUUGGGGUUGGGGCGGGGGUUGUUGAUGUUGGGGUGGCGGGGGUUGUUGAUGUUGAGGGAUCAUAAAGCCGGUCUGCCCAUGAGGAAAUGAUGGUGGAGGAGGCAACUGGUAACCUGUAGGGAGGAUAAAACCAACAGGUGCAUAGGCACUAGCUUGGGAUGACCCAGUCGAUCCCUGGCUAGAAGAAGAAGGUUGUCUGGGAAAGGGAGUCAGUGUGGCAAGUGUGGCUGGAUCCGCAAUGUGUGUUGUGAACCGCCUCCUGGGGUCCUUGCUCUUGCCUUUCUCUUUUUGUUUCGGAGGCAUUGUGAAUCUGUUAAAUAACAAAAAAAGUUAUAUUGUAAAGGACUCAAAUAUAUAUACAUCAUUAAAUAAGCGAUAUCUUCAUUCAAACUCAAAUGUAUUCAAGAUUACAAUAAAUUCAAAUUCAAUCAUUACAAGGGUGGAUAACAAUAUACUUCAAGUGUUGUUAUCAGACGCAUAGUUAUAUUCAUCUACAUCACCAUCAUCAACUUGAUUGUCUUGCUGGUCCCCUUCAUUAUUAUCAUCAACAACGUCUUCAUUCUCAUCUUCAACUUCAUCACGCAUCUCCAAAAUAGAAGGAUCAACCUGAUCCCCUUCAACGUGAGAGUCUUGCCAACUUGUCACUUGAUCUACUUCAAUUAUCUCAUUUACAUGUGUCAUAUCAUCGGCUUGGUAAGCAACUUCUUCGUUUGGUUCUUCAGUCUCGAUGCGGCCCCUCGGUUUUGUUUUGAUUGCAACAGACCAACCUCGUUUGCGUGGUAGAGUUGGGGGAUAAGGAACAUAGUACACUUGCCUAACAUUGUGUGCCAUGAUAAUUCGACUUAUGAGAUAAAAGCCACACACACAUAGAUAGCUUAGAGUGCGAAGACCCUUCAUACAAAGGUGUAUUACUUUCACUCAACAAUCGGUAAAAUCUUUGCGCCUUCUCAUUCGGGGGUUGUUCCUCUUCAUCAUCUUCAACAUCUUCACCGUAAGACAAUUCCACCCCUAAAGCAUCCGCAACCAUAUCAUCCAUCAUGUUGAAUUGUUCUGUGUUGACAUCUUCAUUGUAUUCCACAUUUGUUUCCACAUUUGUUUCACCAUGGCUAGUAGAAGCUUGUGCAUUGACCCCUACCCCAAAAUUCUGAAACAUUUCACCAUUAUAUGUCCAAACCCAAUAAUUAGGCAUAAAACCAACUUUUUUUAGGUGUUUCUUCACAUCUCCAGGAUCGGUAAUUAUAUGUCUACACCUACAUUUUAGACACGGACAUCUAAUUCCUCCCUCAUCUCUACAUAUUUCUUGCUCCCAUGCCCAUGAAAUAAAUCCGUCAACUCCUUCGACAAAUUGCGGUUUUAGUCCAGUUCUUCUCGGAAACGUCCUAUCGUACAUCCAACGACGAUAAUAUUCAUAAUACUCCAUCUUCUACACGUUCCGCAACUUCAUUGACAUAUUCCACGUCGUCAAAAAUAAAUUAUUACUCGACGGAGAUAACUAACAUUACGCGCAAAAAAAAAAUCCCGCUCAAACAAUAAAAUAUAAGUUUACGCGCAAACAAAUUAAAUUUUUAACUCGCAAAUUAAACAUAUAAUAAUUAAUUAUUAAAUAAUUGUAACAUAGUUUUAAUUUUCAUCGAUAAACAACUUUCUUGUACUAUACUAUUUUUGAGUCCCUCCUUUUUAAACAAUAUGCAUUAUUAUAUUAUAUUGUUUUAUUUUAUAAAAAUAAUAAUUAUAACAUUUUAGACACGAAUAUCAAACAUAUUUUAAUUUAUUAAAAAAAAUUACAUUUUAACAAAGUUUUAAUUUUAAAAAAAAAACUGAUUUUUAAUACACUAUUUUAAUAAAUCGUUUUCCAAGAACUUUUUAGUGUAGUAUUUUUUAUGUAGUAUUUUUAUUUUCCUACGCUUUAAUUAGUUUUAAUUUAUAAAAAUAAUAAUUAUAACAUAAUUAUAAUUUCAAUAUAAAAACAGAUUUUUAAAUAUAAAAACAUAUUUUAAUUUCAUAAAAAACAGCAUUAGGAUUAAAAAUCUGUUUUUAUAAUUUAAAAACUGGUUUUUAUAUGGUAUUAACUAAACUAAAUUAUAUUUAUAAAAACCAGUUAUUAAAAUUUUAAAAAAAUAUAUAUUUUUAAUAACAGAUUUAGUUUAACAAACAAUUUUACUUUUAAAACAAUAUUCCCUUAUUUUGUUAUUUUAAAACAGUACCGAAAGGUACACUUGCUAAAAUUAAUUAAAUUUGUCCUAUUUUUCUUUCUUAUUUUUCUUUUAAACAAUUAAAUAAGUUUAUUAUUUAAAAAAAAUACAGAAUAUAAGCAAUAAGUGUUUGACCAUAUUUUUUUUAACAUUCUACUACAACAUACAUAUAUAUUACAUUUUAUAAAAAAAAAAAAAAAAAAAAGACAGCAUGCAUAUAUUUCAUUUUAUCACAAUAAAAACAACAUGCAUAUAUUUCAUUUCAUCACAAAAAAUAAACAUGCAUAUAUAUAUUUCAUUUUAUCACAACAAAUAAAAAAACAUGCAUACAUAUAUAUAUUUCAUUUUAUUACAACAAAUAAAAAAACAUGCAUACAUUUCAUUUUUUCACAAAAAAAGCAUGGAUAUAUUUCUCAAAUUCGAAUAAAUAAACCAACAAUAUUCAUGCAUAAUAAUAUAUAUGAAGAAAAAAAAAUUUACAUGAUUAUAUUAAAUAUUUUAAAUUUUCGGAAAAAAAAAAAUACCAAACAGUCAUCAUAUAUUUUUACAACAUAUCAUCAAAAUGUAUAAUUUUUAGGCCAAAAAAAUUACCAAACAGUCAGCAUAUAUUGUUAUGAGGAAAAAAAAUCACUAACUUGUUGAAGCUUUACACUAGAAGAUCUCCAAUGCAAUCCAAAAACAACAACAGUUGAAGCAAUAACUGACCACAGGAGGCAGAUAAGUAACACAACUGCAAAUAACAUAGAAAAUAGAUAAGAUUAAUAGGUGUUAAAAAUUAAUAUCAUGAUAAAACAUAUAAGAAAUGAAGUAUUUUUUACCAAAGAAAUGAAGUUUGAUGAAAGUGUUGAGUUUUAAGAGAAGAAAAUUUUCUAACUUGCUUCCCUGAGACCGGUGCAACUCUUAUAUAGGGAGGGGAAAAAGCCACGGCUUCUGCGACGGCCUGACCCCUGGUUUAUCCGGUCAAAUCCUACCCAGCUAGGCGCAGCGAUAGGGCACAGAACGGCUUGCAAAAAGCCACGGAUUUAUGCAAUUUCCGACGGGUUCUGCCCCUGGCAAGCCUGCAGCACAUCACCUUUCCCAGGCCCUUGUCAAGUCAACUGAAAAAGCAGCAGGAAUCUUUGAAAACGCGUGCAUCCGAGGGGCUUUCCCUCGCAUAAGCCCUCGGUUUUUUUCUGAAAUUGCAGAAUUUGCACAGCUUUUGAAAUUUCAAACUGGCGCCUAAAUGUUUGCCACGGCUUUGGACAAAAAACGAGGGGCAAAGUCCCUGGCUUUUUUGCCAGCGGUUGUCCCUGGCAUUUUCCCUGGCAAAUUUGCCAGGGGUUUCAAACCUUGACAAAAUCCCUGGCAAAACGCAAUGUUUCUUGUAGUGUUUUGGAGAUGAAAAUAAAUGGGGAAGCACGUGUCAAAUUGCUCCGUAUGCCUUUAACGUGCAUGCCUUGUAUCCACAUAAUCAUCAUAUUUAUAUUCAUAAUAAAAUGCAUGUGUCCUUUCACUUCUUGUAAAUUGUUUAAAAGAAGACAAUUGAUAGUUAAACGUAAAAACCUGUACAAUUGCAUCAAGUUUCUAAUGCAGUAAAUAAAAAAGUUCAUCCAUGAUGAUUUUCAAGUUUUUUUUCGUGAAGGAUAUGGAUCUGUAGUCUGUAGGACAAGGUUUUACAACUCGAGAGUUUACCUCAACUCGUUUUAGCUAUGUAAACUCGAAUCGUAAACUCGUACGAGUUUACCUAAAAUUAAAAUUAUAUAAAAUUUAUUAUAUAUAUAGCAUAUUUAAGCUAAUACAGUAUUUAAACAAAACAUAACCAAUUAACCACAUUUAAAUAAUAAACUCUAACAAUAAAAAACAAAAUUUAUCAGUACAUUUAAACUCUUUUUCAUCUUCAGUUGUAACUUUAACUUCAAUUGUUUAAUUUUCUCAUUUAAAUACUUGAGCAAGUAAUAUAUUUGAAUGAUGUCAAAUCAAUAAAUAAUAACAAGCUUCUGAAUGCAUUCCUUAAAAUUCAAUGUAUGUCGUUGUCACGCAUUGGCGUAGCUUCUAUACAUAACAAGCAUGGAAAAACCGAGUUAUGUUAACCGUAAAGGCAACAUUUCAGCACCUUGGGAUUGAAAAAAGAAUUGAAUUUUGAAAGAAAAUGAAACAAAAAAAAAAUAACCAAAAAUAAAAAAUAAAAAAAUUCAAAGGUAAAUUCGUAAACUCGGACGAGUUUACUCCGAGUUUACACGAGUUUAACACGUGUUAACUCGGUCAAACUCGUCAAACUUUCCGAUUUCAUCAAAAAUCGAGUUUACCUCCGAGUUAACACGUUUUUGCCACCUAAAAACGUAAAUUCGAACGAAUUUACGUGUUAACACUCGAUUUGUGCAACAGUGCUGUAGGAAAGCACGUAUCAAAUUGCUCCAGAGGCCUUUAACGUGCAUGUCUAUUAUCCACACAAUCAUAUUCAUAAAGAUGCAUGUUUCGUUUGACUUCUAGAAGUAGUAAUAUAAACAAAUUGUUAAAGAGAGCCCCAAGAAAAGUGACUGAUAAUGAUAUAUAAUAAUGAAAUCAAUCAUUUUGGCAACAAUAAAGUCGAUUGUUUGUUUGUGUAUAUGAUGAUGUGAAUGUGAUACUAUGUGGGACUAGUUUUGCUUAUAGUCAUGGACAGACAUGAGUACUAGCUUGGGAGGGUCCUUAUCGAUCGGAUACAUUUUCCACAGUUCUAGCUUGUGAGUACAUGCAUAGUGAUUAACGGACAAAUGAAAGGACAAAUGUCACUCAUUAUAGGCAUGGACCUAUCUAUCUAAUAUAUGUUUAAUUUCAAAAUAUUUUCUGAUGAAAAUAUUUUAUUUUAUGCUCAGUGUUAUGUAGAAAGUGUCCGUGGUAUGGUUUGCAUGCACGUCAAUAUGGUUAUGAAUGUGUUUGUCAAAAUAUGCAUUGACCUUUCCGCCUCUAAAUUCUAUUUCAAAAUUUCAAACGGUAUACAUUACUUUUGGAAGAAAUAAUAUUUGUAUAACUAUUUUUGUACAACUUCUGUAUAACUUUCUCUCUCAUACUUGCAUCAUCUUCUAAUUCUCUUUUUUCUUUUUUCUCUCUCCAUUGUUUUUGACAAAUGAAAAGAUAGCACAACAAGGUUGUCCCAAAAGUUGUAGUAAAAAAAUUGUUCAAAUAUCAUUGCUCUUUUGGUCAUUUUUUUUAUGUACUAUUAUUGUUAACUUUUUACUAAUAUUUAAGAGUUUAACUUGGUACUUAUUUACUACUUGAAGCAAUAACUUGAUACAAAAACAAUUCAAUGAUUUUAAUGUUUUAAUAUAACAAUUUAUUGAUUUUCUUUUUUUAUUCAAAAAUCAUCAACAUUUAUUUAUAUAUAUACAAAAAAAAAAUUAUUAACAUGAGUGGAAAGACAAACAAAAACAAUAAAUUAUGUCGUUAAAUCUUUUUGAAUGGCAAAACUAAUCAUCGUAAACACUCAUUCAUAUACUGAAGUGUGUUUUAUCCAUACUACAUAAUUUAGUGAGAGAGAUUGCAAAUGUCAUAUUGAUCACUAAGUGAUGCUUUCAAAAAUUAGAUAUUAUAUAGAUAACAUAGAAUACUCAAAUCUACGUAAAUAUUUGGAUUUUAAAAUUAAGGGUUAAAUAUGUUUUUUAUCCCUAUAAAAUAUACAAAAUUUUUAUUUUAGUCUCCCUAAAAACAUUCUUCAGCUUUUCGUCCCUAUAAAAUUUUUAAUCACCAUUUUUGGUCCAUAUAUUUAAGUCGAUUCAUGUGUAGCUUUUUUUUAAAGACGUGUAGCAUUUGUAUUUUUUUUAAUGAAAUUGUGUAAAAUAUAUUAAUAUUGUAAAAAUCUCCAAAAAAAAAAAAAAUUAGAAUUUUUCAACAUAACAUGAAUUAAAUAUAAAUUUUUAACCGCCAAAAAUAUAAAAACUUAUAUUUAAUUCAUAUUUUGUUAAAAAACUCCAAUUUUUUUGGAGAAAUUCUUAUAAUGUUAUAAAUUUUUCAAAAAUAUAAAUUCCACAUGAGUAUACUUGAAAAGAUGGACCAAAGGUGAAGAUGGAAAACUUUUAAGGAAUCAAAUAUCGAAGAAAAUUUUUAGAGAGACUAAAACAAAAAGUUGAUAUAUUUAUAGGAACCAAAAACAUAUUUAACCCUAUAACUAAAUAUAAAAUUACAUAGAAGAAAAUUAUUAAGUAUGUAUAUAUUUCCCCUAAAAAAAGGUAUGUAUAUUUGAUUUGAGGGUGUAUCUAUAUAGGGUCGUUCCUAUGAAAUUUGUGGUCCGGUUCUUAAAAUAAAGAGAGGCCCCUAAGAAAAAAAACUCAAUUUUUUUUAAAGAGAAGAAAAUGUUUAUAACGUUUGUUUUGUUUUAUUUUUUACAAAAAUAAUUAUAAUUUUGAUAGAGCUUUAUUAUUUUAUACUAUAAGUUUGGGCGAAAAAAUAACAUGAAUAAAUGAAAAGAUAAAAAAAAGAAGGUUCUAAUAUGUUUGUUAAUAAAACAGACCCAAAAAAAAAAUUAAAAGAAAAAAACAUUAAUCCUAGUGGAAAUCAUGGGAUGAUCAACACAAAUUGCAACCGUUAGACAAAGUGACGGGCGUCACCGAAAAUGACCAGCAGACCGUCGGAAAGUAUGACGGUCGUCACAAACGAUGACGGUCAAUCCGUCGUUGACUUUUGGAAAAAAAAACUCUAAUCCUCUUUCGAACGAUUGAAACUUAUUGAGUUAGCUUUCCAGUGGCUUUGGUUUGACGUGAAAAUGAUUUUUGGUUCUUGAGAUAUGAUGAAAAUACUCCAAGGAGGUCUUAGUGAAAUAUUGUGAAAAUUCAGCAUAAUCGUUUCUAAGUUAAUCCAAAACUUAUAGAAUAAAUCCAAACCUCAAAACUAUAAGUACUAGGAGUUUAAUUAAGGGGUUUAAGAGUAUUUAACCUAUGCGGUGAUGGAUCUAAUUUGGUUUGAUGUGAAUAUCUUUGUUGGAUGAUUUAAUAUCUAUAUGAAUGUAUAUGUUGAUGAAUAUGAUUUGAUGUUGAUGGUAAUGUAAUAUAUUUGUAUAUGCAUUAUGUGAAUUAUAUAAGAUGUUUAAGUUGUUGUUUGAUAUUGUUGUAUCUUGAGAUGUUUACGUGCUGCCUAUGUUGCUGUUGUGGGUUUUGUGAAAUAUUUAUAUGCCUUAUGUGGAAAAUGUAUGAUGUUUAAGUUGUUGAUGCUCUUCAUUAAUAUUGUUAUGUUGUGAACUGCUUGUGCUGUUUAUGUUGCUGUUGCAUAUUGAUCAAGUUGCAGGUAUUGGUCUAAGUUGUAAAGUCGUAAGUUGUUGUUCCAAAGUAUUGGAGUCUUAAGUUGUGAUGUUGUCCAAGUUGUAAGUUGUUGAGUCCAUGCAUUUUCAUUUGCAUUUCAUAGUUGGGGGCUUACUGCUCCGGAGCUUUGUACUCAACACGAUGAAGCUUUAGCUCAAUAGUGAUGGGGGCUUACGCCUGACAAUAUAUUAAUACUAAUAACGAUGAUUUGGUACCACAUGCAUAUAAGAGGUCUAAGUUGCAUAGUCGCAUUGUUGAGUCAAAGUCGUUGUUGAUGAGUUGUCAUCCAUGAGUCGUUAAAUUGUUGAGUUAUCUUCUACCCAUGUGUUGUUAAUGAAGUGCUUAUGAAGAUUAUAUAAUGUUAUGAUGUUGUUUAUGAUGUUGAUUAUGAUGUUGUUAUGAUGCUAUAUGAUGUUGUUUAUGAUGUUGUUAUGAUGCUAUAUGAUGUUAUUAUGCUAUAUGAUGUUGAUUAUGAUGUUGUUAUGUUGUUUAUGAUAUUAUUUAUGAUGUUGUUUAUGAUGUUGUUAUGAUGUUGUUUAUGAUAUUGAUUAUGAUAUUGUUAUGCGAUGAUGUGUAUGAUGUGAUGAUUUAUGUCGAUUAUGAGAUGAUGUUUAUGAUGUGUUGUUUAUGUUGUUAUAAGAUGAUGUUUAUGAUGUUAUAUGAUGAUGGUUAUGAUUUGAUUAUUAUGUGCUAUAUGAUGAUGUAUAUAAUGCGAUGAAUAUGAAGUUAAUAAUGAUUAGAAGUUGAUUGAGCUAUUAAUGAAGUACUAUAUGAAUUAUUAUUAUUAAUAAUUGAUGAUGUUUAAAUUGUUAAAUGCUUUGGAUGAAUUAUAUGCUUAUUAUUAUUGAAUGUGAAAUCUCACCCCUUCUGUUUAAAUGUUGCCCACCAUGGGUAACUUGCAGGUAACCAAGAAUAGUUGAUGUCGUGUGAGAUUUCUCUCUCGUGUGUCUUAGGUGCUCUGAUACGUAACGGGAUGAGAUUUUGUUGUUGCUUUCUAUUCCUUACGUAUUAUUUUAUGAAUUAUCAUGAACAUGUUGUCGGAAGAAUUUUAAGAGAUUUUAUGUUGAGGUCCUUGUGCCAAAGUUGUUUAAAAGUUGAAUAAUUUCCGCUGCGAAGUAAUAAAUAUUAUGACGUUAAAUUUUGAAGUAUAAAUAGUUAUUUUAUUCCGUUUAUGAUUUUAAGAAAAGAAGUGUGACAUUCCGUUUAUGUUGAAAUACUCUGAUUUAUAUGUGAAAUUUUUAAGUUGGGAAAACAGGGUGUUACAAAAACCGACGAACAGGCGGUUUUAACAAUCCGGACUGGUUUGAUGCUGAAGCAGUAAUUUAAUUAAAUGGGUUAAUUAAGUAUUUGGUCCCUAUAAAUAUCUGCAGUUUUAUUUUUAGUCCCUAUAAAAUUAAAUCACACUUUUUAGUUCCUACAAAAUUUUCCGUUAGUGUUUUUAGUCUCUGUUAAAUUAAAAUUUGUUUAAUUAUGCUUAAAAUUUGCUAGUUCGAAUCCCACUCAAGGCAAAUUGGAAUUUUUUUUAAAUAAAUAUAACACGCGCCCUUGUUUCUGUUCCAAAAAAAAACCAAACAAUUGUUGACCCGGCCGGUUUUCUUCAAUCCUUCGAGUCGCCGGUUUAAUCCGGUUCUGGCCGAGUUUGACCGGUUCACAACGGUUCAAUGACAUAUCCGAUCCAAUAAGUGGACCGGACCGGCUAACCAUCUGGUUCACGGUCGGACCGGUUCGACCGGUCCGGUCCGGUCUGAGUUUUAAAACUAUGCCCCCUGCCACCCCCCAGUUCCGUCACUGGAGAGAGAGAGAGAGAGAGAGAGAGAGAACCUGCGAGUUCUGCGUUUUGAACUAUGAAGAUUGGUGAUGUUCUGCGAUCACGAAAAUAUGAAUCAGCGAUUUGUGUAUUUUGGACGAUGAUGACGUUGUUUUGAGUGUUUACAAUUGGGUUGAAAAAAAAUUCCCAAAUCCAAAAACCCUAACAUUGAAGAUUUGAAACACGAGAGAGAGAGAGAGAGAGAGAGAGAGAGAGAGAGAGAGAGAGAGAGAGAGAGAGAGAGAGAGAGAGAGAGAGAGAGAGAGAGAGAGUCUGCGAGUUCUGCGUUUUGAACUAUGAAGAUUGGUGAUGUUCUGCAAUCACGAAAAUAUGAAUCAGCGAUUUGUGUAUUUUGGACGAUGAAGACGUUGUUUUGAGUGUUUACAAUUGGGUUGAUUUUUGAACGAUGCGAGUUUGAGCUAUUUGUAUUAGGGAACUUUUCCCUCCUUAACUUUUAAGAGAAGAGCAAUGCUAAUGAGCAUAGUUUUGAAAACCGGACCGAACCGGCCGGUUGGACCGGUCCGACCUGGAACCGAUGGGGUGGCCGGUUCGAGUUGACAAACAGAUCAGCCAUGCUUUCAAAACGUUGUGACUCGGCCAAACCCGGUGAAAACUGUAACGCCUUCUUUGAAUUAUUUGAUUGUUUUAAUAGGUUUAGAAUAUAUUUAUAUGAUUAUGUGAUUUAUUAAGUAGCUUAUUUUAGUAUUUAUGUGAUUUAAAUCAUUAUGUGGUGUGUCGUUAUUUUAUUAAGUAGUGUUAUUUUAUUAUUUAAUACAAUAAGUCUUGAAAAUAGAAAUAAGAUUAAGAUUGUGGGGCUGUUUUGAGAAUUUAGAGAGUUUAGUGGAUUAAGUGGAAAUAAGAUUUGAAAAUAAAAUAAGAUUAAGUUGUGAGGGCUGUUUUGGAAACUAGAAGAGUUUAGUGGAAUAAGUGGAAAUAUAUGUAGAAAUAUUAUGUUAUUUGUUGUAGAAAUAUAUGUUAUUUGGUGAAGAAAUAUUAUGUUAUUUGUUGUAGAAAUAUAUAAUAUUAUGUUAUUUGUUUUAGAAAUAUAUGUUAUCUUGUGUAGAAAUAUAUGUUAUUUGGUGUAUAAAUAUAUGUUAUCUAGUGUAGAAAUAUAUUUCUUAUUUGGUGUAGAAAUAUAUAUGUUAUAGAAAUAUAUUUGUUAUAGAGAUAUAUUUGUUAUUCGUUAUAGGAAUAUUUUGGUAGGCAAUCUAAUAUCUGCAAGUUUGGAAAUCUUUAAGCGUUAAUACUAUAUACUUAUUCCAACCUGCAUUAUAAAAAUAAAAAAAAUAUUUGGGCCCCCAAAUUUUGGAGACCCGAUUCUAUAUAGCUACUUGCACCUCCCAAGGUCCGGCCCUAUAUGUAUAUGUAUGAAAGUUCCUAACUUGCUCUUAUCUAAAAACAUAAAAGAGUAAGUUAGCAAUCUACUAUCACUUACUUUUAAAAAUGAAGACAUUUUCUACUAUUUUAAACUAGUAUUAAUUAAAGGUUACUAUUCUCAAUUUCACUUAUUUUAUUUAUUUUUUUUAACAAAAAAACAGAAACAACAACCGUUUUUUCUCCCUAAAAAAAAAAAAUAAACAACCGUUUUUUCUUGGAUUUCAAAAGCAAGUGUCAAUGGCUAGAUAUUUCAUAAAAACAACAAGAUUUGAUUAGAUACUUAAAAACUCGAUAACAUAAAAAAAUUGAGAAUUAGAAUCAGUGGUGGAGCCACACUUGUAUGAGAGCAUGCAGCUGCAUCCACUGAAUUCUUGAAUUUUAAACCAAUAAUCUUAAUUUAUUCUACUUUAAUCCCUUGAACAUAUAGUAUUGCACCUGAGCUAACACAUAUUCUAUAAUCUCAAAGAACUUACUUUUUUUUUACGUGGUUUUUAUAAAUUAAUUGUAACGAAACUUAGAAAUGCAAGCCUGGAAGAACGAACUCAUACAGUUUUAAUGGUUCGCCGUUAUCAAGUCUUCUACCACUAAACCAAGUGGAUGGAUGUAAAUCAACCACACCAAUAAAAUAUAUAACAUAAAAACAAAAUUGUUACUGGAUUACAGUCGAAAAAUCGGUUGAGCACACAAUGCAUGGUCUUUUCUUCUAAUCGAAUUUUUUCCAUAAAAUGGCUUGGACAUGAAUGUAACCCGAUUUUAAUUGGGCUGAAAAUCUUAGACUUUUUGGUAAUGGCCGGAGUUUGAACCUCAAACAUCGCAUAUAUUAUGUAUUGUUCCUAUCAAUUGAGCUAAACACACGAGGAAAAAAAAUCUUAGACUUUGCCAAUAGGUAAAAGAGCCUCAUGAAAUUCACAUGGUUUUUAAUAUUUCUAUUACAAUUGAAGAUUGUGAAAACUAAAUUUUAGCAUCAAAUAUGGUAUAAAUUGAUGAACGGUUGUCUUGUGGUUUAUAUUAAACGAGAUCUAUCCGGCAACAUUGAUAAUGAGUUGAUUAUUCAACAAUUUCAUAACAUAACAUCGCGUAGAGGAGAAUUGUAAAGUAUGUGUAUAAAUUUUUAGAUACAUUGUAAUUUUUUUAGGGACUUGUUAACGAGUGUCGCCAUACAUUUUUUAAGCAUUUUAAAAUAAACAAUAAUUUUUUAAAAAGUCAAAUAUUUCAAUUCCCAAUGCAUUAAUUACAUAUUUUUUUCAUAAAUAGUUACUCUUUAUAGUCCUUAACGUGUGCCUCCGAGAUGCUCGUUAACAUUCAUUUUUUUAAUAUUUAUUAUUUUUAUACAUAGUAAUAUUAUAUUCGAAUAUGAGUUGUUACAUAUUGAUUUUUCACAAGCUAUGGAUUUAAGAAGCACUCCACUAACAUAAAUUGAUCCUUGGUCAUCAAUACUUCACUAAAUGCAUGUUUUUCAUCCUUCCUUCAUAUUCUCUUGAUCUUAUCCUAUAGUCCUAAGAAGAAAACAGUAGCUCUCAAUUUAUUUAAUAAAAUAAAACUAAAAUAAAAUAUAACUAUAAAAUAGAUAAAUAAAGAUGUUAUCAGUGUCCCGGGACCUUGGUCUCUCAAAGGUGUAUCCUAUCCUUCUCUACUGGUAGUAGAACAUGGGUGUGGAUAGUGCCUUAGGCCUUUAUUGGGCCUCUUGCUCUGUUGUUGUAUGAUGGAUUGAAACUAUGUAAAGAGCUUUUAUCUUAGACUAUUACUUUUUUCACCCUAUUCAUUUCUCGUGCAUCUUAUUUUUUUCGAAAAUACACAGGUGAUUUUUGGAUUUUAAAAUUCGAACUGUGUUUUUCCUUUGUUAUGGAAACAAAAAAAAAAAUAAGUUUUUCACCAAUUCGAAUAUUAUAAUCCAAAAACCUAAAACAAAUAGGGCGUGUUUCUUACUUUAUUUUUUCCGGAUAAUCACAUUUUUUAGGGAAAAAACAGUUUGGAUUAUAUUUUCUGAAUUGUAUCAGCACAAAUUAUGAGCCUGUUUGUAACAUGGAUAACUGGUUGAAAGACCAUAUUAAUCUUCCUAACUCAUAUCCUUCUCUUUUAGGUCAUUGUUAGUUGUUUUUAGUCAAAAAUUUGAUUUUCAGACUAUUUGAUCAGAUUGCUCCGAAACUUCCCUCGAAAAUCAGAAGAAAAAAAAAUCAAGGAUCAAGACUCUUGAAGAAGGGACUUCUUAGAGACACUACCCCUGGAAAUUCAAAAUUACAUCAUUUAGACCUAUUUUUCAUUUUUUUUUUUUAUAUUCUCCGAAUUUUUUUUAAAAAUUUCCAUUAAUUUUAUUUGAUUUUUAGAAUUUUUUGAUGGUAUUUUUAUGAUUUUAUUUGACAAGUUUUUAUCAUUUUUUAAUUUGUUUUUUGUAGGGGUUUUCAAAAUCAAACCAAUCCAAUAGAAAAACCACAAACCAAACCAACAGCAACCGCAAAAAAUCGCAUUUGGUUCGGAUGUAUUCGAAUUAUUUUUUAAUUCAACCGCGUGGUUUGAUUCAAUUUGCGGUUUUUAUUUUACCAACCUAAUCAAUCUAAACCAAACCGCAACAUAAGAAAAACACUAAUUAGUAAAAUAACGAAUCUAUGAGGCAUAGCUAAAACAAGGAAUCUCAAUUUCUCUUUAUGGACUUGGUAAAGCGAAUGAUAUUUUGACUCUACAACUAUUUUGCCAAUUUUAUAUGAAUAAAAUAUAUAUUUAAUCUGGAAAUAAAAGAUAGAUAAACAUUUGUAUAAUCAUUUUGUUGUGACAAUUUUUAAACAACACUCUCUCUCAUAUUCAUAUUAUAUUUUUAUUCUAUCUCUUUCUUUCUCUCUCUAUUAUUUCUGACAAAUAAAAGGGGAUAAAAAAAAGAUUAACACAAAAAUUAUCAUAAAAUGGUUGUUCAAAUAUCAUUAAUCUAAUUGGUUAUAUAUAUGUUCCUCCAAGAACAGAAUCACUCCCCUAAAAAAAAAAAAUUAGAAUCACGUCUUGUAUUAUAAAAUAUUACUACCAUAAGCUAGCACCUAUUGAAAAAGGGAGUUUCUAUGGUACAAUCUAAAAUUAAGGUGUACUGAUACACCUGUUUUAUAAAUUAAUAAAUUGACCAUCAUUUUUAUAUAAUAAAGAACUAUUUAUCGACUUUUAUAUUUUUAAAAACAUAGUUUCAUAAGAAAAAAUAUGAUUUCAUUGUUUAUAAGAAUCAUACUAAAUUUUUUAUAUGUUAUCGUAAAAAAUAAUAAAUAUUCACUAUUAUAAGGAAUAAAAUUAUAAAAGAAAAAAUCUUCACCAUCACUUUUGAUAAAUAAAAUUUAGUUAUUAUGAUUAUAAAUGAAACAAAAUACUAUUCUUCUAUAAAAAAAAUUAUUGAAAGAAAAUGUUAACCGAUGCCCUCAAAAUUGUCAUUGAAAAACUCAAAAUUAUUGAAAGACAUAAAAGCUAUUUGAACCCAAUUACAACCGAAAAACAAUACAAGAUAAAAAAAUAAAAAUAAAAAACGUAUAUAUCUUGGCUCUCUUCUAAGCUUGCCUCUUUUUUUGACUAAAAAAAAAAAGUACACAUCUUAUACAAACAUUCUAAAGGGUUAACACAUAUCACCUAUUAAAAUUCACUAAUUAACCUUACCCUUACUAUCAGGCCAAGACUCUGGGCAAGCGCAAGCGAACUACUGGACCUCACAAUUUUAGGAGCUUCAAAUUUUUUAUUUUUUAAUAUAGCAUACAAAAAUGUUAAGUAUAUAUAAUAAAAUAUAAAAAAUAAUAGACACUUUUUAAUGGUUUGGUAGUAAAAUAGAAUGCAUUUGAGUUUUUAGUCUUUAGGUUUAAUCCCAAGUAUUAGUGUGAAUUUGAACUAAAUAUAAAAGUCUCAAUUAUAUACACAACUAUUAGAUCAUUACAAUUAUUUUUUAUCAAAUUUACAAUUUAAUAUGCAUUUCAGAGUUAUCUAUGAAUAUAGAAAACUAAUAUAUACCUUAAUUUUUUGUUAUUUGUUUCCAUUAACAACACAAAUUAAAUAUGUUAAUAAUUAGUAUUUUUUUUCUAUUGUUUUAAGUUUAAUCAUACAUGUCAGUACUAAUUAACUAUUUUUUCCCAAUAUUAGUACUAGUUUGUCACUAUAUUGAUAGCAAAGACACUUUUUUAAGCAACAACAACCAAUGUACUUAAGAUCAAUUUUGCACUAAACAAAGUAAUGAUUCUUUUUAUGUUUUUGACGUUUCAUUUUAUUAUGAACCCAAAUUUUAAUAUUAAUACAAUUUGUGUUUAGUGAAGUUCAACACAGGUUAUAUAGUUCCUCUCAUGCAAACUUACUUUUACUUAAUUUAUAAAAUGACUAUGUUUUAUGUUAUUUAAAACUUAAAUAGAUGAUUACUAUUGCUUAAAAAAAUCUUUUUUUUUUUUUUUUAAAAAAAAAGAUUUUUUUUUCUUAAAAAAGAUUGCUUAAAAAAAUCUUGUUUUUCUAGGGGGACCCAUUUUUAUUUUUUAACAUGGUCACCAAUUUUACCGGAACAACCCUGCUUAUUAUGGAACUACUUUCAAGACUGACUUUUAUAUCGUCAACAAUGGCGUAUCAUCACAUCCAAACCACCUAAAAUUUUCAUAUAGAGAUUGACAAAGUAAAUCCAAAUAUUGCAAAAAAUGUAGUUCAAACUCUUGAGUAGUCGAACGUAGUACACACACUUUGAAUCAUUCACAUCCUAAAUAACUCUAUGCGUAAGCAAAUUGACAUGAGUGAGGAGCCCAUGCAAUAUAGCUUUUGAUAGAUAUGAACCGAAUUGAUGAGAUAAAUUAUUCCAUAUAGCUCUCCUUGUAAGAAGACCCUGAUAAAUUAUUGAUAGUAUAAUAUAGAAAAUACAUUUUUCCUAAGAAAUAUUAUUGGCAAAUAUAUCACCAAAACCAAUAUAUAAAGAUCUCAAAGAGAAUCGAAAUCACAAAGGUUGAAAUCCCAAAAGGAGUCAUCCACAUUUGGAAACUCAGAAAUGAAGUUCUCCUCUUGUAAUAAAGAGCCUGACCCAAUUUUCUCACUACUUUUAUGCUCCUCCAAGUUCAAUAAACUGUCCCACAACAUUGCACACGGUAUUGGAGCACUACCAAGACUUGGUUGGGAAACACCAACAAUAUCUCUACCAAUUUGGUUUGAAUCCGUAAUCUCUUUAUUAUCACGAUUUGGCGAGACUUCACCGUGUUGAGUUGAAACCGCCACAAUUGGUGUCACAUUAAUAUUAUGUUUCCAGUUCAACGAAGGUGGAUGAGUUGAGAAAGUUCGAGGUUUAGGUUUAAUAAUUUCAUGAACUUUCAUGGUUUCCUUAGGUUUUUCUUUCUUUUCUUCUAGUGUUCUUGAAACCAUCUUCUUUCUCAAAUGUGUGUGCCAAUAAUUCUUCACAUCAUUAGCUGUUCUACCCGGAAGCCUUG